GUUGCUAAGGUGAACCUUCGCAUUGUUCGUGGAGGCUGUAAUCCAGCUUUAGUUAUUUUUAGCUUAUAUUUCUUUUUGUUGGGUUGCAUGCCCGAAAGCUGAACUCAUGUAACUUUAUUUAGAUGCUCCAUGGUCUAGUGUGGGGUUUGGGUUAGAGAUUUAUUACCUAAACUACUAUUGUUUUCGUAAAUCGUUUCGCGAUAUCUUGCUGGAUCAUUACUUUGCGUUUAAUGAUUAUUUCAUGCAUUUGAAGUUGUACACAUUUUUAUCUCAGUAUUGUAUACAUUGAGAAUGCAUGGAAAGUUGGUUCUCCCGACAAGUGCUGUUAGCGGGAGCCAGUCACGCCCAUGAGGUUUUUGGGAUGUGACACCUACUUCAUUGGCUGCUUCAUAUGAGGGGAGAUAAGUAUCUUGUGUUAAGAAGUUACCAUGUUGUGGAUGACACAUGCUUUGCAUUACUGGCCACUUUUAGUGGUUUUUACGCUUUUUUAGUUGAUUAUCAUGUUACCCUAGGCGUUCUGUCUCUUUUUAUCAGUAGGUAAUAUUGUUCAAUCAUCACAUAGCCAAGGGCUCGUUGUUUCUGUAGUUGGAAGAUUACUGUGUCUCCAUCGUUAGGAGAAUCAAGGAAUUUUGUCGUUUGCCUGGAGAUAUAGGGGAGCUCCCGAUGUAUCUGAAGCAUGCGAUGGAUUCCAAAGAUUCAGAUCUUAAUUCCAGCUCCACGCAAUCAGAAGGAAUUGAAGAUGAGAUGAAAGCAGCUGCACAAGAUAUUGCCAGUUAUCAGGUUUCUUUUUUAGGAUGCAGUUUCUGGGUUUAUUUCUCUUUUUUUUGUCGUUAUAAACAUAAAAACACAACACUUAAAUAUAAUAGUCAUGGUCAGAAUCAAAGAUAACGAAAGGCUUUGGUCUAUUGUGAACAUUUAACCAAAUAAAUUCCAUUGGGAAUAACUAAGAAUUGCAAGAGCGGUAAGCACUGUAUAUUAUGGACAAGCUCGGCUACUUUAUCUAGCUUACAUCACUGUUCACAACUUAUAGGACCCCUUUGAUAAAAGAUUCAAAAUCGUAUCUACUUACUGCUUUCUCACAUCACAACUGCUUACCUAAGCGUACAUUUACACUACUUUCAAAGUCCACAACAACCAUGAGUCUAUACUUAUAACCUACUGGCUAAUCUGGCCAUUUUCAUACUUCAAGCAAGGACACAAUUCACCUCGCCUAAUAACUCCUUCACUAUCUUCUACUAAUAAACUAACACACAAGGACGAAUCGCUUUAUUACCAACUCCAUCUCAUGCAAAAAGAUUCAGCUAUACAUAUAUUCAACCACCACAAGAACAACACGUUGAACGAUAAAUUGCUAGUGAAUCGAAAUAGGCCUCACACGGCUUUACUAGACUUUGAUUUUUUUGUGGUUUGAACAAGAAAAUGAGAUGAAUGACAAGGCAACUAUGCUAAUGAAUUGAAAGAGCCCCACACGGCUUCACUAGACUUUUUAGUUUCAUCAACACAAUGAUAAAAUAUUUUCAAGAGAUAGAAACUUGUCACACAAUAUUCCAUAAUCUGACAAUAAACAUCUUACUUUGGAUAGAUACAAAUCUGAGUCAAAUAUUUCCCCCACAGAUUAUCAUACAAUCCACACACGUUACUAGCUACCAAUAGGUCAUGACACUGACACUUUAACGUAUACUAUUAUUUGAGUGGAAAUACAAUUCCAACACUUCUACUAUACAUCUUUUCCCUUAAUCAUGACAUCUGCAACAUAAAUUUCUGAAAAGGGCCGAAUAUACUCAAUACAGAAGGAUGAAAAGCACGAUUUUGUCAAGAUCAAGGUUCACACUAGAACCUAUACACUCUGAAGCAAUAACGGACUCUUCUCAAGUCCUUGCACAAUUUUAUGAUCUUAUAUGACGCGAUUCGAAGGGAUAAUACCAUUUAGACUCUAAACUUCUGCACUUGAAUCACCCCAGUAAUGUGACGGGUCUGAGAACAUUAGAGUAAGGAAAGAAUUUAGGAUGAUUUUACUUUCAUAUGGACGUCACCAUAGCACGAAUUAGAGUAUGAAGGAGGAACAUUCUGACUCUGUUCCAUGAACUAGAACAUGAAGAAAGAGAGACAUUUCUAAAUGCAUUGUAGCCUCCUGCUUAUAAGUGUGGCGCGCUACACACCCAUAAACAAGACUCUAUCUGAAGAGAUUUCACAGACACCCUGGGACCAUGAACUGUGCUCUAAUACCAAGUUUGUCAUGAUCCGAAACAGGGCCCUGGCCGUGACGAGUAUCCCGAACUAUGAAGGCCCGAAACACCCCUAUUUAUCUGGUAAUCAUGCACAUAAUUCAUAUGAUAAAAGAAUUGAGAAAGAUACACAAUAUUACGGAAACAUGGUCAUAAGUCUAAUAAAAUCAAUAAUGGAAAAUAAAGUCCCACAACAUCUAUCAACAUCUGAAAUUCGUCUGCGAAAAUCUCCACUACAUGACUAAUAGCAACUAUCUGAAAUCUGGGACAAGGCCCCCAGUAGACCAAAACAUGACAUAAAGAUAAGUAUCUGAAAGUUAACAGGCCUUCUGGGAUAUAGAAGGCUCACCCCUGCACAAUCUGCUCUGCAAUCUAAAAUAUCUACUAUUUAUCUGGACCCCUAGACUGUGUCUCAAAACCUGAAAGGAGGGGGGGUCAGUACAAAAGUACUGGCACGCGAAGCAAUUCAAAAUAGACUAAUUGAACAUAUAUAUAUAUAUAUAAUAUACGUGAGAGAAAUUUUCAUCAAAACAUCAUGCAUAAAACAGUUUCUGAAAAACACAUGGGCACUUUCUGAAAAUAUAUAACCUGUCUGUAAAUUUCAAAUUCUGAUCUGUGUAUUACUUCUGAGUUUGGUGGUAUCCCCUACAAGUAUGAUAUUCCACGGGCGAUAUAGAAUCCGCCAUUGACUCGGCGGGGAAGCCUCCAACCCAAGUGUGCCACAAGGGUUGGAGUUCCUGAAUCUGAUAUGUCACACAACACCUAAGUCAGCAUAUAAUAAUAUACCCAGGUCGGCAAAUCACGGUUUUGGACAAAGAGUUGUCUGAAGUCACGCCUUCUUCGGAGAACCACCUAAGCUCUCUUUAUGCCAUAUUUUAGCCUUUUUUGAACAUGCAUCAUUCUGAAGUUCUAAAACGCAAAUUUGAUAAAUUCUGAUUUCUGUAUUUGUCUGUGUUUGUUAUGGCAUUUUCAUAGUUUGGUUUCGUCAUACCAAGACUUGCAAGUCAUGAUUUAUGAGCCAUAAUACAUUAAGAUAAAUAUUUCAUUUAAAGCAAAGCUUAGACCACCCAAGAACAUGCAACUGAUAUAGAAGAUUUCGUGUUCCGAAACUCAAGUCAAAAUCAUGCAAAAACUUCAUCAAACAUAUGGUGGUCCAGUGCCUUUAACAAUAGUUCAACCAUUUCAUAUAGUUCUUUUCAAGAAUGCAUUGCAAAACAAUUCAUAUGCUAUGAAAAAUCUAAAAAUUCAUACAUGUUUUUAUACAUAAAUAUUCUCGAAUCACUUUGGGGAAGGUCAAAAGACCAAAACAAUGAUGUUAAAACAUCUAAUACAUGAAUAUAUACAUAGUUCAAAAACCCCAUUCUAAAACAUGAUUUUUCUAUGCCCAUGAGAAUUUAGGAAAACCCCGCGUACCUUGAUUACGAAGAAUAAUGGAUGAUUCUUGAAGCUUGUGGAUUGGGGAUUCCGAAUCUCUAAUUUGUUUUGAAAUUCCAUGGUUGAAUCUUGAACUACUUGCGUUUUUAUUUUGAAACCCUAAGGGAUGUUCUUGAGAGAAAAUUUGAGAAAAGAAUUAUAUUUUGAUGAAUUGAGGGCUAAAUCUGGUGUCAAAGUCGAAACUGUCCCUCAGUUGACAAGCUGACAGGCUGAAGUAAAACGGGUAUAACUCAUUACUCAGAUAUUGGAUUUGGAUGAAACCAGUUGUAUUGGAAAUAAGACUCAAAGAGAUUUCAUUUGAUAGGUAGCAGCUCUUCCAUUUCAUUAUAUUCAGAUAGUUAUGAUCGUUUGAAGUUGACCCUGAAAUGCUGAAAACUGGGCAAAAGGCUAUAUGUUUUGCUACUGUUUUGAAAUCCAAACGUAGCCUUAUGCGUUCCAAAAAAUUCCGAAACUUAUUCGAGAUAUACUAUGAGCUUGUCCGAUCGUAACGCAACUUGAAAAUCUAAAAACAGAUGGUUAAAAAGUUGCAUUCCGAAAAUUGCAAGCUAAAAUGACUCUAAGCACUUAGAAAAAUUUUCAAGUUUUUAGUCUAAGGGCUCUCUAUGAAAGGCUAAUCCAUGCACGACUUUUAUGGGGUGUUACAGCUGUUUUAUUGCCAUUGCCUACAUAGAUGUAUCUUUCAACAUCAUUUGACGCUCGGCUCCUUAGGCAAUCCGGCAUAGUAGCACUUACGUGAGUAGUUGCACCCGUAUCUAUCCUCCAAGUGUCACUAGGUACCAUAGCGAAAUUAACUUCUGAGAAAACGAAGUUGAGAAGUUUACCUUUCUUUUUAUGCCAGCUAGCGUACUUGGAACAUUCUUUCUUUAUGUGACCAAUUUUCUUGCAAAAGAAACAAGUCUUUGGAUUCUUGGACUUUGAUGUUCCUUCAUCUGCAGUUUCCUUAGUCUUACUCCAUUUUCGCUUAUUUGAAGCGGUUUUAGUUUCAGAGUUAGAUGCCAAAUGAGCACUUUCAAUCUUCUCUUGUUUCAGUCUAUCCUCUUCUUGCACACAUUGAGCUAUAAGCUCAUUCAAAUUCCAUUUCUCUUUUUGAGUAUUAUAUGAAACUUUGAAUUGAAUGAAUUGUGUUGGAAGGGAGAUGAAAACUAGAUGCACAAGUAUGUCGUCAGACAAUUCAAGCUUAAAGGCCCUGAGUUUUGUCACAAGAUUACACAUUUCCAUAAUGUACUCUCUUAUGUUUCCUUUUCCUUUAUAUCGCAUGAAACUAUCUUAUUAAGAAUAGUACUUGUUUCAACCUUUUCGUUAGUAGCGAAUCGGUCUGCGAUUUCCUUUAAGAAACCUUUGGCAUCUGUGUUCUCUGUUAUACCGCCUCUUAAGGAUUCCGGAAUCGAGUGUUGCAUCAUCAUCAAGCUCAUACGAUUUGAUUGCUCCCACUUCUCGUAUGCAGACUUUUGUUCAUUCGAACUAGUUUCAUUCAAGUCCGCAGGGUGAUCAAAUCUCAAUGCAUAAUCAAGAUCCAUGCAACCAAGAACAAUCAUAAUGUGUUCUUUCCAUUUCUUGAAGUUUGUGCCGUUGAGCACAGCAAUGUUAUUCAUGUUUGUAGAUAUAGAAGAUACUACAAGAUAAAUAAAUAAUGCUCACAAUUAACCAUCAAAUAAAUCAUGUAUAUGUGAAGAUAAUCAAAUUAAAAAAAAUUGAAAGAAACUAUAACAAAUAAACUCAAAACUUCACAUUUAUCAAACACAUAUACACAAAAGUGGCCCCAUCUCAAGACACCUAACACAACAUUAUCAUUUAGUCUUUGGACAGAAAUAAUAAUUUGUAAUUGAUACUCUUAUACACAGUUUAUAAACAUUGAUUACUUAAACGGCCUAAUAAUAUGCCUUUCUUUGGACCAACACAUUAUCAGCAUGUGUUAUAAAUAUAUCACAUGUUCAUAACUAUCCGUAAUAUGACCAAAAUAAUCUCCUUUGGGAUACUUAUUUCGCAUAGAUAAAACAUACUUACAUGUUCAAAGUAAAUAAAUCUAAGCAAUAGAAGUUAUUUGGUAAGAUAUUGAUUUAAUUCAUUCAUUUUGUUCCAGAAGUACAAAUGAUAGCAAUUUAAAAAUAAGCUAUAACAGGAAUGGACAAAAAAUUCUCCAAAUUAAAAUAAAAGCCAAAACACUUAUACUAUGUUUUUCCAGAAAGUUUCUGUGCCAAACACUUUCAAUAUAUUUAAAAAGAAAAAAAGAAAAAAAAAAUUGACUCUUGCCAAUCUUAGAAUCGAAGAAACAAUAAGAUUCUGUCAUAAUUAUUUCAAAAGAAAUAACAACACCGUAACAUAACAAAACUGAAAAUUAAGGAUGUUGCUGUAUCUCCUAUAUUAUUCAUUAAAUAAUUUUAGUCCAUAUGGCAAUUUCUCAAGCGACAUCACUUUCGUCUUGAAAAUUUAUGAUAACAAAAUUACGUUCCAAAAUCUAGUUUCAACGGAAUUGGAAAACAACGUAAUACUUGCCUAUUGAUCGCCAAGAAAUUAUCCAAAAACUUGUUUACAAAUAGACAAAAAACGAGUGUCAUAUCACAACAAAAUUAAAAUAGACACUUUGAAGUUGUACAACCACUAAACCAAGAAGCUAAAUUUGAUUUCCGAAAAAUUAAAUAUCACGUCUAAUGAUCUGACAAGACCUCGCUCCGAUACCACUUGUUAGAAAACUUUAAAGAACUUCACCCAAGAUCACAUGUAAAUCAUUAGACAGAAAUUCAAAACUAGAAGAACAAUAAGAACACUAACCUUGUUCCAUUGUAAAUAACUUGAUUUUGAAUUCUUGUUUUAUGUAAGUUGUAUGAUCUUCUAAGUUUUAAUACGCUUUCUAUAUUCUUUUCUUAGAUGGGGUAGAGAAAGAGAAAAGUUAGUAUAAAUUUAGGGACCAUGAUAUUUAUAUCUGACUCUUCCAAAAGGCACCUUUUAGUUAUUCCUCUUUAGAAGAGGUACCUUUUCAAUUAAGUUUCCAUCACAAUUAUGAAAAGGUUCUUGAGGUUUAACUUAUCAAAAUAAACUUAUAUUAAAUAGAUAUUUACAUUUUAAGCCCAAAUAAUUUAAUACUAUAUUAGAUCAAAAUUUGGGUUUCUUUAAAGAUAGCAUAUCUAUGAAUAAUAUAUUAAUAUGUGAAUCCACAAAAUAGAAAAUUACUAAAACUACGAACUCCAAACCUACGAUGUUGCUCAUUGCGUCAGAUAUAGAUCCUUGCAACUUGUUGUGUCUUAGAGAAAGGUGUGCCAAAUUUUACAAGCGUCCAAUUUCUCUAAGAAUUUCAUUUGAGAAUUGAUUCUUUGACAGGUCCAUCUUUGUUACAGCCUUUAUAUUUCUAAUUUCUUGAGGUAAAGAACCUACCAUGUUGUUUGACGACAAGUCAAGAACCACUAGAUCUUGAAGGUUCCCUAAGCUUGGUGGUAUAUUGGAACUCAAUUUGUUGGAACCCAGAUUUAUCUCCCUAAGGGAAGUAAGAUUCCCUAAACAAUAAGGAAGAGAUCCUGAAAGUUGAUUUUGACCCAAGUAAAUAUCACCCAAAUGCUGCAAUUUACAUAUAUGAUCUCCAAUAAAUCCUGUAAGUUUGUUGUUGGUCAAGUUGAAGCGCUGACGGUUUCUCAAGUUACCAAUUGACGUUGGAAUCGAUCCAACCAAAUUGUUUCCAGAAAAAUCUAGGAAUAAUAAGUUGCUUAAGUUCCCAACUUCAUUUGAAAUUCGCCCUUUGAUUUUACAACUGUUGGCAAAAAAAUUUCUAAGAGAUGUGGAAAGGUUCCUCAUGGAGGCUGGAAGCAUGCCAUUUAGCGGGUUGAGAGAUAUAUCAAGAAAUGUUAAAUUUCUGCUAUUGGUUAAGUAAGUCAAGAAGCUUAAUGAUGAGUCACUAGUUAAAUUAUUUUCCUCUAAAUUUAGUAACUAUAGAUGAGUCAAAUAUCCAAGAGAAUUGGGAAUCAAUCCAGUGAGUUUGUUGCCUGCAAGAUCAAGAAUAGUAAGUUUUGAACAAUUUGAGAUGGAAAGAGGAAUAGUCCCCACAAAAUUGGUUAAGCUGUCUAGAUAAAGGUGUUCAAUGUUGGGUAAGAUAGAAUCUAUGUUUGAUGAGAGGCUUCCUGAUAGACUAUUUGAUGAACGAUCAAUUAUUCUCAGCCCUGAUAUGUUGAAGAUCUCCGUAUCAAGUUGACCACUAAAACUAUUAUCCGCAAGAUCAAGUUCCUCCAACUCAAUGAGAUUGCUUAUCUCUUUAGGUAUUUCACCUAUCAACACAUGAAGAAAAAAUAAAAACAGGUCAGAUGAACUAUUUAGCUCAAUCAUUAUCUAUGCGAUUCAUGCUUUCGUUUGACUUGAUGAGAAGACUCUUGAAUUUUAAUUGAUUAUGGGAGAAGGUGUCGACAAGAACUCAGAAAAUUAUGUAAUAGCUAUAUACUUCUUUUUCCUAUUGUUAUUGAUCAAAGUCUUAAGAAGGAUGUACACAUUAUAUAUUUUUUUCUCCAUUAAAGUUCUUAAUUUAAUUUUCUGCAGGUUUGUAUUUUUAUAUGGACUCAAAUAUACAAAACUGAUACUUUAUUAGAAGUUAGCUAACUACCUAACAGGAGUUCAAAUUUACUGGUUAUUUCUUAAAACAAAUUAAUUUUAAAUAUUAAAAAACUCUCCUUUCUUGUCAUACGCUUGAAGAUUUAUUUAUAAUUAUUAUAUUUUAUGACUCAUUACAUGCAUAAAUUCAUAGAAUUUUAAUAGUUCUAAGGGAUUUAUAAAAAUUAACAUGAGACAACAUUAGAAUAUAUAUGUACCUAUUUUCUUAUUUCCACUAAUCUGUAGGCGUUGCAUCUUGGUUAAGUUGCCAAUCCCCCGUGGUAAGAAUCCCCUAAGAUUGUGCUGCCACAGUGACAAAAUUUGCAGCGAUGAGAUAUGGAAUAUGGAGAUUGGGACAGAGCCGGUAAUCUGGUUUUUCUACAUCCAGAACUCCAUCAAAUUAAUAAGAUUUUCAAUUUCUUGUGAAAUUAUUCCUGCAGUUAAUGUGUAUAAAUAUUUUUUUUUGAAGUAAUUGAAUGUAAUAUUACUAGCAUUCAUAAGAUAAAACAUACCUGUGAAAUGGUUAGUUCCGAGAUACAAUAUCUGCAAGUUACUCAAUAUUCCAAUUUCACUAUGUAUUGGUCCAUCAAACUCAUUAUAAGAUAAAGACAAAAUUUGAAGUUGUGAACAAUUUGAUAAGCUUGUAGGCAUAUGACCGCGAAGCUUGUUUGUGGAUAGAUAAAGCCCUUUUAGUAUUGGGAGACCAUUGCAUAAACCAUUGGGAAGAUAUCCUGAUAAGCUAUUGCCUGUAAAUGCAGUGACUUUGAUCCUAGAAAUAUUGAAAAUUGUGAAUGGUAUGGAACCCGUAAGUUGAUUAUAUUGUAUGGACAACCGGUUCAUGUUGUGAAGAUUCCGAUCCCUUCUGGAAUCUUUCCUUGAAGUGAAUUAUAAGAUAUCUCAAAAGUCUCCAACCUCGAGGCAUUCGAGAGUGACAGAGGAAUAAUGCAAUGCACUAUGUUUUACAUGGCACUUACAUAAAGAAGUCCGGGGACCAUUAUUUUCCCCUUUGUUUCUUCUAUCCUUUCUGUUCCCAUUUCAAUACAGUAAAUGCCUUUCUGUUUGUUGAUCCAAUUGUGAACUUGCCUCAACUAUUGUCUGUUUCUAUUAUUUCUUACACUGCACGGGGCAAAAUAGACACUCAUGAAGCAAUUAGUACAUGGUCGAAAGUUUUGAAAUUUUGCUACAGAUGAUGAAUGGCAGGAUGAAACUUUCCUGCAUAAGAUAGCUGAUGAGGUCAAGUUGAUGACGAUCAGGUUUAUUCCACUUCUUUGAUAGGAAAUGUACCAACAUCAAAACCAGUCUUUGCAAGCAACGACUCCUUUGUGGGAUCGUCUACUCUGGCCAUGACAAUACCAGCCUUCUCCAUGUUCACACUUAGACCAGUGACUACUGAAUUGAUUCAGUGCUUCCAUAACUCUGGAAGGAAAUCCAUAACCAAUUCCCUGCUGACCGUUUCGUACGCUUUUCACAAAUCAAUCUUCAUUAAACACCUGGGAGAAGUUUUCCACUAAUAGUGUUCGAGCAUAUCAUGGAAGAUCAGGAUAUUGUGCAUCAUGGACCUUCCUGGAACAAUUUCAGCUUGAUUUCCUGCUACUAUAUGCUUUAAAGUCCUUUAAGCCUAGUACAUAAUCUUAGAGAUGCAUUUAUAUAAAACAUUACAACACGAUAUAGGCCUGCAUUGGAUCGUAAAUUUAUGGGCAUUUACCUUAGGUAGGAAAGCAAUCCACGUGAGUCAACAGCUUGCCGUUAUGAAAGAAGUCCAUCACUGCAUUUGUGACAUCUUUACCCACUAUAUCCCAUGAUGCUUUGAAGAAGCCACUUCCAAAACCAUCGGGGCCCGGGCUCUUAUUGCUUUCAAUCUGAAAUAUUUCAUCAUAAGGAUGCAACUACUCAAUUUGUUGUUCAAUUCUAAGCAACGGACCAAAAAUCUUUGAUUCUGUCCUCCAUUUUCCUCCCCAAUAAAUCUUGAUAAUAGUUCACAAAAAUUCCAUAGGAUCAGACUUCCACUCCCCCCUUUCAUCCUUCAGUUGUGUUGUGGCAUGAUGCAAUCAGUUGUACUUAAUAACAAAGAAGAAAUAGUUAGUGUUAUAUUCUCCUAGUCUUGUCCAAUUUACUUUACUUCUUUGUUGCAGAUACACCUCAGCCAUAUAGAAUGAACUUCUAAAUUUUUGAAACUUCUCCCUUUCAUAAGCUUGUAACGCUAAGUUUUGAGGGUCAGACUGUAAUUGUUUUUGGGCUUGAAACAGUGUGUCUCUAUCUUCAUUUUCUUCCUUAAGUGACUUUUUCAUGAGUUUUAAUAUUGUGUGUGAGAGAGAGAGAUCGUCUUUUAACUAGAUUUAGCUUAAAAGUUUACUUGUUUUAGAUUUUCAUGUGUAAUUUACUCCGACUCUUCAAAAAUGUCGAUGGGUGUCUGUCUGAUCCUCCAAAAGUAGUGUAUUUUUGAGGGAUCCGAUACGAGUGCAGCAGCCUUUUCGGAUAGUCCAAGCAACAUAGCUCAAUGUCACAAGAAGUUGCAUUUUGCUUCACCAACGAAAAAAAGAAGUGGAGGCAUUUUUUUUCUGGAUGAACAAAAAAAUGCACUCUUAAAUAGGACAGACGCUGUGCUUUAUCUUCUAAAGCAUUAAAUAGGACAGACGCUGUGCUCGAAACAAAUCCACAAGUGUUCUUUUUUGGGUGAGUAGGAACCUAUGUUGCUCAAAAUUGUUGUCGAGUGUAUGUUGGAUACUUCAAAAAGAAAUACGGUUUUGCAAGUGUGGGGCGACAUUUUUGAAAAGCUCGAGUAACAUAGGUAGGAAUUUGAAACAGGUAAUAAGAGGUCUUGGGUACAAACACAGAUUAGUUCAACUAACUUUACUACAACAUACCCAGUAAAAUCUCACAAGUGAUGUCUGGGGAGGUAGCGUGCAUGCAAACCUUACCACUACCUCGUGAGGUAGAAAGACUACCACCAAGAGGGUGGCUUUUGCAGGAUUAAACAAAGGGCAGAAGCACUGAGCUAACUAGCAAUCUCAGUGCUGUUUCAAGAUUUUCAAGUUCCACCCUUAUGCAAUAUACAAAUCAAAAGGAAACAGCCAGAUUUAUUGCAACCAGCUAGAAUUUCUGAAAACAGAAUCAUGCACAAAUCAAGUGCUAAAAGAUAAAAGAGAACCAUUAUAAAAAUAUUCAACAUGCAAGAAAUUGAAUCUUGAUCUUCUGCAGCAUCGCUACAUCUUUAAUGUUAGUCCUUCUUGCCGGUGAUUCAGCACAACAAUCUAAUGCUACUUUGAGGAUUGAUGCCACAACAUGUAGCUCCUUCUGUGAGCCUUUACCUGUUGCUGUUACCAAGUUGGCAUCUACGGCAUCCAUUACUGCCUUUGGGAGCGAAUAACUCACCCAUUGUUUCAAGCUAAGAUCUCCCUCAAACUCAUUAGGUUUUCUCCUUGUAAACGUUUCCAGCAACAUGAUCCCGUAACUGUAUACGUCACACUUUGUUGACACUAGUGCAUUCAGUCCAUACUCUACAGUCAAACAAUUAAUUAAAAGAUGCAAUACACUUUCUAGCUGGAAUAAAAAAGGGAAAAUCAGAAAAAAUAAGAGACGUACCCGGUGCAAUAUAACCCAGUCUUGCUAAGGUUUUAGUGUACAAAUCACCCUGAUCUUCACCAAGCAGUUUUGAAAUGCCAAAGUCGCUGAGGUGGGCAACCAUAUCCUCAUUCAGCAAGACGUUACCAGGCUUCAGAUCACAAUGGAUCACAGGCGACGAGCACCGAGGGUGAAGAUAUUCCAAAGCACAUGCCACAUCUAUCAUUAUACUUAGUCUCUGCCUGAUGUCGAGGAAGUAGUUGUGCGAAUACAAAUAUUUUUCAAGGCUCCCAUUAGGCAUAUACUCGAGAACUAAAGCCUUGAAAUCAAGAUUAGAACAACUAGUAAUGACUUUUACGAGAUUCCUAUGGCGAAGGCUACGGAAAACUUCACAUUCCGUAUCAAAACUCUUGAAUGCCACAUCCAGUUGCAGGUUGAACACUUUAACUGCAAUGACAGUUCCACUACUGAGAACGGCUUUGUAAACUGAGCCAAAACUUCCAGAACCAAUCAUAUUACUCUCACUAAGCACAUUAGUUGCUUGGAGAAGUUCAUAGUAUGAAAUCCUUUCUCUUGCCACGGUAGACAAUGAAUCAGCUUGCUGAGGAGCACUUUUUCCUCUUCUAUACCUUAUCCAUAGGAGCACAAUGGUCAAAGGAACAAAUACAACUACAAUUGCGAGCAAAAGAAAAAGAACUAGCAAUAUUUUCCUAUUUGAUCUGUGCUUUGAUGAAGUGGGGCAUGGCAGGACACUAAAUCUUGAAGACCCACACAAUGCUUCAUUGUAAAUGAAAAACUGACUCGAGAGGUUCUUGAAAGGACCCCCCGAGGGUAUUUCACCAUACAAUUGGUUGUUUGAAACAUCGAAAUACUUGAGGUAUUGAAAUUUCUCAAAAGACAUGGGAAUGAUUCCCGAUAUAUUAUUGUGAGACUAGGAAUUCCAAACCUACCAUGUUGCUCAUUGAGUCAGGUAUAGCCCCUUGCAACUUGUUGUGUCUCAAAGAAAGGUACGCCAAAGUUUGCAAGCCUCCAAUUUCUCUCGGAAUUUCAUUUGAGAAUUGAUUCAUCGACAGAUCCAUCUUUGUUACAGCCUUUAGAUUUCCAAUUUCUUGAGGUAAAGAACCUACCAUGUUGUUUGACGAUAAGUCAAUAACCACCAGAUCUUGAAGGUUCCCUAAGCUUGGUGGUAUAUUAGAACUGAAUUUGUUGGAACCGAGAUGUAUCUCCCUAAGGGAAGUAAUAUUCCCUAAACAAUAAGGAAGAGAUCCUGAAAAUUGAUUUUGACCGAAGUAAAUAGCACCCAAAUGCUGCAAUUUACAUAAAUGAUCUCCAAUAAAUCCUGUAAAUUUAUUGCUACUCAAGUUGAACCGCUGAAGGUCUCUCAAGUUGCCAAUUGAUGUCGGAAUCGAUCCGACCAUGUUAUUUCCAGAAAGAUCAAGGUCUAAUAAGCUGCUUAAGUUCCCAACUUCAUUUGAAAUUCGCCCUAUGAUUUUGCAAUUUUUGGCAUAAAAGUUUCUAAGAGAGGUGGAAAGGUUUCCCAUGGCGACUGGAAGCAUGCCAUUUAGAGGGUUGAAAGAUAUAUCAAGAAAUGUUAAAUUUUUGUUAUUGGUUAAGGAAGUCAGGAAGCUUAAUGAUGAGUCACUGGUUAAAUUAUUUUCCUCAAUGUUUAGAUACUGUAGAUGAGUCAAAUAUCCAAGUGAGCUGGGAAUCAAGCCACUGAGUUUGUUGCCUGAAAGAUCUAGAAUAGUAAGUUUUGAACAAUUGGAGAUGGAAUGAGGAAUAGUCCCAACAAGAUUGGUUAAGCUGUCUAGAUAAAGCUCUUCAAUGUUGGAUAAGAUAGAACCUAUGUUCGAUGGGAGGGUUCCUGAUAGAUUAUUGUUGAAAAGAGAAACUAAUUUCAGUCCUGAUAUGUUGAAGGUCUCCAUUUCAAGUGAACCACUAAAACUAUUAUAUGCAAGACUAAGUAUCUCCAAAUCAACGAGAUUCCUCAUCUGUUUGGUAUUUCAUUUGUCAACACAUGAAGAAAGACUAGUGAGCUUAACUAGUAACAGUUGUAUUUUUCUCUACAAUUAAACCUAUUUUCAUGAAGAAAUAAAAAUUGCAUAUUGGUUAAGCUGCCAAUGUCUGGUGGUAAGGUUCCCUUGAGAUUGUUUUCCCCAUAUUUAACAACAUUUCCCAGUUCUAAUGGAAUUAUCCCUGCAAUUGGAUUCAAUACUACUAACAGUCAUAAAAUAAUUAAUAAAACAGGAACAUACCUAUGAAAUGGUUAUAUCCGAGAUGCAAUAACUGCAGGUUACUCAAUCUUCCAAAUUCACUAUGUAUAUGUCCAUCAAACUCAUUAUAUGAUAAGGACAAUAGUUGAAGUUGUGAACAAUUCGACAAACUUGUUGGCAUAUGACCGUGAAGCUUGUUAUCGGAAAGAUAAAGGCUGUUUGAGUAUUGGGAGACAAUUGCAUAAACCAUUGGGAAGAAUUCCUGAUAAGCUAUUGCCACUAAAUUCAAUGACUUCGAUCCUAGAAAUAUUGAAAAUUGUGAAAGGUAUAGAACCCGUAAGUUGAUUAUGCUAUAAUCCCAACCAGUUUACAUUGUGUAGAUUGCCAAUUCCUUCUGGAAUAUUUCCUUGAAGUAAAUUGAAAGACAAAUCUUAAGUCUCUAACCUUGAGGCAUUCAUGAGUGACGGAGGAAUGGAGCCUAUGAGAUUGUUUCCGUACAAGCUUAAAUAUCUCAUGUUUUCAACACCUUUAAUCUCUUUUGGGAAUUGACCAUCAAAGGAAUUGAAUGUUAAAUCCAAAGAUUCAAGCUUUGUAAUAUUAAAAAAAGAAUAUGGGAGAGAGCCAGUGAAACUAUUAUUCCUAAGAUUUAGAACUUGAAGAUGGUGUAAAAAUCCAAGCCAAGAAGGAACCUCCCCGCUGAAGCUGUUGAAACUUAAAUCAAGAACCUUCAGUCGAUGCAAAUGAAUACAUAAGGAUUAUUUUUGACGAGACAAAAUUACAUGUCGAAAAUAUAUAUUUGACCAAUCUUCUAGGUAUUUAGUUAUACAUGAACCCAAAAUAUUCAAACCUGAAAUUAUAGUUCAUCAUAACCAUUGCUAGUCCUUAUAUGCAAUGAUAAUAAAGGACGGAACCGUAUUCUUAUUAUAUUUUGCCAAAUAAAAAAGGUGACCAUAUUAAAAUGAUCAAUUCAAAGACCUUAAAUGGUUAAUCCUUCUUUAACACUUUGAAAAGUACAUGAUAGAGAAAGAAAAAGAAUGAAAAAAUGUGAACAAUUUCUUCUAUUGGUGCAUUCUCUUUUCCUUACUUUUCUCUCCCUCUUUGUGUGUAUGCAUGCAAAAUGUAUGUAGUAAAGUAUUGUGUGUGGAUGUGUAUGUUAUCAUUUAUUCUUUUUUGAUAAUCAUUAUAUUCAUGCAUGCAUGGAUCAUAUAUUAUAUCAAAUCUCACUUCAAAUUUAAUCAUAACAAAGAUUUGAAUACUCUAGUAUUACAACAACAAAUGUAAAAUAAGAUUAACUCCACUUCAUAAUAUUGAAAUUGAAUUUCGCAUAAUCGUGAUAUUGUAUUAUUCAAAUAAAGGUAAAGGGUUACCUUUUGGAAAAAUAGUUGCCAACAAAAGAAAGAAGAAGUUGUGAACUCGAAACCACGAACCAAACCUCAAACUCCAACUUGUUGUCUACCUGUUUAUGUUAUUUGCUUUUUGUUUCUGUCAAAUGUUACUCCCUUUUCUUCUUAACUCUUCUCUUUUCUUGUUUUUCUAUCCCAAUCCGUAUUUUUUUUUUCAAGAUUCCUCUUCCUUUUUUCCUAUUUUUGUCCGUUUUAUUUCCCUAAUCCUCUCUAUUCGUUCCCCUUAUCUUUGUGUUUUUCUAUGUCCCCUUUGUGUCUGUGUGGGUGUACUAUAUAAUGUAUAAGGUUGGGAAGUUGAGGGAGUUGAGGAAAAGGUGGGGAUGAUUGGGGUAGUUUUCUUUAGGAUAAAAUUUUUUUUAUAAAUAUAUAAUGUAUAAGGUUGGGAAGUUGAGGGAUUUUUUUAAUUUUUUUUUUUUAAAUAUUUAUAAAAAAAAUAUUAUAAUAAUUUUUUUAAAUUAAAUUUAAAAAAAAAAAAAGAUUUAAGACAUGACGUGGACCUCUAAUUAGCUGCCACGUGGUAAAGCUGUUUUCUAAAAACCGGCUGUUAAAAGUAAUGGCAUGGAUGAACCAAUUUUGUAACGGUGAUGGCAUUAAUGAGCCCAACUUUUAAUGGAUGACAUAAAUGAGUCAUUUCUAAUAGUUCAGUGGCAUAUUUGAGCCUUUUCCCUAAUUAUAAAUAUGAUUACAAAAAGUCCUCUAAUUAGCCAAAGAAUUGGCAAGUCAACCAAGUCUUGCUUUAUUUUUUGUGGCAAAAAGCCCUCUUUUGCAAAUAGUUUUGCUUUCAUAUUCUGUAGAAUUGUGUGGUGAAGAGUAGUGCCACACUAACUAAUACUAUAGUAUUUAGUCAAAUAGUUUUGCUUUCAUAUUCUGUAGAAUUGUGUGGUGAAGAGUAGUGCCACACUAACUAAUACUAUAGUAUUUAGUCAACCUAGCACUAGUGGAGCAAUGAGAGCCUUCCUAAAUAGUCAAGUUUUGUCCAAUGAAUUACUUUCUAUAAUGAUGAAAUGAACAAUUCAAUCAAAAAAUAUUUUAUUCAUAAAAGAAAUGGCCUUUUGUCACUUAAUUAUAUCAUGCUGAUGGCUGAUUAUACUAUCUAGACCUUAUGCUAUGCAUACAUCUCUGGCCAACUUUUGUCCGCUUAAUUCUUUGGAAAUAGUCUUGCUUUCAUAAUUUGUAGAAUUGUGUGGUGAAGAGUAGUGCCAAUAAUUGCCAAAUCUUGUUAUUUGGUUUCUCCAAGCACUAAUGUCUAAUGCUGAUAGAAUUGAGGAAUUAAACCAAUUCAUUGGUGUAAGUGGUGAAGUUGUUGUCAUGUGAUCACAAGGUCAAUGACUAGUUCGAGCUGUGCAAACAGCCUCUUGUAAAAAUGUGGGGUAUGGCUAUGUACGACAGAUCCUUAUGGUCUAAGCCUUUCCCAACCCUAGCCAUAGCAGGAGCUUAGUGCACCGGGCUGCCCUUUAUUGGCCUCAACAACAACUUUUCUUUUAAAUAUCUUGAUAUCCAAACUACUUGUGAAGAAAAAAGGUGGCAUCCUUCAGUGGCCAAGAUCACUGCAGGAACAUUACAAGGAUGGCAAGGCAAAUUAUUGUCUUAUAGGGGCAGAGGUGUUCUUAUUAAGCAAUUUUACAAGCCAUCUAAUUGAUCCCCCCUAAAACAGUGAAGAAGCAAAUUGUGAGUUGCAUUGCUAACUUUUCCGGCUCGCGCAGUUUGUUAUCUCAGCUCCAAAAUGAUUUGUUGCAAAGAAAUUGAUAGAUUUCUGUGGAGUUCAUAAAUGCAUAAAAGGAAUAAAAGUAAUGGCUGCGGCUCACUGAGGCACUUCUUUUACGGUCCUUGUAGGCCUGUCUGCCGGUCUGCUCUGAAGAAUUCAUGAUUUAUAUAUGUUUCAGGGCAGUGAGAGAAAGUGCGGAAUAAGGACUGAUUUCUCAUAAGGGAAAGGUGUGAAUAAAUACAUCUAAUGAAAGGUGGGACUUGACAAUUGGACUGGAGAAGGACCUCUGCUAAAUUUAUACCUACUGGAAGCCCUUAUUGUUUUUUCAAGUGUCAUCAUCUUUUGGUUAUUAUAUUUCUACAAUUGCAUUUAUAGUUCAUUUAGGAUAAUUAAAUGUCCGAAAAGUAAUUUUAGGUGUUAAAAACUGACUUUAUAAACUUACUAGGUAUUGAGGAAAUAGGAUAUCCGGGGACGGCCCUUAUUUCCCCUUCUUUUCUUCUGUGAUCAUUACUCAGGUAUGAAGUCUUCCUUUCAAGGUCUCAAUACCAGCGGUUCGUUGAUCCAAUUGUGAACUUGUCUUUAAGUGUCAUGUUUUCUAGACAACUUCUGCUUCUUUUAUUUUUUAGACUGCACUGGGGAAAAAUCGACACUAAUAAAGCAAAAGAUUUGGGGAGAAUCCGUUUGAAAUGAAUAUGCAGCUGACCACAUGAUUUCUUGCCCACAAAGUGUUCAGACGUUUUGCCUCGAUGAAUUUCUAGAAAUUAUUUGUGUUUUCAACUAUGUCUCAGGUGUUACAAGUGUGUGCAUGAGUGCUGAUUCAGUAAAGAUGGUUUCCCAGCCGAUUUGCUUCUCUAAGUGAUACGAUAAAAAUUUGCAAGACACGAAAUCACUCAAAAAAUAGUCCACAAACACACUCCAAAAUAGUCCACAAAUUAUUAAGUUCCUUGGACCGAUUGGAGACCUCUCUCGGAUUCACAAAUACAACAAGAAUACAAGGUGAACAAGGUUUAUUUCACACCAAAACAGCAAUAAUACAUGAAGAACAAGAUGAACACAAAGGCACAAGAUUCGGAUUUAACAAUAACAACAAGAACACAAGAUUACAACACAAAUACUAAACACGAUUACAAGAAAGUAAAGGGAUAGAUAGAUAGACCACAUGAAGGUAUAAACUUAAGAGCCCAAGAAUGGACACUCUUGGACCCUUAACACUACACACAAUAAUAAACCUAUCUCUUACAUGACACAAGACCGGAUUGCACCUCUCUAGCAUCAAUGUUUCCAAGCAAGCAACAACAAAAGAGAAUCCACCCUAUUGUUGUAUCCUAGUUUCGGUUUUGGUGCCUCAAGGAGAGAGGAAUUGUGUUCUUUGGUCUUUCAAGACUCACAAAUAUCAUCAAAAACUAAAUCUAAAAACCUUACAAUGUUCCUUUUAUAACUAUUACAAAAUAUAAGUUAAAAUAAUCAAAAGGCCCUUAAAAGAGUGGGCACCUAUCUAGUAUAAUUUAUGGGCUGAUUUGGAUGUAUUUUGGGCCUCUUUUACCCUUCAAUUGCAAAUGCCAAGGCUCGGGUCCAACAUGCACUCUCCUAAGUCCAUAUCCGAGAUUAUUCCUGUAUCAUCCUCUCCAUCUUGAGAAGAAUUUGUCCACAAAUUCAGGGCUUCACCUCGUUCAAUGGGUCACUUCAAAGGAAACCUACUCAAAACAAUCCGUAAACAAGUCACAAAAACAAGUCAAAAACAGUCCACAAAAUCAUGCAGAAUCCGAGGGUUCAAUAACAACAAGUCUUGGCCAACAUCUUCAUUUUGAACCUCGGCUUCCUCUCCAUCUUAAUUCUUGUCUUCAAUCUCAUCCGAAACAAGUCUCCUACCAUCAUACAAGUAUUGUAGUAGUCUCCAUAUCCUUCAUUUUCCUUUCUACCAUACUCCUCUACAUGGAUAUAUCAGUUUUGGUGAAGUAGAGUUUCGGUUGAGAGGAAUGAUUUGGUAAGGGGGAGCUUCGGUUGUGGAGCUUGGAUGGGAGGAAAUUGGCUUUCAAGUCCCUCAUGUUGGACUUGAUCAAAUUGAGGGGGAAGUGACUCAUUUAGGUCUCGGGUUUGAGGACAUUUGUUGGAUUGACUUAUGUCUAUGUCAUUUAGUGGUGGUCUUGGAGGGUUGAUCGUUUGAGGUAAAUCUUCGGAAGUAGAAACAUGAGAGUUCCUUUGACUUUUCACUCGAUCUAACCUCUCAAGUAUAGUAGACAUAUCCGAGCCCAAUUUAUCAAGACCCGCAUUCGCCUUAGCUAUUUCUCGGGCAAUGACAUCAAGGUGGGCCAAAAUUGUGUCCAUUAUGGCAAAGGAGUUACCUACAAAACAGAAAAUACGUUAGUUGUACAAAAACAUCCUCACUCUAUCUUUUAUUUCUUGUCUCUUGGAUCCCUCACACUCAAUCUCACAAGUGUUGUAAGCUUGAUUGUACUCCGAGAGGUGUUGAUAGGUGGAUCAAGUGUGUACAACGACACAAAAGAAUAAAACACACAAAGAAACGUAAACACACACACAAAAAAAAAUGCGGUUUCAAACCAACUCACAAUCUAGUAAUUGGUCACUAGCUUGUAAGUUAGUAUGGGAAUCAACAAACGAAACUAAAGACACAAAAUGAAACUAAAAGAUCAAAAAUUGAGCAUAAAAUUUGGUGAACAGUAAUUGGCGAUGUGGCAGUCUUUGAUUGGCCUCGGUCAACAAUUUUAUUUUCCAAAUUUGAAAGUUUUGAUCAAUUCUACAAUUUGAACUUUGAUGAAAAUUGUUCAAUGGAGGAAAAUACAAACUAGUCUUUAGAAUUCAAAUUUGAACACUCAAAAGUCUUUGACUAAACUUGUACUCCUUAAAACAUGGAUCCUUGUUUCAUGGAAAAGUGGUUGAAAAGUGAUGUAAAGUCUUUUGGUGGUUGGGGGUCUUUUAAGACUAACAAUUACUUACACUUCUUUCCUUCACCUUUUAGGAUCUAUCAUUCACUUUAUGUUAACAAGGUGAAGAACUUCAAGAACAAAACAACCACAACAAGAACAACCAACAAAAAUCUCCCAAGAACAACAAGUUCCAACGCCCAAUUCCACAACAACAAGAUCAACAAUAAAACCACCAACAAACGUCCAAGCUUCUUUGGUGUUGUAUUUUCGGCUUUAACACUAGAUGAAGGUUGUGAUGAACAACAAGAACACAACAACAACUACCAAGAUCAACCAAAACACCAACCAACGCCCAACAACAAGGUCACCACACGGCCAAGUUAAAACAACAACUUCAACUCACGGCCACUUCUUGUUCACAACAACAACAUAAAUUUUUAAAGCUCAAAUCUAGAUAUACACUCAAUGCGUUAGUGAGAAACAAAACUAACACUUAGUGACAACAAAUACGAGUAAAAAUCUCGGCCAAGACACAACAAGAACACACUUUUCGGCCAAGAAUACAACACGGACAGAUUGCUAUUUUUUCUUGAAUUUUCAGUUUUGAACACUUUUUUUUUUCACUAACAAGCCCAAGUUCGAUCUUGUGGGAACAAGAUCAAACCAUGCUCUGAUACCAAAUGAUACGAUAAAAACUUGGAAGACACGAAAUCACUCAAAAAAUAGUCCACAAACACACUCCAAAACAGUGCACAAAUCACUAAGAUCCUUGGACCGAUUGUCGACCUCUCUCGGGUUCACAAAUACAACAAGAAUACAAGGUGAACAAGGUGUAUUUCACACCAAAAUAGCAAAAAUACGUGAAGAACAAGAUGAACACAAAGGCACAGGAUUCGGAUUUAACAAUAACAACAAGAACACAAGAUUACAACACAAACACUAAACACGAUUACAAGAAAGUAAAGGGAUAGAUAGAUAAGAAGGUAUAAACUUAAGAGCCCAAGAAUGGACACUCGUGGUCCCUUAACAAUACACACAACAAUAAACCUAUCUCUCACGUGACACAAGAUCGGAUUGCACCUCUCUAGCAUCAAUGUUUCCAAGCAAGCAACAACAAAAGAGAAUCCACCCUAUUGUUGUAUCCUAGUUUCGAUUUUGGUGCCUCAAGGAGAGAGGAAUUGUGUUCUUUGGUCUUUCAAGACUCACAAAUAUCAUCAAAAACUAAAUCUAAAAACCUUACAAUGUUCCUUUUAUAACUAUUACAAAAUAUUAGUUAAAAUGACCAAAAGGCCCUUCAAAGAGUGGGCACCUAUCUAGUGUAAUUUAUGGGCUGAUUUGGGUGCAUUUUGGGCCUCUUUUACACUUCAAUUUCACAUGCCAAGGCUCGGGUCUAACAUGCACUCUCCUAAGUCCAUAUCCGAGAUUAUUCCUGUAUCACUAAGGCCACCCUCCGUAAUCUGUCUAAUCUACUUAACAAUGUCAUGAAACUAGCCACAUGACAUUAUUUUGUAUAUUUCCAGAAUUUCCAUCUCAACAAGAUACUUCCUGCACUCUCAUUCAUCGUUGGCAUUUCCAUCACUGGACAAAAUCCUUGAAAGUAAUAGUCACUUGUUGGGUUUUAAAGUCUGUAUUCUCUAUAUCUAAGAAGUUGUUCUUAUAUUUGUUGUUGAUUGUGUUCCAUCAUUUUGUAACAUUAAUAUUAAGAGGAAAUAGUAAAGAUUUAUUGCAACCAACUAGCAUUUUUGAAAACAGAAUCAUGCAAAAAGCAAGUGCUAAAAAAAUAAAAAGAAGCAAUCUUUACAUGAAUCGAUCAAUUUAGCAAACAUUUGCAACAAACAGAGUGAUUUGAAACAACAGAUUCCGAGAACAUGCUCAGCAUGCAAGAAGUUGAAACUUGAUUUUCUGUAGCAUCCCAACAACAUCUUUCAUGUUUGUCCUUCUUGCCGGAGUUUCAACACAACAAUCUAAUGCAACAUUCAUGAUUGAAGCCACAACAUCAAGCUCCUUCUGUAAGUUUGGAAAUGACCUUCUAAGGAAUUGAAUUUCAGAUUCAAAGACUCAAGUUUGGAAAUAUUAGAAAAUAAAGAAGGGAUGGAACCAGUGAAACUAUUAUUCCCAAGAUUUAGAAAUUGAAGUUGGUGCAAAAAUCCAAACAAAGAAGGAACCUCCCCGCUGAAGCUGUUGUAACUUAACCAAAGAAACUUAAGCCGACACAAGUGUGCCGUGGAAAACCAAAGUCAAGCUUCAAAGUUGUCGAAAUACGGCUAGGAUGAAGAUUGCUGCUUUGAUACCAUGUCAAAAAUACAAAAUACUAGCUAAUUAUAGUAAGAAUAUCAAAGAACUAAGCAACUGGUAGCAUUCAUUUAGAGAGAGAAUAAUUGCAAUUCUCAUUGAUUCAUAUUUUGUUAGCUUACAAUGAAAGCAAAUGGGAGUAUUUAUAGACUCCAAGUCUCAACUCACUAUCACUCAACAUGUGCACAACAUGUGUUUGUUAUAACUAACUCUAACCAACCCCUCACUCCUUUUAGCUUUAUUUUCUUUGGCUAGAUAUUUCCAACACUGUUGUAACUUAACCAAAGAAACUUAAGCCGACGCAAGCGUGCCAUUUCUUGAGGCAAAUUACCCUGGAAAUUGUUGCUUUCCAAGUCAAGAGAAACAAGAAAUGUGAGGUUUCCAAAUUCCCUGGGAAUCUUGCCCGUAAGAUCCAUGUUGGAAAGAUUCAAGGACUUCACUCGCCGGUAACGAGAACCACAAGUGACUCCAACCCAAUGACAAACGGACGUAGUGGGAGACCAACUUUCACCCAAGAAGUGAAAGGGGUCCGAAAUAAUUUGGGAUUUCAAAGAGAGAAGAGCCAAUUGAUCAGUGGUAAUGUUGGUUUUGGUCAUGGCCGAACUAGCCAUAACAUAGUGAAGCAGCAAGAGUACUAUUAAGAGAAAAGAACUGAAGGUUUUCUCCAUUGGUCCAAAAAUUAGUAGGAAAAUGGUAUGGCUUAUAACAUGUGGUUUUGAGACUUAAAAUAGCAAUGAAAUCUCCCUUUUGGUCUUUGAAAAAAUUACUUUUCUUCAUUCAUUCUGUCAUAUUCAGCACGGCGUUAAAAUUUUCAUUUAGGGGUUUCAAAAUAAAAAAAAAGUAAAUUCACGAAAAAGUCAAAGAGUGUCAAUACAUAAUAUAUACAUUAAAAAAAUAGUUUUACCAAGUCUUGCAAGUUUCAGUUAGAAUUGUAAAUAUGGUUCAUAAAUUCCCCUAAUCAGAUAAAGACUUGUCCAUGUUCCUUUAAUAAGUUAAUUUUACUAAAUUAUGUUAUACGCUUGAGAUUUUUCUUUUUUACAUGAUUAUGAUAGUUUAGGGAGAAAAGUGUGAAAUAUACUUGAACUUUGGCGAAAUUUGAUGUAGCACGUCUCAACUUUGAGGGGUUUGAAGUGGUCCAACUAAGCAAAUAUAUGUCACGGAAAUAUGGUAAAGAAUAAUGGGAAAAGGACACCACGUGGCUCUUUUGAAAAGUAAUGGACAAUAAUGGUCCACGUUUCACUUUUUGGACAAAACUGACACUUCGGCUGUUUUAAAUGUCAUUUAUUAGCCCUUCAUUUAAUAAGACACACGCUAAAGGAAAAAGGUUUAAAGUUGUACACUUUCCUUUUGAAGUUGGUUUCCGAAUAGGGUUUUGUGACUUUUUAUUCUUUCCAUAACCACUCUUCUUACUUCUUUCCAUGACCAAUCUUCUUUCUUCUUGCUCUUCUUUCUCCAACUAUGAUAGUUAAGAACCCAACAAAACUCAUAUCUCUUUUCUUCUAGUUUUUAAUUUUUUUUAUUAAGAACCCAACAAAACUCAUAUUUUUAUUAUUCUAAUUCUUAUUUUUUUCUAUUUAGGUUAUCUAAAUCGAAUUGAGUUUUUGAAUUAUGUGGGUGGAUGAAAAAUGAGAUAGAGGAAUAAAAGAAGAAAAAAUAUGCAAAAUCUAGAAGUUGAUCGGCAUGGAAGAAAAGGGCUAUUGUGUUGAAGCUAAAGUAAUAGUGGAUAGGUAUGUGACGAAGAAAUUUGAAGGAAAUGGAUUAUUUUUGAAAAAAAAAUGUGUUUUAUGAUUCGAGAUUACAUAAUAUUGAUUAUCUAAGGAGAUUUCAAAGAAAUGAAGGUUUGUAUAUGAUGUGUAUAAAAAUUGUAUGUUUAAGAUUUGUAUAUGAUGUGUAUAAAAACUGUAUAUUUCAGGUUUGAAUAUGAUGUGUAUAAAAACUGUAUAAGAACUGUAUAUUUAAGAUUUGUAUAUUAUGUGUAUUAGAACUAUAUAUUUAAGGUUUGUAUAUGAUGUGUAUAAAAACUGUAUAUUUAAGGUAUAUGAUAUGUAUAAAAAUUGUAUUAUAUAGAAUAUAUUUUCUAUAUAUUAUCUGUAUAGAAUUUGUAUCAUUGUUGUAAAGAAUAUGUAUAUCUAUAGGAUGUACAUAAACUGCAUAAAUAUUGUAUAGAAUAUGUAUCUAAAUAAUUAUUGUACCUAAAUAGUGUACAGAAUGUGUAUAGCCUCUUGGCAAAAAUAAAAGAUACGAAAAUAGUUUUAAAACAUGUAUAUGAGUCAUUAAAAUAUGCUAUUUUAAAAAAAUUGUUAUUCAAAAAAUACAAAAUUUUAUUUGGUUACGACAUUAUAAAUUAGUAUUUGAUUAUUUUAAAGAACUACAAAAAUUUAUUUGAUUGUUUUGAUUAUUGAUAGAAUUAAAAAAAAUAUAUAGAAACAUGAGUGUUUUUUAAAAAAAAAUGAGCACAACCAAAAUAAAAGGGAAAGGGAAGAAAACACAAUUACCAUUAAAAAAAAAAAAACAACGAAAAAACAAUAAAAAAUAAAUACAAUUUUUACACUUUAUAUAAUAAUAAUAAAAGAAGCAAAAGGAGCAACAACAAAAGUAAAAUAAAAAAGACAAAAUAAGCAAUAUCAAAAAAAAAGUCAAAGAAAGCGGCUUAGCUAGUGAAAUGACCAAAAAAUAGUAUUUUGAAACAUGAGUUAUUUUCGUGUCUUUUAUUUUGGCUAAGAGACUAUUUUUGUCCUUCUCCCAAUAAUAAUCUAGGGGGAUCAUAGGACCCCCGUUAAGUUGAGGCGUGUUAAUGCAAAUUUCAUCAAAGUUUAAGUAUAUUUCGAACCUUUUUCCCGAUAGUUUAUAUAGUUGAUCAUGACAUGUUUAUAAUCUGUAGACUUUUACAUUCUAGUUACUUUUUGUAGAAGUUAAUUUAACUCUUUUUUAUAUCGGAUGGUAGUGUAAAAGGUGCUUUUAAUUAUUGUUUAUAACUUAUUUGCAGUUUCGACUUGUUUGAUGGUAUGUUUUUGUGAGUUUUUUUUUUAAUAAAAGAAUACAUAACAUUAAUUUGUAUUUCCUGGCAUCAUUUUAGAGAAUUUUUCAGGUUAUCUGGGCCUCAAAGACUUGACAAAAUUGGAGAAGAUAAAAAAUACACCAAGUCUGUAUAUACGUACAUUUGGUGGCAAAGUUAUUCCUCUAAUCAGUCCAAACACUCUCCAAGUUGCCUUCUACUUGGCGUCGUACGUGGCCAAUUCUUGUCCUACAUGGCGUCCUAUGUGUAUUAUAUAACAUAGAACGUGUGUGUCUGCUUGUUCAAAGGUUUCAAAACACUCCCUAAUUUGCCUUCUAAUAAAGUUAUGUGCACUAGCUAAGUAUAUGGGGAAUUUUUAUGUAAUUAGCAGUCCCUAAUUGAUUCUAGUUACUAAUAUGUAGGUAAUAUAUAUGACAACAUGAAAAACUAUUUACAUUCUCGAUCAAAUAUAACACAGUUAGCAAAUUAUUCUAGCGCAGUAUAAUAUCUUGAUGGGACUAUUUACUUUUAAUUUUUAGGAUGUUUUUAUAUUUUUUAAAAAUUCUAAAAAAGUACACAACAUGUACAGCAUGUUUGGAUUGUCUUACUUUAAAUGUUUUUAAGAUAAAAUAGCUUUUAAACACUUUAUUUGUAAUCUUUUCUUAUGUGUCGUGUUUUCUAGACAUGUUCUGUCUCUUUUAUUUUAAAUGUUUUUAGUUAGUUUAAAAUGGAGGAUUCUCUUGUUAUCUCGAUAUUAUAUUUUUCUCUACAAGUUUUCCAAAUGGCAUAAUUAUUGUUAUUUCAGCAUUGUCGGCCUAUGGUGUCUACUGGUUAAUCUGAAACGCCAUACUCCUUCUAUCAUUUACUUUUCAAUCAGAAUUAUAAUAUGGUGCAAGAAUUCCCCUAAUCAGCCAAUUACUUUUGCAAGUCAAGUAGUCAAACAAGUCUUGUUUCAUUUUCUCAAGAAUUGUGUGGUGCAAAAAAGGUAUGUCAUGCUCCUCUAAUAAGUUACAUUUGUUAAAUUAUACUAUACGUUCAAGAAAUAUUUUUACAUGAUAAGCAUAAUUUUAUAUAGUUGAUCAUGACAUGUUUAUUAAUUAUUAUCCUUUUAUCUCUAGGAUAGAAUUUGCAGACGUUUACAUUCUAGUUAAUUUUUGUAAAAGUUAAUUUAGCACUUCUACAUGAUAUGGCAAUAUAAAGAGAGUUUGUUUGAGACUUUGAGUCAUGUUUUUGAAAAGAGAGAAGUAUCAAUUACUCUCCUGAAGUUGUCAUGGUACACCUAAAUUUCAAGUUGUCUUAAAUACCUUCCCCCCUAAAAUUGUUGAUUUAGUAAGUCAGGGGGCCUUUUUUGGCCCGCGUGGCACAAUAUCUGGUUUCAAACUCCAUCAGGCGCGUGAUGGAGUAAAUUUUUUGUCAAAUGAUCAGUUUUCAACAGUCAAAUAUGGAAAAAAAAAAAACAUUUUUCUUUAUUUUUUUCAAAAACUUCAAAGCGUCCUUUCUCUGCUCUUCCUAUGUAAGAGAUUGUUCCUGAUUGUUGUGCGUAGGGGUUGUGCCAAAAAGAAGUUGAAUAUUACUGACUUUUCUUAGUGUAUUAUUGGACGGAAUAAACUUUUGGAUAGUUUUUCUUUUGAUCCGGGUCCAAUUUGCUAUUGUUAAAAAGGAGUUGGUGACAGAGAGAAAUGUGUUGUAGAGUGAUAAGACGGUCAACAACUAGUUAUCAAAUGUAAUGACAUUCUACCUCUAUAUGCUUUGUGUUUUCAUGUUGAUAGGGUUUGUGGCUAUUUUAAUCGCACUAGUGUUAUCAGCAUGUAACACGUAGGGGAUAUAAUAGCAACACCAAGCUCAGAUAAUAGACAUCGCGGCCAAAGAAUUUUCGAAAUUGCUGCUGACAUAGCUCGAUAUUGAGCCUCCGUAGAUGAUUUAGACGUACGAUAUUGUUUCUUACAUUUUCAAGAUAUCAAGGAUGUGCCUAGAAACAUGCACUACCGUAAUGGAACGACGCGAAUCAGGUCAAUCAGCCCAAUCUGCAUCAUUAUAUUCCUUAAGAUGUAUAGGAGAAUCAGAACGGAAGAGAACAUCUUGAUUCAUAGAACCACGGACAUACAGGAUGACACGAAGUAACGCAAUUUGAUGUAUACUAUACACUCGAGAAAUAUUUUUACAUGAUUAGCAUAUUUUAUAUAGUUGAUCAUAACAUAUUUAUAAUCCUUUUAUCUCUAAGUUUGGACAAAAUCCGGGGCAUUUACAAUCAAGUUACUUUUUACAGAUAAUUUAGCACAUUUAUAUGGGAUGGUAAUAAAAGGAGUUUGUUUGAGUCAUUACUGAAGUUACUUAAAAUUAUUGUUUAUAUUUUACAUGAAAUUUUAAGAAUAUUCUUGUAUGAACUUUUUUUUUAUAAAAGAUUACAUAAAAAUAAUUUGUAUUGAUUGUUAUCAUUUUAGGGAAUUUUCCUGAUUAUGAGACCUCAAAGACUUUACAAAAUUGUAGAAGAUCAAAAAUACACAAAGUCUUGCAACUGUAAAUGUGGUGUCAAAUUUAUUUCUCUAAUCAAUCCAAAAAACUUUUCAAGUUGCCUUCUACAAAAGUAAUGUAUAUUAAUUAUAUGGAGAAUUUUAUGUGAUAGUAUAAUUAAUUAAUUAUAUUUUCUUUUUAGGUAAUAUAAAACUCGAUCAAUUUUAUUUUUAUAAAAAAUUAAAAUAUUGGGAUUAAACCGAUUGAGUUGGUCGGCUUUUGCUACUUCCAUAGAUAGAAUGGAAUUUUUUUUCUAAAAACUCUGAAUUUAUACGUACACUAGCUAUAUCGAGAAUUUUAGAUGUUUAGUUACUUAAUAUAGUUUAUAAUUGAUUCUAGUUACAUUUUAAGUACUACGAAGCAGUUAAAUCAUAAUGGAUGAGAAGUAAUCCCAAACUCUAAAGUUAUACGUACACUAGCUAUAUUCAUUAUUGGAAAAACAGCACAAUAGCAGUUAUCCAGAUGACAAAUUCAACUAAAACUCAUAAUUUGACUUAACAAGGUCUCCUAUGAAGUAAUCCCAAAGUGGAAAGUGGUGAUGUUCGAAACAAAAUUUGACCUAAGAAAUUGGUCAAAUAGCAACAGUAGCCGUAACAACAACAACAACAAUAAAUGGUCAACAAGAAGAAGAUGAAGAUAAUAAUGAAGUAAAAGAUGAUUAAUAAAGCAACAACAAUAAUUGACAACAUAAAACGCUAAGAGAGAGAAAACAAUAAUGGAUGAGAAGAGCGAGAAAGACGCCUUUUUUGCCUCCGUUUCCCGUUAUAUUAGGUAAACAUUUGGAUCAAAGUAUAUAUUUUAAAACUUUAUGGGUUAUUUUCAAAUUUUAUCAAUUUUCUUAAUCUAUAAUAAAGUAAUUAUCACCUCCAUCUAAUAAUUAAUACUUGUGUGACCUACACCUCAUUUUAAAACUCUUUUAUCAGCUAAAGCUCAAAGCCGCUAGUUACUUAGUAUAGUUUAUAAUUGAUUCUAGUUACUUUUUAAGUACCACGAUAGUGUGGAAAAUAUUUACCCUCUUGAUCAAGGUAAUGAAAUGACCAAAAGAAUUUUUGUUAUUGUAAUAUAGGAUUGAAUAAGGUGGGUUCGUUAAUCUAGGCAUUAAAAAUAAAUUCAUGAUUAAAAUAAAAAUAUAUAGUGUAAUCGAAUAUUUUACAAAAAAGAAAAAAAAAAAUCUGCACUUGUGCGUGGAGUUUGUGCCAAAAUGUACAUUUUGAUCAAAUCUAGACAGGCUCAAGAUGAAAUCACAAAAGCAAGAAUGUGCGGAAUGUAAUUUAUUUGUUUUUCCUAUUUUUACUAUGAGUUAUUUUCCUAAUUUUAACAAACUUGUUUUUCCAUAGAUCACUGAUUAUAGAGGGAGGAAUCAUGUUCUUCCACAACGACCCUUAACUCUAAAUUUUACUUUCUUUUAGAGAGAUUUUUAUAAAUUUUUGUUCUUAAAUAGUACUCAACAUUUCUUUGUAACGACUGAUGCCAUUUGACUCUUUAGUUACUUGGUUCCCUAACUCAUAUAGUUUAGGCGAACAAAAUUGUAACACCCCGUAUUUUCGGACUACAAUAUAGACCAUGAUUUCGAUGAGUUGAUAAUCCCGAAGCAAUAAAUCCUAUGCCUAUAUGGCAUGUUAAUUAUUUGCGUAGUAUGUGAAUCCAUUCAAGCUUGAAUUUAGAUCAUAGAGGUCCUUCAACUCAAGGACGAGUUGAAACUAUUUCGAUCGAUUAAGUUUUAGUGGACGUUGUAAAUUGUGUCAGCUUCCAUCGACCAUAACUCUCUGUAUAUGUCGAAUUAGAGAGCCUACUAUGUGUAAAAUGAUAGGUUUCCGAGUUAGCUUUCCAACGAUACCAAUUUUGCUAAAAUCCGGCACCCGAGCAAGAAGUUAUGGCCUUUUAAAGUAAUAUGUGUCGCCUAACCAAUCGCACAUGGCCACUGGAAAGCAUAGGCGAUAGCCUAGGCGGCGCCUAUGUAAACAUAGGCAAUGGCAUAGGCGAUGGCAUAGGCGGUGCCUAUGUAAAGGUUUCAAGUGACUUAAACACUCCGUUUUUGUGGAAAAAUGGUCCUUUUCCACCCUUUGUUAGCCCUAAACACGAUAUUCAGUUCCAAAGACCCCAAAAUACACCUUCAUUCAUCAAAAGUGCUCAAGGAUUCUCCUUAGGGUUUCAAAAUAAAAAUUCAAGCAACUCAAGAUUCAACCGGGGGUUUUAGAAACUAAUUGCAUAUUUGGAAUCCNNNNNNNNNNNNNNNNNNNNNNNNNNNNNNNNNNNNNNNNNNNNNNNNNNNNNNNNNNNNNNNNNNNNNNNNNNNNNNNNNNNNNNNNNNNNNNNNNNNNNNNNNNNNNNNNNNNNNNNNNNNNNNNNNNNNNNNNNNNNNNNNNNNNNNNNNNNNNNNNNNNNNNNNNNNNNNNNNNNNNNNNNNNNNNNNNNNNNNNNNNNNNNNNNNNNNNNNNNNNNNNNNNNNNNNNNNNNNNNNNNNNNNNNNNNNNNNNNNNNNNNNNNNNNNNNNNNNNNNNNNNNNNNNNNNNNNNNNNNNNNNNNNNNNNNNNNNNNNNNNNNNNNNNNNNNNNNNNNNNNNNNNNNNNNNNNNNNNNNNNNNNNNNNNNNNNNNNNNNNNNNNNNNNNNNNNNNNNNNNNNNNNNNNNNNNNNNNNNNNNNNNNNNNNNNNNNNNNNNNNNNNNNNNNNNNNNNNNNNNNNNNNNNNNNNNNNNNNNNNNNNNNNNNNNNNNNNNNNNNNNNNNNNNNNNNNNNNNNNNNNNNNNNNNNNNNNNNNNNNNNNNNNNNNNNNNNNNNNNNNNNNNNNNNNNNNNNNNNNNNNNNNNNNNNNNNNNNNNNNNNNNNNNNNNNNNNNNNNNNNNGGCCGCCGAGCACUAGAGGCGGAUUCCACAUAGCCGUGGAAUUAUGAUUGUAGGGUAUUCCACCUAGUUCAAUCGCAUUACAUUGGUAUUGAAAACUAUUACAUUAUGCCCAUGUGUUUCCAAAUAAUUUGAUAUGAAACUGCUUUAUAAUGGCUCUCACCUAUAUUGUAGAAAAAUAUUAUAUUUCUGUUUUGAUUUCUCUACAUACCAAUACUUUUGUAUUGACCCCCUCUCCUCCCAGGUUCGAAGGCACAGUUUAGGGGUCCAGACAACCAGUAGUUUCCCUCCGACAGAUCGCAAAAUCAAGUGGUGAGCCUUCUAUAUUUCGGAAGGCCUGAUGUCUGCAGUUUAAUUUAUCAUUUAUUAGUUUUGGGUCUACUGGGGCCCUUGUCCCAGUUUUUAGAUAGACAUUUGUUUUAGUCAUGUAGUAGAGAUUUCGCAGACGUUAUAGAGAUGUUGUGUUGAGAUUGUGGGACAUUAUUCCCCAUUAAUACCUUCGCAUGAUUCUUGACCAUGUUUCCGUUAUAUUGUGUAUCUUCCGCAUUUCUUUUAUCAUAUGAAUUGUGUGCAUGAUUACCAGACAGAUAGGGAUGUUUCGGGCCUCAUGGUUCGGAAUACCCGUCACGACCAGGGCCCCGGUUCGGAUGGUGACAAAAAUACUCCUUGCACAAGUUUCUGGGUGCACAAUGUGUCUGGGUGCACUAUUUGUCCUUAAGUACUAACAACAUUCUAUGUAUCAUAACAUUAUUACUUAGGCACUGAUGAAAAACAUACUAUGCAUCAUAACAUGUGAUGGGAGGGUACUAAAUUUGUUUGAUGGGAGAAAAUGUUAGAGGUGGUGAAGUGAAUGGGCCAUUAACUUCAACAGGUGAAGACGAAAGACGGGUCGUUUUUUGAGACUUGUGCAAAUCAACCAAGUCUUGCUUUAUUUUAUCUGGACUAGAAUUGUGUGGUGCAAAAAUGGUAUGUCAUGUUCUUCUAAUCAGCUAAUUUUACCAACUUAUAUUAUACGCUUGAGAAUUAUUUUUACAUGAUUAAGAUAGUUUAGGAAGAAAAGUCCAAAAUAUACUUAAACUUUAGCAAAAUUUAUUGUAACGUAUUUCAACUUUGUGGGGGUUCCUAUCAACCCUUAAAUUAUUUUUUACCGUAUUUCUGUGACAUAUAUAUGCUAGCUGAAUCAGUGCAUGAAUACACACUAUACGCAUAAGGGUUUGAAGUAUAAAAGGGGCUUUUAAUUAUUGUUUAUAAUUUAUUUGCAAUUUUGAUUUGUUUGAGGGUAUUUUUUUUGUGAAUUUUUUUUUAAUAAAAGAAUACAUAACAUUAAAUAAAUCAAGUCUUUAUAAACGUACAUUCAAUAACAAAGUUAUUCGUCUAAUCAAUCCAAACACCCCCUAAGUUGCCUUCUACUAAAGUUAUGUACACUAGCAUAGUCUACAAUUGAUUCUAGUCAUUAAUUUUUAGGAUGUUUUUCCUUUUUUUUUCUAAAUUCUAAAAAAGUAAACAACAUGUAAAGCAUGUUUGGAUUGUCUUAUUUUAAAUGUUUUUAAAUUAAAAUAGCUUUUAAACACAUUAUUUUGUGAAAUUUUCGUAAGUUUCGUGUUUUCUAGACAUGUUCUAUCUCUUUUAUUUUAAAUGUAUUUUUAUUUAGUUUAAAAUGGAGGAUUCUCUUGUUAUCUCGACGUUGUAUUUUUCUCUACCGAUUUUUCAAAUGGAAAAGUUAUUAUUAUUUCAGCAUUGUCGGCCUCUGAUGUCUACUGGUUAAUCUGAAAUGUCAUAGUCCUAUCAUUUACUUUUGGGAAAAGGCUCAAAUAUGCCACUGAACUAUCAGAAAUGACUCAUUUAUGUCAUCCGUUAAAAGUUGAGCUCAUUUAUGCCAUCGUCGUUACAAAACUGGCUCAUCCAUGCCAUUACUUUUAACACCCGAUUUUUAAAAAACUGUUUUGCCACGUGAUAGCAUAUUAGAGGUUCACAUCUUUUUUUUUUAUUUUUCUAUUUUUUAAAAAAAAAAUAUAAAACCUUUUUUAUAAUUUUUUAUUUAAUUUUUUAAAAAAAUGGUGUUGGUUACGAAGUUUAUAGAUUACAUAUUUCUGUGCCUUUAUUUAUCAAAUAACGAAUAAUAAAUUUUGCAUAUAACUAAUGUUCAUGUUUUUUUUUCGAUUCUUAUUUUUAAAAAUAAUUAUAUAUAUAUAUAUAUAUAUUUGACCAAUCUUCUAGGUAUUUAUUUAUACAUGAACCCAAAAUAUUCAAACCUGAAAUUCUAGUUCAUCAUAACCAUUGCUAGUCCUUAUAUGCAAUGAUAAUAAAGGACGGAACCGUAUUCUUGUCAUAUUUUGCAAAAUGAAAAAGGUGACCAUAUUAAAAUGAUUAAUUCAAAGACCUUAAAUGGUUAAUCCUUCUUAACACUUUGAUCGUAGGUGUAUUUGACACAAAAAACAGCAACAACAACAAGAGAUAGUCAACAAUAUGAUAGGAAGAAACAACACUUUGAUAACAAGAACCAACGGUUACAAGAUUACAAGAACAACAAUAACCAAUGGUUCACUAGACAGCACAAAGUCACAAACUAAAACAUGACAUAUAAAGAUAGAAAGUGAGACAUACACUACAAUAAGAUCCAAGAACCCAUAGACAUAUUCCAUCUAAGGACCCCUAGAACUUACAAUAGCAACACUACACUCUUACGAAGACACGAGAGGGAUUCCACCGCUCAAGCAUCAAUGUUUCCAAGCAAUACACAUUCACAAGUGUUUCCACACUUGUCAUGCCCUAGUUUUCGUCCUACAGAGCCUUCUCUCAAGUGUUCUUACAAUAAUAAGCAAAAUGACAAAAGUGCCCCUUAGUAUUAAAUGAACAAAAUGGCUCCCAUGGAGUGCAAUAGAGGGACGACUUUUGAGCCCUUUUCACACUCCAACUCGUACACUCCAUAGGUUGCAUUCAACAUGAUACGGGUACAACUACGAGGAUGCAUGUUUGUGAGAUUUAUUGAACCCGAGACUUGGAGUGUGAAGGUGAUGUGCAAAUGAGGACUUAAAAAGGGUCCAAAACCGUCCAUAUAAUGCUCUCCAAGGGGCACCCACUUGAAGACUUGAGACUAACGGGUCAUUUUGGACAUUUCACACCUUGUCUGUAAACUACUAUAUAAGGAACCUUUUAGGUCAUUUGUUAGGAUACUUUACUGAAUAUGGAUGUUGUAUAACACUUAGAAAAAUUUCCUCUCUAAGGAGAUAAGACCACAAAUCUGAAACUUGUAACUAGGGAAAUCAACUUUAGUGUGGAAUCACUCGUGUUGGAUUCAAGCUUGGAAACGUUGGAUGCUUAGGAGAUCAAAGUCACUCUUGUACCAACAUAAGAUAUAGUUUUGUGUUGUGUGUUGUAUUAAAGGUCCAAGAGUGUAACAAGUCUUGGGUUGUUAAUAUUAUUCCCUCAUUUGGUCUAUCUACCUAUCUUUAUCUUAUUGCACUUUGUAGAUUCAUAGUAGACUGUUUUUGUGGCUUGUUGAAUCUAAAUUUUGUAACCAUUGUGUUCAUCUUGUUCAUCUUAUAUUGUGUCUGUUUUGAUGUUGAAAACAUACCUCUUUAUCUUGUUAUUGUGUUGUUGAUAGCGAAUUCGAGAGUGGUCUUCAAAAGGGUCCUCAAAUCCUUAAGAUUAGAGGACUAUUUUGGAGUUGUUUUCUAUUCUCUUGUCUUUCUCGUAUCAUUUGGUAUCAGAUCAUGGCUUGAUAUUGUUCCUACAAGAUCAAUCUUGGGCUUGCUUGAUAGAAAAAAAGUGUUAGAAAACUGAAAAAUUAAAAAGAAGCAAAUCUGUCCAUUUUGUGUUCUUGGCCAAAAUAGUGUUGUUGUUGUAUAUUGGCCGAGAUUUUUACUUGUUUUGUUGUUUAUAGUGUUAGUUUUAUUCAUAUAUAAUACUCUUGUGUCUAAAUCUAAUUUUGAGCUUACAUUGUUGGUGUUGUUUUCGUGAACUUGAACUUGGCCGAUUUGUUGUUGAACAUUGCUGUGGUGGACUGUUUUGGCCUUGUGGCCUUCAUCAACACGUGAUAUUGUUGUUCAUUGGUGGCCUAAGAACUAUUUUGUUGAAGUUGUAGUUGUCUUGUCCAAGUAUUGAAGAUAGUGUAUUGUGAAAAUUGGAAGUUGGCCGUGUGAAAUUGUUGGUGUUCUUGGAGAAUUGUUGUUGGUUGUUCUUGGUGAUUGUUGAUUUUGUACUUGAAGUUCUUCACAACCUUCAUAUCUUGUUAAAAUAAAGUGAACCUUAGAUCUAUAAAGGUGAAGGAAAAAAGGUGAAUCUUUGUUAGCCUUGAUAGACUUACCAUCACUCAUCAACUAGUCAAUCACAUCUCAACCACUUUCCAAUAACUUUCCAUGAUUCAAGGACCCAUGUUUUAAGGAGAAGUACAAGUAAUGUCAAAGUUUUGAAACUUGCAAUUGAAAAGGGCUCCAUGACUUGUUUGAAUUUCCCUCUUUAAACAAAUUCCACCAAUUCCUAAAUUGUAAAUUGACCAAAAAUUGAAAUUGGACAACAAAAAUUGUUAGAAACCGCAACCAAUUACGUACUGCCACGUUAUCCUUGUCACUGUUCACACAACAAUUUUGGCUCAAAUUUCAGAUUUUCUUAGUUUCUUUUUACUGUUCUGUAGUUUCGUUUGAUUGGUACGAACGCUAAUUGACAAGCUAGUAAACUCCUACUAGAUAUUAAAUUAGUUUGUGUUCGUUUGUUCGUGUUUACGUUUGUUGUGUACUUUUAUCUUUUUGAAUUCGUUGUUAGUUCUUGACUCAAUUCCAACAAGAUUUCGUUUGAGUUUCAAACAAAAAUCCAUUUCGGGACAAGAGUAGACUCGACACUCAAUCACUCACGAAGUAUAAGUCGGAUUUCAACACUUGUGAAACCAAGUGUGAAGUAAAACCGAGAGUGAGAGUGUGGUGAGGCAUUUUUGAUCUAACAAGUUUGUUUAUUUUCUUUGUUUGUUGAGUUUUUUUGUUAGGUACAAUGACUGCCCAUAAUUUCAAUGCCACAUGUGAUCGUAUCAAUGACAAUAUUGAAGAUAUGAAACAGCACAUUGAAAUUAUACGCCAAUUGCUACCCAAACUCUACUCACAAAAUCCAAUUGUCCAAGCACCUUGCGUUGAGAGCUUCCUGGAGGAAGUUGCUGCUCAAAUUGUGAGUAAAACUUGCCCACCACUUGAGGAUAUGUGUGAUGUGAUUAAUAAAUCUCAAGUGAGUGAAGGAUUUAAAGAUGUUGGCCAAGAAAAAAGGAGUGAACCUAUCAGCUUAUGUUGUUGUAAAGAUGCUAAUGUUUGUUUGGCUCAUAGGGUUAAUCAUGUGCUUGACAUAUCUUUGAAACUUGAUAAUGAUUCCUUAAAGAGUGAAAGUUCCAAAUCUAUCCGCGGAUUAGAUCAUUCACUCUUUAGGCACAAUGUCUUGUUUGAAGAUAGUUUAUUUACUCCUAAUGAACCUAGUGGUGCUAGUGAUGUUGACGGCAUGGCUUGUCUUGAAAGCUAUAGCCUAUAUUAGGGCUGUCAAGUGGGCCGGGCUGGGCCAACCCGGAACCGGCCCGUGUUAUUUAACCGGGUUGAGGGCUGGGACGGGGCCGGGUUGGGGUCUAAGUCGGUUGGACCGGGCCGGGCACAAUAGUAAAAAAAUCAAAAACCACCCUAACCCAGCCGACUUAACCCAACCCGGUCAAACCCAUCUAAACCCGGUCAAACCCGUUUAAAAAAUCGGUCAAACCCGGUCAAAAAUAUAAGAAAAAACAUUUUUUCAAUAUACAUUAUAUAUACCCACCUAUAUACAUUAUAAAUACGUUAAACAAUAUAUAUACACUAUAUAUAUAGUAUAUACUACAGUAGAAUUUAAAAAAUAUAUACACAUAUACAUAAUUACACAUAUAUACGCACCAUCCAAAUAUAUAUGUACUACUUUAAACUUUAAAGUUCAAAUAAAAUNNNNNNNNNNNNNNNNNNNNNNNNNNNNNNNNNNNNNNNNNNNNNNNNNNNNNNNNNNNNNNNNNNNNNNNNNNNNNNNNNNNNNNNNNNNNNNNNNNNNNNNNNNNNNNNNNNNNNNNNNNNNNNNNNNNNNNNNNNNNNNNNNNNNNNNNNNNNNNNNNNNNNNNNNNNNNNNNNNNNNNNNNNNNNNNNNNNNNNNNNNNNNNNNNNNNNNNNNNNNNNNNNNNNNNNNNNNNNNNNNNNNNNNNNNNNNNNNNNNNNNNNNNNNNNNNNNNNNNNNNNNNNNNNNNNNNNNNNNNNNNNNNNNNNNNNNNNNNNNNNNNNNNNNNNNNNNNNNNNNNNNNNNNNNNNNNNNNNNNNNNNNNNNNNNNNNNNNNNNNNNNNNNNNNNNNNNNNNNNNNNNNNNNNNNNNNNNNNNNNNNNNNNNNNNNNNNNNNNNNNNNNNNNNNNNNNNNNNNNNNNNNNNNNNNNNNNNNNNNNNNNNNNNNNNNNNNNNNNNNNNNNNNNNNNNNNNNNNNNNNNNNNNNNNNNNNNNNNNNNNNNNNNNNNNNNNNNNNNNNNNNNNNNNNNNNNNNNNNNNNNNNNNNNNNNNNNNNNNNNNNNNNNNNNNNNNNNNNNNNNNNNNNNNNNNNNNNNNNNNNNNNNNNNNNNNNNNNNNNNNNNNNNNNNNNNNNNNNNNNNNNNNNNNNNNNNNNNNNNNNNNNNNNNNNNNNNNNNNNNNNNNNNNNNNNNNNNNNNNNNNNNNNNNNNNNNNNNNNNNNNNNNNNNNNNNNNNNNNNNNNNNNNNNNNNNNNNNNNNNNNNNNNNNNNNNNNNNNNNNNNNNNNNNNNNNNNNNNNNNNNNNNNNNNNNNNNNNNNNNNNNNNNNNNNNNNNNNNNNNNNNNNNNNNNNNNNNNNNNNNNNNNNNNNNNNNNNNNNNNNNNNNNNNNNNNNNNNNNNNNNNNNNNNNNNNNNNNNNNNNNNNNNNNNNNNNNNNNNNNNNNNNNNNNNNNNNNNNNNNNNNNNNNNNNNNNNNNNNNNNNNNNNNNNNNNNNNNNNNNNNNNNNNNNNNNNNNNNNNNNNNNNNNNNNNNNNNNNNNNNNNNNNNNNNNNNNNNNNNNNNNNNNNNNNNNNNNNNNNNNNNNNNNNNNNNNNNNNNNNNNNNNNNNNNNNNNNNNNNNNNNNNNNNNNNNNNNNNNNNNNNNNNNNNNNNNNNNNNNNNNNNNNNNNNNNNNNNNNNNNNNNNNNNNNNNNNNNNNNNNNNNNNNNNNNNNNNNNNNNNNNNNNNNNNNNNNNNNNNNNNNNNNNNNNNNNNNNNNNNNNNNNNNNNNNNNNNNNNNNNNNNNNNNNNNNNNNNNNNNNNNNNNNNNNNNNNNNNNNNNNNNNNNNNNNNNNNNNNNNNNNNNNNNNNNNNNNNNNNNNNNNNNNNNNNNNNNNNNNNNNNNNNNNNNNNNNNNNNNNNNNNNNNNNNNNNNNNNNNNNNNNNNNNNNNNNNNNNNNNNNNNNNNNNNNNNNNNNNNNNNNNNNNNNNNNNNNNNNNNNNNNNNNNNNNNNNNNNNNNNNNNNNNNNNNNNNNNNNNNNNNNNNNNNNNNNNNNNNNNNNNNNNNNNNNNNNNNNNNNNNNNNNNNNNNNNNNNNNNNNNNNNNNNNNNNNNNNNNNNNNNNNNNNNNNNNNNNNNNNNNNNNNNNNNNNNNNNNNNNNNNNNNNNNNNNNNNNNNNNNNNNNNNNNNNNNNNNNNNNNNNNNNNNNNNNNNNNNNNNNNNNNNNNNNNNNNNNNNNNNNNNNNNNNNNNNNNNNNNNNNNNNNNNNNNNNNNNNNNNNNNNNNNNNNNNNNNNNNNNNNNNNNNNNNNNNNNNNNNNNNNNNNNNNNNNNNNNNNNNNNNNNNNNNNNNNNNNNNNNNNNNNNNNNNNNNNNNNNNNNNNNNNNNNNNNNNNNNNNNNNNNNNNNNNNNNNNNNNNNNNNNNNNNNNNNNNNNNNNNNNNNNNNNNNNNNNNNNNNNNNNNNNNNNNNNNNNNNNNNNNNNNNNNNNNNNNNNNNNNNNNNNNNNNNNNNNNNNNNNNNNNNNNNNNNNNNNNNNNNNNNNNNNNNNNNNNNNNNNNNNNNNNNNNNNNNNNNNNNNNNNNNNNNNNNNNNNNNNNNNNNNNNNNNNNNNNNNNNNNNNNNNNNNNNNNNNNNNNNNNNNNNNNNNNNNNNNNNNNNNNNNNNNNNNNNNNNNNNNNNNNNNNNNNNNNNNNNNNNNNNNNNNNNNNNNNNNNNNNNNNNNNNNNNNNNNNNNNNNNNNNNNNNNNNNNNNNNNNNNNNNNNNNNNNNNNNNNNNNNNNNNNNNNNNNNNNNNNNNNNNNNNNNNNNNNNNNNNNNNNNNNNNNNNNNNNNNNNNNNNNNNNNNNNNNNNNNNNNNNNNNNNNNNNNNNNNNNNNNNNNNNNNNNNNNNNNNNNNNNNNNNNNNNNNNNNNNNNNNNNNNNNNNNNNNNNNNNNNNNNNNNNNNNNNNNNNNNNNNNNNNNNNNNNNNNNNNNNNNNNNNNNNNNNNNNNNNNNNNNNNNNNNNNNNNNNNNNNNNNNNNNNNNNNNNNNNNNNNNNNNNNNNNNNNNNNNNNNNNNNNNNNNNNNNNNNNNNNNNNNNNNNNNNNNNNNNNNNNNNNNNNNNNNNNNNNNNNNNNNNNNNNNNNNNNNNNNNNNNNNNNNNNNNNNNNNNNNNNNNNNNNNNNNNNNNNNNNNNNNNNNNNNNNNNNNNNNNNNNNNNNNNNNNNNNNNNNNNNNNNNNNNNNNNNNNNNNNNNNNNNNNNNNNNNNNNNNNNNNNNNNNNNNNNNNNNNNNNNNNNNNNNNNNNNNNNNNNNNNNNNNNNNNNNNNNNNNNNNNNNNNNNNNNNNNNNNNNNNNNNNNNNNNNNNNNNNNNNNNNNNNNNNNNNNNNNNNNNNNNNNNNNNNNNNNNNNNNNNNNNNNNNNNNNNNNNNNNNNNNNNNNNNNNNNNNNNNNNNNNNNNNNNNNNNNNNNNNNNNNNNNNNNNNNNNNNNNNNNNNNNNNNNNNNNNNNNNNNNNNNNNNNNNNNNNNNNNNNNNNNNNNNNNNNNNNNNNNNNNNNNNNNNNNNNNNNNNNNNNNNNNNNNNNNNNNNNNNNNNNNNNNNNNNNNNNNNNNNNNNNNNNNNNNNNNNNNNNNNNNNNNNNNNNNNNNNNNNNNNNNNNNNNNNNNNNNNNNNNNNNNNNNNNNNNNNNNNNNNNNNNNNNNNNNNNNNNNNNNNNNNNNNNNNNNNNNNNNNNNNNNNNNNNNNNNNNNNNNNNNNNNNNNNNNNNNNNNNNNNNNNNNNNNNNNNNNNNNNNNNNNNNNNNNNNNNNNNNNNNNNNNNNNNNNNNNNNNNNNNNNNNNNNNNNNNNNNNNNNNNNNNNNNNNNNNNNNNNNNNNNNNNNNNNNNNNNNNNNNNNNNNNNNNNNNNNNNNNNNNNNNNNNNNNNNNNNNNNNNNNNNNNNNNNNNNNNNNNNNNNNNNNNNNNNNNNNNNNNNNNNNNNNNNNNNNNNNNNNNNNNNNNNNNNNNNNNNNNNNNNNNNNNNNNNNNNNNNNNNNNNNNNNNNNNNNNNNNNNNNNNNNNNNNNNNNNNNNNNNNNNNNNNNNNNNNNNNNNNNNNNNNNNNNNNNNNNNNNNNNNNNNNNNNNNNNNNNNNNNNNNNNNNNNNNNNNNNNNNNNNNNNNNNNNNNNNNNNNNNUUUCUUUUUUUUUUUUAAUUUUUUCAGGCCGGGCCGGUUAACCGACGGGCCUGGACCAAGGGUUAGCCGAUUUUAACAAAAUAAUCGGCCUGGGACCCGGAACCCUAAAGCCCUAGGGCUUACCGGGCCGGGGCAAACCGGGCCUAGUUAGUUAAUUUUUUCAGGCCGGGCCGGUUAACCGACGGGCCUGGACCAAGGGUUAGCCGAUUUUAACAAAAUAAUCGGCCUGGGACCCGGAACCCUAAAGCCCUAGGGCUUACCGGGCCGGGUCAAACCGGGCCUAGUUAGGUACGAGGGCCGGGUCGGCCGGCCCACUUGACACCCCUAGCCUAUAUGCUAACCCAAUAUGGUGUGACAAUAUUCCUCCUCAAGAUGGAAAUCUCUUCUUGAAAGAUGAGAGUACUCUUAAGGGUAGGGAAUGUGUAGUCUUGAAAAGGAAUAGUCAAUCGGGUGAAGAUGACCAUGAUUUUCUUGAUUACUUGGGAAACCCGAAAUGUGAUUGUUCUUGUAAAAAUGUUUUUAUGAAUGAUUCAUUUUCUGCCCAUGGUGAUUUAUAUCUAUGUGGGGAUUAUUCUCUUGAAAUAAAAGGUGGUGCAUGCUUAGAAAUUCCAUCUACUUCUUCUUUAUGUGUUCCCUAUGUUAAGCAUACUAGUGGUGAUGGGCUUGAAGCUAGUGAGUACAUGCAUAAGGACACCCCUAUAAUGCCGAAGAAAGCAAUCAAGUUGAUAGAGGCCACUUGUAGAUGCUAUUUGUGGUCUGGGGAAGCUACAAUAACAAGGAAUUCUACGGUGGCAUUAGAGAAAAUCUGCCUAUAGAACUAUGGAACCUAGCUGCAAUCUGUAAGUUGCUUUGGGCUGUGAGUCUACACACAGAGAAGCUAUGGAUUGCUAGGGUUGACACGCUAUAUAAAGAGGCAAAAUAUAAACACUGGAAUGCACUGGGGGACAUCAGCAAGCUAGUUCAUAAGAACAAACAAGUGUAGGAGUGAUUCAUAAAAUUCCUUUUAUAGCCAAAAAAAAAAAAAAUACAUUCUUCUCAUCAAUACAAUUAUUUAUCAAACAUUUUCAGCAAAAGAAGUUAUUCUGAACAAGAAUUGCCAAGAGCAUGUUCAACAUGCGAGAAGUUGAAUUCUGAUCUUUUGUAGCAUCCCUACAACAUCUUUCAUGUUUGUCCGUCUUGCUGGAGAUUCAGCACAGCAAUCUAGUGCCACUUUCAUGAUUGAUGUUACACAAUCUAACUUCUUCUUCAUGUGAUUAUCCAUCGCUGAAACCAAGUUGGAAUCCGCAACAUCCAUUACUGAAUCAGGAAGUGAAUAACUCACCCAGUGCUUCAAGCUAAGAUCUCCCUCAAACUCACUAGGCUUUCUCCUAGUAAACGCUUCCAGCAACAUGAUUACAUAACUAUACACGUCACAUUUAGUAGACACCAAUCCAUCUUGUCCAUACUCUACAAUCAAAAAAUUAUUAAAAGAUGUAACAUGAUAACUUGGUGGAAAAAGAGAAAGAGGAAAGAAAUGUGCAAAGCAAAAUCAAGAGACGUGCCUGGUGCAAUAUAACCCAAUGUUGCUAAUGUUUUUGUGUAUAAAUCACUCUCAUCUUCACCAAGAAGUUUUGAAAUGCCAAAGUCGCUUAGAUGUGCAACCAUAUCCUCAUCCAGCAAAACGUUACUAGGCUUUACGUCACAGUGAAUCACAGGCGAUGAGCACCCAUGGUGAAGAUAUUCCAAAGCACAUGCCACAUCUAUCAUUAUGCUUAGUCUCUGCUUGAUGUCGAGGAUGUAUUUGUGCUAAUACAAAUACUUCUCAAGACUCCCAUUAGGCAUAUAAUCGAGAACUAAAGCCUUGAAAUCAAGAUUGGAACAACUACUAAUGACUUUUACGAGAUUUCUAUGACGAAGGCUGCGCAAAACUUCACAUUCCGUAUCAAAACUCUUGAAUGCCGCAUCUAAUUGCAAAUUGAACACUUUAACUGCAAUGGCAGUUCCACUUCUGAGAACGCCUUUGUAAACAGAGCCAAAACUUCCAGAACCAAUCAAAUUACACUCGCUAAGCGCAUCAGUUGCUUCGAGCAAUUCAUAGUAUGAAAUUCUUUCUGCUUCAUUUUCAAUGAAAAACAGACUCGAGAGGUUCUUGAAAGGACCCCCUGAGGGUAUUUCACCAUACAAUUUGUUGAUAGAAACAUUGAAAUACUUCAGGUUUUGAAGUUUCUCCAAAGACUUGGGAAUAGUUCCUGAUUUGUUAUUAUGAGAAAGGUCUAGGAAUUCCAAACCUACCAAGUUGCUGACUGAGUCAGGUAUAGAUCCUUGCAACUUGUUGUGUCUCAAAGAAAGGUACACCAAAUUUUGCAAUCCUCCAAUUUCUCUAGGAAUUCCAUUUGAGAAUUGAUUCAUCGAUAGAUCCAUCUUUGUUACAACCUUUAGAUUUCCAAUUUCUGGAGGUAAAGAACCCACCAUGNNNNNNNNNNNNNNNNNNNNNNNNNNNNNNNNNNNNNNNNNNNNNNNNNNNNNNNNNNNNNNNNNNNNNNNNNNNNNNNNNNNNNNNNNNNNNNNNNNNNNNNNNNNNNNNNNNNNNNNNNNNNNNNNNNNNNNNNNNNNNNNNNNNNNNNNNNNNNNNNNNNNNNNNNNNNNNNNNNNNNNNNNNNNNNNNNNNNNNNNNNNNNNNNNNNNNNNNNNNNNNNNNNNNNNNNNNNNNNNNNAAGGUUUCUCAAUUUUCCAACUGCUGUGGGAAUCGAUCCAACCAAAUUGUUUUCAGAAAUAUCAAGGAACAAUAAGCUGCUUAGGUUCCCAAUUUCAUUUGGAAUUCGCCCUUUGAUUUUACAACUUUUGGCGUGAAACUUUAAAAGAGAUGUGGAAAGGUUCCCCAUGGAGGCAGGAAGCAUGCCGUUUAGAGGGUUGAAAGAUAGAGAAAGAACUGUUAAAUUUCUGCAAUUGUUUAAGGAAGUCAGAAAGCUUAACAAUGAGUCGCUGGUUAAAUUAUUUCCCACCAAGUUUAGGAUUUGUAGAUGAGUCAAAUAUCCAAGAGAAUUGGGAAUCAAGCCAGUGAGUUGGUUGUUACCAAGCUCUAGAAUAGUAAGUUUUGAACAAUUGGAGAUGGAAUGAGGAAUAGUCCCAACAAGAUUGGUUAAGUUCCACAGAUAAAGCUUUUCAAUGUUGAGUAAGAUAGAACACAUGAUUGGUGGGAGGCUUCCUGAUAUAUUGUUCAUUGAAAGCUCAAUUGUUCUCAGCCCGGAUAUGUUGAAGACCUCCAUUGGGAGUGAACCACUAAAACUAUUAAACUCAAGAGCAAGUACCUCCAACUCAAUGAGAUUGCUUAUCUCUUUGGGUAUUUCACCUGGAAACACAUAGUGGAUUACUAGUGAGUUUAAAUAGUUGGUUCAAUCUAUUUUUGCUAAUAUAUAAGAAUUUCGUCUUGUUUAAGUUGUCUCAAUCUCUCGUGGUAAGAAUCCACUAAGAUUUUAACUUUUAUGUUGUUGGUUAUACGAAAGUAUUAAGAGAAAAAAGAAAAAAAAGAAGUAUAGAAGAGAGCCAUUAAUUUGGCUUCUCUCCAUGCCUAAUACCACCAAACUUAGAUACCUCAAUUAAUGCAAUUACUGUGGAAUAAGAUAAUUCUGAAGUGUGAUAAUCUCAAUUAUCUUAGAAGAAGAAGAGGAAUUUUAUAACUGCUUCUAGUCUUUACAAAGAGGAAUUGUAGGAAUAACUAACUUGUUCUAGAACAUUCUUGUGUGCCAGCUCACUACACACUAACAACCAACUAACUAUCAAUCUGCCAGCUCAUCUAACUAACUGAGCAACAACUUGCUGCAGUGGAUUAAUAAAACAAAAAAAAUAGAAUGAAUGGAGCUGUAGAUAGACAUAAUGAAAUAUAAUCCUCAAGAACAUGAAGCAAUUAGAUAAAAACAUACCUGUUGAAUCAUUUUCUGAUAAAGACAAUACUUGAAGUUGUGAACAAUUUGAUAAGCUUGCAGGCAUAUGACCGUGAAACUUGUUUUUGGACAAAUAAAGCCCUUUGAGUAUUGGGAUACCAUUGCAUAAACCAUUGGGAAGAUUUCCUGAUAAGCUAUUGCCUGUAAAUGCAAUGACUUCGAUUCUUGAGAUAUUGAAAAUUGUGAAUGGUAUAGACCCCGUAAGUUGAUUAGCUUGUAUGACCAACAACUUCAUGUUGUGAAGAUUGCCGAUCCCUUCUGGAAUAUUCCCUUGAAGUGAAUUAAAAGAUAUAUCUAAAGUCUCCAAUCUCGAGGCAUUCAUGAGUGACAGAGGAAUAGAACCUAUGAGCUUGUUACCUCGCAACCUUAAUUCUCUAAGGUUUAUAAGACUUCCAAUCACUUUUGGUAUUUGUCCCUCAAUGGAAUUGAAAUUCAGAUUCAAAGUCUCAAGUGUGGACAUGUUAGAAAAUGAAGAAGGGAUGGAACCAGUGAAACUAUUAUUUCUAAUAUUAAUAACUUGAAGUUGAUGUAAAAAUCCAAACCAAGAAGGAAUCGCCCCUCUGAAGUUGUUGAAACUUAAAUCAAGAAACUUAAGCCGACGCAAGAGUGCCAUUUAUUGAGGCAAAUUUCCCUGGAAAUUGUUGCUUUCCAAGUCAAGAGAAACAAGAAAUGUGAGGUUUCCAAAUUCUCCGGUAAUCCUACCUGUAAGAGCCACGUUAGAAAGAUUCAAGGACUUCACUCGCUGAUGGCGAGAACCACAAGUGACUCCCACCCAAUGACAAAGAGAUGUAGCGGGAGACCAACUUUCAUCCAAGAAGUGAGAGGGGUCUGAAACGAUUUGGGAUUUCAAAGCGAGAAGAGCCAAUUGAUCAGUGGUAAUGUUGGUUUGGGUCAUGGCCGAACUAGCCAUAACAUAAUGAAACAGCGAGAGUACUAUUAAGAGAAAAGAACUGAAAGUUUUCUCCAUAAUGGCAUAAAUUGGUAGGAAUAUGGAUAUGGCUAGUAAUGAUGUUGGUUUGAAACUUUAAAUAGUAAAGAGAACUCUUGCUCUUUCUUUUCAUUCAAACAUCUUUUAAAAGAAAAAGGAAAAGUUUUCCUUUCUUUAUGUCAUCUCAAGAAUAAUAAUACAACUAAAGAAAGAAAUAUAACUCGCAUUGACUCGAAAAGGAGUCUUCCGCUAACUUUUAUAACAGUAGGUAAGAUGUUCAAUAACACAGAAAGAAUGAAUUCUGUACAUAUUUAACAAACAAAAUUUAAAUAUUUGACAAAGACUAUAAAUGUUACCAUUUUACAAACUUAAAGGACCAAAGCUAUUAAAUACAUGCUUAAGAGACCAUAUUGAAUCUACCACUAAACAUUAGAUACCAUUUGCGUUAUUUUAUCCGAACUUAUAUAACAAAUGUGAGGAUGCAAUAACACAGCAAGAAUGAAUUGAAUUAAUAUUAGAGAUAAAGCAUCCAGUACCUCCGAACUAUGGUCAAAGUUUCUACGACACACUUCAACUUCACAGUCACAGGGUCCUAUUACCCCUGAAAUUAGUUUUAGCUUAUUUUUGUCACCCUUUUGUGCUGACGUGACACCUUUAUUACAUAAAAUGAGACUAACGUCAAAGGUGCCACAUCAGCUAAAAAGGCUGAAAAAAGGUGCCACGUCAGUUAAAAUGAUUGACAAAAAUACGCUAAAAUUUAGUUUGCGGGGUAAUAGGACCCCGUAAAGUUGGAAUGUGUCGUAGCAAAUUUGUUCGUAGUUCAGGGUUACUAGAUGCUUUACUCUUAAUAUUACAAUGAAUUUGUAAGAAAGAUGUUCAUGUUUUAAAUGUCUCUUCCUUGCUAAAGUUACCAAUAAUUUCAAUAUUACAAUGACUUUAUAAGAAAGAUAUUCACGUUUAAAAUGAUUCUUUCUUUGAUGAAGUACCAAUAAUUUCCCUUCUUACACCUGUACUGGGGACAAGAAAUAAAAUUGUUGGCUCCAAAGAAAAAUUAUAAAAAGGAAACGUAAGGGACAGAUAUGAAAUUCACACUUUGAAUACAUUUUCUUGAUUGGAGUAUUAUUUUUGAUUUACAUCAUAACAAUAGUGACUUAGUUUUUGGCAAACAAAAAUCUAACAAGUGUCAGCUAUGGGGUUCAUUGGGAUUUGUAUCUUUCGAUCCCAUAUCAACAUAUCAACAACUUUUUAUGUUUGAAACCAUAAUUUGAUAUUUCAAUGUGUUCAAAUUGAAAAAGCUACUAAUAUAACAGCCAAUGUUACAUACUUUUUUCAUUUUCCAGAAGAGAACCCUGGCUGUUACUUCGAGGUAAUUACCAUCAGCCAACUUGACCUUUCAUGGUAAUAUUCGGACUUCCCACAUUCGUAUCAGCAAUCGAAGACUAUCGGUUUUCCUUCAUGAAUCUGCCUACGGGCACAUUUUCCUGUAUGAAGAAACAACAGGUUCGCCUGUUCUGGCAUGUCAGAAGCAGACGUAGGGUAUGGACCUCCUAGAACGAAUAGGAUCUAGAGCAUAGUACUAUUAAUGUAGCUUGGUGGAAAAAGAGAAAGAGGAAAGAAAUGUGCAAAGCAAAAUCAAGAGACGUGCCUGGUGCAAUAUAAUCAAGAGGUAGCUUCUGUUGUAAAAUGUGUCCUAAAAAAGUACUAACGUUAUUUUUUUCCAAAUCGUCAAGGUCAUUUCCAGUUUCAUCAUCACGGUGCUGCUUCAUACAUGGUUCUAUUGUUUUGCAAAUUUUGAUCUUCCCAUAAAAUGGUCAGCCACCCUUCUUCUAGAAAUGGACCUUGGGCCUAACUCAACCUCAAAAGCUAGCUCAUGAGGGAAGGAUUGCCCAAGACCAUAUAAGGAGACCAAGGAACCUUUAACCCACCGAUGUGGGACUCCAACACCAAUGGCUUUCUGUUUUCUCUGGAUGCGAAACUCAUUGCAUUUCCCAUACAGGGGUAGAGGUUAUAGAACAUGCAACAUUUAAACUAACUAUCGAUCGACAACAUUCUGAACUUGAGUGCACCUGAAAAGAAAUUGAAUGAACUGGAUGAACUAACACUAUAGUUCGACUGUUCCGCACUAGUGGGCCACCUUGAAUCUAGAGGGUUCACCCCCUUCAACGGAAAAUUAUACUAUUUUGAUACAUUUUUUUUUUAUACAAGAAAGACAAGGAACACACGAAAACACACUCCAAAAACAGUCCACUAGUUCAAGAACUGAGGACCCUUUUGAAGACCCUCUCAGAUUCAACAAACAACAACAAGAACACAAUAUAUUGUGGUGUUUAACACCUAAAAACAACCAACCAACAUACUAACAAGAUGGAUAACAAGAUGGAACAACAACAAGAAGAAGUUACGGGUUCACUAGAAACAAGAGGAACGAUUACAAGUUACAAACACUAACAAGAUUACAAUAAAAGAAACAAGGGAUAGAUAGAUCGACUACACGAAGAUGUAAUCUUAAAAACCUAAAAGCCCAUUCCACUCUUGGACCUUUAACAAUACACGCAACGAUUCACCUAUCUCUUACAUGACACGAGAUAAGAUUCCACCUCUCAAGCGCCAACAUUUUCAUACAAGAAUUUUUAAGGGAAAAGGUUCAAAUAUGUCAUCAAACUUUGAGAAAAAACUCAUUUAUACUAUCCGUUUAAAGUUUGGCUCAUUCAUGCCAUUGUCAUUACAAAAAAACUCAUUCAUGACAUUUUUUCUAACAGUCUAGUUUAAUGAUUUUUGGCAAUAUCAUUUUGUACACGUGGCCAGUAAAAAAAUUUUCACGUCAUUUACGAGUCAAAAAAAAUUUAAGGAAAAAGACUCAAAUAUGUCAUUGAACUAUCUGAAAUGACUCAUUUAUGCCAUUAGUUAAAAGUUCGGCUCAUUCAUGUCAUCGCUGUUACAAAAUCAGCUCGGUGAUGUCAUUACUUUUUAACAAUGGGUUUUCAAAAACAUCUUUGUCACGUGUCCUUUUAUUAGAGGUCCACUUCAUUAAUUAAAAUAAAUCAAUAUUAAUUUCAAAAUUAAAAAGAGCUGGUCUAUUUUAACAUAACGCGACCCAUACCAAUUCUACAACAACAAUAAUUUUUUCGGUAAGAAAAAUAGUGAUUAAUGUAUAUUCUUUGGUUGUUUCUUAUUGAUUCUAAAUCAUUAUAAAUGUUAUGCUUAACAGAAGCCUCAAAAGUUCUAUCCUACAAUAACUUUUUUUUUAUCCAACAGUAACUGAUUAUUUGACAUUCAAGUAACUCUAAUACAUACUUCGGAGUUGCAAAAAAAGAAGCUAAUGAACGAUUAUGUCAAGCAAGAAAAAGAAUGAGACAUACCAAUAGAACUUUUCCAUUUUGCCAUCACAAAUUAGGGGAGCAUAUAUUGUUGAAAAAUCAUUUUCAAAUAACAGCUUAGAAAAAGUCCGCCAUCCUAAUUAUUCCAUCAUGUACAUAAGAUAACUUAUCUCAUCACUAUGGUAUAAAUGGUGGGAUAAAUAAUUCCGAUACUAACUAAUUUCAGAUAUUUUGAAAUUAAUAUUAAUUUAUUUUAAUUAAUGACGUGGACCUCUAAUAAAAGAUCCCGUGACAAAACUGUUUUUAAAAAUACACCGUUAAAAGUAAUUGCAUGAAUGAAUUGGUUUUAUAACGGCGAUGACAUGAAUGAACCGAUCUUUCAACUGAUGAUAUAAAUGAGUCAUUUCUGAUAGAUCAAUGGUAUAUUUUAACCUUUUACCCUAUUUUAAUUAAUGACAUGGACCUCUAAUAAAAGGCCACGUGGAAAAGCUGUUUCUGAAAAUCCACCAUUAAAAAGUAAUGGCAUGGAUGAGCUGGUUUUUAAUGGCGAUGCCAUGAAUGUGUCACGACCCGAACCAGGGCCGGGCCGUGACGAGCAUUUUGAACCUUUGAGGCCCGAAACACCCCUAUCUGUCUGGUAAUCAUGCAUCUAAUUCAUAUGAUCAAAGUAAUGCGGAAGAAACACAAUAUGACGGAAACAUGGUCAAGAAUCAUAUGAAAAUAAUAAUCGGGAAUAAUGUCCCACAAUCUCAAUCAACAUUUCAAAAAUCGUCUGCGAAAUCUCUACUACAUGACUGAAAUAAGUAACUAUCUGAAAACUGGGACAAGGCCCCCAGUAGACCCAAAAAAAAACUUAAUAUAAGAUAAAAGGACUGCAGGACUUAAGACCUUCCGAAACAUAGAAGGCUCACCACUUGUCUCUACAGCUCUGUCUGAAAGUUCUACUGAUUCUCUUGACCCUUAGAUUGGGCCUCUGAACCUGAGAGGUUGGAGAGGGGAGGGGGUCAGCACAAAAGUACUGGCACGCAGAGAUAUCACAACAAAACAUAAUAUUGUUACAAAGUAUAGUUGAGAGCCAUUAUAAAGCAAUUUCGUAUCAAAUCACUUGAAAGCACAUGGGUGUAAUGCAAUAGGUUUUCUCAACAAUAAUGAAAUGCAACUGAGCUAGGUGGAAUACCCUAUAUAAUUUACACCAACUGUCAAACCUCAGUUGCCUUCGAGAUUAGAGUAUAAGUGAGGGAGAUACACACAAGAUCACAAAGCAUGGUGUCUCGACCCAAAUCAAAUAUGGUAGUGCACAAGACCACAAAGCAUGGCUCCUAACCAUAAUCCCAAUUUAGGAUAAUAUAAUAUCAGGUACGCAAGACCACAAAGCAUGGUACCGAUAUUCUAUGCUGGCAAGCACGUUCUUUCAGUGAUGAGCCGCUUGUGUCUCAAAUGCCUUCUUCGAGCAUCCACCUUUCUCAUGUAAAAUCAAUGCAUUCAAAUUUCAUCUUAUUCAAUCGCAUAUCGUAUUUUGAAGGGUAUCGUCAUACCCGACUUGCAAGUCAUCAAUAUCACAUCCACAUAUGCAUAAUCAUGUAAAAACCAAGGCGCUUCAUCAUUUACAAGUGGUGAACACAAUAUUUAUCAAAUUCAUGCUCUCUUUUGUUAAUCAUAAUAUAAUAUGGAGUAUCAAAACAUUAUCAUGGGAAUUUGAAAACAAUUUAUCAUUCAUAUUUAUCAACUUCCAUGGAAAAUCUCAAAUCACCUAUGCAUGAUUUCAACCAUUAAAGUAUAUAGGCAAACAAUUCCCAUGACAUUAAGAAAACAACUUAGAAAUCAUAUUGAAAGCAAGAUAUUAGCAUUUGAUUAAAAAUCCCCAUUUAAAAGCAUGCAUGUUCAUAAAACUACACCUAUGAGAUUUUUGGAUAACCCCACGUACCUCGAUUACUAUUAAUAUUAGGUGCUUCUUGAAGCCAACGUUGAGAGGAUUCCAAAUAUGCAAUUUGUUUCUAAAACCCACGGUUGAAUCUUGAGUAGCUUGGGUUUUUAUUUUGAAACCCUAAGGAGAAUCUUGAGCACUUUUGAUGAAAGAAUAUGUAUUUUGGGGUCCUUGGAACUAAAAUUCGUGUUUUAGGGCUAAGUAAGGGUGGAAAAGGACCACUUUGUCCUCAACACAGAGUGUUUAAAUUACCAGAAUUCCUUACAUAGGCGCCGCCCAUCCCAUCGCCUAUCUUCACAUAGGCGCCACCUAGGGUAUUGACUAUGUUCGCAUAGGCGCCGCCUAGGCUAUUGCCUUUGCUUUCUAGUGGCCAUGGGAGAUUGGUUAGGCGUCGCUUAUCGCUUUGAAAGGCCAUAACUUCUUGCUCGGGUGUCAGAUUUUAGCCAACUUGGUAUCGUUGGAAAGCUAACUCGAAUACCUAUCAUUUGAAACAUAGUAGGUUCCCUAAUUCGACAUAUACAGAGAGUUAUGGUCGAAGGAAGCUGACACACUUUACAACAUUUACUAAAACUUAGUCGAUCAAAAUAGUUCCAACUUGUCCUUUAGUUGAGGGACCUCUAUGGUCUAAAUUCAAGCUUGAGUGGAUUUCACAUGCUACACGAUAAUUAACAUGCCAUGUUGGCAUAGAAUUUUAUGGCUUCGGGAUUAACAACGCAUCAAAAUCAUGGUCUAUACUGUAGCCCGAAUUGCGGGGCGUUACAUUAUCCCCCCCUUAGGAUCAUUCAUCCCCGAAUGAUGAUGCGAGACACAGGCAGACACGAUUUUAAGCAUAAAAAAAGGACUAGGAAAGAUAAGAUAGGAAUAGUACCUUCUGUCUCCUCCUCCAUCGAAGCAAACAAAUUGGGAUAUCUAAUUCUCAUGUCAUCUUCUGACUCCCAAGUUGCUUCUUCAACUUUUUGAUUCCUCCACCGUACCUUUACUGAGGCUCUCUCUUUGCUCCUCAACUUUUGAACUUAGCGAUCUAAAAUUUCAACGAGCUCUUCUUCGUAAGACAAGGAGUCUGUCACUUUGAUACCCUCUACUAGCAAUACCAUAGAAUGAUCUCCAAUGUAUUUCUUCAACAUGGAUACAUGGAAUACCGGAUGAACGAAACCCAAACUUGCAGGCAAUUCUAACUCAUACGCAACUGUAUCAAUCCUUUUCAAAAUCUGAUAUGGCCUUACAUAACAAGGGCUCAAUUUACCCCUUUUUCCAAACCGCAUAACUUCUUUCAUAGGAGAAACCUUGAUAAACAACCAAUCACCAAUUUCAAACUCUAGUUCUCUUCUCCGAAUAUCGCCAUAGGACUUCUGACGACUCUAAGCUGUCUUGAGUCGUUCUCUAAUGAUCUUCACUUUCACCAUCGCCUGAUGAACAAGAUCAGGCCCAUACAAAUGAGUCUCACCUACUUCAUACCAUCCUAUCGGAGACCUACAUCUCCUCCCAUACAAAGCCUCCCAUCUUGAUACUGGCAUGGUAACUAUUAUUGUAAGCAAAUUCAACAAGUGGCAGGUGAUCUACCCAACUACCUUUGAAAUCAAUAACGCAUGCCCUCAACAUAUCUUCGAGGGUCUGAAUAGUAUGCUCAGCUUGCCCAUCCAUCUGAGGGUGGAAAGCUAUGCUCAAAUUCACUUGUGUACCUAAACCCUUCUGAAAAGAUCUCCAAAAUUGAGAUGAAAACUGCGUACCUCUAUUGGAUAUAAUGGACACUGGUGACCCAUGCAAUUGAACUAUCUCCUCAAUGUAAAUCUUAGCAUAAACCGCUCCCGAAUAAUUAGUCCUCAUAGGCAAAAAGUGGGCUGACUUGGUCAACCGAUCUACAAUCACCCAUAUAGAAUUAUACUAUUUUCGAGAUCUUGGAAGUCCUAUAAUGAAGUCCAUGUUUAUCAUCUCCCACUUCCAUAAAGGCAGGGCUAUCUCUUGGGAAGUACCACCUGGCCUCAUGUGUUCUACCUUCACUUGUUGACAGUUCAAACACUUGGACACAAAAUCAGCUACAUCACGUUUCAUGUUAUUCCACCAAUACAAGGUUUUCAAAUCAUGGUACAUCUUAGUAGAGCCUGGGUGAAUGAUAUAACUAGAAGUGUACACCUCAUUAAGGAUUCUUUCCCGUAUCCCAUCGACAUUCGGAACACAAAACCUACCCUGAAAUCUCAGAAUACCAUCGCCACUAAUUUCAAACGACAUAACCUUUUGUUGACCCACAUCUUUCUUGAUUUGCAUCAAGAUGGGAUCUUUAACCUGCUUUUCCUUAACUUCAGCACAAAGAGAUGACUUAGCCAACUCAUGAACAAUCACCCCUCCAUCUUCGAAAUCUAAGAGUCGCACUCCCAAAUUUGCAAGGCAGUAAAUAUCCUUCACCAUUUCUUUCUUUCUUUCUUCUACAUGAGAAAGGCUGCCCAUAGAAAACCUGCUGAGGGCGUUGGCUACAACAUUUGCCUUGCCCGGAGGGUAAUGCAGACUCAUAUCAUAGUCUUUCAAAAGCUCCAUCCAACGCCUCUGCCUGAGGUUCAAUUCUUUCUGUGAGAAAACAUACUGUAAAGUCUUAUGGUCGAUAUAAAUAUCGACAUGCACUCCAUAGAGAUAGUGCCUCCAGAUUCUAAGUGAAAACACCACGGCUGCUAACUCCAAGUCAUGAGUGGGGUAAUUGCGCUCAUGCACCUUUAGCUGCCUAGAUGCAUAAGCAAUCACCUUACCACACUGCAUCAAUACACAACCAAGUCCCACAUGGGACGUAUCACAAUAAACCACAAAAUCAUCUAUACCCUCGGGAAGGGUCAAAACAGGAGCAGUAGUCAGCUUGUCCUUCAAUUUCUCAAAACUAUUUUCACACAAGUCAGACCAUACAAACUUCAUCUUUUUCUGAGUUAGUUUAGUAAGCGGAGCGGCUAUGGAAGAAAAACUCUCUACAAACCAUCUGUAAUACCCCGCCAAACCCAAGAAGCUCUGAAUAGCGGUUGGAGUCGUGGGCCUGGGCCAUUUUCUCACUGCUUCAACUUUAUGGGGAUCCCCUCUUAUCCCGUCACUGGACACAAUAUGCCCUAGGAAGGCAAUAGCGUCUAACCAGAAUUCACACUUAGAAAAUUUGACAUACAACUGAUGAUUCUUAAGGGUCUGAAGGAUAAUUUUGAGGUGAUUGGCGUGAUCCUCAUUAUUCAUAGAAUAGAUCAGAAUCUCAUCAAUAAAUACAAUGACGAACAAGUCAAGAAAUUGAUGGAACACUCUAUUCAUAAGAUCCAUGAAGGCUGCAGGGGCGUUAGUCAACCCGAAGGACAUGACUAGAAAUUCGUAGUGACCAUAUCGUGUUCGGAAGGCUGUCUUGGGUAUGUCUGACUCCCUAACUUUCAACUGAUGAUAACCCGAACGAAGGUCUAUUUUUGAAAAACACUUGGCAUCGCAUGAAGAGCACGGGUGCACCCCAUGGGGAAACACUAGGACGAAUAAAACCUUUGUCUAGGAGGUCUGCAAGCUGUUCCUUUAGCUCCUUUAGUUCUGCUGGAGCCAUUCUAUAUGUCGGAAUAUAAAUAGGACGAGUGUCUAGCAACACAUCAAUGCUAAAAUUUAUCUUCCUACCAGGGGGUAUCCCUGGGAGAUCUUCGGGAAAGACUUCUGGGAAUUCAUUCACUACAGGGAGUGACUGCAGAGGAAGGUUUCCAACUUUUGAAUCUGUUACUUGGAUUAGAUGAUACGUACAAACUUUAGAGAUAAGCUUUUGGGCUCUAAGAUAAGAGAUAAAGUGACCUCUAGGUUCCACAGAACUCCCUGCCCAAGCAACUGGUGUCUCAUUCGGGAAAGAAAAAGUGACCUUUCGAGUUCUGCAAUCAAGGGUGGCAUAACAUGAAUGGAGCCAGUCCAUCCCAAGGAUGGCAUCAAAGUCUAUCAUAUUCAGUUCUAUAAGGUCUGCCACAGUUUCCCUACCGUGACUAGAGACGACAUAAUUUCUAUAUACCCUUUUAGCAACAAUAGAAUCACCUACAGGAGUAGAAAUAGAGAAGGGUUCUAUAAUAACUUCAGGCUCAAACCUGAAACCAAUAGCUACAUAAUGGGUCACAUAAGAUAAAGUGGACUCGGGAUCAAGAAAUACAUAAACAUCACGAGAAAAGAUUCGUAACAUACCGGUGACAACAUCUGGAGAAGCUUCCGCCUCCUGGCGGUUAGUCAAAGAAAAUAACCGGUUGCGACCUCUUCCGAAAGCUGAAGGGGCACCCUUAGGAAAAGGAGCUGUGGAGGUAGCUUGGGACUUAACCCCCCCCCCCCCCCAUAUUUACUCCAGCACAAGGAUAAUCUCUCUGAAGGUGACCCAUUUUGCCAUAAGUAUAGCAGUUUCUUCCCUCAAACCAGCACUUCCCUAGAUGAUUUGUUCCGCAAACCUCACACCGCGGAUGAGUACGAUGCUGUUGGGCCACACUGCCCUGAGACUAUGUACCUAGAGCUUUGGACCCAUGAGGAGUCUGAAAACUCUGAGUUUGUCUGUCUGUCGGUGAUCUGGUUGCUGGGGCGCUGCCUGCUGACUGUUCAUUAUUCCAAAACUUCUUCUUCUUCGACCACUUAAUACCCCAGUUACCACUCUGUGGUUGACUCUGGCACUGGUCCGCAGAUCUAGCAUUCUUCGCCUGUCUUUCUUUCUCUCUAGAUUCAGAAACCUUUUUCUUCUUCUCUUCCACUUGAUGUAUAUGAACGGUCAGUCGAAAAAAGUCUAACUCCUUAUUCAAGAUAGCCCCCUGGCACUCAAGUACUAGGUCAUCAGCAAGGCCAGAUGCAAAUUUCCUCAUUCGGGCCCUCAUAUUACUAGUCAACUCUGGUGCAUAGCGGGCUAGUUUAUUAAACUUCAAAGUGUACUCCUGGACACUCAUACUGCCCUGCUUUAGAUUCAUAAACUCUUCUGCUUUGGCCUCUCUCAACUCUAGAGGAAAGAAUCGAUCAAGGAAGGCUUCCACAAAUUCACCCCAAACUGUGGGCUCAGCACUUUUACCUUUUUCAUCUUCCUAGUCGGCAUACCAUUGACUCACAACGUCCUUGAGACGAUAGGUUGCUAACUCCACCCCUUCAACCUCAUCCACAUGCAUCACCUUAAAGAUCUUUUCCGUCUCAUCCACGAACUCCUAUGGAUAUUUCUCUACCUUGGUGCUAGUGAACUUAGGUGGGUUUAUCUUCAUGAAAUGUUUGACUCUAGUAGCCUCAGAUGUAACAGAUGCAGAUGCAACAUCUUUCGAUUGUUGAGCUUGGUUGGCUACCAACUACGUCAGCAUAUGAAUAGACUGUCUGAAUUCUGUAUUUGAAAUAUCUCCCUGAGCAGUUGAGGGACGGUUGACAUUAGUCCACAGAGCCCGAGGUGGACUGGUCAGGACUGGAGGGACUCCCGGAGUAGGGACAAAUUAUGGAGUGUGAGCCCUAUUACGGGUCCACAUCCCAUGGGUGGGACGGAACUCAUCUGCCUAUGCAUUUUGAUCGACGAUAUGACGUGGAGGCAUAACAGUUUAGAAUAUGAAGCACGAACUAAAUCACAAAGAAGGGAAACAUUUCCUAAACGCCUAGUAGCCUCCUGCUUAUAAGUGUGGCACACUACACACCCAUAGCACACUACACACCCAUAAAAAAGACUCUACCCGAUGCAUUUUUGCAGACAGCCUAGGACCAUGAACCGCGCUUUGAUACCAAGUUUGUCACGACCCAAACCAGGGCCUGGCCGUGAUGAGCAUUUCAAACCUUUGAGGCCCGAAACACACCUAUCUGUUUGGUAAUCAUGCACCUAAUUCAUAUUAUCAAAGUAAUGCGGAAGAAACACAAUAUGAUGGAAACAUGGUCAAGAAUCACAUGAAAACAAUAAUGGAGAAUAAUGUCCCACAAUCUUAAUCAACAUUUCAAAAAUCGUCUGCGAAAUCUCUACUACAUAACUGAAACAAGUAACUAUCUGAAAACUGGGACAAGGCCUCUAGUAGACCCAAAAAAAACUGAAUAUAAGAUAAAAGAACUGCAGGACUUAAGACCUUCCGAAACAUAGAAGGCUCACCACUUGUCUUUAUAGCUCUAUCUAAAAGUUCUACUGAUUCUCUUGACCCCUAGACUGGGCCUCUGAACUUGAGAGGUUGGAGAGGGGAGGGGGUCAGCACAAAAGUACUGGCACGCAAAGAUAUAAAAAAAACAUAAUAUUUUUACAAAGUAUAGUUAAGAGCCGUUAUAAAGAAAUUUCGUAUCAAAUCAUUUGAAAGCACAUGGGUGUAAUGCAAUAGUGUUUCUCAAUAAUAAUGAAAUGCAAUUGAGCUAGGUGGAAUACCUUACAUAAUUUACACCAACUGUCAAACCUCGGUUGCCGCCGAGAUUAGAGUAUAAGUGAGGGAGAGACACACAAGACCACAAAGCAUGGUGUCUUGACCCAAAUCAAAUAUGGUAGUGCACAAGACCACAAAGCAUGGCUCCUAACCAUAAUCCCAAUUUGGGAUAGUAUAAUAUCAGGUACGCAAGAUCACAAAGCAUGGUACCGAUAUUCCAUGUUGGCAAACACGUUCUUCCAGCGAUGAGCCGCUUGUGUCCCAAAUGCCUUCUUCUGGCAUCCACCUUUCUCAUGUAAAAUCAAUGCAUUCAAAUUUCAUCUUAUUCAAUCACAUAUCAUAUUUUGAAGGGUCUCGUCAUACCCGACUUACAAGUCAUCAAUAUCACAUCCACAUAUGCAUAAUCAUGCAAAAAUCAAGGUGCUUCAUUAUUUACAAGUGGUGAACAAUAUUUAUUUCAAAUUCAUGCUCUCUUUUGUUAAUCACAAUAUAAUAUGGAGUUUCAAAACAUUAUCAUGGAAAUUUGAAAACAAUUUAUCAUUCAUAUUUAUCAACUUUCAUGGAAAAUCUCAAAUCACAUAUGCAUGGUUUCAACCAUUGAAGUAUAUAGGCAAACAAUUCCCAUGACAUAAAGAAAAUGACUUAGAAAUCAUAUUGAAAGCAAGAUAUUAGCAUUUGAUUGAAAACCCCCAUUUAAAAGCUUACAUGUUCAUAAAACUACACCCAUGAGAUUUUUGGAAAACCCCACGUACCUCGAUUACUAUGAAUAUUAGGUGCUUCUUGAAGCCUACGUUGAGAGGAUUCCAAAUAUGCAAUUUGUUUCUAAAACCCACGGUUGAAUCUUUAGUAGCUUGGAUUUUUAUUUCGAAACACUAAGGAGAAUCUUGAGCAUUUUUGAUGAAAGAAUAUGUAUUUUGGGGUCCUUGGAACUAAAAUUCGUGUUUUAGGGCUAAGUAAGGGUGGAAAAGGACCACUUUGUCCUCAACACGGGGUGUUUAAAUCACUAGAAUUCCUUACAUAGGAGCCUCCCAUCCCACCGCCUAUCUUCACAUAGGCGCCUCCUAGGCUAUCGCCUAUGUUCGCAUAGGCGCCGCCUAGGCUAUCUUCUAUGUUCGCAUAGGCGCCGCAUAGGCUAUCGCCUAUGUUCGCAUAGGAGCCGCCUAGGCUAUCGCCUAUGUUCGCAUAGGCGCCGCCUAGGCUAUCGCCUAUGUUCACAUAGGCACCGCCUAGGCUAUUGCCUAUGCUUUCCAAUGGCCAUGGGCGAUUGGUUAGGCAUUGCUUAUCACUUUGAAAGGCCAUACAUCUUGCUCGAGUGUCAGAUUUUGGCCAACUUGGUAUAGUUGGAAAGCUAACUCGAAUACCUAUCAUUUGACACAUAGUAGGUUCCUUAAUUCGACAUAUACAGAGAGUUAUGAUCGAAGGAAGCUGACACACUUUACAACAUCCACUAAAACUUAGUCGAUCAAAAUAUUUUCAACUCGUCCUUGAGUUGAGGGACCUCUAUGGUCUAAAUUCAAGCUUGAGUGGAUUUCACAUGCUACGCGAUAAUUAACAUGUCGUGUUGGCAUAGGAUUUUAUGGCUUCGGGAUUAACAACGCAUCAAAAUCAUAGUCUAUAUUGUAGCCCGAAUUGUGGGGUGUUAUAGAAUGAGUCAAACUUUUAACUGGUUUUUUAAGCCUUUUUCCUAUUUCUAAAAAAAUUUUACCAAGCCAACAUGAAAAAUUGAAAUACUAAUUAUCGAGACAAUAAUUCCUAGAUGACUAGACGCUACGAAUUGUUUUCUAAAUAUGUGGGGCCUUGGCUACAAAUUUAUAGUGUAAGUGGUUAACAAGCUAGGAGAUUCUUUUUGCAAUGAAUGGCCACUUGUCUAUGUUGUCUUUAUUUUGAAGCUUAUGUCUAAUGUUAGAGUUUGUGACCCCAAUUUUGUUGAUUCGACCCUGAAAAAAUCGUGUUGCGAUCCAUGUUUGAGACUUUUUGGAGUUUGUUUUUGGGCUUAGCAUUUAUUUGUACACACGUAUUAUAUAAGUGCGAUUUAGUGGGUUUUUUUGGAAGUUUUAUAUAUGUCAUUGAGAUGUUCGUCUCGUCAUUAUAUUCCUCUCCAUUAUAGUGAAUUUUCUCCUCCUUUGCCUGUGAUUUUUUCCAUCAAGAGUUUCCAAAUAAAAUCUAUAUGUUCUUGUUUUCUUUUGUUUUGUGGUAUUGCUUAUUCCUGUUCGUUUCAAUAACAACAAAUUUAACCUUAACUUUCUAAUGAAUAUUCUUCUCCCACAUUUUAUUUUCAAACUAGGUACACUCUCAUCCCUAAUCCGAAUUCCUAUCGCGUAAGACUCGUUAAACCAGAAGCACUUUCUACCAAGAUUAUUUUAAAAUUCAAGGUGCAAAUCCGAGAUCUUUGAUUAUAGGGGGAGGAUUCAUGUUCAGCCACAACGACCCUUAACGCUAAAUUUUACUCUCAUAGAGAUAUUUUUAUUAAUUUAUAUUCUUAAAUAGUACGCAAUAUUUCUUUGUAACGGCUGAUGUCAUUUGACUCUUCAGUUACUUGGUUCCCUAACUCAGCGAGCAAAAUACUCCUUGCGCCGCUAGAGCCAUGUUGGAGACAAGUAUAUAGCUUAGUUUGUGUUGAUGUCAACUGUUAUGAUCGGGUAGAAUAAGCAAUACCACAAAGCAAAAGAAAUUAAGAAGAAGACACGGAUUUACAUGGAAACUCUUGCAGGAAAAAACCACGGGCAAAGGCAGAGGAAUUUCACUAUGAUGGAUGGAGAAUAUAAUGAGGAAAAUGCCGUAUUUAAAAACAUCCAAAAACGACCCACUAAAUCACACUUAUAAUAUGUGCAAUACAAAAUAAAUCGUAGGCCCAAUCCCUACGCUACCACCACAGACCCCACAAAAAAUCAUAAAAAUGGGUCGCACCGUGAACUUUUCAGGGCCAGAUUAACGAAAUACAGGUCACAAACUCUAACAUCAACCAUAAUAAUGGUAGCAAAAGAAAUCCUCUACUCAUUUUUUUAGGAUAAUUUUUUUUUGUUGACGAGAAGAUAGAGAAUGAAGCUCAUUAUACUUGAGUGUUGAUGCAGUAGUACAAGCAAUAUACAAUGCAUCAUAAUAUUACUACUUAGGCACUGAUGAAAAACAUACUACGCAUCAUAACAUUAUACUUUAGUGUUGAUGCACGAGUUGCAUUGUUUCGAGGAUUUUUAUCUCCAGAAUUAGUAGGUGAUAUUCCCAUAAAUGGGCAAAGGAUGCUUUUUUAGACUCGAAUCGCCUUUUCCUCGAUCUAUAGCAAUCUUAUAAUUAUUAUUGUCCUGUAGAUACUGAUACUUAUAUAGUUAUAGUAUAUGCUAAGCUCAAUAUGCUGAAUUGUGCUAAAGUAUUAAUUUCUUGCUAAUGGAGUUUGACGCUCUAAGAACAAAACGAUGCAGUUGGAAAGAAGAAAGGAGAAAAUUCUUGAUGAUCAAUUAUGUAUGAAUCUUAAACUGAAUUUGAAAAGUUUUUUUUUUUUUUUAUGGAACUAAAAUAAUUUUGCGUGGACUCUUAUUACUUAUAAUGUUCCUCCCAGCACUAGUGCUAAAUGGUCCAUCUUUCACAACAUAAUUGGUAUAUUUCUUAUCACUAUUGGGAUUGCAUGUAUUGUCGCUCACACCAUAACCUGUACCAAGAGCGCGCGGAUAUGUUCCAACAUGAUAGCUUUCGAAAGCAAAUGUAGAUUAGUUAAAUGACCAUACCAAAAGCAGUAUCAUAGCUCUGCUUGGCUAUGAGUGUGGUGAGCUUCCUCUCAAGUAUACAUUAAAAGAGUCACUGUUCUGCAACGCAAACCCCUACUGGCAAAGAUUACUGCCAAGAUCAAUACAAGGAUGGUCAAAUGUUUAUAAUGCCGAAGAAAGCUAUCAAGUUAAUAGAGGCUACUCGUAGAAGCUAUUUGUGGUCUGGGGAAGCUACAAUAACAAGGAAUUCUAUGGUGGCAUGGGAGAAAAUCUGCCUAUAGACUAUGGAACCAAGCUGCAAUCUGUAAGUUGCUUUGGGCUUUAAGUCUACACAGAGAGAAACUAUGGAUUGCUUGGGUUGACACGUUAUAAAGAGGCAGAAUAUAAACACAGGAACAAAUUCUUUGCUAGAGCAGACAAAAUGAUAAGAGGAGAUGUAGAAAAUGCGGCAUGGAGCCUAAGUGUGUUUUUAUCUUAUGUCUUUACUUUCAUGGGAGUUCGAUAAUGGACUAAAGAUGUUUUUAUCAGCUGAUAUAUGAAUGUAGAUCCUAUGUCUGUGUUUCGUAAAAGCGAGUCAAAAGAGCAUUUGUUCGUUGAAUGUAAGGCGAGUCUGUUAGUUCCAUUCUGAGAAGGGAAGUGUAUAGAAGUACCAUUCCUUGGUAAUUCAUGCAAUUCAUUUAAUUGGCAGAAGAAAAAAACAUUCUUCUCAGCAAUACAAUUAUUUAGCAAACAUUUUCAGCAAAAGAAGUUAUUUGGAACAAGAGUUGCCAAGAGCAUGCUCAACAUGUGAGAAGUUAUUCUGAUCUUUUGUAGCAUCCCUACAACAUCUUUCAUGUUUGUCCGUCUAGCUGGAGACUCAGCACAGCAAUCUAGUGCUACUUUAAUGAUUGAUGCCACACAAUCCAACUUCUUCAUGACGUGAUUAUCUGUUGGUGGAACCAAGUUGGCAUCAGCAACAUCUAUUACUACAUCAGGAAGUGAAUAACUCACCCAUUGUUUCAAGCUAAGAUCUUCCGCAAACUCACUAGGCUUUCUCCUGGUAAAGGUUUCCAGCAACAUGAUUCCAUAACUAUACACGUCACAUUUAGUAGACACCAAUCCAUCUCGUCCAUACUCUAGAAUAAAACAAUUAUUUAAAGAUGUAACAUGAUAACUUGGUGGAAAAAGAAAGGGAAAAGAAAUGUUCAAAGCAAAAUCAAGAGAAGUACCUGGCGCAAUAUAACCCAAUGAUGCUAAGGUUUUAGUGUAUAAUUCACUUUCAUCGUCACCAAGCAGUUUUGGGUUACCAAAGUCGCUUAGGUGGUCAACCAUAUCCUCAUCCAGCAAGACAUUACUCGGCUUCAGAUCACAGUGAAUCACAGGCGACGAGCAACCAUGGUGCAGAUAUUCCAAUGCACAUGCCACAUCUAUCAUUAUGCUUAGCCUUUGCAUGAUGUCUAAGAAGUAGUUGUGCGAAUACAAAUACUUCUCAAGGCUCCCAUUAGGCAUAUACUCGAGCACUAAAGCCUUAAAAUCAAGGUUGGAACAGCUAGUAAUGACUUUUACGAGAUUCCUAUUGCGAAGGCUGCGCAGAACUUCACAUUCUGUAUCAAAGCUCUUGAAUGCUGCAUCUAGUUGCAGAUUGAACACUUUAACUACAAUGGCAGUUCCACUUCUGAGAACACCUUUGUAAACAGAGCCAAAACUUCCAGAACCAAUCAGAUUACUCUCGCUAAGCGCAUCAGUUGCUUGUAUCAAUUCAUAGUAUGAAAUUCUUUCUCUUGUUAUUGCAGACAAUGAAUCAGCUUGUUGAGGAGCUCUUUUACCUUUUCUAUACCAUAUCCAGAAAAAAAUAAAGGUGCAAGGAACAACUACUAGUGCAAUUCCCAGCAAAAGAAAAAGAACUAGUAUUUUUUUCCUGUUUGAUUUGUGCGUUGAUGAAGUGGGGCAUGGAGGGACACUAAAUCUUGAAGAACCACACAAUGCUUCAUUGUAGAUGAAAAACUGGCUCGAGAGGUUCUUGAAAGGACCUCCCGACGGUAUUUCACCGUACAAUUUGUUUACAGAAACAUUGAAAUAUUUCAAGUUUUGAAGUUUCUCCAAAGACUUGGGAAUUAUUCCAGAUAUAUUGUUAUGAGAAAGGUCUAGGAUCCUUGCAACUUGUUGUGUUUCAAAGAAAGGUGUGCCAGAUUUUGCAAUCCUCCAAUUUCUCUUGGAAUUCUAUUUGAAAAUUUAUUCAUCGAUAGAUACAUCUUUGUUACAGCCAUUAGAUUUCCAAUUUCUGGAGGUAAAGAACCUACCAUAUUUUUUGACGAUAAGUCAAGAACCACUAGAUCGUGAAGGUUCCCUAAACUUGGUGAUAUAUUGGAACUCAAUUUGUUGGAAAUGAGACGUAUCUCCUAAGGGAAUUAAUAUUCCAUAAAAAAUUAGGAAGAGAUCCUGAAAGUUGAUUUUGAUCCAAGUAAAUAUCACCCAGAUGCUGCAAUUUACAUAUAUGAUCACCAACAAAUCCUGUAAGUUUGUUGUUACUCAAGUCGAAGCGCUGAAGGUUUCUUAAGUUGCCAAUUGCUGUGUGAAUUGAUCCAGCCAAGUUGUUUCCAGAAAGAUCAAGGAAUAAUAAGUUGUUUCCUUGGUCAAGUCGCUAAAACCUGGUUUUGCAUAAACACCAAAAUAUUCCUAAAAUCAUUUGUCUUUUCAAAAAUAAACUUUUUCAAGGUUUAUCAAAAGACGUUUUUAAACAGGUCAGAUAACCGUAAGUUAGCGGACGUUUUAGGUGCCUAACACCUUCCUAAAACGUUAAUAGGAAUCGCUUACUUAGAAUCUCUUAACUUAAAAUGAUUUUCUUGUUUUGAAUCGUUUUAAGUAACUCUCUAAAGGUUUCUUAAUUCCUUUUCAAAAUUAAGUGGCGACUUUCUUCAAAAGUCAAAAUUUCUCUGCAAAACAAUAACUACUGGUGAUAAAUUUUCUAAGAGAUGUGGAAAGGUUCCCCAUGGAGGCCGGAAGCAUGCCAUUUAGCGGGUUGAGAGAUAUAUCAAGAAAUGUUAAAUUUCUACAUUUGGUUAAGGAAGUCAGGAAGCUUAAUGAUGAGUCACUGGUCAAAUUGUUUCCCCCUAAACUUAGAUAUUGUAGAUGAGUCAAAUAUCCAAGGGAAUUGGGAACAAGCUAGUGAGUUGGUUGUUACUAAGGUCUAGAAUAGUAAGUUUUGAAUAAUUGGAGAUAGAAUGAGGAAUUGUCCCAACAAGAUUGGUUAAGCUACUCAGAUAAAGCUCUUCAAUGUUGGGUAUGAAAGAACACAUGUUUGGUGGGAGGCUUCCUGAUAGAUUGUUUUCUAAAAGAUCAAUUUCUCUCAGCCCGGAUAUGUUGAAGAUCUCCAUUGGGAGUGAACCACAUGAAACACCCCGUAUUUUUGGGCUAGAGUUUAGACCGUCGUUCCUACGUAUAUAGACUCGAACUGAAUUAUUCUUUAUUAACAUACGUGUGGUAAACACUCCUAUCGUAAUGCCCCGUAAAAUUCUCAAGUCGAUUUCAUUUUUAGUGUUAUGUUUGAGGGGCUAACAACUAGAAUAUUUUUCUAAGUGUAAUGAGGACUUAGAGUCAUUUUAGCUGGCAAUCUUCGGGAGACAACUUUUCAACCAUCCCGACAUCCGUUUUUAGAUUUUCUAGUUGAGUUACGAUCCAGAAAGCUCAUAGUAAAUCUCGGAUAGGUUUCGGAAUUUUUCGGAACGCAUAAGGCUGUGUUUGGAUUUCAAAACAGUAGCAAACCGCAUAGCCUAUUGCCCAGUUUUCAGAAUUUCAGGGUCAACUUCAAACGAUCAUAACUCUCUGAAUAUAAUAAAUUGAGAAAGAAGCUACCUAUCAAAUGAAAGAUCUUUGAGUCUUCUUUCCAAUGCAACUGGUUUCAUCCAAAUCAAACAUCUGAGUAAGGAGUUAUACCCAUUUUACUUCAGUUUAUCAGCUUAUCAACUGAGGGACAGUUUCAAAUUUGUUUGUUUUCUUAGGGGCAUUUUAGUGAUUUCACCACACCAGAUUUAGCCCCCAAUUCAUCAAACUAUAAUCCUUUUCUCAAAUUUUCUCUCAAAAACACCCCUUAGGAUUUCAAAAUAAAAAUCCCAAUAACUCAAGAUUCAACCAUGGGUUUUCAAAAUAAAUUGAAGAUUUGGAAUCCCCGUAACAUAGGCUUCAAGAAGCACGUAUCACAUUUGCAUAUAGAGGUAUGUGCGGUUAUCUCAAAAAUCUCAUGGGCUUAAAAAUUCAUGUUUUAAAAAUGGGAUUUUUGAAAUUAUGAAUAUAAACAUGUUUCAAGCAUCUUUAUGAUAUUGAUUUGAUCUUUAGGCCUAUUUCCGAAGUGAUUUGAUAUAUUAUAUAUGCAUAUUCUUGUGAUUCAAAAGAUGUUAACUUGAGAGCAUGCAUUAUAUAAAACCCCUCUCUUAAUAUGAAAUUGUUUGAAAUUUUCAUAUGAUGUGAAUUGUUUGAAAUCAUCUUGAUAAGCAUGACAUGAACUAUUUUGAAAGUGGAUAUGAUUUUCGACUUGCAAGGAGAGGGUUAUUAUGUUGAAAUAUGAUGAAUAUAAUGGUUGCAUGAAAGAAUAAUGUGAUAUUGAUGGCUUGCAAGUCGGGUAUGACGAUACUCUACAGAAUAUGAUAUGUGAUUGAAUCAGAUGAAAUUUGAAUGUAUUGAUUUUUCACGAGAUAGGUGGAUACUCAAAGAAGGCAUUUGAGUGUAAGGGCUUAUUGCUGGAAACCGUGUUUUCCGACAUGGGAACUUGGUACUAUGCUUUGUGAUCUUGCAUACCUGACUUUAUGUCAUUCCCAAAUUGGGACUAUGGUUAGGAGCCUUGCUUUGUUGUCUUGUGCACUACCAUUGGGUCGGGACACCCUGUUGUGUGAUCUUGUGUGUCUUCCCCUCACUUAUAGUCUAAUAUCCGCGGCAACUAAGGUUUGAUAGUUGGUGUAAAUGUGAUAUGUAGGGUAUUCCACCUAGCUCAGCUACAUUGCAUUAUUGUUGAAAACAAUUACAUUACACCCAUGUGUUUUCAAAUGAUUUUAUAUGAAACUGCUUUAUAAUGACUUUCAACUAUAUUUUGUAAAAAUAUUAUGUUUUGUUUUGAUAUCUCUGUGUACCAGUACUUUUGUAUUGACCCCUUUCCCUCCCACGUUCGGAGGCACAGUCUAGGGGUAAAGAAAAUCAGUAGAUUUCCUCAGACAGAUUCGCAGAGUCACUUGGUGAGCCUUCUAUAUUUUGAUAGUCCUUUCCGAUUGAGUCCUAUAAGAUUUUAAAAAUUGUGCAAAGACUCGAUAGGAGUCUGUUAGUGCAUCAAUAUGUGUUGAUUCUGAUGUAAAUAUUGAUCCUGAUGGAAUCGUGCAUUCCAGCUUAAGGUAUUAAGUGUAUGUAGUCCCUCUCAAAAUCUUAUUACAAAUGUGGACAAUGUAUAGCAGAAUGUUGGAACUGUAUUUCUACCCGAAUAGUAGCUUAAGUUAAAGUGUUGUUGUCAUGACCUAUUGGUAGUGAUAUUGGACCAAGAAGUUGGUAAUUUAAAGUCACAAAGUUAGAAGUUAGAAGUCAGAGUAAGGGUGAUUUUGUGUAAAUGAAUAUUUCAGUUGAAUAACCGAUGUUUGAGGAUGAUUUACCCCUUUAUAGUGAUAAACUAAUGUGGUAGCUAGCAGCAUGUGUGGACGGUAUGGUUGUCCAUGGAGGAAGUGUUUUACUCAUAUUUUUACUUAUACGGAAUAAUAUGUAUAUUCUUAGACCAUUAAAUAUUAUGUGUCAAUUUUCUAUCCCUUGUAAUAUGUAAUCUUGUUUUCAUGGUGUUUUUGAAAAAAAUUAAAAAAAAAUUUAAAGUCUAGUGAAGCCGUGUGGGGAUCUUUUGAUUCACUAGCAUAAUUGUCUUGUCAUCCAUCUCAUUUUCUUGUUCAAAAUACAAAACCAAAGUCUAGUGAAGCAGUGUGAGGCCUGUUUCGAUUCACUAGCAACUUGUUGUUCUUUCGUUGGUUUAAUAUAUGUAUGGCUGAAUCUGUUUGCAUGAGAUUGAGUUGGUAAAGAGGUAAUUCGUCCUUGUGAGUUAGUUUAGUAAGGUAGAGAAGGAGUUGUUAGUCAGGGUGAUUUGUUGGUUGCUUGAAUGUGAAAUGGCUAUAUUAGUGAGUAAGUUAUGAUUAUAAACUCAAGGUUGUUUGAAGAAUUUGAAGGCAGUCUAAAUGUAUGAUUGAGUGAGUAAAUAUGAGGUGAGAAAUCCGUAUAAGUAGAAAAGAUUAUAUAGGGUUAUAAUAUAAUAUUAAGGUUUAUUGUGUCUAUUAUGUGACCUUACCCCUUGACCUUUUUUUGUUGAUAGUUGUAAACUAGUACUACUUAUGAGAAGGUAUGUAGCAGAUUUUGAAGUAUUUGGAAUAGAAUGUUCCAAUUUGAUGGAUUAGUAUAUUAUGCUGCACUUGUCAUUGGUGGUAGAUGAUUGAUGCUAGACCAUUGUCUUGAAUUUAAUGUAGGAUGUGGAUGUAAGAAUAGUGGCAUGAGAUUAAUGAUGUAUAUUUGUGGGAAUAAAUAUUAGUAGGCUUGAUGUGUUGAAAUAGUACGUGCUAAUGAGUUAUGAUAAGGAAGACCAUAAGGUCAAGGUCGAUUAUUGUUGUUAUAAAGUUCUAGUGUACUAGUAUUCCUUGAUGUUUACUUCAUGGUUUACAAGUGAGAAUCAUGCGUAAGGUUGGGUUGUAAAAUCAUGUUUAGCACUAGACAUUAAGUUUGAACAGUUGAAGUUCAUAAAGGUGGAUAUGAUGAUUUCUUGAUCAAUGAUGUUAGUUAUAUGAAAGUGAUCUAAUAGGCUUGAACGGUAUAUGAAAUGGCUUAAGUUUAAAUUGAUUUGUAAUGAAGUAUAAUAUUGUAGGUAUGGUGUAGAAGUAUGCCAAGGUGAUAUGAGGUUGCGGUAUAUUUUUCUAAGACUAUUACAUAAUUUGUGUGGCUAGUGGUACCAUUGAAUNNNNNNNNNNNNNNNNNNNNNNNNNNNNNNNNNNNNNNNNNNNNNNNNNNNNNNNNNNNNNNNNNNNNNNNNNNNNNNNNNNNNNNNNNNNNNNNNNNNNNNNNNNNNNNNNNNNNNNNNNNNNNNNNNNNNNNNNNNNNNNNNNNNNNNNNNNNNNNNNNNNNNNNNNNNNNNNNNNNNNNNNNNNNNNNNNNNNNNNNNNNNNNNNNNAGUAAGUGUAGUUCAGUUAGAAUCUGGUAAGGUAUCUCCCAAACUCUAGAUGAUGACUUGAAGCUAAGGGAGAGAUGAUAGAAUGAAUGACCAAGUAAGGCUCUUAGAUUCUAGCAGUGAUGUAGUAUGAUUUAGAACAUCAGAAAGUGAGGGUGAAUCUCAACCUAUUCCUACCUCAGUAUGUUUUUUUUAGUUAUUCAGAUGCUUACUCAUGCCUUACGAUCUAGUUCCGUGAUCGUAGUUCAUGAUUCCUGUAUAUGAUAGAGAGUCACAUACCCUUCCAAUUCCAAGAUAAUGAGUUCUAGUUCGUUCAAGUAGUCGGAAUCACAUUCCUUAUGUUAUGAACUCUAGUUGAGGUCAUGCAACUCAUGACGCAUGUACUCACUCUUUAUAGUGUGCUUAGUCCCGUAUAAAAAUCUUUUCAUGCUUCAGGAUCUUAUGUUUAACCUUUUAGUGACCGUCCCUAUACAAUGAUAGUGGUGAUGAUGUAAAUAUUCUUGUUGAUGGAAGAUCAUAGUAUGCUUGCUUAGAUAAGGCCAUAAGUAUGAAGUAAGAGUUGGGGCUAAGUCUUUGAUACACGUGAUGGUUAGUGGAAAAGUUUGUGUGUGUUUGUGUUGGGGUAGCGCGUGGGAGUUAUAUUGACAAUAGUUUAAAAACUAUGUGAAGUAUGUAUUUAUGAGUGGUUUCCUUGAAGUCAACAUGUGGUUAUAAAAUAGGCUUGAAUGAUGUUUUGGGAUUGUAGUGGAAGGUCUCAAUAUGCAUUAGCGACUUCAUAUUAAGAGUUUAGAGUAGUCAUUAAAGUGGUAAGGCAUGUUAUGCUUAGGAUGUGAUCUUUAAAAGAGGUAUAGAAGGAGGCAUCAUAUGGUUUAGAAUAAUAGCGUGGUACAGCAUGUUGUAUUUUUGUGACUUAGAGUUAGGCUUGAUCGCGGUGUAAGGAUUAAGCUAUUUUAGACAUUAGUAGAAAAAAAAAUUUGUCAAUGCUCAUAUGAGAAUUUUAAGCUGAAUUGAAUGAAUAUGAUAUUUAUNNNNNNNNNNNNNNNNNNNNNNNNNNNNNNNNNNNNNNNNNNNNNNNNNNNNNNNNNNNNNNNNNNNNNNNNNNNNNNNNNNNNNNNNNNNNNNNNNNNNNNNNNNNNNNNNNNNNNNNNNNNNNNNNNNNNNNNNNNNNNNNNNNNNNNNNNNNNNNNNNNNNNNNNNNNNNNNNNNNNNNNNNNNNNNNNNNNNNNNNNNNNNNNNUAUACUAGUAAUUGCAAGUAUAGAUCAGUUCAUGCGUCAUGCAUUAGAUUCAGAUUCCAGAGAUUCAGUUAUGAUUCAAUUCGUAGGUGCCCUGUGCAUCGCCUCAGUUCCCCGAGUAUCUUAGUGAAUUGAGUAUUCAUAGAGGGACAUAGGAUCCCAAGGGGGAGAUACCUCAUUCAGUUGCAUGCAUAGAUUCUUAUUACAAGCCUCGCACCAGCUAUCAUUGGUAUUCAGUCAUACAUUCAUACGUCAGUUAAGUCAGAUAUGCAUGCGCUAGAAAUGCAUGUUCAAUAGAAAAAGUUCAGCUUAUCAGUGUAUUUAGUCCUGCGUUCAUGAGAACAACUCAGUCAUAGAUCCAUGCAUCAGAUAUGCAUGUUCAUUAGGAGAAUUCAGCUUAUGAAUAGCUUCAGUUGUGUAUUCCAUGCAUCAGAUAUACACAUUCGGUAUAAGAAUUUAGAACAUCAGUAGUUCCAGCCUUAUAGUCAUGUUUCAGAUCAGUGUAUUCUUUCUUAGAGAAAAAUAUCAUGUCCGCAUUAUUCCAUACCUCUAAGCUUCAAUAUGUUCAUGUAACAUCCCGUAUUUUCGGGCUAGAGUUUAGACCGUCGUUCCUACGUAUAUAGACCCGAACUAAAUUAUUCUUUAUUAACAUACGUGUGGUAAACACUCCUAUAGCAAUGCCCCAUAAAAUUCUCGAUUCGAUUUCAUUUUUAGUGUUAUGUUUGAGGAGCUAACAACUAGAAUAUUUUUCUAAGUGUAACGAGGACUUAGAGUAAAUUUAGCUGGCAAUCUUCGGGAGACAACUUUUCAACCUUUCCGACAUUCAUUUUUACAUUUUCAAGUUGCUUUACAAUCUGGAAAGAUCAUAGUACAUCUCAGAUAAGUUUUGAAAUUUUUCGGAAUGCAUAAGGCUGCGUUUGAAUUUCAAAAAGUAGCAAAACGCAUAGCCUAUUGCCCAGUUUUCAGCAUUUCAGGGUCAACUUCAAACGAUCAUAACUUUCUGAAUAUAAUGAACUGGGAGAGCUUCUACCUAUCAAAUGAAAUUUCUUUGAGUCUUAUUUCCAAUACAACUGGUUUCAUCCAAAUUUAACAUCUGAGUAAGGAUUUAUACCCAUUUUACUUCAGCCUGUCAGCUUGUCAACUGAGGGACAGUUUUGAAUUUGUUUGUUUUCUUAGGGGCAUUUUAGUCAUUUCACCUCACCCAAAUUUCGUUUAUAACACCAGAUUUAGCUCCUAAUUCAUCAAAAUAUAAUCCUUUUCUCAAAUUUUGUCUCAAAACACCCCUUAGGGUUUCAAAAUAAAAAUCUCAAUAACUCAAGAUUCAACCAUGGGUUUUCAAAACAAAUAGAAGAUUUGAAAUCCCCGCAACGUAGGCUUCAAGAAGCACCUAUCACAUUCGCAUAUAGAGGUACGUGGGUUAUCUAAAAAAUCUCAUGGGCUUAAAAAUUCAUAUUUUAAAAAUGGGGGUUUUGAAAUUAUGAAUAUAAACAUGUUUCAAGCAUCUUUAUGGUAUUGAUUUGGUCUUUACGCCUAUUUCCGAAGUGAUUUGAUAUAUUAUAUAUGCAUAUUCUUGUGAUUCAAAAGAUGUUAACUUGAGAGCAUGCAUUAUAUGAAACCCCUCUCUUGAUAUGAAAUUGUUUGAAAUUUUCAUAUGAUGUGAAUUGUUUGAAAUCAUCUUGACAAGCAUGACAUGAACUAUUUUGAAAGUGGAUAUGAUUUUUGACUUGCAAGGAGAGGGUUAUUAUGUUGAAAUAUGAUGAAUAUAAUAGUUGCAUGAAAGAAUAAUGUGAUAUUGAUGACUUGCAAGUCGGGUAUGAUGAUACCCUACAGAAUAUGAUAUGUGAUUGAAUUAGAUGAAAUUUGAAUGCAUUGAUUUUACAUGAGAUAGGUGGAUGCCCGAAGAAGGCGUUUGAGUGUAAGGGCUCAUCGUUGGAAACCGUGUUUGCCGACAUGGAAACUUGGUACCAUGCUUUGUGAUCUUGCGUACCUAACUUUAUGUCAUUACCAAAAUGAGACUAUGGUUAGGAGCCCUGGUUUGUGAUCUUGUGCACUACCAUUGGGUCGUGUGAUCUUGUGUGUCUUCCCCUCACUUAUACUCUAAUCUCGGCAGUAACCGAUAUUUGACAGUUGGUGUAAAUGUGAUAUGUAGGGUAUUCCACCUAGCUCUGCUGCAUUGCGUUGUUGUUGUAAACAAUUACAUUACGCCCAUGUGUUUUCAAAUGAUUUUAUAUGAAACUACUUUAUAAUGACUUUCAACAAUAUUUUGUAAAAAUAUUAUGUUUUGUUUUGAUAUCUCUAUGUACCAGUACUUUUGUAUUGACCCCCUUCCCUCCCAGGUUUUAGAGGCACAGUCUAGGGGUCUAGAAAAUCAGUAGAUUUCCUCAGAUAGAUUCGCAGAGUCACUUGGUGAACCUUCUAUAUUUUUGAAGGCCUGAUAUCUGGCAGUUUCAUUUAUCAUUUAUUAGUUUUGGGUCUACUGUGGGCCUUGUCCCAGUUUUCAGAUAGAUAUUUAUUUUAGUCAUGUAGUAGAGAUUUCGCAGACGUAAUAGAGAUGUUGAUUGAGAUUGUGGGACAUUAUUCCCCAUUAUUGUUUUCAUAUAAUUCUUGACCAUGUUUCCGUUAUAUAGUGUAUCUUCCGCAUUUUUUUUCAUAUAAGUCAUGUGCAUGAUUACCAGAUAGAUAAGGGGUGUUUCGACCUUGAUGGUUCGGAAUACUCGUCACGGCCAGGUCCUCGAUUCGGGUCGUGACACCACUAAACCUAUUAAACUCAAGAGCAAGUACCUCGAACUCAAUGAGGUUGCUUAUCUCUUUGGGUAUUUCACCUGGAAACACAUAUAGUGGAUUACUGGUGAGUUUAAAUAGUUGGUUCCAUCUAUUUUUUGCUAAGAUAUAAGAAUUGCUUCUUGUUUAUGUUGUCAAUCUCCCAUGAUAUAAUCCACUAAGAUAUUAACUUUUAUAUUGUUGGUCAUACGAAAGUAUUAAAAGAAAAAAGAAAAAAAAAAUAUGUAUAGAAGAUAAAUAUAUCUGAACAGAGCCAUUAAUCUGGCUUCGCUCUCCAUGCCUAAUACCCCCAAACUUAGAUACCUCAAUUAAUUCAAUAACUGAAAUUACCCCUGCAGUUACUGUGUAGUCAAAUAAAAUACCGAAGCAAUUAGAUACAAGCAUUCAUAAGAUAAAACAUACCUGUGAAAUGGUCAGUUCCGAGAAACAAUUGCUGCAAGUUACUAAAUCUUCCAAUUUCACUAUGUAUUGGUCCAUCAAACUCAUUUUCCGAUAAACCUAGUAGUUGAAGUUGUGAGCAAUUUGACAAGCUCGUCGGCAUAUGACCAUGACGCUUGUUAUCGGAUAGAUAAAGCCCUUUGAGUAUUGGGAGACCAUUGCAUAAACCAUUGGGCAGAUAUCCGAUAAGCUAUUGCCUGUAAAUGCAAUGACUUCGAUUCUUGAGAUAUUGAAAAUUGUGAAUGGUAUAGACCCCGUAAGUUGAUUAGCUUGUAUGCCCAACAACUUCAUGUUGUGAAGAUUGCCGAUCCCUUCUGGAAUAUUCCCUUGAAGUGAAUUAAAAGAUAUAUCUAAAGUCUCCAACCUCGAGACAUUUGAGAGUGAUAGAGGAAUAGAAGCUAUGAGCUUGUUACCUCGCAACCUUAAUUCUCCAAGGUUUAUAAGACUUCCAAUCACUUUUUGUAUUUGUCCCUCAAUUGAAUUUAAAUUCAGAUUCAAAAUCUCAAGUGUGGACACAUUAGAAAAUGUAGAAGGGAUGGAACCAGUGAAACUAUUAUUUCUAAUAUUAAUAACUUGAAGUUGGUGUAAAAACCCAAAACAACAAGGAAUCGCCCCUCUGAAGUUGUUGAAACUUAAAUCAAGAAACUUAAGCCGACGUAAGCGUGCCAUUUCAUGAGGCAAAUUUCCAUGGAAAUUGUUGCUUCCCAAGUCAAGAGAAACAAGAAAUGAGAGGUUUCCAAAUUCACAAGGAAUCUUGCCAGUAAGAGCCAUGUUAGAAAGAUUCAAGGAUUUCACUCAUUGGUGACGAGAACAACAAGUGACUCCAACCCAAUGACAAACAAAAACAGCGGGAGACCAGUUUUCAUCCAAGAAGUUGGAGGGGUUGGAAAUGAUUUGAGAUUUUAAGGACAAAAGAGCUAAUUGAUCAGUGGUAAUGUUGGUUUGAGUCAUGGCUGAACUAGCCAUAAGCAACAAGAGUGUUGAAGAGAAAAAAUGUGAAGAUUUUCUCCAUUAUUGCAUAAAUUUGUAGGUAGGCUCCAUAACAUGUGAUUUUGAGACUUUAAAUAGCAAUGAGGUCUCCCUUUUGGUCUUCAUGAUUUUAAAAAAAAUACUUUUCCUCAUUCAUUCUCUUAUAUUUAGUGGCUGAAUCAAAAUUUUCAACAAAAAAAUUCAAAAUAUAAAGAAGUAAAUUCAUCAAAAAAUCAAAGAGUAUCAUUAUGUAAUAUAUACAUAAAAAAUAUUUUUACAUACCUACACAAUGUAUUUUUUAGACUAACAUGUGGCUCCGCCAUUGGUCAUAUCAAUUUUAAUUUCACCAAGUUUUGCACGUUUCAAUCAGCCCAAGACUUGUGCAAGUCAUCAACCAAGUCUUGCUUUAUCUUUUCUGGACUAGACUUUAUGUUCCUCUAAUAGAUUAGUAAAAUUAACUUAUACUAUACGCUCGAGAAAUAUUUUUACAAGAUUUGCAUAGUUUACAUCUUUAUAAUCCUUUUAUCUCUAGCUAAGAAAGAAUAUGUUGUUAAUUUAGAUCAUUUUUGUAUACAAUGGUAAUAAAAGGAGCUUUUAAUUAUAGUUUAUAAUGUUAGAAUUUUUUUCCUGAUUUUCUUACCAAGUUUAAGUUUUUCUUUUCUUGAAAAAAAAAAAUAAUACCAUAAUUACUUUUACUUUUCCUAAAAAGAAAAUAUAAAUCUUUUUCAUAUUUGGCAAACGUCUUUCUUGGAGGAAAGGUUUUGAAUUUGAACAUGUGGUAGUUCAUUACUAUAACACAAUAACCUCCACAAGGUAGUUCAUUAAAUAAUUUUGUUUAGAGGGAUAUUUUCUCCUAAUAGGUUUUAAAUUUUUCAUUAUUAUUUUAAUAUGUAGGUCAUUUGACCAAAUCAUAUUAAUAAUAUAUUUUUAGUAUUUGUUUUUAAUUUAGUAUCAUCUUAUUUAUCAUUUCUAUAGUUUGCAACUAUUAGCUUCCGCAUGAUUCCCUCUCGAUUUCGAACCCAACAUAUAAUUUGUUUGAAAUUUUGAUUUGUUUUAUAAUAAAUUUGUAUGAACUUUUUUUUUAUAAAAGAAUUCACAACAUUAAGAGCCCAUUUGAAUAGGAUUAAAAUCAGGUCAAAUUAAUUUUUAAACUUUUAUUUUUAGUUUUUUUUUAAAAAAUAUUUGAUAAAAUUAAAAAGUGCUAAAAAAAUGAAAAAACUAUUUUUUUUUUAAAUAAAAAUAAAAAAGUGGGAAGCUGUGUACCCUCACCUUUUUAUUUUUUGGAUUAAAAUUCUUGGAGGUUUUGAUAAAAAUAUUUAUCUUUUUAUCCCUUAUAUUUUCCUUUAAUUCCAAUGAUACCAUGAACUUGUAGCCCAUGAAUAUGUGAUUUUUCUUUCUUUUUUUCCCUGGUUCUUUUUGUCUCUUUCCUUCAAUUUUCUCUUCAUCUUUCUCCUUUGUUUUGAGAAAAUUCAUCAUUACAUCGGAGGUUUGUUCAUGAACUUUUCUUAAGUGUCGUAUUUUCUAGACAUGUUCUAUCUCUUUUAUUUUAAAUAUUUUUUAGUUAGUUUAAAAUGAAGGAUUCUCUUGUUAUCUCGACAUUGUAUUUUUCUCCACAAAUUUUUCAAAUGGAAUAAGUCAAAAGAAACAAGAAAUGUGAGGCUUCCAAAUUCACUGGAAAUCUUGCAAGAGUUAUGUUGGAAAGAUUUAAGGAUCUCACUCUCUGGUGAUGAGAAUCACAAGUAACUCCUACCCAAUGGUAAACAAAAGUACCAGAAGACCAACUCUUUUUUUAUAAAUAUAAAUAUACAUGUCAAGCAAGUCUAGAAGAUAUAUAUAUAUAUAUAUAUAAAGACUUGUACAAAUCAACCAAGUCAUGUUUUAUUUCACAUUGGGCUUAAAUUCUUUGUAAAUAGUCUCGCUUUCGCAUUCUCUAGAAUACUUACUACUCUCUUAGUCCUAUAAUAAGUUUGACCUUAAUAAACAAAAACUAUUAUUACCUAAGGAAUUCUAGAAAAAAAAUCUUAUGUUUUUCCAAUUAUACUCUUGUACUCCAUCUUCUUGACAGUGUCCAAUUUUCAAGAGAAAUUUAUUAAAUUGGGGUAAUUUAGUAAAUUAAAUAUCUUUUUUGUCUUGAUUUCUUGAAGGGAGUGAUUUUUGCUAUGAUAACAUUUUUUCUUUUUGGGGCGGCUGUUACCACUAUUAAACAAUAAAUCAAUAAUUAUUGUUUAGUUGGCUUGGAAAAAAAAACAGUUAGACGGUUUCCUAUUGGAUGGUUUUAAAAAUAUUUCUCCAUAUUACCAACUUUCAGCAAGCAAAGAAGAAAAUUUGCUUUCACGUUCUACAAUUGGUGUUGAAUUUGGUACAAGAACUAUUCAUGUUGAUGACAAAAUUGUCAAAGUUCAAAUUUGGGAUACUGCUGGUCAAGAAAUGUGCCAUUUCCUUUUCCUUUAUUCUAUUAUUAAAUCGUGAUGGAUCUAGAAUUUUAAGUUGAUAUGUAAUUGUGAUUAAUGCGCGCACACACAUAUAUAAUGUUUGACCAUAUUUUGGUGUUCGCAGGUAGGUAUUUAAACUUGUAUACAAUUGAACAAGUAGAAAUACACAUCAUAUGUGACAACUACGUCGCAUCUACAUGGCAAUCUCAUACGAAUUACCACAUAGAUGACACAUAGGGCGUGUGUGUUUACUUGUUCAAUCUAACACAAAUUUAAGUGUCUAUUUGUGCACAUCCAAAGUUGGAGGACAUAGAUGCGAGCUGAAGUCAAGUUAAAGGGCAUACUUACGUAUGAUGCCAAAUUUGUAUGUUGAAAGAAUUCGAUGGUGAAAUAUAUGCUACGAAAGAAGUGGUUAUGUUGACCUUAUGCUACGAUUCUUCGUUCUCUUAAUAAAUUUCUAGUUAGAUGAUCACUGUGUCCACUAAUUUUACAAUAUCCGCGCCUCUCCCUGAAUUAUAUCUGAUCGUUUUUCAUGUCUCAUAAAAAGGUAUCGAUCCAUCACUAGUGGAAAUUAUCGCGGAACAGUGGGUGCCUUACUGGUUUACGACAUAACACGCCAUGUUACAUUUGAGAAUGUAGCAAGAUGGCUCAAAGAAUUGAGAGACCACACAGACCAAAACAUCGUUUUAAUGCUCGUGGGGAAUAAGGCGGAUCUUCGCCACCUCAGAGCUUUCCCCACGGGCGAAUCAAGUGGUUUUGCAGAAAGAGAGAACACUUUCUUCAUGGAAACAUCUGCACUUGAGGCACUCAAUGUAGAAAACUCCUUCACAGAAGUACUCACUCAGAUUUAUCAAGUGGUUAGUCGUAAAGCUCUUGAUAUAGGAGAUGAUCCUGCAUCUAUACCAAGAGGACAGACAAUUAACAUCGGAAAAGAUGAUGUAUCUGCUGAUAAGAAAGGUGGAUGUUGUUCAGAAUGAGUAUGAUCCCUUUUUCCGUAUACACAAAGGUGGACUCUCCCUAGAUCUGCCUCUGGAUGAAAGCAUAUAAUACUCAAAACUAAUCUCAUUUUCAACAAAUGUAAGUUGGACAAAAGAACUAAUAGCACAGUAUAUUGUUGAGGAAACUAAAGGGGGAUGGAAUUUGUAAAAGGGGAAUUUCAGCUAAGCAAAACUUCUUGUUUCCAUAAGAUACUUGCAAUAGACUGAAUGUCUAUGUUGCUCGGACUCUUCAAAAAUGUAGAUGUGUGCGUGUUUGAAUCUUCUAAAGUAGUGUAUUUUUUAAGUAUUCUGUCAUAAGGCUGCAACAGUCAGAUUUAUUGCAACCAGCUAGAACUGUUGAAAACAGAAUCAUGCCCAAAUCAAGUGCUAAAAGAUAAAAGCGAACCACUAUAAAAAUUUGCAACAUUGUUCAACAUGCAAGAAGUUGAACAUUGAUCUUCUGUAGCAUUCCUAUAACAUCGCUCAUGUUAGUCCUUCUUGCCGGAUUUUCAGCACAACAAUCCAAUGCUACAAUCAUGAUUGAUGCCACAACAUCUAGUUUCAUUUGUAAGCGACUACCCAUUUGGGUUACCAAGUUGGCAUCUACGACGUCCAUUACAGCAUCUGGAAGUGAAAAACUCACCCAUUGCUUCAAGCUAAGAUCUCCCUCAAACUCAUUGGGCUUUCUCCUAGUAAACGUUUCCAGCAACAUGACCCCAUAACUAUAGACGUCGCACUUUGCUGACACUAGUCCAUUCAGUCCAUACUCUACAGUCAAACAAUUCAUUUAAAGAUACAAUAAACUUUCUUGGUAGGAAAAAAGGAAAGGAGUAAUCAGCAAAACUAAGAGAUGUACCUGGAGCAAUAUAACCUAAUGUUGCUAAGGUUUUAGUGUAUAAAUCACCCUGAUCUUCACCAAGCAGUUUUGAAAUGCCAAAGUUGCUUAGGUGGGCAACCAUAUCUUCAUCCAGCAAGACGUUACUAGGCUUCACGUCACAGUGAAUCACAGGCAACGAGCACCCAUGGUGAAGAUAUUCCAAAGCACAUGCCACAUCUAUCAUUAUGCUUAGUCUCUGCUUGAUGUCGAGGAAGUAGUUGUGUGAAUACAAAUACUUCUCAAGAUUCCCAUUAGGCAUAUAAUCAAGAACUAAAGCCUUGAAAUCAUGAUUGGAACAACUAGUAAUGACUUUUACGAUAUUCCUAUGGCCAAGGCUACGCAAAAUUUCACGUUCCGUAUCAAAACUCUUGAAUGCCGCAUCCAGUUUCAGGUUGAACACUUUAACUGCAAUGACAGUUCCACUUCUGAGAACGCCUUUGUAAACAGAGCUAAAACCUCCAGAACCAAUCAGAUUACUCUCACUAAGCGCAUUAGUUGCUCGGAGAAGUUCAUAGUAUGAAAUCCUUUCACUUGCUUCGGUAGACAAUGAAUUAGCUUGUUGAGGAGCACUUUUACCUCUUCUAUACCUUAUCCAUAGGAAAACAAAGGUCAUAGGAACAAAUACAACUGCAGUUGCGAGCAAAAGAAUAAGUACUAGCAAUUUUUUUCUAUUUGAUCUGAGCUUUGAUGAAGUGGGGCAUGGUGGGACACUAAAUCUUGAAGAACCACACAAUGCUUCAUUAUAGAUGAAAAACUGACUCGAGAGGUUCUUGAAAGGACCCCUCGAGGGUAUUUCACCGUACAAUUGGUUGUGUGAAACAUUGAAAUACUUGAGGUAUUGAGGUUUCUCCAAAGACAUGGGAAUGAUUCCCGAUAAAUUAUUGUGAGAAAGGUCUAGGAAUUCCAAACCUACCAUGUUGAUCAUUGAGUCAGGUAUAGCUCCUUGCAACUUGUUGUGUCUCAAAGAAAGGUACGCUAAAUUUUGCAAGCCUCCAAUUUCUCUAGGAAUUUCAUUUGAGAAAUGAUUUAUCGACAGAUCCAUCUUUGUUAUGGCCUUUAGAUUUCCAAUUUCUGGAGGUAAUGAGCCUACCAUGUUGUUUGACGAUAAGUCAAGAACCACUAGGUCAUGAAGGUUCCCUAAGCUUGGUGGUAUAUUAGAACUCAAUUUGUUGGAACCGAGAUGCAUCUCCCUAAGGGAAGUAAUAUUCCCUAAACAAUAAGGAAGAGAUCCUGAUAAUUGAUUUCGACCCGAGUAAAUAUCACCCAAAUGCUGCAAUUUACAUAUAUGAUCUCCAAUAAAUCCUGUCAAUUUGUUGCUAUUCAAGUUGAACCGCUGAAGGUCUCUCAAGUUUCCAAUUGAUGUUGGAAUCGAUCCGACCAAGUUAUUCCCAGAAAGAUCAAGGUCUAAUAAGAUGCUUAAGUUCCCAACUUCAUUUGGAAUUCGCCCUUUGAUUUUGCCAUUGUUGGCAUAAAAAUUUCUAAGGGAUGUGGAAAGGUUCCCUGUGGAGGCCGGAAGCAUAUCAUUUAGAGGGUUGGAAGAUAUAUCAAGAAAUGUUAAAUUUUUACAAUUGGUUAAGGAAGUCAGGAAGCUUAAUGAUGAGUCGCUAGUCAAAUUGUUUCCCCCUAAAUUUAGUAACUGUAGAUGAGUCAAAUAUCCAAGAGAAUUGGGAAUCAAGCCAGUGAGUUGGUUGAUAGAAAGCUCUAGAUGAGUAAGUUUUGAACAAUUGGAAAUGGAAUAAGGAAUAGUCCCAACAAGAUUGGUUAAGUUGUUCAUAUAAAGCUCUUCAAUGUUGGGUAAGAUAGAACACAUGUUUGGGGGGAGGUUUCCUGAUAGAUUGUUGUCUGAAAGAGAAAUCAGUUUCAGCCCUGAUAUGUUGAAGAUCUCCAUUGGGAUUGAACCACUAAAUCUAUUAUUGCUAAGACUAAGUAGCUCCAACUCAAUGAGAUUGCUUAUCUCUUUGGGUAUUUCACCUGGAAACAUAUAUAGUGGAUUACUAGUGAGUUCAAAAAGUUGGUUCAAUCUAUUUUUGCUAAGAUAUAAGAAUUGCAUCUUGUUUAAGUUGUCAAUCUCCCGUGGUGAGAAUCCACUAAGAUAAAAACAUACCUGUGAAAUGGUUAUAUCCGAGAUACAAUCGUUGCAAGCUACUCAAUCUUCCAAUUUCACCAUGUAUUGGUCCAUCAAACUCAUUUUUUGAUAAAGACAAUACUUGAAGUUGUGAACAAUUUGACAAGCUUGUAGGCAUACGACCGUGAAGCUUGUUAUAAGACAGAUAAAGCCCUUUGAGUAUUGGGAGACCAUAGCAUAAACCAUUGGGAAGACUUCCUGAUAAGCUAUUGCCAGUAAAUGAAACGAUUUCGAUCCUAGAAAAAUUGAAAAUUGUGAAUGGUAUAGAACCCGUAAGUUGAUUAUAUUGUAUGGACAACCAGUUCAUGUUGUGAAGAUUGCCAAUUCCUUCUGGGAUGUUUCCUUGAAGUGAAUUAAAAGAUAAAUCUAAAGUCUCCAACCAUGAGGCAUUCGAGAGUGACAGAGGAAUAAAGCCUAAGAGAUUAUUACCCCUCAAGUUUAAUUCUCUAAGGUUUCCAAUCAUUUUUGGUAUCUGACCCUCUAUGGAAUUGAAAUUCAGAUUCAAAGUACCUAGUGUGGAUAUAUUAGAAAAUGAAGAAGGGAUGGACCCAGUGAAACUAUUAUUCCUAAGAUUUAGAACUUGAAGUUGGUGUAAAAAUCCAAACCAUGAAGGAACCUCCCCGCCAAAGUUGUAGACACUUAGAUCAAGAAACUUAAGCCGGCGCAACUGUGCCAUUUCUUGAGGCAAAUUUCCAUGGAAAUUGUUGCUUCCCAAGUCAAGAGAAACAAGAAAUGUAAGGUUCCCUAUUUCACGGGGUAUUACACCCAUAAGAUUCAUGUUGGAAAGAUUCAAGAAUCUCACUCUUUGGUGACGAGAGCCACAAGUGACUCCAUCCCAAUGGCAAACCGACGUAGCUGGAGACCAACUUUCAUCAAAGAGGUGAAGGGGUCUGACAGGAUUUGAGAUUUCAGGGAAAGAAGAGCUAAUUGAUCAGUGGAGAUAUUAAAUUGGGUCAUGGCUGAGCUACUUAUAACAAAGUACUGAAGCAACAAGAGAAAACAGGUGAAAGGAACAAGUUUCUCCAUAAUUGCAUAUAUUGGUAAGAAUGUGGAUAUGGAUUGUAAUGAUGUGGUUUUGAGACUUUAAAUAGGAAAGAGGCCUCUUUCUCUUUCUGAUUUUAAAAUCUACAAAAAUCUCUUUUAUGAGAAUUUUCCAUACAUACAUAUUUUAAGGAAAGAAGGAACAGCUUUCCUUUAUUCAUUAUUUUAGUCAUUUGAAGACUAAUAAUACAACUAAAGAAACAAAAAAAAAAGUAACUUUAAUUUGUUUAAGUAGCAGAUCAAGAAAGAAGACUCAAAAAGGAGUCUUCCACGAAGUUUGUCACCUCUACUGCAAAAGCAAUAUAAUAUCAAAAGUUUAUUUAACUAACUGCCCAUUGUCAGAUAAUAUCAAAAGCUUAUUUAACUAACUGCCCAUUGUCAGAUGAUAAGCAUACUGUUUCUUAUCAAAAUUAAGUUUACUUUUCUUAUAAGAAAAAUAAAAGUAAUACCAUAAUAACUUUUAAUUUUCCUGAAAGGAAAAGAUAAAACUUUUUCAUAUUUGGUAAACCUCUUUGUAAUAUGAAAGGUUUUGGACCUCUAUAAAUAGAAACCCUUCUUAUACCUUAACAACACAGUAACAUCCAUAAUGUAGUCUUUAAAGAAUUCAGUUUAUUGGGAGAUUUCUCCCAAUAAAUUGAAUAUUUUUUUAUAUUAGAUUUUUAAUAUGUAGGUCUCUUGACCAAAACAUAUCAAUAAUAUUAUGUUUUUAAUUUAGUUUUCUUUUGCGUUGAUUUAUCAUCUCAUGGAUUGCAAACUUUAAGCUUACGCAUGACGCCUUCUUGAUUUCGAUCCCAACAAGUGCUAUCAAAGUUUAUGGUUCAAUGAUCCGGUGGUUCAGAUUGAGGACAUAUUAAGAUCAAAGUUGCAAUCAGUUUGAUGAUGAUGAAGAUCUUUGUCUAGCUACAUGUGGAGAAGUAGUUUAAAACAUAUUUUCAACAUUUCUGCUGCUGCAUCUUUAAAAAUAAAAAUAAGAUAUUUUUUAAAUAAUUUUUAAACUUUAUUUUUAACUAUGGCAAGCAACAAUUAUGAAGAUUAUAUCAAGAACGAAGUUUAUGCCUGUGAUGUGAAGAAGACAGAUCAAGUGAAGAAAAUAAUGUCAAAAAGAGGAAAUUUGUUAGGGGUUUUUGCUCUGAUUUUCUUACCAAAAUUAUGUUUUAAGAAAAAUAAAAGUAAUACCAUAAUUAAUUUUAUUUUUCCUAAAAGGAAAAUAUAAAAAUUUUCCUUCGCAAACCUCUUUCUAUGAGGAAAGGUUUUGGAACUCUAUAAAUAGAAGGACCCCCUUCUUAUACCAUAAUAUAGAAGCAUCCACAAUGUAGUCUUUAAAGAACCUUUGUUUAGGGGGAGAUUUCUCCCAAUAAAUUUAAUGUUUUUCGAUAUUAGAUUUUCAAUAUGUAGGUUUCUUGACCAAAACAUAUUAAUAAUAUUAUGUUUUUAGUUUAGUUUUCUUUGUUGUCUGAUUUAUCAUCUCAUGGUUUGCAAACUUUAAGUUUUCGCAUGACGCCGUCUCAAUUUUGAGUCCAACACAUAGUGAGUCAACAUAAUGGGCAAUGAAGAAUGUCUGCAAUCUCAAAAACACACACAUGAACACUGUUAAAGAACAUAAAAUAAUAAACCAUUAAAUCCAUAUUAAAAAUAGCAUUUCCCAUUUAUUAACCUUUUCUUUUUUUCUUUUGGUGAAAUAUGCACGUGGCAAUAGGAAAUGAAAAAUUGACAAAUAUUUAUGCAGACACUCAAAAUAAAAUAUAAUAAUAAUGUCACAUUAUAUGUGGCCCCCCCAAUUACAUCAGUCAAGUCAAACUCUCCCUCACUUGACAGUGGUUUUGUUUGCCUCCCCUCUCACUGCUCUUCCCCUAUGCUUUCUCUCAUCCUUAUUACUUCUGAAAGCAGCACCAAAGAGGCAAAAAAGUAGGAAGGGGGCGACAAGGGUACAGAAUGUGAAUGGAGGAGUUGCAAAGGCGGCAGCAAGGGUGAUGAAAGGGAGUGUAGGAGUUGUGAAAGCGGAGGAGAAAGUGAAGGGGGUUGCGGAGGAGAUGCAAUACCGGGGAGAUGCAAUACUGGGGAUUACGGAAGAGGCCGUCGGGGAAAUACACUGCAACCACUAGAGAUCCGAGGAAAAUAUGCAACUAUUUUUAUAGAUUCGUUAAAACAAUUAAAUUUCUAUUAAAAUAGGUGUGUAAUGAAUAAUAAAAGGCAACAAUUACAAAUAAAUCUAUAUAAGUAUGACAAGAAGCAAUAAUUCAGGGUGUAUUUUAAUAUGACAAGAAGAAAUAAUUCGGGGUAUAUUUUAUGUUUAAAAUUAAUUUUUAAUUUUAAGCAAUGAACUGUAAAUUGUGAACUUUAAUUAGUAGUUGGCAAAUUUUAAAUAAAGUCACAAAUAACUAUUUUGAGCCCAAAUAAAAAUAGAGACUUUCUAUAGAAAUUCAAAGAAAAUUAAAUUUAAGAAGCGUAAUAGACAGAAAAAAUAAAACAGAGAAGGAAAAAUACAAUAUUCACAUCCUUCUUAAGACUUUAUUCAUAACAAUAUAAAUGGAAAAAGAAAUAUAGAAUCGGUACAUGGUUGAUUGAGCUCUUGUCGGCACUAUCUCACAUAAUCAAUCAAAUUUCAAGAGUCUUCUUCAACGAGUCAAACUAAAACAAGAAUCAAGUAGUACAAUAAAAAAAAUGUCUUUCGCUACUAUAACUAUUGAAUGAAAAAGUUAAUUUUGUGGGGAAGGAGUCUCAUGAAAUAAAAAAGAUGAAUUUAUAUAGAUAAAGUUUUGAAUUAAAUAUUUAUAUCAAUACUAAUACCACCAAAUCAACCAAGUCUUUUACAUCCCAAUCAGAAUUAUAAAUAUGGUGGCAAAAUUCCUCUAAUUAGCCAAAGACUUGGCAAGUCAACCAAGUCUUUCUUUAUUUUUUGUGUGCUUAAUUCUUUGUAAAUAGUCUUGCUUUCAUAUUCUCUAGAGUUGUGCGGUGAAAAGUAAUGUCAGUUUACUAACUUAUACUAUAAUGUCUUCUUAAUAUUAAUCAAGUUUAAUCCAUUUGGCACUACUGGAUUUAUCCCAGGCAAUGAGAGCCUUUCAAGAUAGUCAAGUUUUGUCUAGUGAAUUACCUUAUAUAAUGAUGAAUAAUUCCAUUCACUAUCAUCACUCACUUAAUUAUACUAUUAUUUUUCUAGGUAAAGGCAACUCUCUAGAUCUUAUGCUAUGAACACAUCUCUGGCCAAAUAGUGAACAUGAACAAAACUUGCUAUAUGGUGGCUCCAAACAUGUCACGGUCCGAACAGGGGCCCUCACCGUGACAAGCAUUCCGAAUCAUGAAGGCCCAAAACACCCCUAUCUAUCUGGUAAUCAUGCACAUAAUUCAUGCGAUAAAAUGAAAUGCGGAAGAUACACAAUAUCACAGAAACAUGGUCAUGAAAUCUAAUGAAAUCAAUAAGGGGAAAUAACGUCCCACAACAUCUAUCGACAUCCGAAAACCGUUUGCGAAAUCUCUACUAAUGACUAAAACAAACAACUAUCUGAAAACAGGGACAAGGUCCCCAGUAGACCCAAAACUAUUAAAUGAUAAAUAAACUGCCAGACAUCAGGCCUUCAAGAAUAUAGAAGGCUCACCACUCGACUCUGCAAAUCUGUCUGAAGAAUCUACUAAUUAUCUGAACUGCAAGACUGUGCCUCCGAACCUGGGAGGGAAGGUGUAAUGCCCUGCAAUUCGGACUACAAUAUAGACCAUGAUUUCGAUGCGUUGUUAAUUCUGAAGCCAUAAAAUUCUAUGCCAAUACGGCAUGUUAAUUAUCGUGUAGCAUAUGAAAUCCACUCAAGCUUCAAUUUAGAUCAUAGAGGUCCUACAAUUCAAGGACGAGUCAAAACUAUUUUGAUCGACUAAGUUUUAGUGGACGUUGUAAAGUGUGUCAUCUUCCUUCAACCAUAACUCUCUGUAUAUGUCGAAUUAGGAAACCUACUAUGUGUCAAAUGAUAGGUAUUCGAGUUAGCUUUCCAACGACACCUAUUUGGCUAAAAUCCGACACCUGAGCAAGAAGUUAUAACCUUUUAAAGUGAUAAGCGAUGCCUAACCAAUCGCCCAUGGCCACUGGAAAGCAUAGACGAUAGCCUAGGCGGCACCUAUGUGAUAUCAGGCGAUAGCCUAGGCGGCACCUAUGUGAACAUAGGCGAUAGCCUAGGCGACGCCUAUGUGAAAAUAGGCAAUGAGAUGGGCGGCGCCUAUGUAAGGAAUUCUAAUGAUUUAAACACUCCGUGUUGAGGAUAAAGUGGUCCUUUUCCACCCUUACUUAGCCCUAAAACACGAGAUUUAGUUCCAAGGAUCCCAAAAUACAUAUUCUUUCAUCAAAAGUGCUUAAGAUUCUCCUUAGGGUUUUAAAAAUAAAAACCCAAAUAGUUCAAGAUUUGACCUUAGGUUUUCAAAGAUAACUACAUAUUCGGAAUCACCAAUCUGCAAUCUUCACGAAGCAUUUAUUAUCCUUGGAAAUAGAGGUACAUGGGGUUAUCCAAAAAUAUCAUGGGUGUAGUUUUAUGAACAUGCAUGCUUUUAAAUGGGGUUUUCAAUCAAAUGCUAAUAUCUUGCUUUCAAUAUGAUUUCUAAGUCAUUUUCUUUAUGUUAUGGGAAUUGUUUGCCUAUAUACUUCAAUGGUUGAAAUCAUGCACAUGUGAUUUGAGAUUUUCCAUGGAAGUUGAUAAAUAUGAAUGAUAAAUUAUUUUAAAAUUCCCAUGAUAAUGUUUCGAUACUCCAUAUUAUAUUGUGAUCAACAAAAGAGAGCAUGAAUUUGAAAUAAAUAUUGUUCACCACUCGUAAAUGAUGAAGCACCUUGGUUUUUACAUGGUUAUGCAUAUGUGGAUGUGACAUUGGUGACUUGCAAAUAGGGUAUGAUGAUACCCUUCAAAAUACAAUAUGUGAUUGAAAAAAAAUUUAAAUUUGAAUGCAUUGAUUUUACAUGAGAAAAGUGGAUGCCCGAAGAAGGUGAUUGAGACACAAGGGCUCAUCGCUAGAAUAACGUGUUUGCCGACACGAAAUAUUGGUACCAGGCUAAGCGAUCUAUGUACUUGACUUCAUGUUGGGACUAUAGGUAGGAGCCUGAGCCAAGUGAUCUUGGGCACUAUCAUAGGGUUGAGACACCAUGCUGUGUCGUCUUGAGUGUCUCUCCCUAACUUAUACUCUAAUCUCGGCGGCAAUCGAGGUUUGACAGUUGGUGUAAAUUAUGUAGGGUAUUCCACCUAGCUCAGUUGCAUUUCAUUACUGUUGAGAAAAAUUAUUGUAUUACACCCAUGUAUUUUCAAAUUAUACGAAAUUGCUUUAUAAUGGCUCUCAUCUAUGUUUUGUAAAAAUAUUAUGUUUUGCUUUGAUAUCUCUGCGUGCCAGGACUUUUAUGCUGACCCCCUCCCCUCUCCAACCUCUUAGGUUCAUAGGCCCAGUCUAGGGGUCAAGAGAACCAGUAGAUCUUUCAGACAGAGUUGCAGAGACAAGUGGUGAGCCUUCUAUGUUUUUGAAGGUCUUAUGUCCUGUAGUCCUUUUAUCUUAUAUUAGUUUUGGGUCUGCUGGGGGCCUUAUCCCAGUUUUUAGAUAGUUAUUUGUUUCAGUCAUAUAGUAGAGAUUUCGUAGACGAUUUUCGAGAUGUUGAUUUAGAUUGUGGGAUAUUAUUCCCCAUUAUUGUUUUCAUAUGAUUCUUGACCAUGUUUUCGUUAUAUUGUGUUUCUUCCACAUUACUUUGAUCAUAUAAAUUAGGUGCAUGAUUACCAGACAGAUAGGGGUGUUUUGGGCCUCCAUGGUUCGAAAUGCUCGUCAUGUCCAGGCCCUAGUUUGGGUCGUGAUAAACUUGGUAUCAAAGCACGGUUCAUGGUCCCAGGGUGUCUGCAAAAUCAUGUCGAGUAGAGUCUUAUUUAUGGGUGUAUAGCGCACCACACUUAUAAGCAGGAGGCUGCUAGGUGUUUAGGAAAUAUUUUCCUUCUUUGUGAUUUAGUUCAUGCUUCAGAGUCUGAACUGUCCCCUAAUCAAUGAUCACUUGUGUUUCAGAAACACAGUUAUGCCUCCGUGUCGUAUCGUCGAUCAGAAUGCUCAGGCGGAUGAGGUUCGUCCCACCUAUGGGAUGCAAACCCAUAAUAGGGCUCACACUCUAGAAUUUAUCCCUACUCCGGGGUUCCCUCUAGUCCCAACUAGUCCACCUCGGGCUCCGCGGACUAAUGUCAACCAUCCCUCAACUGCGCUAGGAGAUAUUUCAAAUGUAGAAUUCAAAUGGUUUAUUCAUGUGCUAACACAGUUGGUAGCCAACCAAGCUCAACGAUCGUAUGAUGUUGGGUCUGCAUCUAUUACAUCUGAGGCUACUAGAGUCGGACAUUUUAUGAAGAUGAACCCACCUAAGUUCACUGGCACCAAGCUGGAGGAAGAUCCACAGGAGUUCGUGGAUGAGAUGGAAAAGAUCUUCAAGGUGAUGCAUAUGGAUGAGGUUGAAGGGGUGGAGUUAGCAACCUAUCAGCUCAAAGACGUUGCGAGUCAGUGGUAUGUCGAAUAGGAAGAUGAAAAAGGUGAAAGUGCUGAGUCCGCAGUUUGGGGUGAAUUUUUGGAAGCCUUCCUUGAUCGAUUCUUUCCUCUGGAGUUGAGGGAGGCCAAAGUGGAAGAGUUUAUGAAUCUGAAGCAGGGCAGUAUGAGUGUCCAGGAGUACACUUUGAAGUUUAAUAAACUGGCCUUCUAUGCACCAGAGUUGACUAGUAAUAUGAGGGCCCGAUUGAGGAAAUUUGCAUCUGGCCUUGCUGAUAACCUGGUACUUGAGUGCCAGGGGGAUAUGUUGAAUAAGGAGUUAGACUUUGAUUGACUGACCGCUCAUAUACAUUAAGUGGAAGAGAAGAAGAAAAAGAUUGUUGAAUUUAGAGAGAAAGAUAGACAGGCUAAGAGAGCUAGAUCUGCGGACCAGCACCAGAGUCAGCCGCAGAGUGGUAAAUAGGGUAUUAAGUGGUCGAAGAAGAAGAAGUUUUGGAAUAAUGCACUGUCAGCAGCCAGCGCCCCAACAACCAGACCACCGACAGACAGACAAACUCAGAGUUUUCAGACUCCUCAUGGGUCCAAAGCUCUAGGUACACAUUCUUAAGGCAGUGUGGCCCAGCAACGUUAUACUCGUUUGCAGUGUGAGGUUUGCGGAAGGAAUCAUCUAAGAAAGUGCUGGUUUGAGGGGAAAAACUACUAUACUUGUGGCUAAGUGGGUCACCUUCAAAGAGAUUGUCCAUUUGCUGGAGUAAAUGCGGGGGGAGGGGGGCUAAGUCCCAAGUCGCCUCCACAGCCCCUUUCCCUAAGGGUGCCCCUUCAGCUACCGGAAGUGGUCUUCUUUGACUAACCGCUAGGAGGCGGAAGCUUCACCAGAUGUUGUCACUGGUAUGUUACAAAUGUUUUCUUGUGAUGUUUAUGUUUUUCUUGAUCCCGGGUCUACUUUAUCUUAUGUGACCCUUUAUGUGGCUGUUGGUUUCGGGUUUGAGCCCGAAGUUAUUGUAGAAACCUUUUCUGUUUCUACUCCAAUAGGUGAUUUUGUUGUUGCUAGAAGGGUAUAUAGAAAUUGUGUCAUGUCUACUCAUAUUAGGAAAACUGUGGCAGACCUUAUAGAACUUGAUAUGAUAGAUUUUGAUGCCAUCCUUGGGAUGGACUGGCUCUAUUCAUGUUAUGCCACCCUUGAUUGCAGAACCCAAAAGGUCACUUUUUCUUUCCCGAAUGAGACACCAGUUGUUUGGGUUGGGAGUUCUGUGGAACCUAAAGGUCAUUUUAUCUCUUAUCUUAGAGCCUAAAAACUUAUCUCAAAAGGUUGUAUGUAUUAUCUAAUCCGAGUAAAGAUUCAAAAGUUGGAAACCUUCCUCUGCAGUCAGUCCCUGUAGUGAAUGAAUUCCUAGAAGUCUUUUCCGAAGAUCUCCCAGGGAUACCCCCUGAUAGGGAGAUAAAUUUUGGCAUUGAUGUGUUGCCAGACACUCGUUCUAUUUCUAUUCCGCCAUGUAGAAUGGCUCCCGCAGAACUAAAGGAGUUAAAGGAACAGCUUGCAGACCUCCUAGACAAAGGUUUUAUUUGUCCUAGUGUUUCCCCAUGGGGUGCACCCAUGCUCUUCGUGCAAAAGAAGGCUGGGUCCCUUCGGAUGUGCAUAGAUUACCGUCAGCUGAAUAAGGUCACCAUUAAAAAUAAAUAUCCUCUUCCUAGGAUUGAAGACCUUUUUGACCAGCUUCAGGGUGCCAAGUGUUUUUCCAAAAUAGACCUUUGUUUGGGUUAUCAUCGGUUAAAAGUUAGGGAGUCAGACAUACCCAAGAUAGCCUUCCGAACCCGAUAUGGUCACUACGAAUUUCUAGUCAUGUCCUUCGGGUUGACUAACGUCCCUGCAGCCUUCAUGGAUCUUAUGAAUAGAGUGUUUCAUCAGUUUCUUGACUCGUUCGUCAUUGUAUUUAUUGAUGAUAUUCUAAUCUAUUCUAAGAAUAAAGAGGAUCACGCCAAUCACCUCUGAAUUAUCCUUCAGACCCAUAAGGAUCAUCAACUGUAUGCCCAAUUUUCUAAGUGUGAAUUCUGGUUAGAUGCUAUUGCCUUCCUGGGGAGUAUUGUGUCCAGUGAGGGGAUAAGAGUGGAUCCCCAGAAAGUUGAAGCAGUGAGAAAAUGGCCCAGACCCACGACUCCAACCGAUAUUCAGAGCUUCUUGGGUUUGGCGGGGUUUUACAGAAGGUUCGUAGAGAGUUUUUCUUUCAUAGCUUCUCCGCUUACUAAACCGACUUAGAAAAAGAUGAAUUUUGUGUGUUCUGACUUGUGUGAAAAUAGUUUUGAGAAAUUGAAGGACAAGAUGGCUACUGCUUCUGUUUUGACCCUUCCCGAGGGUGUAGAUAUUUUAUGGUUUAUUGUGAUGCGUCCCAUGUGGGACUUGGUUGUGUAUUGAUGCAGCGUGGUAAGGUGAUAGCUUAAGCAUCUAGGCAGCUAAAGGUGCAUGAGCACAAUUACCCCACUCAUGACUUGGAGUUAGCAGCCGUGGUGUUUUCACUUAGAAUUUGGAGGCACUAUCUCUAUGGAGUACAUGUUGAUAUUUAUACUAACCAUAAGAGUUUACAGUAUGUUUUCUCACAGAAAGAAUUAACCCUCAAGCAUAGGCGUUGGAUGGAACUUUUGAAAGUCUAUGAUAUGAGUCUGCAUUACCCUCCGGGUAAGGCAAAUGUUGUAGCCGACGCCCUCAGCAGAUUGUCUAUGGGCAGCCUUUCUCAUGUAGAAGAAAGAAAGAAAGAUAUGGUGAAGGAUAUUCACUGCCUUGUAAAUCUGGGAGUACAACUCUUAGAUUCCGAAGAUGGAGGGGUGAUUGUUCAUGAGUUAGCUAAGUCAUCUCUUUGUGCUGAAGAUAAGAAGAAGCAGGUUGAAGAUCCCAUCUUGAUGCAAAUAAAGAAAGAUGUGGGUCAACAAAAGGUUAUGUCAUUUGAAAUUGGUUGCGGUGGUAUUAUGAGAUUUCAGGGUAGGUUGUGCAUUCCAAAUAAGGCACACACUUUGAGGUAUGUCGUUCACCCAGGAUCUAAUAAGAUGUACCAUGAUCUGAAAACCUUGUAUUGGUGGAAUAACAUAAAACAUGAUGUAGCUGAUUUGUGUCCAAGUGUUUGAAUUGUCAGCAAGUGAAGGUGGAACACAUGAGGCCGAGUGGUACUUGCCAAGAGAUAGCCCUGCCUUUAUGGAAGUGGAGAUGAUAAAUAUGGACUUCAUUACAGGACUUUCGAGAUCCCGAAACCAGUAUGAUUCUAUAUGGUUGAUUGUAGAACGGUUGACCAAGUCAGCACACUUUUUGCCUGUGAGUACUAGUUAUUCGAGAGAGGUUUAUGCUAAGAUUUACAUUGAGGAGAUAGUUCGAUUGCAUGGGGCACCAGUGUCCAUUAUAUCCGAUAGAGGUACGCAGUUUUCAUCUUAGUUUUGGAGAUCUUUUCAGAAGGGUUUAGGUACACAAGUGAAUUUGAGCACAACUUUCCACCCUCAGACGGAUAGGCAAGAUGAGCGUACCAUUCAGACCCUCGAAUAUAUGUUGAGGAAAUGCGUCUUUGAUUUCAAAGGUAGUUAGGUAGAUCACCUUACACUGGUUGAAUUUGCUUACAAUAAUAGUUACCAUCCUAGCAUCAAGAUGGACCCUUUUGAGGCUUUGUAUGGGAGGAGAUGUAGGUCUCUAAUAGGAUGGUAUGAAGUGGGUGAGACUCAGUUUUAUGGAACUGAUCUUGCUCAUCAGGCGAUGGAGAAAGUCAAGAUCAUUAGAGAACGACUUAAGACUGCUCAGAGUCAUCAGAAGUCCUAUGUCGAUGUUUGGAGAAGAGAACUAGAGUUUGAAAUUGGUGAUUUGGUGUUUCUCAAGGUUUCUCCUAUGAAAGGAGUUAUGAGGUUUAGAAAAAGGGGUAAAUUGAGCCCUUGUUAUAUAGGACCAUAUCAGAUUUUGAAAAGGAUUGGUACAUUUGCGUAUGAGUUUGAAUUGCCUACAAGUUUGGGUUCCAUUCAUCCGGUAUUCCAUGUAUCCAUGUUGAAGAAAUGCAUUGGAGAUCAUUCUAUGGUAUUGCCAGUAAAGGGUAUCAAAGUGAUAGAUUUCUUGUCUUAUGAAGAAGAGCCCGUUGAAACUUUAGAUCGCCAAGUUCGAAAGCUGAAGAGCAAAGAGAUAGCCUCAGUAAAGGUACUAUAGAGGAAUCAGAAAGUCGAAGAAGCAGCUUGGGAGUCCGAAGAUGACAUGAGAAUUAGAUAUCCCAAUUUGUUUGCUUCGAUGGAGGACAAGACAGAAGGUACUAUUCUUAUCUUAUCUUUCCUAGUCCUUUAUUAUUCUUAAAAUCGUGUCUGUCUGUGUCCCGCAUCAUCAUUCGGGGAUGAAUGAUCCUAAGGAGGGGAUAAUGUAACGCCCCGCAAUUCGGACUACAAUAUAGACCAUGAUUUUGAUGCGUUGUUAAUUCCGAAGCCAUAAAAUCCUACGCCAAUAUGGCAUGUUAAUUAUCGUGUAGCAUGUGAAAUUCACUCAAGCUUGAAUUUAGACCAUACAGGUCCUACAACUCAAGGACGAGUCGAAACUAUUUUGAUCGACUAAGUUUUAGUGGACGUUGUAAAGUGUGUCAUCUUCCUUCAACCAUAACUCUCUGUAUAUGUCGAAUUAGGAAACCUACUAUGUGUCAAAUGAUAGGUAUUCGAGUUAGCUUUCCAACGACACCUAUUUGGCUAAAAUCCGACACCCGAGCAAGAAGUGACCUUUCAAAGUGAUAAGCGACGCCUAACCAAUCACCCAUGGCCACUGGAAAGCAUAGGCGAUAGCCUAGACGGCGCCUAUGUGAACAUAGGCAAUAGCCUAGGUGGAGCCUAUGUAAACAUAGGCUAUAUCCUAGGCGGUGCCUAUAUAAACAUAGGCGAUAACCUAGGCGGCGCCUAUAUGAACAUAGGCAAUGAGAUGGGCGGCGCCUAUGUAAGGAAUUCUAGUGAUUUAAACACUCCGUGUUGAGGACAAAGUGGUCCUUUUCCUCCCUUACUUAGCCCUAAAACAGGAGAUUUAGUUCCAUGGACCCCAAAAUACAUAUUCUUUCAUCAAAAGUGCUCAAGAUUCUCCUUAGGAUUACAAAAAUAAAAACCCAAAUAGUUCAAGAUUUGACCGUAGGUUUUCAAAGAUAAUUACAUAUUCGGAAUCACCAAUCCGCAAUCUUCAAGAAAAAUCUAUUAUCCUUGGAAAUAGAGGUACAUGGGGUUAUCCAAAAAUCUCAUGGGUGUAGUUUUAUGAACAUUCAUGCUUUUAAAUGGGGGUUUUCAAUCAAAUGCUAAUAUCUUGCUUUCAAUAUGAUUUCUAAGUCAUUUUCUUUAUGUCAUGGAAAUUGUUUGCCUAUAUACUUCAAUAGUUGAAACCAUGCAUAUGUGAUUUGAGAUUUUCCAUGGAAGUUGAUAAAUAUGAAUCAUAAAUUAUUUUCAAAUUCCCAGGAUAAUGUUUCAAUACUCCAUAUUAUAUUGUGAUCAACAAAAGAGAACAUGAAUUUGAAAUAAAUAUUGUUCACCACUUGUAAAUGAUGAAGCACCUUAUUUUUUACAUGAUUAUGCAUAUGUGGAUGUGACAUUGAUGACUUACAAGUCGGGUAUGACGAUACCCUUUAAAAUACAAUAUGUGAUUGAAACAAAAAUGAAAUUUGAAUGCGUUGAUUUUACAUGAGAAAGGUGGAUUCCCGAAGAAGGCGUUUGAGACACAAGGGCUCAUCGCUGGAAUAACGUGUUUACUGACACGGAAUAUUGGUACCAGGCUAAGCGAUCUGUGUACUUGAUGAGCCAAGUGAUCUUGGGCACUAUCAUUGGGUCGAGACACCAUGUUGUGUGGUCUUGAGUGUCUCUCCCUCACUUAUACUCUAAUCUCGAUGGAAACCGUGGUUUGACAGUUGGUGUAAAUUACAUAGGAUAUUCCACCUAGCUCAGUUGCAUUUCAUUACUGUUGAUAAAAACUAUUGCAUUACACCCAUGUGUUUUCAAAUGAUUUGAUACGAAAUUGCUUUAUACUGGCUCUCAACUAUGUUUUGUAAAAAUAUUAUGUUUUGCUUUAAUAUCUCUGCGUUCCAGUACUUUUGUGCUGACCCCCUCCCCUCUCUAACCUCUCAGGUUCAGAGGCCCAAUCUAGGGUUCAAGAGAACCAGUAGAUCUUUCAGACAGAGUUGCAGAGACAAGUGGCGAGCCUUCUAUGUUUCGGAAGGUCUUAUGUCCUGCAGUCCUUUUAUCUUAUAUUAGUUUUGGUUCUGCUGGGGGCCUUGUCCCAGUUUUCAGAUAGUUACUUGUUUCAGUCAUGUAGUAGAGAUUUCAUAGAUGAUUUUUGAGAUGUUGAUUUAGAUUGUGGGACAUUAUUCCCCAUUAUUGUUUUCAUAUGAUUCUUGACCAUGUUUCCAUUAUAUUGUGUUUCUUCUGCAUUACUUUGAUCAUAUGAAUUAGGUGCAUGAUUACCAGAUAGAUAGGGGUGUUUUGGGCCUCCAUGGUUCAAAAUGCUCGUCAUGGCCAGGCCCUGGUUCGGGUCGUGGCAGAAGGGGAUCAAUACAAAGUACUGGUCCGUAGAGAAAUCCAAAACAAAGUGGAGAAUUUUUUAUAAAAUAAAUGAGAGCUGUUAUAAAUCACAUUGUUGCAAAAUGAUUUCGAAAAUACAUGGGCAUAGUAUAACGAUUUUUCAACGACAAUGCAACACAUCUGAGCUAGGUGGUACACCCUACAAUUUUAUAUUUUCACCAACUGUCAAAUCUCGGUUGCCGCCAAGAUUAGAAUAUAAGUGAGGGAAAGACACACAAGAUCACACAGCAGGGUGUCUCGAUCCAAUCAAGUAUGGUAGUGCACAAGAACACAAUGCAGGGCUCCUAACCAUAGUCCCAAUUUGGGAUGACAUAAUGUCAGGUACACAAGAUCAACAACAGGGUACCAAGCUCCCGAGUCGGCAAACACGAUUUCCAGCGUAGAGUCAUUUGACUCAUUCUUUCUUUGGGUAACCACCUAUCUUACAAAAUCAAUGCAUGAAAACUCAUUUUUAAUCAAUCGCAUGUUAUUCUCUGCAGGAUAUCGUCAUACCCGACUUGCAAGUCAUUAAUAUCACAUCAACUUCUCAUACCAUUUACAACAUGCAUAUAUGAAUGACUUUCACACCAUUAAAACAUAUACACCAUGGUCCUCAACAUGCAAUCAUUCAAGAAGUUUAAUCAUUUAUGAGUAAUGUCAUAUCAAUUGUAAAACUCAUGCUCUCAAUGGUUUUAACACAAGUAUAAUAUGGGAUAUAAAAAUUAUCACGGGGAAUUUAGAAAAUUCACAACUCAUGUACAUCGCAUCCUUUUGAAAUUUCAGGUCACAUGUUCACAAUUUAACCAUUAAAAUACAUUCAAACAAACAACCUCAUGAUAUCUCAAUAUUUCUUUCAAAAUCAUAUAUCAAAAGAUGUUAUUCGUAUCAAUUGAAAACCACCAUUUGUAAAAAAUAUAUAUAUACUUAUAUAAAUUUAAAGUCUUGCGUAAAUUCCUUUUCGAAAACAUGCCCAUGAAAUUUAGGACAACCCCACGUACCUCUAUUUACGAAAUUAGCGGGUGCUUCUUGAAGCCUACGUUGCGGGGAUUCCAAUUCUCCAAUUUGUUUCGAAAACCCACGGUUAAAUCUUGAACUACUUGGGUUUUUAGUUUGAAACGUUAAGGUGAGUUCUUGAAUAAAAUUUGAUGAAAGUGAUGAUAUUUUGGUGCUUUAGGGAUUAAAUCCUGUGUUAGAGAGGAUAAAGGUUUCGAAAAUUACCAUUAUGCCAUUAAUGAGACAGCACUUAAAUGCUGAAAAAUUCUCAGGCGUGCAACAGACCAUGCGGCGCAUGCUAUUUUCCACCGCACUGGAGCAUGCGACGCAUGCUGCCACCAUGCGUUGGACCAUGCGAUGCAUGCAUAUCACAUGAGGCCACUAUUUUGGGCAUCCAAGCAUGCCCUAAACGACGUCCGAAAAUUUCGUAACUCACCCAAUAUGUACUACGACCUUUCCCCAUCAUAACGCAAAAAGAAAAUCUAAAAUUGGACGUCGGGAAGAUCGAAAAUAAAAUCUCCGAAGAUCAACAGCUAAAAAUGAUACUAAGUCUCUUUGAAACUUAGAAAAUUUUCAACCUUUCAAGUCUAAGAGUACGCUACUAGGAGCUAAUACAUGCACGACUUUUACGGGGCGUUACAAAACACUAAGCUGAUAGAAUAGAAGAAUUAAACCAACUCAUUGACGUAACUGGUAAAGGUUCUUCCAUGUGAUCAGGAGGUCACGGGUUCGAGCCAUGGAAACAGUCUUGCAAAGGGUGAUUGUGUCAUUAACAUGUUUUACACAAAUUCACCGGAAAUCAAGUAAAGCUGUCAAUAAAAAUGUAACACUGAACCUUGAGCAGUGGGGAGUCAGAACUUGAAUUUUAUGGGUUAAAAUUCAAAAAUAUUGACAUGUGUUAGGCAUUGAUAGCCUGGUUCUGAAUUAAAAUUUUUACAUAUUUAGAGAAUAUUAUUAAUUAAAAUAUUUAAUCUACACUAAAGCUACUGAGUUUAGUCGAACCUGUAGGCAAAGUUCUACCUCCGUUCCGGCACAUGCUAUAGUGUGGACACAAAUGUGCGUUUUUACUUGCUUGUGUGGGCACAUCAAGAAUUCAACUUUCUUGACAUUCUUUUGGUGUGUGUCUCACAUUGUUGAAAAUGAGAAUGCAUCAGUCCAUUAGUUCAAACCAUAAAAAAGGCAUUAUAGUUUACAUAUAACUGCAUGCAUUAGAAAUUACUGACCUGCCUGACAAUUUUAUUAUACUUAAAGAAUAUUUGACCUUUAAGAAAAAUAGGCAGUUCUGUAAAACUAGAAAACCUCUAAACUUCACACAAAAAUCUAUGUCAUCUACAGGAAUAAAAUUACGCUGGAGAAUUAACAGUUGUAAGCAAAAGUAUUACAAACUGUAAUGAAUUUUCUUCCAUUCAAAUUAUUCGUUCGUGUUCUCCCGCCAGAUAACACAGAGAACAGAACAUCCCUCAUGUUCCAAACAGUCGUAUUUAUUUCUAUAUAUUUAGCAAUGUACAGACAUUCUCAGCGUAGCUAAAAUGUAAUUCUGAUAGGUCCCUCUUAGACGGGGCGGGUUGUUUAAGCAAACUUGUUGGACUCAGCUAUAUAAAUCCUCCACAUUCCAAUCAAAUAGUGGAAAAUUGCCAUCUAUUAUUGAGAACUAAAUAAGGACCAACACAACAUGUGGGUCCAAACACACAGACUACAUAGGGCAAGGAAUAACUUUUAAAGGGAGCAAUGCAGAAGUCGGAAAUUUCACUAAGAUAGUUCAAGGGUUAAUUUAUGUGAUACUAAUUGACCUCUGCACACUAUAAUUUUUGCUUCACUUGCAGGUUCAUCUCAUCUAAUAGUUUAAUUUGAGCACCUGUACUUUAUGUGGCUUCUCCUUUGUGACCAUCUUAGCUAAAAGUUCAAUAUUUUUGUGGCAUAAUACAUAGACGUCCUUUUAACUUGGCCUAAUCUAGCAUCUAUAUAUGCCCUCCAACUUCUGGUGUACACAAGUAGACAUUUAAACUUGUAUAAAGUUGAACAAGAACAAACAUACUAUAUAAAUAGGGAUGUAUCUAGAAGAAUUUCUAGAACCAUCCAUAAACUAGUAUAAAUAGGGAUGGGUCGUGUACAUUUGUAACCAUCCCAAAUAAACAAAUCCAAUACAAGCAAAUUCAAGUAGUCUUCUUCCAAAUCUAAGUUCUUCCUUUCAAUAGCUUCCUCUUCUUAGUUAAAUCUUGCGAUCAUAGUAAUCCAUCUUGGGCUAGCAGAAGGUCUCCUCAAUUACACCUUUCUUCUGCUAAUUCUCUAUACAUAAAAUAGAGACCUAAACUCCUUUUUGAUCACAAAACAGAGACCCAAAUUCGGCAACAAAAGAAAUGGAAACACAAUCGAUUUGCUUUUCUAAACUUCCAUGAUCGAUUACUCUGAUACCAAAUUAAAACUACAAAAACAUAUUACACAUUCAUUCCAUACAAAAGACCUACAGAAGCAAAGCUUCAUUCGAGGGAGAAAAAGAAAACUGCAUUUUUAUUGAAUGAAAAAACUCUUACAAUAAGGAUCCUAGGAUGGAUAUUUAUAGACUCACAUGAGCAUCGCAUGACCUUCUAGAAUCUUCUUAACUACCUCUAACAACUUGAUCAAGUACCCUACUAAUUGACUAACUAUUUCAACUAACUGAACAGUAAAUCAAUCAAACAGUAAAUCAACAGUGAUCUAAACUAAUACAUUUUAACAAAGUCUACACAGAGAGAAACUAUGGAUUGCUUGGGUUGACACGUUAUAUAAAGAGGCAGAAUAUAAACACUGGAAUGCACUGGGGGACAUCAGCAAGCUAGUUCUGCUAGUUCAUAAGAACUAAUUCUUUACUAGAGCAUAAAAAGUGAUAAGAGAUGUAGCAAAUGCGGCAUGGAGCCUAAGUGUGUUUUUAUCUUAUGGCUUUACUUUCAUGGGAGAUCGAUAAUGGACUAAAGAUGUUUUUAUCAGCUGACAUAUGAAUGCAGAUCCUAUGUCUGUGUUACGUAAAAGCGAGCCAGAGUCAAAAGAGCAUUUGUUCGUUGAAUGUAAGGCGAUUCUGUUAGUUCUAUUCUGAGAAGGGAAGUCCAGGGGCACUAUUCCUUGGUAAUUCAUAAAAUUCCUUUAAUAGCCAAAAAAGAAAAAAAUCGCCUCAUCAAUAAAAUUAUUUAGCAAACAUUUGCAAUAAAACAAGUUAUUUGGAACAAUAGCUUCCAGGAGCAUGUUAACAUGCGAGAAGAUGAAUUCUGGUUGUCCGUCUUGCAGGAGAUGCAUCACAGCAAUCUAAUGCUACUUUCAUGAUUGAUGCCACAAAAUCCAACUUCUUCAUGACGUGAUUAUCGGUUGGUGGAACCAAGUUGGCAUCUGCAACAUCUAUUACUGCAUCAGGAAGUGAAUAACUCACCCAUUGUUUCAAGCUAAGAACUUCCUCAAACUCACUAGGCUUUCUCCUAGUAAAGGUUUCCAGCAACAUGAUUCCAUAACUAUACACGUCACAUUUAGUAGACACCAAUCCAUCUUGUCCAUACUCUACAAUCAAACAAUUAUUUAAAGAUGUAACAUGAUAACUUGGUGGAAAAAAAGAAAGGGGAAAGAAAUGUUCAAAGCAAAAUCAAGAGACGUACCUGGCGCAAUAUAACCCAAUGAUGCUAAGGUUUUAGUGUAUAAUUCACUUUCAUCACCACCAAGCAGUUUCGAAAUACCAAAGUCGCUUAGGUGGGCAACCAUAUCCUCAUCCAGCAAGACAUUACUCGGCUUCAGAUCAGAGUGAAUCACAGGCGCCGAGCACCCAUGGUGCAGAUAUUCCAAUGCACAUGCCACAUCUAUUGUUAUGCUUAGCCUUUGCAUGUUGUCUAGGAUGUAGUUGUGCGAAUACAAAUACUUCUCAAAACUUCCAUUUGGCAUAUACUCGAGCACUAAAGCCUUAAAAUCAAGGUUGGAACAACUAGUAAUGACUUUUACGAGAUUCCUAUGGCGAAGGAUGCGCAAAACUUCACAUUCCGUAUCAAAACUCUUGAAUGCCGCAUCCAGCUGCAGAUUGAACACUUUAACUGCAAUAUCCGUUCCACUUUUGAGAACGCCUUUGUAGACAGAGCCAAAACUUGCAGAACCAAUCAGAUUACUCUCACUAAGCGCAUCAGUUGCUUGGAGCACUUCAUAGUAUGAAAUUCUUUCUCGUGUUAUGGUAGACGUUGACUCUGCUGAUUGAGGGGCUCUUUUACCUCCUCGAUACCUUAUCCAUACAAACACAAAUGUAGGACCAAAUAACAGUGUGAUUCCCAGCAAAAGAAAGGAAAGUAGCAACUUUUUCCUAUUUGAUCUGUGUUCUGAUGAAUUGGGGCAGGGCGGGACAUUAAAUCUUGAAGAACCACACAAUGCUUCACUGUCGACGAAAAACUCACUCGAGAGGUUCUUGAAAGGACCCCCCGUGGGUAUUUCGCCAUACAAUUUGUUGUCAGUAAUGUUGAAAUACUUCAAGCUUUGAAGUUUCUCCAAAGACUUAGAAAUGAUUCCUGAUAUAUUGUUAUGAGAAAGGUCUAGGAAUUCCAAACCUACCAUGUUGCUCAUUGAGUCAGGUAUAGCUCCUUGCAAAUUGUUGUGUCUCAAAGAAAGCUGCACCAGAGUUAGCAAUCCUCCAAUUUCUCUAGGAAUUUUAUCUGAGAAUUGAUUCAUUGACAGAUCUAUCAGGGUCGCAGCCUUUAAAUUUCCUAUUUCUGGGGGUAAAGAACCAACCAUGUUGUUUGACGAUAGGUCAAGAACCACUAAAUCUUUAAGGUUCCCUAAGCUUUGUAGUGUAUUGGAACUCAAUCUAUUUGAACCCAUACGUAUCUCUCUAAGGGAAGCAACCUUUCCUAAACAAUAAGGAAGAGAACCCGAAAGUUGGUUUUUGAGUCGAGUCGAUGACAUCUAAGCACUGUAAGUUACAUAGAUUAUCACCGAUAGAUCCUGAAAGUCUGUUAUUACUCAAGAACAAGCCCUGCAGGUUUCUCAAGUUGCUAAUUGAUGUGGGAAUCGAUCCAGCCAAGUUGUUUCCAGAAAGUUCAAGGUCUAAUAAGCUGCUUAAGUACCCAACUUCAUUUGGAAUUCGCCCUUUAAUCUUGCAAUUGUUGGCGUAAAAUUUUCUAAGAGAGGUAGAAAGGUUCCCCAUGGAGGCUGGAAGCAUGCCAUUUAGAGGGUUAAGAUAUAGAGUAAGAAAUUCUAAAUUUCUACAAUUGGUUAAGGAAGUCAAGAAGCUUAGCGAUGAGUCACUCAUUAAAUCGUUUGCCCCCAAGUCUAGGAUUUGUUGAUGAGUCAAACAUCCAAGAGAAUUGGGAAUCAAGCCUGUGAGCUGAUUGAAUGAAAGCUCUAGAAUAGUAAGUUUUGAAAAAUUGGAGAUUGAAUGAGGAAUAGUCCCAAAAAGAUUGGUUAAGUUGUGCAGAUAAAAUCUUUCAAUGUUGGGUAAGAUAGAACAUAUGUUAGAUGGGAGCGAUCCAGAUAGAUUGUUGAAUGAAAGUUGAAUUAUUCUCAGACCUGAUAUGUUGAAGAUCUCCAUAUCUAGUGAACCACUAAAUCUAUUAUAAGUUGUAUUGUUAACUGCAACUUCUACUACAUACCAGUAAACCUAUUAUCGUCAAGAUGUAAAAAUUGCAUCUUGGUUAAGUUGCCGAUUUCACGUGGAGAAUAUCCACUAAGAUAGUUCCUCGACAGUGACAAAAUUUGCAGUGACGAGAUAUUGAAUAUGGAGAUUGGGACAGAGCCGGUAAUCUGGUUUUUAUUCAUCCAUAACUCCACCAAAUUAACAAGAUUUCCAAUUUCUUGAGGCCUCAGUUAAUGUAUAAUAAAAUGCAAUUCUAAAGUAAUUAGAUACAAUAGUAGUAGCAUUCAUAAGAUAAAGCAUACCGGUGAAAUGGUAAUCUCCGACAAUCAAUUACUGCAAGUUGCUCAAUCUUCCAAUUUCACUAUGUAUAGGUCCAUUAAUCUCAUUUUCCAAUAAAGACAAAAUUUGAAGUUGUGAACAAUUCGAUAAGCUUGUAGGCAUAUGGCCGCGAAGAUUGUUACCUCACAACCUUAAUUCUCUUAGGCUUGUAAGACUCCCAAUUACUUUUGGUAUUUGAUCCUCUAUAGAAUUGAAUUUUAGAUUCAAAAUCUCAAGUGUGGACAUAUUAGAAAAUGAUGAAGGGAUGGAACCAGUGAAACUAUUGUUUCUAAUAUUACGAAGUUGAAGUCGGUGUAAAAACCAAACAAAGAAGGAAUCUCCCCUCCGAAGUAGUUGAAACUUAAAUCAAGAAACUUAAGCCGACGCAAGCGUGUCAUUUCUAGAGGCAAAUUUCCAUGGAAAUUGUUGCUUUCCAAGUCGAGAGAAACAAGAAAUGAGAGGUUUCCAAGAUCACAGGGAAUCUUGCCAGUAAGAGUCAUAUUGGAAAGAUUCAAGAAUUUCACUCUCUCGUGGCGAGAGCCACAAGUGACUCCUACCCAAUGGCAAACGGACCUAGCGGGAGGCCAACUUUAAUCCAAUAAAUGAAAGGGAUCUGAAAUAAUUUGAGAUUUCAAAGAAAAGAGAGACAAUUGAUCAGUGGAAAUGUUGGUUUUGGUCAUGGCUAAACUAGCCCUAACAUAGUGAAGGAACAAGAAUGUUAUUAAGAGAAAAGAGCUGAGUGUUUUCUCCAUACUUGCAUAAAUCAGAAGGAAUUUAUUGUGGCCAAUAACUUGUUAUUUUGAGACUUUAAAUAACAACGGGAUCUCCAUUUUAGAAUAUUUUUCAUUCAAAACUUUGUUAUGGAAAAAAGUAAAAAUGUGACUUUGUUUAACCACAUAACAUUUUUUUCCACAAUUGUUUACAAAUUACUUUCUGAAACCUCCAUUAGUUGCAAAGAUGUUUUUAUGAACUUUUAUUACGAAAAAGAGGGAAAAAUUAAUUUGUAUUGGCCGUUAUCAUUUGAUUUAAAAAUGCAUCAAGAUAUAAAUUUUUUGUUUGAAAUUCUAGGAUAUUGAUAGUAACUGAGAUCGAAAUUAAUUAUUCUACACCGUUAAAGAAUUUUUAACUCAUAUAGAGUUUGAGCUAAAAUUGUUGAAUCAAGCCCCCUAAUUUUACAUGUGUGGAGCAAGGGAUGGGGUGAGUUAAUUAGGUAAUAAUCACAACUUUCGCAAAAGUCAAUCGUGCGCAUUUUUAUUAAAAUUCUGAUAUCAAGUUCAUUUGAAUUUAGUAUUUUUAAUGUAAAGAUAAAUUUAUGUAUAAAAUUUUAUUAAAAUUACACCAAAGAGUAAAUCUAAACUCAUAAUUUUAUAAAUACAAUAGGGUUAAUACUAAAACAUUUAAAAGAUUAAACUCAUCAAAUUUUAACCCGGAAUCCACCUAUGUCAUUAAAUGUAAGGAUCACAUAUAGUUAGUGUUUGACUAGGAAAAAAAAAUUUAAGUGGCAGACCAGUUAGUAAAUAUAGCUAGUGCUUGACUUGGAAAGAAAACUCAAAAUAUAGUGUUCAAUUUCUUAUAAGUUUUCCAAUUGGUUGAACAUUUCUUACUGAUGGUUUUUAAAAUGAUGCUUCAUAUUACUGUUCUCAUCAAGGUAAGAAGAAUAUUCAAGUAGUUAAUUAUUUUUGUAUUGAUAAAUGUAAGGGUGUCAAAUAUGACUCAAAAAUUGAUGACCGGUCCCAUUCACCCAAAAUUUUAGGGGUUAAACAAAAUAUAAUUUCAUAUUAUCUGAUUUUAGCUCAACCCAACAUAAGCCUUAUCAAAGAAGUUAUUUGCACAAAUGUAUUAUUUUGGGUGAUAUUCAAAUUUUUGCCCUUUAGCACUUGAAAUAAUAUUAAUGUACCUGAAAAUGCCCUUGAAAGCGACCCCCCCACCUCCCAAGAAACCAUAGCAAGGCCAAAAAUUUGCGAGGCAUAAGUUUAGUGGCACAAGCUAUGCCCUAAGGCAAAGUUCUCUAAAAGUUCUUCCCUGCGAAUUUGAUAUCACUCCCUCCAUUCAUGUAUACUUAUCCAGUUUUGACUUUUCACUACCCUUAAGAAACAACGACUAAUACGAGUUUUUUUUUUCUUUUUACCACAAUACCCAUAUUAUUGAUGUAUAGUCUUAAGUCCAUGAAAAUGAUUAGGAAAGUAUGUAAUUCAUGUUGAGGUUAAAAUAACAAAAAAAAUAAUUGUCUUUUCUUUGAUAUUUUAAAAGUGACAAGUAAAAGUGAAACUCCAUUUUUGAAAUAUUAGACAAGUAAAAGUGAAAGAAGGGAUUAUUGAACAAACACUCACAAUAAACAUUCUGUAAAGAAUUCUGCCUUUGUGAAACUAAGUCAUAGUUAAAUGUAUUUGAACCACAUUUUUUCCUUAAAUUGCCCACUUUUUAAGCAAUUAGUAGAUGGUAGAAAGGUUUGAAAUUUUGCUAUCUCUUUGAAUGCAUACCAGUACAAAUUUUGGAAAUAACAAAUUUUCAUUUCAAUGUAUAAACCUCAUAAUAUUUUGGAAGUUCAUCUGGAAUCUGAUUAACAAUACUUGCUAUACGAUCCUUGGUUAACACCCACCGAAAGUAGUAGAAACCUGAAAUUCCUCAUGUUUCUCUCUACUACACACACACACACCCCAUGUGAUUAUAUGUGUACCUAUAAGCUUAUAAUAACUAAGCUGUAGAAUCUGCAUCAUAGUUAAGCCAAUCUCCCAUGGUAAGAAUCCACUAAGAUUGUUCUGCCAUGCUGACAAAAUUUGCAGCGGCGAGAUCGGGACAGAGCCAGUAAUCUGAUUAUCCUCCAUGCCUAAAUCUACCAAAUUAACAAGAUUUCCAAUUUCUUGUGGAAUUAUCCCUGCAAUUAAUGUGUAAUAAAAUAAAAUUCUGAAGUAAUAAGAUGAAACGUACCAGUGAAAUGGUUAGUUCCGAGCUCUAAUAUCUGCAAGUUACUCAAUCUUCCAAUUUCACUAUGUAUUGGUCCAUCAAACUCAUUUUCCGAUAAAGACGAAGUUUGAAGUUGUGAACAAUUUGAUAAGCUUGUUUAUGGAUAAAUAAAGCCUUUUGAGUAUUGGGAGACCACUGCAUAAACCAUUGGGAAGACUUCCUGAUAAGCUAUUGCCAGUAAAUGCAAUGAACUCAAUUCUUGAGAUAUUGAAAAUUGUGAAUGGUAUAGAACCCGUUAGCUGAUUAUGUUGUAUGGUCAACAGCUUCAUGUUGUGAAGAUUGCUGAUCUCUUAUGAAAUGUUUCCUUGAAGUGAAUUAUAAGAUAUUCUUAAAGUAUCCAACCUUGAGGUAUUAGAGAGGGAUGGAGGAAUGUGACCCAUAAUAUUGUUCCCGGCCAAAUUUAAAUAUCUCAGGUUUGUAAGACUCCCAAUCAAUUUUGGGAUUUGACCCUCUAUGGAAUUGAAUUUCAGAUUCAAAGUCUCAAGGGAUGGAACCAGUGAAACUAUUAUUUCCAAGAUUUAGAGCUUGAAGUUGGUGUAAAAACCCAAACCAAGAGGGAAGCUCCCUGCUGAAGUUGUUGACACUUACAUCAAGAAACUUUAGCCGACUCGAGCGUGUCAUUUCUUGAGGCAUAUUUCCAUGGAAAUUAUUGCUUCCCAAGUCCAGAGAAACAAGGAAUGAGAGGUUUCCAAAUUCACGGGGAAUCUUGCCUGUAAGAGCUAUGUUAGAAAGAUUCAAGGAAUUCACUCGUUGGUGACGAGAACCACAAGUGACUCCAACCCAAUGACAAACACAAACGACGGGAGACCAGUUUUCAUUCAAGAGGUGAGAACGGUCGGAAAUAAUUUGGGAUUUUAAGGAUAGAAGAGACAAUUGAUCAGUAGUAAUAUUGGUUUGGGUCAUGAAUGAACUAGCCAUAAGCAAGAAGAGUGUGAAGAGAAUAAAUGUGAAGGCUUUCUCCAUUACUGCAAAAAUUAGUAGGUAUGCUCUAUAACAUGUGGUUUUGAGAUUUUAAAUAGCAAUGAGGUCUCCCUUUUGGUCUUCAUGAUUUUGGAAAAAAAAUUACUUUUCUUCAUUCAUUCUGUUAUAUUUAGUUGCAGAGUUAAAAUUUUUAUCAAGAGAUUUCAAAAUAUAAAGAAGUAAAUUCAUGAAAAAAAUUAAGGAGUGUCAAUACGUAAAAUAUAUUUUUACCUACAUACACAAUGUAUUGUUUCGACGAACAUGUGGCUCCGCCAUGGUCAUCUCAAUUUUAAUUCCACCAAGUCUUGAACGUUUUAAUCAGCCAAAGACUGGUGCAAGUCAACCAAGUCUUGCUUUAUUUUCAGCAAGCCCAUCACUACAUCAGAGGUUUGCUCAAAAAUUUAUUUUGAGUAAAGCAUUUAGUUCCCUGAACUAUGACUGAAUUUUUCAUAAUACACUCCAACUUCACGGGGUCCUAUUACCCCCUGAACUAUAUUUUAGCGAGUUUUGGUGUAACACUCCGCAUUUCGGGCUAGAAUAAAAACCAUCAUUUCUAUGCAUAGAUGAUCCAAAAGCCAUAAAUCCUAUACAAAUUUUUUCAUGUUAAUCAAUUAUGUAGUGUGUGAACCUAUUUAAGCAUAAAUUGAGAUCAUAGAGGUCCCCAAACUCAAGGACGAGUUGAAAGCUUUUCUAUCGUUCGAUUUUGAGUGAGCGUCAAAACUUGGGUCAGAUUCAAUCAACCAUAACUCCUUGAAUAUGACGAACUGGGUAACCUACUAUAUAUGAAAUGAAAUAUCUUCGAAUUAUCUUUCGAACAAUAUCAAUUUCGCCAAAAUCCGAUACUCGAGCAAAGAGUUAUAGCAGUUUUCGUGAGAGGCAGUAAGCCAAGGCGAUAAAUUCCUGCCAGUGUAAUUUCCUGCAGUCAAGCUCCGCGUCCAAGAGGGGUAUUUGGGUUAUUUCCCACCCUUAAAUAGCUCCAAUAACACAAGAUUUAGCCUCUAAUAACCACAUUAUACCCUCAUUCUCUCACAUUCUCUCGAGAACACUUCUUAGGGUUUCAACCCAAAGAUCAUAAUAACUCAAGAUUCAACCGUGAGUUUUCAAAAUCGAUUAGAGAUUCGAAACUCCAAACCGCAAGCUUCAAGAAUCAUCCAUUAUUCUUUGUAAUCGAGGUACGCGGGGUUUUUCUAAAAUCUCAUGGACAUAGAAAUCAUGUUUUAAGAAUGGGGUUUUGAAGUUUAUGAAUAUAAUCAUGUUUUAGAAGUUUUGACGGUAUUGUUUUGGUUUUUAGACCUUUCCCCCAAAUUGAUUUGAAAUUAUAUAUAUAUAUGUACGUAUGUAUUCAAGAAUGAUUAUUAAAUUGAGAGCAUGAAUAAUAAUGAAUCCCUCUCUAGUUAUGAGUUUUCCCAUCUUCGUAUGAUAUGAAUUGUUUUGAAUGCAUUUUGAAAAGCAUGAUAUGAAAUACUUUGUCUUGUGCUAUUGUUUGAAUAUGAUUUUUGAAUACGAAAGAGAGGGUUGUGAAUGUUGAAUAUACAUAUAAUGAAAGAGUGCAUGGUUUUGCCAAAAUCAUAUGACCACCAUAUAUUUGAUGAAAGUUUUUGCAUGGUUUUGACUUGAGCUUCGGAACAUGAAAUCCUUUAUGCAAAUUACAUGUUUGGGUGGUCUGAAACCAUAUUUUUAUGAAAGAUCGUGCUUAUGACACUAUGGCCCAGAAAUAGGAUUUGCAAGUCUUGGUGUGGCGACACCAACUCAGAUAAUGCCAUGAUAAAUUCAGAAUAGAAUAGAAUGUUUUUUUUGAAAUCAGACUUUAUCAGAUUUUUAUGUCUUAGAACUUCAGAGUAAUGCAUGUUCAGAAAAGGAUAAAAUAGGGCAUAAAGACAUGUUAGGUGGUUCCCCGAAGAAGGCAUGAGUUCAAACAACUCAUUGCCCAAAACCGUGAUUCGCUGAUCCGGGUAUAUAUAUUAUGCUGGCCUAGAGCCAUGUGGCGUAUCAGAAUCAGAGACUCCAACCCUUGUGGCACACUCGGGUUGGGGGAUUUUCUGCCUAGUCAAUGGUGGAUUCCAUAUAGCCCGUAGAAUAUCGGACUUGUAGGGGAGCGCCACCUAACUCAGAAGUAAUACAAAGAUCAGAAACGGUUUUGACAAAAAUGUCCUAGAAUGUUCAAAAUGAUGCCCAUGUGUUUUGGAAACUAUUUUAUGUAAGGUGUUUUGUUAAAUUUCCCUUAUCUACUUUAUACAUAUACAAAUACACUAUUUUGGAUUGCUUCGCGUACCAGUAUAUUUGUGCUGACCCCCCCUCCUUCCAGGUUCUGAGGCUCAGCCUAGGGGUCCAAGUAAAUAGUAGAUAUUUCAGAUCGCAGAUCAGAUUGUGAAGUGAUGAGCCUUGUUUAUUACAGAAGGUAUGUUUACUUUCAGACGACUAUUAUUAGACAUGAUUUUUGGUCUACUGGAGGUCUUGUCCCAGUUUUCAGAUUAUGUUAGAAAUCAUAUAGUAGAGAUUUCGCAGACUGAGUCAGAUAUUUUUUUGGAUAUUGUUGGAGUUUUCCUUCAUUGUUAAACUAAUUUCAGAGUAUGACCAUGUUUCCGUAUUUGAUUAAUAAUUCUGCAUUUUUCUUUUAUUAUAUGAAUGUUGUGCAUGAUUACCAGAUAGAGUAGGACGUUCAUACCUUCAUGGGUCGGAUGUCCGUCACAGCCAGGGCCCCAGUUCGGGUCAUGACAAACUUGGUAUCAGAACACAGUUCAUGGUCCCAGGGUGUCUGCAAAAUCACGUUGGGUAGAGUCUUGUUUAUGGGUGUGUAGCGUGCCUCACUUAUAAGGAGGAGGCUACUAGACAUUCAGCAUUUAGGAAUUUCACUCUUUCUUCAUGUUAUAGUUCGUGCAAUAGAGUCAGAAUGUUCCUUUUUCAUACUCGAAUUCGUGCUACGGUGUUGCCCAUACGAAAGUAAAAGUCAUCCCAAAUUCUUUCCUUACUCUGAUAUUCUUAGACAUGUCCUAUUAUUGGGGUGAUUCAAGUGCAAAGAGUUUAGAAUCUACAUGAUAUAGCCCUUUCCGAUUGAGUUAUAUAAGAUUUUAAAUAUUGUGCAAGGACUUGAGAAUCCGUUUGCUUCAAAGAGUAUUGAUGCGAGUGUGAACCUUGAUAUUGAUGAAAUCAUGCUUUUUAGCCUAUGGUAUUGAGUGUAUUCAGUCUCUUUUUAAAAAAAUUUAUGUUACGGAUGUCAUGCUUCAGGGGAUUGAUGUGUAACAAAAUGUUGGAACUGUAUUUCUACCCGAAUAGUAGUAUGAGUUAAAGUGUUGUUUUCAUGACCUAUUGGUAAUAAAAUUAGACCAAGAAGUUGGUGAUGUGAAGUCACAAGGUUAGAACUCAGAGUGAGGGUGACUUUUGUGUAAAUAAAUAUUUCAAUUGAAUAACCGAUGUUUGAGGAUGAUUUACCCCUUUAUAGUGAUAAACUAAUGUGGUAGCUAUAGCAUGUGUGGAUGGUAUGGUAGUCUAUGGAGGAAGUGUUUGACUCUAAUUUUAUUUAUACAGAGUAAGAUGUGUAUUCUUAGUUCAUUGGAUAUUGCGUAUUAAAUUUCUAUCUCAUGUAAUCUUGUCAUCAAGGUGUUGUUGAAAAAUAAAGUCUAGUGGGGCUCUUUCGAUUCACUAGAAUAGUUGCCUUGUCAUUCAUCUCGUUUUCUUGUUCAAAAAUACAAAAUCAAAGUCUAGUGAAGCCGUGUGAGGUCUAUUUCGAUUCACUGGCAACUUGUUGUCCAACUUGUUGUUCUUGUGUUGGUUUAGUAUAUGUAUAGCUGAAUGUGUUUGCAUGAGAUUGAGUUGGUAAAGAGAUGAUUCGUCCUUGUGGGUUAGUUUAGUAGAAGGUAGAGAAGGAGUUGUUAGUCAGGGUGAUUUGUCGGUUGUCUGAAGUGUGAUAAUAGCUAUAUUAGCCAGUAAGUUAUAAUCAUAGACUCAUGGUUGUUGUGGACAUUGAAGGUAGUCUAAAUGUAUGAUUGAGUAAGUAAGUAUAAGGUGAGAAAUCCAUAUAAGUAGAUAAGAUUGUAUGGGGCUAUAAUAUCAUAUUUAGGUUGAUCAUGUCUAUUAUGUGACUUUACCCCUUGACCUUUUUUUCGUUGGCAGUUGUAAACUAGUACUACUUAUGAGAAGGUAUGUAACAAGUUUUGAGGUAUUUGGAUAGAAUAUUCUAAUUUGAUGGAUUAGUAUAUUAUGUUGCACUCGUCAUUGGUGGUAGAUGAUUGAUGCUAAACUAUAGGCUUGAAUUUAAGUGUAGAAUGUGAUGGUAAAAAUAGUGGCAUGAGAUUAAUAAGGAAUGUUUUGUGGAAAAAAAAUAUAUUAGUAGGCUUGAUGUGUUGAAAUAGUACGUGCUAAUGAGUUAUGAUAAGGAAGACCGUAAGGUCAAGAUCGAUUAUUGUUGUUAUGAAGUUCUAGUGUAUUAGUGUUUCUUGAUGUUUAUUUCAUGGUUCCAAAGUGAGAAUUGUGUGUAAGGUUGGGUUGUAAAAUCAUGUUUAGCACUAGACAUUAAGUGUUGAACAGUUGAAGUCCAUGAAGGUAGAUGUGAUGGUUUCUUGGUUAAUGAUGCAAGUUAUAUGGAAGUGAUCUAAUAGGCUUGAACGGUUUAUGAAAUGGCUUAAUUUUAAGUUGAUUCGUAAUGAAGUAUAAUGUUGUAGGUAUGGUGUGUAAGUAUGCCCAAGGUGAUAUGGGGUUGUGGCAUUUCUCUAAGAUUAUUACAUGUUGCGUGUGGCUAGUAGUACCGUUGAGUUGCUAGAUGGAGAAAGACUAGUAGAUGUUAUAUGGGUUCUAAAUAGCCAGGUUGAAGAGUUUUGAUUGAUAGUGUUGAGCCUUUUUAUAUGAUCUUGAUUCUCAUAGUAAUGAGACAUAAGUUUGGAGUCGCGAUAUUAGUACGCUAUGUCGAAAGUAGUAUGAUUCAUCAAAGACUUGGUGAUAUCGAUAUUAUGUGUUAGAAUCUAAGUUUGAGUUUUGAAGGUUGAACCGAUAGAAAUAAGUGUGCAAGCAUUAUACUAUGACCGUUGGGGCUAUCAAAAUAUAAAGUGUAUCUCAGAAAGUAGUAUUAGCAGUGGGCUUUCCACUUUCAUGUGUGGUCUUUCGGGUUAAGUUCUAUUAAUUUUGCAUAUUGUCAUAUUUCAUACCCUGGAGUGUAGUGAGUGUAGUUAAGUUUAAAGUCUAGUAAGGGAUCUCCCAAACUUAAGACGAUGUCUUAAAGCCAAGGGGGAGAUGAUAGAACAAGUAACCAAGUCCGGCCCUCAGAUUUUAGUAAUGAUUCCAGUAUGACAUAGAACAUCAGAAGGGAAGGGUGAGGCUCAAUCCAUUCCUGUCUCAGUAUUUUUCAGUUAUCCUAAUACCUACUCAUACCUCACGUUUUAGUUCCAUGAUCAUAGUUCAUGUUCAUGUAUAUGAUAGAAAAUCACGUGCUCUUCCAGAUUCCUAAAUAAGGAACUUCAGUUCAUUCAGCAGUCGGAAUCACAUUCCAUAUGUUAUGAACUCUAAAUUGAGGUCAUGCAGCUUAUGACUCAUGUAUUCACACUUUAUAGUGUGUUCAGUUCCCAUAAUUCAUGCUAUACUCUUUAUGAUGGGCGAAAUAUAGUUCAUAGCCAUGUAUGCCCCAAUUCAGAUUUUUCUUUGAUAAAUUCCGGAUUUUGAUUUUCUAUUCCUCAGGCCUCAGUUAAGUGUCAAGUUUCAUAUAAUAUCCUUCCAUGCUUCAAGAUCUUUUUUUCUAAUCUUUAGUGACUCCUCUUUAUGUGAUGGUAGUAGUGAUGAGUAAAUGUUUCUUUUUGAUAGAAGCUCAUAGUAUGCUUGUUUUAGUUAAAGCCAUAAGUGCAAGUAAGGUUGGGGCUAAGUCUUUGAUGCAUGUGAUGGUUAGCUGAAAGGUGUGUGUAUAUUUUCUUAGGGUAGCAUGUGGGAGCUAUAUCGAUAGAUGCUUAGUAGAAUAUGUUAAGUAUAUCUUUAUGAGUGUUUGCUUUGAAGUUCAUAUGUGGUUAUAAAGAUAGACUUGAAUGACAUGUUGGAAUUUUUGUAAAGGAACGCGAUAUGCGUUAGCGACUUCAUAGUAAUAGUUCAGAGUUAGCCAUUGAAGUAGUAGGACAUGAUAGGCUUAGGGUGUGAUCUUCUAAGAGAUAUAGAAGGUUGAAUCUUAUGGUUUUGACUUGUAUCGUGGAGUGGAAUGUAGUAUUUUGUAAGUUGGAGUUAGGCCUGAUCCCGGUGAAGAGGAUUUAAGUUGCUAUAGACAUUAGUAGAAAGAUUUAUAAAUGCCAAUGCGAGAACAAAUAAGUUGAAUCGAAUGAAUGUAGUAUCUACGAGAAAUAGUAUAGUUAAGGGAGUAUUCAAGGAGUGUGCUAAUCUUGAAAGUAAGAAGUCGCAUUGACUAAGGCCUGGUAAUUCUAUCGUGAUUUAUGAGUUAUAUGUCUAUAUUUCAGGCUGCAAAGUAAUGUCAAUGUUGGGAUCCUAUAGUCGGAUGUCUUGUGUGACUCAUGCCCAAGAUUCUUUUCUCCCGAAUGAUACUAGAACUUCUUUAGAAAGAGUGNNNNNNNNNNNNNNNNNNNNNNNNNNNNNNNNNNNNNNNNNNNNNNNNNNNNNNNNNNNNNNNNNNNNNNNNNNNNNNNNNNNNNNNNNNNNNNNNNNNNNNNNNNNNNNNNNNNNNNNNNNNNNNNNNNNNNNNGACUCAUGCGCAAGGUUCUUUGCUCCCGAAUGCUACUAGAAAUUCUUUAGGAAGAGUGUUGAAGAGAAACUCCAGUUAAGUAUAAGUUUCCAGAAUAAUUUAGACAGUAUAACCACCAGUUUAGUUCAACAGUCAGGUAGACAAGUUACUGUGGUUUUCCACCUUUACACCCAGUCCUGCUAUCCGAAGUCCCAAUGUGUAUGACUUCCAAGAGAUAAUCUAUUCCAUCCAUGUAAAUUGCGAAUUCAGUUCAGUCCGAACAUCAUGUUUCAGAUUCAGCUAUUUAGUCAUGACUCAGUUCAUAAGAGUUCAGUGCAUAGUCUCAAAUCUCUCUAGGCAUUUUAGCUCAGACAGUGUAAUACCUUUGUACGAUCUAAAUAUUGUUGUCUCCAGAUUCGUACUUACAUAAGUUACCACUUCCAAAUUCAAUAUGUAUGAUUGGAUCAUGAACAUUUCAAGGAAAUCCUAAACUUUCAUCACGAAUCAGCUUCUUGAAGCAAGGAAAUUCAAGCUCAGAAUUCAAUUUCAUGAUAGAAGUUUAAAAUGUUUCAAAUCAGUUAUAUCCUCUCUUAGAAGACACAUCAUAUCCACGCUAUUCUAUAACUUUAAGACCACAGCAUUCUUAUCCAUCAUUCGGGGACGAAUGAUCCCAAGGGGGAGAUAAUGUAAUACCCCGCAUUUUGGGCUAGAAUAAAAACCAUCAUUUCUAUGUAUAGAUGAUCCAAAAGCCAUAAAUCCUAUGAAAAUUUGGCAUGUUAAUCAAUUAUGUAGUAUGUGAACCUAUUUAAGCAAAAAUUGAGAUCAUAGAGGUCCCCAAACUCAAGGACGAGUUGAAAGCUUUCCUAUCGUUCGAGUUCGAGUGAGCAUCGAAACUUGGUUCAGAUUCAAUCGACCAUAACUCCUUGUAUAUAACAAACAGGGUGACCUACUAUAAUCAAAUGAAAUAUCUUCGAAUUAUCUUUCCAACGAUACCAAUUUUGUCAAAAUUCUAUACCCGAGCAAAGAGUUAUAGCAGUUUUCGUGAGAGGCAGUAAGCCAAGGCGAUAAAUUCCUGCCAGCAUAAUUUCCUGAAGUCAAGCUCCGCGUCCAAGAACACUUCUUAGGGUUUCAACCCAAAGAUCAUAAUAACUCAAGAUUCAACCUUGAGUUUUCAAAAUUGAUUAGAGAUUCAGAAUCCCCAAUCUGCGAGCCUCAAGAAUCAUCCAUUAUUCUUCAUAAUUGAGGUACGCGAGAUUUUCCAAAAAUCUCAUGGACAUAGAAAUCAUGUUUUAAGAAUGGGGUUUUGAAGUUUAUGAAUAUAAUCAUGUUUUAGAAGUUUUGAUGGUAUUAUUUUGGUCUUUAGACCUUUCCCCCAAAUUUAUUUGAAAUUGUAUAUAUAUGUACGUAUGUAUUCAAGAAUGAUUAUUCAAUUGAGAGUAUGAAUAAUAAUGAAUUCCUCUCUAGUUAUGAGUUUUCCCAUCUUCGUAUGAUAUGAAUUGUUUUGAAUGCGUUUUGAAAAGCAUGAUAUGAAAUACUUUGGCUUUUGCUAUGUUUUGAAUAUUAUUUUUGAAUACGAAAGAGAGGGUUGUGAAAGUUGAAUAUACAUAUAAUGAAAGAGUGCAUGGUUUUGCCAAAAGCACAUGACCACCAUAUGUUUGAUGAAUGUUGUUGCAUGGUUUUGACUUGAGCUUCGGAACAUAAAAUCCUUUAUGCAAAUUACAUAUUUGGGUGGUCUGAAAUUAUAUUUUUAUGAAAGAUCAUUCUUAUGACACUAUGGCUCAGAAAUAAGACUUGCAAGUCUUGGUGUGACGACACUAACUCAGAUAAUGCCAUGAUAAAUUCAGAACAGAAUAGAAUGUUUGCUUGAAAUCAGACUUUAUCAUAUUUUCAUGUUUUAAAACUUCAGAGUAAUGCAUGUUCAGAAAAAACUAAAAUAGGGAACAAAGAGAUGUUAGGUGGUUCCCCGAAGAAGGCAUGAGUUCAGACAACUCAUUGCCCAAAACCGUGAUUCGCUGAUCCGGGUUUAUAUAUUAUGCUGGCCUAGAGCCAUGUGGCGUAUCAUAAUCAGAGACUCCAACCCUUGUGGCACACUCGGGUUGGGGGCUUUUCCGCCUAGUCAAUGGAGGAUUCCAUAUAGCCCGUAGAAUAUCGGACUUUUAGGGGAGCGCCACCUAACUCAGAAGUAAUACAAAGAUCAGAAAUGAUUUUGACAAGAAUAUCUUAGAAUGUUCAAAAUGAUGCCCAUGUGUUUUGUUAAAUUGCUCUCAUCUACUUUAUACAUAUACAAAUAUACUAUUUUGGAUUGCUUCGGUGCCAGUACAUUUUUGUUGACCCCCCCUCCUUCUAGGUUCUGAGGCUCAGUCUAGGGAUCUAAGUAAACAGUACAUAUUUCAGAUCGCCGAUCAGAUUGUGUAGUGGUGAGCCUUGUUUAUUCUAGAAGGUCUGUUUACUUUCAGACGACUAUUAUUAGACAUGAUUUUUGAUCUACUGGGAGCCUUGUCCUAGUUUUCAGAUUGUGUUAGAAAUAAUAUAGUAGAGAUUUCGCAGACUGAGUCAGAUGUUGUUUGGAUAUUGUUGGAGUUUUCCUUCAUUGUUAAACUAAUUUCAGAGUAUGACCAUGUUUCCGUAUUCGAUUUAUAAUUCUGCAUUUUCCUUUUAUUAUAUGAAUGUUGUACAUGAUUACCAGAUAGAGUAGGACAUUCGGGCCUUUAUGGGUCGGAUGUCCAUCACGGCCAGGGCCCCAGUUCGGAUCGUGACAUUUGGUCAACCUUUUUAGCUGAUGUGUCAUCUUUGGUCCCAAUCACUUGUUUACUGAACAAAUCAACAACUUUUUUUCAGUUUCAACACUUCUAUUCAAACACUUAUAUGCUUAAUCACUUAUUUUAAGCUUUUAAUUAUAUAAGCUAAAAAAAAUUAUUUUAUAAAAGUACAUUUGGUGAAAAAGUUAUUCCUCUAAUCAUUCCAAACAAUCUCCAGGUUGCCUUCUACUAAAGUUAUGUACAUUAGCUGGUACAUAAUUAUAGUUGAUUCUAGUCACUAAUGUUUAGGUAAUAUAUAUGUCACAACAUGAAAAACUAUUUACAUUCUCAAUCAAAGACAACGCAGUUAGCAAUUAUUCAGUGUAGUUUAAUAUCUUUACUUUUAAUUUUUAGGAUGUUUUUACAUAUUGUUUUUAUAAAUUCUAACAAAGUAAACAACAUUCAGAGCAUGUUUAGAUUGUCUUAUUUUAAAUGUUUUUAUGUCAAAAUAUCUUUUAAGUACUUUCUUUGUGAACUUUUCAUAAGUGUCGUGUUUAUUAGAAAUGUUUUAUCUCUUUUAUUUUAAAUGUUCUUUAGUUAGUUUAAAAUGGAGGAUUCUCUUGUUAUCUUGAAAUUAUUAUUGAUUUAUUUUAAUUAAUGAUGUAAACCUCAAAUAAAAGGUCACCUGACAAAGCUAUUUUUGCAAAUUCACCAUUAAAAAGUAAUUGCAUGAAUGAGCUAGUUUUGUAACAGUGACGACAUGAAUGAGACGAACUUUUAACUGAUAGCAUAAAUGAGACAUUCUGAUAGUUCAAUGAAAUAUCUGAGUCUUUCUUCUUACUUUAAUUAAUGAUGUGGACCUCUAAUAAAAAGCCACGUGGUAAAGCUGUUUUUGAAAAAUCACCGUUAAAAAAAAUGAUAUGGAUGAGAUAAUUUUGUAAUGGUGAUGGCAUGAAUGAGACGAGCUUUUAAUUGAUGGCAUAAGUGAGCAAUUUUUGAUAGUUCAAUGGUAUAUUUGAGACUUUACCCUUAUUUUUGUCACUUCAUUUAAGCAUAUAUAACUUUUAUAUUGUAAAAUGUUUAAAAGUUAUCUUUGUUUUAAUUGAUAUAUAAAAUUUAAAUUUUUAAGUGACAAAAGACUAUUUAAUUAAAAAUAUGUAAUUAAGUAGUGGAGUCAAUAUUUUUAUAAAAAAAAUAAAAUUAUAACUAAACAUAAGCAUUAGGCAACAAAUUCAACGUAUAAUAUAUUCAUAAAUAAAAAUUAUACUUAUAGAAUAAUUUAUUAAUAGAAAAAUAUAUUACCAAAAAAUAACGAGUAGCGAAGAAAAUAGUAUUAAAAACUAUGGGAAUAUAUAUGGAUGUGAAAAGUGAUAUAUAAAAGCGGGUUUAAGGAGGGUAUUUUUGUUAGGGAAAAGGCUCAAAUAUGACAUUGAACUAUCAGAAAUGACUCAUUGAUGCCAUCAGUUAAAAGUUUAGCUCAUUCAUGCCAUCGCCAUUACAAAAUCGGCUCAUCCAUGCCAUUAAUUUUUAAGGGUGGUUUUAAAAAACAGCUUUGCCACGUGGCCUUUUAUUAAAGGUCCACGUCAUUAAUUAAAAUAAGGAAAAAGACUCAAAUAUGCCAUUAAAUUAUCAGAAAUGGCUCAUUUAUGCCAUCAGUUAAAAGUUCAGCUCAUUCAUGCCAUCGUCAUUAUAAAAUCAGCUCACCCAUAUCAUUACUUUUUAAUAGUGGGUUUUCCAAAACAGUUUUGUCAUGUGGCCUUUUAUUAGAGGUCCGCGAUAUAAAUUAAAAUAAAUCAAUAUUAAUUUCAAAAUAUCUUAUACCCAUUAAAAACAGCCGAUUCAUUUAAUAUAACCCGACCCACACCCAUUAAAAUAUUUUUUCCUACAACAACAACUAUUUUUCUUAUCAGAAAAAAUAGUGAUUAAUGUAUAUCCUUUGGCUAUUUCUAGUUCAUUCUAAAUCAUUAUAAAUGCUAUGCUUAACAGAAACCUAAAAAAUUCUAUCUUACAGUAAUUAAUUAGUUUUAAUUCCAGUGACUACAAUAUAUACUCUGAAGUUGCAAGAAAAGAAAGCAAUGAACGAUGAGGGCAAGCAAGAAAAAGAAAGAGGCGUACCAAUAGAACUUCUCAACUCUCCCAUCACGAAUUACGGGAGUAUACAUUAUUGAAAAAAUUAUUUUCAAAUAACAACUUAAAAGAAGUCUGUUAUCCCAAUUAUCCCGCUAUGCAUACAGAAUAACUUGUCCCAUCAUGAAUUAGUGGAGCAUACAUUGUGGAAAAAUUAUUUUCAAAUAACUGCUUAAAAGAAGUCUGCUAAUCCAAUUAUCCCGCCAUCUAUAUGGGAUAACUUCUCCCAUCUUUAUGGUAUAAAUGUUGGAAUAAAUAAUCCUGAUACUAACUAAUUUCACAUAUUUUGAAAUUAAUAUUGAUUUAUUUUAAUUAAUGGCGUGAAUUUCUAAUAAAAGACCAUGUGGAAAAACUAUUUUUAAAAACCCAUCAUUAAAAAGUAAUGGCAUGAGUGAGUUGAUUUUAUAACGGUGAUGGCAUGAAUGAGCCAAACUUUUAACUGAUGGCAUAAAUGAGUCAUUUCUAAUAGUUCAAUGGCAUAUUUGAACCUUUUUGCUUAUUUUAAUUAAUGACGUGGACCUCUAAUAAAAAACCAUGUGGCAAAGUUGCUUUGAAAACCACCGUUAAAAAGAAAUGACAUGGAUGAGCUGGUUUUGUAACAACGAUGGCAUGAUUGAGCUCAACUUUUAACCGAUGGCAUAAAUGAGUCAUUUUUGAUAGUUCAAUGGCAUAUUUGAUCUUUUUCCCUUUUUGUUAUUUUACACAUUUUAUCCCAGUAUAAGUUAUCUCAGUACUACUAUACCACCCUAAGAUAGGGAUAACUUAUCCCAGUACUAACUAUUAAUCCUUGGAUAAGUUAUUUCACACUUCUAUAACUAACAAAGGAUUAAGGGGUACUAAAAAGUUAUCCCGAAAUUAUUUUUCCUUAUCCCUCGUGCCAAACGAUCCCUUAAACAUUAAAUUCACAAAAUUUUAAUCUGGUAUCCGCCUAUGUCAUUGUAAGAAUGACAUAUAGUUGGUGUUUGACUUGGUAAAAAAAUUAAGUGGCAGACCAAGAAAGAAAUAUAGUUAUUGCUUGACUGGGAAAAGGAGUCAUCCAAUAAUUUUACAAUCAAAUGUACAGUUAGUGCUCAUGAUAUGGUGUACAAUUUCUUGAAAGUUUAUAUUUGAAAAUGGUUGAACUUUUUCCUAUUGGUUAAUUUUUCUAAUGUUGUUCUCAUCAAGCUAAGAAGAAAAUUUUAGUUGCAAACCAAGUAGUUAAUAAUUUGCUAGGGAUAAGUUAAGUGAAACAAGUUAUGAUCUAAGGCAUAGAUUCAGUGACAAAAGUUAUGCCCCAAAAUAAAGUUCUCUACAAGUCUUGCCUUGCGAAAUAGAUAUUACUCCCUCCAUAAAUUUUUACUUGUCCAAUUUAGACUUUCCACUUCCCUUAAGAAACAAUGAUUAAUAUGAGGUUUUUUUUUUAUUACCACAAUAUACAUAUUUAUUCAUGUAUGUGGUGGAAAGGUUUGAAAUUUUGCUAGUGAUCGAUGAUGAAUCUGUGUGAAAUGAAUGUGCAGCUGACCACAUGAUUUACUGACCAAAUGAAUUUGGUGCAAAUUGUUAGUGUCUCUGCUAUGUCUCAUGGGUUCAACGUCUGUAGUGCACAAGUAAUUUGGGAAGAUUAUUUUGUUUUACUGUCCAUAUAAUGUCUCGUGCUCGAGUAAAUAGGUGUUUAGUCUACUUUGAGACAACAUAAAUGAAAAUAUAUUUGAUGAUCAUCAGGCUACCCUCCGAUUCUUCCCAAUAGAUAUCAUGAGGUGGACAGAAAUGACUGUAAUUAUCCUCAGUACUAAUAACCAACACAGUAAUAACUAGUAGUUCCACAGCCUAUGAUGAGCACCACAGUUUGUAAUGAGUUCCACAGCCUAUAAUGAUACGCAUAGUGAGAGCACAAUGGGGAAUAUAAUGAAGAAUGUCUGCAAUCUCGAAAACGAACACAUGAACAAAGGAGCAGAAAAAAAGAGUACAACACAAGCCAAUGAAUAUCCUUCCCUGGAAAUUAUGCCGAGAACACUCGCAGAGAAAUUUCUAUCUCAAGGCUUCAAAUUUCUAGCUGAAACUUUGCAACCAACUCAGCUAAAAGCUUUGUGUGUUGUAUACAUAACAGCAAUCAAACAUUUGAUACAGGUCUAAAUUUAAUUUCCAUGUUCGUAUCAGCAAUCAAAUCAUUUGAUAGUCUGCUCUCACCAGAUAACUCAUGAACUAUCUUUUAAAACAUUUGUAUUACUUUCCUAUAUGUUUUAUUAAAAUUCUCCACCAUGAAAAGCAAAAAUGAUUUCCAUUGUUAGUGAUGGAUACAUCACAGAGAUAUCAAGUUUAUCUGAAUUCAAUAUUUUUAAUGUAAAGACAAAUUUAUGUAUAAAAAUUUAUUAAAUUUACACCAAAAUUAAGUUCUAACUCAUAAUUUUACAAAUACAAUAGAUUCAAUACUAAAACCCUUAAAGAUUAAGUUCAUAAAAUUUUAAUUUGAAAUCUGUCUAUGUCAUUAAAUGUAAGGAUGACAUAUAGUUGGUAUUUGACUUGGCAAAGAAAAAAAAAUUAAGUGGCUGACCAAGAAAUAUAGUUAGUGCUUGACUUGUAAAGGAGCCGUCCAGUAAUUUUACAAUCAAAUGUACAGUUAGUGCUCGUGAUAUGGCGUACAAUUUCUUGGUAGUAGAUAUUUCAAAAUGGCUAAACAUUUUCCUAUUGGUUGAUUUUUCCCAUGUUGAUGAUCCAUCCAAUUUGCCCAAAAUUUGAAGGAUUGAGCACAAUAUAUUUUCAUAUUGACUGAUUAUAGUUCAACCCAACAUAACCCUCAUCCAAGGGGUCAUUUGCACAUGAAUUAUUUUGGGGUAAUAUUUAAUUUGUUUUUCCUUUAGCACUUUAAGUUUUAAAAAAAUGGCUGAAAUGCCCUUGACCGCGAAAAAAGAAAAAAAAAAAACUCAAGGCAAAAUGAUUUGCUAGACAUAAGUUCAGUGGCACAAGUUAUGCCCCAAGACAAAGUUCUCGUCUUGCCAUGCAAAAUAGAUAUUACUCCCUCCAUUAAUUUUUACUUGUCCACUUUAGACUUUCCACACCCUUAAGAAACAGUGAUUAAUGUGAGUUUUUUUUUUUACGACAAUAUACAUAUUAAUUCAUGUAUAUGGUGGAAAGGUUUGAAAUUUUGCUACCAAUCAACGAUGAAUCUGUGUGAAAUGAAUAUGCCUAGUAGUAGUAGGUGAUCUUCCAAUAAAGUGAGCUAAGGGGAUCAGCCUAGAGUUAGACCGAUAAUAUGGCAAAGGGCCCCGAAGAGCAAAGAAUACGUUUUUAGACUUGUCUCUCACACCAUCAGCUGUACCAAAAACGGACUGUGAGACAUUACUCGAACAGAAGGUAGAAGAUUAACAGGAGGCAUACCUGGAGCUAAUUUAACGAACUGCUUAGUGUUAAAUUUGCGGGGUCAGGUUGGUAUGGCCGCGACAAAGACUCGGUUUCAGAUGGGAAACUUAGUGAGUCAGCAUAGUGGGGAAUCCAGCGAAUCGUUGAAAAUAACAGAUCCCUUCUGCAGUGUAGGAACAAACAAAAUCCAUUCCUCUCUAAUCAGGAUAUUUUGUUAUACUAACCAUUUAUAUUACAUGCCUAUCCGUAUUCAUACAGUUAAUUCCUCUAAAAUAUUUUGGUUUUACUUAUUCAAUUUACAAGUUCCCCCCUGUUGCAACAAUAAUACUAAGAGGAAACAGUGAGAUUUAUUGCAACCAUCUAGCAUUUCUGAAAACAGAAUCAUGCAAAUCAAUUGCUAAAACAAAACAAUACAAAACAAUACAAAACAAUAAUCUUUACAUGAAUACAACAAUUUAGAAAAAUUUGAAACAAACAAGUGACUCAGAUUCCAAAAACAUGCUCAACAUGCAAGAAGUUGAAUCUUGAUCUUCUGCAGCAUCCCUACAACAUCUUUCAUGUUAGUCCUUCUUGCCGGAGAUUCAGCACAACAAUCUAAUGCUACUUUCAUGAUUGAUGCCACAACAUUUAACUCCUUCUGUAAGUGAUUACCAGUUGAUGUUACCAAGUUGGCAUCCAUGACGUCCUUUAUUGCCUCUGGGAAUGAAUAACUCACCCAUUGCUUCAAGCUAAGGUCACCCUCAAACUCAUUAGGCUUUCUCCUAGUAAACGUUUCCAUCAACAUGAUUCCGUAACUGUAUACGUCGCACUUUGUUGAGACUAGUCCAUCCAGUCCAUACUCUACAGUCAAACAAUUCAUUUAAAGAUGCAAUAUACUUUCUUGGUGGGAAAAAAAGAAUGGAGUAAUCAGCAGAACAAAGAGACGUACCCGGAGCAAUAUAACCCAGUGUUGCUAAGGUUUCAGUGUAUAAAUCACUCUCAUCGUCACCAAGUAGUUUUGAAAUGCCAAAGUCGCUUAGGUGGGCAACCAUAUCCGCAUCCAGUAAGACAUUACUAGGCUUUAGAUCACAGUGAAUCACAACCGACGAACACCCGUGAUGGAGAUAUUCCAAUGCACAUGCCACAUCUAUCAUUAUGCUUAGUCUUUUCCUGAUGUCGAGGAAGUAGUUGUGCGAAUACAAAUACUUCUCAAGACUCCCGUUAGGCAUAUACUCGAGAACUAAAGCCUUGAAAUCAAGAUUGGAACAACUAGUAAUGACUUUUACGAGAUUCCUAUGGCGAAGGCUACACAAAACUUCACAUUCCGUAUCAAAACUCUUGAAUGCUGCAUCUAGUUGCAGGUUGAACACUUUAACUGCAAUGGCAGUUCCAUUUCUGAGAAUGCCUUUGUAAACAGAGCCAAAACUUCCAGAACCAAUCAGAUUACUCUCGCUAAGUGCAUUAGUUGCUCGGAGAAGUUCAUAGUAUGAAAUCCUUUCUCUUGCUAUGGUAGACAAUAAGUCAGCUUGCUGAGGAACACUUUUACCUCUUCUAUACCUUAUCCAUAGGAGCACAAAGGUCAUAGGAGCAAAUACAACUGCAAUUGCGAGCAAAAUAAAAAUAACUAGCAAUUUUUUCCUAUUUGAUCUGUGCCUUGAUGAUGUGGGGCAUGGCGGGACACUAAAUCUUGAAGAACCACACAAUGCUUCAUUGUAGAUGAAAAACUGACUCGAGAGGUUCUUGAAAGGACCUCCUGUGGGUAUUUCACCAUACAAUUUAUUGACAGAAAUAUUGAAAUAUUUCAAGUUUUGAAGUUUCUCCAAAGACUUAGGAAUGAUUCCAGAUAUAUUGUUAUUAGAAAGGUCUAAGAAUUCCAAACCUACCAUGGUUCUCAUUGAGUCAGGUAUAGACCCUUGCAACUUGUUGUGUCUCAAAGAAAGGUGUGCCAGAUUUUGCAAUCCUCCAAUUUCUCUUGGAAUUCCAUUUGAGAAUUGAUUCAUCGAUAGAUCCAUCUUUGUUAUAGCCUUUAGAUUCCCAAUUUCUGGAGGUAACAAACCUACCAUGUUGUUUGACGAUAAGUCAAGAACCACUAGAUCUUGAAGGUUCCCUAAGCUUGGUGGUAUAUUGGAACUCAAUUUGUUGGAACCCAGAUGUAUCUCCCUAAGGGAAGUAAUAUUCCCUAAACAAUUAGGAAGAGAUCCUGAAAGUCGAUUUUGAUCCAAGUAAAUAUCACCCAGACGCUGCAAUUUACAUAUAUGAUCACCAACAAAUCCUGUAAGUUUGUUGUUACUCAAGUUGAAGCGCUGAAGGUUUCUCAAGUUGCCAAUUGUUGUGGGAAUUGAUCCAACCAAGUUGUUUCCAGAAAGAUCAAGGAAUAAUAAGUUGCUUAAGUUCCCAACUUCAUUUGGAAUUAGCCCUUGGAUUUUACAACUGUUGGCGAUAAAUUUUCUAAGAUACGUCGAAAGGUUCCCCAUGGAGGCUGGAAGCAUGCCAUUUAGAGGGUUUAAAGAUAUAUCAAGAACUGUAAAAUUUCUGCUAUUGGUUAAGGAAGUCAGGAAGCUUAAUGAUAAAUCGCUGGUUAAAUUGUUUCCCCCUAAAUUUAGAUACUGUAGAUGAGUCAAAUAUCCAAGUGAGUUGGGAAUCAGGCCAGUAAGUUUGUUGUAUGAAAGCUCUAGAAUAGUAAGUUUUGAACAUUUGGAGAUGGAAUAAGGAAUAGUCCCAACAAGAUUGGUAAAGGACAUAUAAAAUCUUUCAAUGUUGGGUAAGAUAGAACACAUGUUUGGUGGGAGGUUUCCUGAUAAAGUAUUGUUUGUAAGAGAAACUACUCUCAGCCCUGACAUGUUGAAGAUAUCCAUAUCAAGUCGACCAUUAAAACUAUUAUCCGCAAGAUCAAGUUCCUCCAACUCAAUGAGAUGGCUUAUCUCUUUGGGUAUUUCACCUGUAAACACAUAUAGUGGAUAAUUAGUGAGUUUAAAUAAUUGGUUCAAUCUAGUAAACCUAUUUUUGCUAAGAUAUAAGAAUUGCAUCUUAUUUAAGUUGUCAAUCUCCCAUGAUAGAAUCCACUAAAAUUUUAACCUUUAUAUUGUUGGUGAUAUGAAAGUAUUAAAAGUAGGCACAAUAGAUAAAAAUGCACUUUAACUUGGCCUCAGAUCACAUCUAUGACCUCCAACUUUGGGUGUGCACAAGUAGGCACUUGAACAAAUAGACACAUAUGUCAUUUGUGGCAUCCUACGUGGCCAAUUCUUGUCUUAGAUUAUGCCACAUAGGACGUGUGUGUUUACUUGUUCAACGUUUUACUAGUUUAAGUGUUUACUUAUGCACACCCAAAAUUGGAGGUCAUAGAUGUGAUUUGACGUCUAGUUAAAGGGCAUAUUUAUGUAUUAAAGGGAAAAAAUACGUAUAGGAGAUAAAUAUAUUUGAACAGAACCAUUAAUCUGCCUUCUCUCCAUGCCUAAUACCACAAAACUUAGAUACCUCAAUUAGUUCAAUAACUCAAAUUAUACCAGCAGUUACAAGCAUUCAUAAGAUAAAAAAUAUACCAAUGAAAUGGUUAUAUCUGAGAUGCAAUAACUGCAAGUUAAUCAAUCUUUCAAUUUCACUAUGCAUUGGUCCAUCAAACUCAUUAUAUGAUAAACCCAAUAAUUGAAGUUAUGAACAAUUUGACAAGCUUGUAGGCAUACGACUGUGAAGCUUGUUAUAAGACAGAUAAAGCCGUUUGAGACCAUUGCAUAAACUAUUGGGGAGAUUUCCUGAUUAUGUUAUAUGGAUUGCACUUUCAUGUUGUGAAGAUUUCCAAUCCCUUCUGGAAUGUUUCCUUGAAGUGAAAUAUAAAACAAAUUAAUUUUAAACAUUAAAAGGCACUCCUUAUAUGGUGUUUCUUGUCAUACGCUUGAAGAUUAAUUUAUAAUUGUUACAUUUUAUUACUCAUUACAUGCAUAAAUUCAUAGAAUGUUAAUAGUUCUAAUGGAUCUAUAAAAAUUAACAUGAGACACCAUUAGAAUAUAUAUGUACCUAUAAGCUUAUUUCCAUUAAUCCGUAGAUGUCGCAUUUUGGUUAAGUUGCCAAUCUCCCGUGGUAAGAAUCCACUAAGAUUGUUAAACGACAGUGACAAAAUUUGCAGCAAUGAGAUAUUGAAUAUGGAGAUUGGGAGAGAGCCAGUAAUCUGGUUUUUCUCCAUCCAUAACUCCCCCAAAUUAACAAGAUUUCCAAUUUCCUGUGGAAUUAUCCCUGCAGUUAAUGUAUAAUAAAAUGCAAUUCUUAAGUAAUUAGAUACAAUAGUACUAGCAUUCAUAAGAUAAAGCAUACCAGUGAAAUGGUUUUCUCCGACAAACAAUAACUGCAAGUUGCUCAAUCUUCCAAUUUCACUAUGUAUUGGUCCAUCAAAUUCAUUUUCCGAUAAAGACAGAAUUUGAAGAUGUGAACAAUUCGAUAAGCUUGUAGGCAUAUGACCGCGAAGCUUGUUUGUGGAUAGAUAAAUCCCUUUGAGUAUUGGGAGACCAUUGCAUAAACCAUUGGGAAGAUAUCCUGAUAAGCUAUUGUCUGUAAAGGCAAUGACUUCGAUCCUAGAAAUAUUGAAAACCGUGAAUGGUAUAGAACCCGUAAGUUGGUUGACUUGUAUGGAUAGAAUUUUCAUGUUGUGAAGAUUGCCGAUCCCAUCAGGAAUGUUUCCUUGAAGAGAAUUGUAAGAUACAUCUAAAACCUCCAACCUUGAGGCAUUCGAGAGUGACAGAGGAAUAGAGCCUAUGAGCUUGUUACCUUUCAACCUUUAUUCUCUAAGGUUUAUAAGGCUUCCAAUCACUUUUGAAAUUCAGAUUCAAAAUCUCAAGUGUGGACAUAUUAAAAAAUGAAAAAGGGAUGGAACCAGUGAAAUUAUUAUUUCCAAGAUUUAGAACUUGAAGAUGGUGUAAGAAUCCAAACCAAGAGGGAACCUUCCCUCUGAAGUUGUUGACACUUAAAUCAAGAAACUUAAGCCGAUGCAAGUGUGCAAUUUCUUGAGGCAAAUGUCCAUGGAAAUUGUUGCUUCCCAAGUCAAGAGAAACAAGAAAUGAGAGGUUUCCAAGUUCACCGGGAAUCCUGCCUGUAAGAGACAUGUUAGAAAGAUUCAAGAACUUCACUCGCUGGUGGCGAGAACCACAAGUGACUCCCACCCAACGGCAAACAGAAAUUGUGGGAGACCAACUUUCAUCCAAGAAGUGAGAAGGUUCUAAAAUGAUUUGGGAUUUCAAAGAGAGAAGAGCCAACUGAUCAGUGGUAAUGUUGGAUUGGGUCAUAGCUAAACCAACCAUAGCAUAAUGAAGCAACAAAAGUACUAUUAAGAGAAAAGAGGUGAAAGAUUUCUCCAUAAUUGCAUAAAUUGGUAGGAAUAUGAAUAUGGCUUGCAAUAAUGUGAAUUUGGGACGUAAAUAGCAAAUAGAUCUCUUGCCCUUUCUUUUAGAAUAUCUUUUCAUUCAUACAUCUUUUAUGGCAAAAGAAAAAGCUUCCUUUCUUUAUGUCAUCUCAAGAGUAAUAAUACAACUAAAGAAAGAAAAAGAAAGUAACUUUAAUUUGUUCAAGUGAAAGACCAAGAAAGAAAUAUAACUCAUAUGGACUCGAAAAGGAGUCUUCCACUAACUUUUAUAACCAAAUGUAAGAUGUGAAAUAGCACAGAAAGAAUGAAUUCCGUAAAAUAUUUAACAAACAAAAUUUUAGUAUUUGAAAAAUGUUAAAAAGUUGCUUUAACGAAUAAUGCACUGAUUUAUUUUUUAUUUUUCUCCAACUUUUUUUACAAACAACUCUUAGUCAAAUUGAGAUUUCUAUUUUUGGUAGGAAACUGAUUAGUCUUUUCUGUCAUUUUUGGUAGAAAAUAUGUUGUUUUUUAUGGUAAGUUUAAUCUAUUUUUGGUUUUAAUAGCGACUCUUUAAGAAGGAGUUGAUGAUCAAUAAAAUAUGCAGCUUUAUCAGAAAAGAAAAACAAACUUCUCUGCAUCUCUUCUCUUCUAACUCAUCUCUAUUUUCUACUGCUAAGUUUUUGGCUCUCCUUGCUAUGUUAUUUUAACAGUAUUAGUAUUGAAGCCAACAGUUGGUAUCUAGAGCUAUUUUUAUUGAAGGACCUGUGAGUGAAGAGAUAGAUUCUGAAAAUAGUUUUUCACGAAUAGCUCCACUCGUUUUUUAUGGUGAAAAUUAUCAAUUAUGGGUUGUGAGAAUUAUAACUUACUUGAAGGUUCUUGAUCUAUGGGAAACUAUGGAAACGGAUUAUGAAAUUAAUCUGCUGCCAAAUAAUUCCACCAUAGCCCAAAUUAAAACUCACAAGGAAAAGAAAACCAUGAAAUCUAAAACAAAGACAACUCUAUUUUGCUUCUAUUUCAAUAACUAUUUUUUCAAGAAUUAUGUCUCUCACAUCACCAAAAGAAAUUUGGAAUUAUCUGAAGAAAGAAUAUGUUGGAGAUGAAAGAAUCUGAGUAAUGUAAGUUCUAAAUUUAAUAAGAGAGAUCGAGUUGCAGAGAAUGAAAGACUCUAAGAUAGUUAAAGAGUACUCGAACAAAUUAUUUGGCAUUGUUAACUAGGUAAGAUUACUAGGCAGUGAAUUUAAAGAUUCAAGAAUUUUUGAGAAGUGAGAAGGUUCUAAAAUGAUUUGGGAUUUCAAAGAGAGAAGAGCCAACUGAUCAGUGGUAAUGUUGGAUUGGGUCAUAGCUAAACCAACCAUAGCAUAAUGAAGCAACAAAAGUACUAUUAAGAGAAAAGAGGUGAAAGAUUUCUCCAUAAUUGCAUAAAUUGGUAGGAAUAUGAAUAUGGCUUGCAAUAAUGUGAAUUUGGGACGUAAAUAGCAAAUAGAUCUCUUGCCCUUUCUUUUAGAAUAUCUUUUCAUUCAUACAUCUUUUAUGGCAAAAGAAAAAGCUUCCUUUCUUUAUGUCAUCUCAAGAGUAAUAAUACAACUAAAGAAAGAAAAAGAAAGUAACUUUAAUUUGUUCAAGUGAAAGACCAAGAAAGAAAUAUAACUCAUAUGGACUCGAAAAGGAGUCUUCCACUAACUUUUAUAACCAAAUGUAAGAUGUGAAAUAGCACAGAAAGAAUGAAUUCCGUAAAAUAUUUAACAAACAAAAUUUUAGUAUUUGAAAAAUGUUAAAAAGUUGCUUUAACGAAUAAUGCACUGAUUUAUUUUUUAUUUUUCUCCAACUUUUUUUACAAACAACUCUUAGUCAAAUUGAGAUUUCUAUUUUUGGUAGGAAACUGAUUAGUCUUUUCUGUCAUUUUUGGUAGAAAAUAUGUUGUUUUUUAUGGUAAGUUUAAUCUAUUUUUGGUUUUAAUAGCGACUCUUUAAGAAGGAGUUGAUGAUCAAUAAAAUAUGCAGCUUUAUCAGAAAAGAAAAACAAACUUCUCUGCAUCUCUUCUCUUCUAACUCAUCUCUAUUUUCUACUGCUAAGUUUUUGGCUCUCCUUGCUAUGUUAUUUUAACAGUAUUAGUAUUGAAGCCAACAGUUGGUAUCUAGAGCUAUUUUUAUUGAAGGACCUGUGAGUGAAGAGAUAGAUUCUGAAAAUAGUUUUUCACGAAUAGCUCCACUCGUUUUUUAUGGUGAAAAUUAUCAAUUAUGGGUUGUGAGAAUUAUAACUUACUUGAAGGUUCUUGAUCUAUGGGAAACUAUGGAAACGGAUUAUGAAAUUAAUCUGCUGCCAAAUAAUUCCACCAUAGCCCAAAUUAAAACUCACAAGGAAAAGAAAACCAUGAAAUCUAAAACAAAGACAACUCUAUUUUGCUUCUAUUUCAAUAACUAUUUUUUCAAGAAUUAUGUCUCUCACAUCACCAAAAGAAAUUUGGAAUUAUCUGAAGAAAGAAUAUGUUGGAGAUGAAAGAAUCUGAGUAAUGUAAGUUCUAAAUUUAAUAAGAGAGAUCGAGUUGCAGAGAAUGAAAGACUCUAAGAUAGUUAAAGAGUACUCGAACAAAUUAUUUGGCAUUGUUAACUAGGUAAGAUUACUAGGCAGUGAAUUUAAAGAUUCAAGAAUUUUUGAUAAAAUUCUUCUUACAGUGCCCAAAAGAUAUGAAGCAUGUAUAACUACCUUGAAACAUACACAAGAUCUGUCCAAGAUUUCCUUGGCAGAGUUGUUAAAUUCAUUUCAGGCACUGGAAUAAACAAAACCUAUGAUGCAAGAUGAGCCUUAGUAGCCAACCACAAAAUUCAGAGAAAUAGGUAAAAAUUUUAAAAAUUAUCCACCUUGUGAGCACUGUGGAAAAAUGCAUCAUCCACCAUACAGAUGUUGGAAAACACCAGAAGCAAAGUGCAUUAAGUGCAAUCAACUUGGCCAUGAAGCAGUGAUUUUAAAAAACAAAUUUGAGAACCAUGAAGCAGAUGCACGUAUGGUCAAUAAAGAAGAAGAAGAUCAUCUUUUUAUUGCAACAUGUAUCUUAAUUGAUGUUUUGUUGAAAAGAAGAAGAAGAUCAUUUUUUUAUUGCAACAUGUAUCUUAAUUGAGGUUUUAACAAAAUUUUUGGUUGAUUGAUAGCAGUUACACCAACCACAUGACUUAUAACAAGAGUUAGUUUAAAGGAUUAAAGUCUACUGAAAUAUCCAAAGUUAGGAUCGGAAAUGGGGACCAGGUUAUUGUUGAAGGAAAAUGAAUUGUUGUCAUCAAAAUAAGUUCAGGUAAUAAAGCAAUUUCAAAUGUUCUUUGUGUACCUGUUACUGAUCAAAACUUGUUGAGUAUUUGUCAGUUGGUAAAACGAUACAAAGUAUCCUUUGAGGAUAAGUAUUACUUCAUCAAUGAUGGUGUUCGAAAAAAAGUUCUAAACAUCAAGAUGAGAGGUAAACAUUUCUCAUUUGAUCCAAUGGGAGAUAUUUCUGUAGAACAUGAAAAAGAUCAUAGGCUGAAAAAAUUAGAAGAUGGUCCUCUAAUUGAAAAAGCACAAGAAAUAUAUGAACCUUCUAGGUUUAAAGGAGAUUUCAAUGUUCCUAAAGGAAUUGAAGCAAUGUAGGAGUUACCAAUGUUUCAAAAAAUAAAGCGGAUACAUUUAAAUUCAACAUGCAAAUGAAGCAGGAAGACAUACUAAAAAAAUUUAAUAGUCAAAGGUUGCAUUCAAGAUGAGAAGUGAAUUAAUUAGUUCACUACAAAACAAAAGAUGAAUCUGCAAUUUAUUCACAAGGUCACUUUCGGUGUGGAGAUCCCAAUACAGAAAACCAAAACUUUACAGUUCCUAAAGCAAGGAGGAGUGUUAAAGUUUUUUUAAAGAAUAAUUCACGUGAUUUAUUUUUCAUUUUUCUCCAACUUUUUUAACAUACAACUCCUAGUCAAAUUGGAAUUUUUAUUUUUGGUAGAAAACUUAUUAGUUGUUUCUGUCAUUUUUGAUAGCAAAUAGGUUAUUUUUAUGGCAUGUUUAACCUAUUUUUGGUUGUAAUAGCAAUUAUUUAAGGAGGAAUUGAUGAUUAAUACAGCAAGAAUGAAAUAAUUUAUAAGAAAGAUGUUCAUGUUUAAUGUCUCUUCCUUGCAUAAAGUUGCCAAUAAUUUCAAUAUUAUAAGAAAGAUUUUCACGUUUAAAAUGUUUCUUUCUUUCAUGAAGCACCAAUAAUUUCCCUCAUAGACCUUUAUAGGGAAUAGGAAAUAAAGCUGUGGGCUCCAUAACAACAUUACGAAAAAGGAAACUUAAGGGACAGAUAUGAAAUUCACACUUUGAAUACAUUUUCUUGGUUGGAGUAUUAUUUUUGAUUUACAUCAUAGCACUACUGACUUAGUUUUGGCAAACCAAAAUCUAACUAGUGUCAGCUAUGGGUUCAUUCGGGAUUUGUAACUUUCGAUACAGAGUGUCAUGCCAUGUUUUUGCCAAAGGCUAAAUAAAACAUGACUCAUUGGACUUUAAAAGAAUUGAAAUUUUGUACAGAGUUGCCACCCAAUUUUUAAGGGAAAUAAGGAAACAUAAAUGAUUAAUAUUUUUUUUAGUCUAUGAAAACCAAUUUAAGAUUCUUGGUAAGGGUUCAAGUUAUCCCAAAGGGAAGGGAUUAGUCACCUUUCAAGAUCCACAAAUGUGGCACCCGACUAAACAAAAUUUAUCAACGAGAGAGGAAGUAUAUUUAAAAUAAUGUAAAAGAUAUAUUAAGUGUAAAAUAAUUCUUUUGAAAAAAAUCUAAAUGUUUAAAAUUAUGUAAAUUAUGAAUAUAAAUAAAAAUAAAUUUAUUGUUAUAAAAAAAUGUAAAAGUAUGUAUAAAAAUGUACAAAUUUCAUGUGAAAAGUAAAUGUAUUUUGUGAUGGGUGAAAAGAAAGUAUCUUUAUGUACUAAAAAGAAAUGGAAAAGGCUAAAAUAUGCCACUGAACUAUCAGAAAUGACUCAUUUAUGCCAUCCAUUAAAAGUUGGGCUCAUUCAUGCCAUCGUCGUUAUAAAACUGGCUCAUCCAUGCCAUUACUUUUAAUAGCCAAUUUUUAGAAAACAGCUUUGCCACGUGGCAGCAUAUUAGAGGUCCACGUCAUUUUUUAUAAUUUUUAAUUUUUUUAAAAAAAAUUAUAAAUUUUUUUUUAAAAUUUUUUAUUUAAUUUUUUUAAAAAAUGGUGUUGGUUACAAAGUUUAGAGAUUACAUAUUUCUAUGCUUUUAUUUAUCAAAUAAAGAAUAAUAAAUUUUGCAUAUAACUAAUGUUCAUGUUUUUUCUGGAUUCUUAUUUUUAAAAAUAAUUAUAUAUAUAUUUGACCAAUCUUCUAGGUAUUUGUUUAUACAUGAACCCAAAACAUUCAAACCUGAAAUUAUAGUUCAUCAUAACCAUUGCUAGUCCUUAUAUGCAAUGAUAAUAAAGGACGAAAUCCUAUUCUUGUCAUAUUUUGCCAAAUGAAAAAGGUGACCACAUUAAAAUGAUCAAUUAAAGACCUAAAUGGUUAAUCCUUCUUAACACUUUGAAAAGUACAUGAUAGAGAAAGAAAAAGAAUGCAAAAAUGUGAACAAUUUCUUCUGUUGGUGCAUUCUCUUUUCCUUACUUUUCUCUCCCUCUUUGUGUGUGCAUGCAAAAUGUAAGUAGUAAAGUAUUGUGUGUAGAUGUGUACAUUAUCAUUUAUUCUUUUUUGAUAAUCAUUUAUAUGCAUGCAUGCAUGGAUCAUAUAUUAUAUCAAAUCUCACUUCAAAUUUAAUCAUAACAAAGAUUUGAAUACUCUAGUAUUACAACAACAAAUGUAAAAUAAGAGCAACUCCACUUCAUAAUAUUGGAAUUGAAUUUCACAUAAUUGUGAUAUUAUAUUAUUUAUAGAAAGGUAAAGGGUUACCUUUUGGAAAAAUAGUUGCCAACAAAAGAAAGAAGAAGCAGCGAACUCGAAACCAUGAACCAAACCUCAAACUCCAACUCGUUGUCUACCCGUUUAUAUAUGUUAUUUGCUUUUUGUUUCUGUCAAAUGUUACUCCCUUUUCUUGUUAACUCUUCUCUUUUCUUGUUUUUCUCUCUCAAUCCAUGUUUUUUUUUCAAGGUUCCUCUCCCUUUCUUCUUGCUUUUGUCCUUUUUAUUUCCCUAAUUCUCCCUAUUCGUUCCCCUUAUCUUUGUGUUUUUCUAUGUUCCCAUUUGUGUCUGUGUGGGUGUACCAUAUAAUGUAUAAGGUUGGGAAGUUGAGGGAGUUGAGGGGGUUGAGGAAAAGGUGGGGAUGAUUGGGAUAGUUUUCUUUAGGAUAAGAUUUUUUUUAUAAAUAUACAAUGUAUAAGGUUGAAAAGUUGAGGGAUUUUUUUUUUUUAAAUAUUUAUAAAAAAAAUAUUUAUAAUAAUUUUUUUUAAUAAUUUUUUUAAAUUAAAUUUAAAAAAAAAUUAAAAAAUAAUGUGGACCUCUAAUUAGUUGCCACGUGGCAAAGUUAUUUUCUAAAAACUGGCUGCUAAAAGUAAUGGUAUGGAUGAGCCAGUUUUGUAACGGCGAUGGCAUGAAUGAGCCCAACUUUUAACGGAUGAUAUAAAUGAGCCAUUUCUGAUAGUUCAAUGACAUAUUUGAGCCUUUUCCCAAAAGAAAAUGUAUUUUCAAAUAAUAUUUUUGAACUUGAUCAAAAUCAUGGAGAAAAAUAAAAAUUCAUUUGAAAAGAAGAGACUACAUAAUGUGCAAAUUAAUUGUGUAAUUAAAUUUCUUUAUGUGAAUAUUAACGGCCUAAAUCUUGCCUAACGUGCGACGAGAAUUAUGUAAAUAGAGAAUAUCUCCGUCCGACGCCCCAAAAGUAAAAUUUUAACUAUACUUUAUCUUUAUGUAUAAUUAUACAGAUGAAAAUAAACAUCAACCUCGAGAUUUUCUUUCAAGCAGUACUUUGGAAUGCAUUACCGAAACAUGUAUAGUUGCUUGAUAGAAGUAAUAAAAAUGAACAAAUAAUCAUGAAAUUAUGUGUACACAUAUGUGUAUAUAAAAUAGAAUUUUGUUAUAAAGUGGGCUCAAAUUAAGAUUUGGACGCGCUGUAGCUACAAAAUGGUUGCUUGAUUUAUUGAUCAUCCUAAAUCACCUUACCAAGAUAUGAAUCAUAAGACCCUUUGUGUUGCCGCAAAAUUAAAAAGAUUUCAUCAUCGUCCAAAUUAAUUUAUUUUUGUUAUGUAUUUGUAUAUGUAAUGCCCGUCUUUUAUUUGGGAAGGCCUUAAAAAUCGACGGAGAAUUUCUUCAUCGUCCAUGUAUUAGUACUUGAUAGAAAUAAGUAAAUUUGAGAUAAUAAAGCCCAUCUUUUGAAAUGGGGUGGCAUCCGAUGGGAAAGAUAUUUUCAUCGGCCAAAGUAUUUAUUUUUGAUGUAAUAGAUAAAAUUGAAAAAUAAAAAUCCGUCUUUUAUUGUGGGGUGGCCUCAAAAAUCUGACGGAGAGAUAAUUUCAUCGGCCGAAGUAUUUAUUUUUGAUAUAAAAUAAUACAUUUGAGAAAGUAAAGUUUGUCCUUUAUAAUGUGAUGGUCUCAAAUAUCUGACGGUGAGAUAAUAUCAUUGGUCGUGUCUUUAUUUUGAGUAUAUGUGUGUGUUCCUGAGAAAAAAAAAAAAGAUGAACAAAAUUUGUGUAUGAUAAAAAUAUAUGUGUGGUGAAGAAUAUGUGUGUGUAGUGAAAAAAUGUUUCUUUGAGAGAGAAAAAAAAUAUGUGGGGAUGAAAAAUGUGUGUAUGCAUUAUAAAAAAAUGUAUUGUGUGUUUUUAUAAGAAAAAUGUAUGUGUGUAUUUGUGCAUUCGAGAGGGAUGAGAAAGAAGAAAAGUAUUUUUAUGAAUGGUUAAAAUGUGUUUUGUUUUUUUGUGAAUUUGUGUAUUUUAGAAAACGAGGAGUAGGAAAAAUAUGUGUAUUUUUUGUGUUAUUUUGUAAGAGAAAAAUAUGAAAAUGAGGAAAUAUUUUUGUGUCUUUGAGAGAAAAAUAUGAACAAGACUUUUUUUCAUUUUUGUAUAUGUAUUUGAGAGAGAAAAAAAUAUAUGUUUUGGGAGAAAGGAUGAAUAUGUGUGGGUGGUAAAAAUGUGUCAUUUGUCUUCCACCCUCCACUAUUUAUAAUGAAAAUUGACACCCCUUAUUAUCCAAUGGAUAAAGGGGUGUCCGUACUCAUUCUUAAUAGAACAACUUUGGUCCUUAGGAUAUUGACCAAAGGAUUUUCAUCCUUUUAAUCAAUGGAUAAAGUUGUUGUCCAAAGGAUAGUGUCACUGAGUUGUCAUUGUCAAAAGUGACAAGACAUUACAUGUAGUCAUUGUCGGAUUUGAGACCUCAUUGUGUAGUCAUUGUCGGAUGUGACAAGACAUAAUUGUGUAGUCAUUCUCGGAUGCGACAAGACAUUAAUGUGCGGUCGUUGUCGGAUACAAAAAGACAUAAAAUUAUUAUACUGUGUAAAAAUAAUUCAUCCGACUUAUCAUUUGUGGAUCAUAAAAUAUAUAUACAAAAUGCAGGUAUUGAUUUAUAAUUACGAAAAAUGUAAAGAACGUUGAAAAUGUAUAAACAAUAUAAUUAAUAUAAAAAAUAUUGUAAAAUAUAAUAUCAUGUCGUGUACGGGUGCAGAUGAUUGUAAAAUAUUAAAAACGAUAAUGAAUUGAUAAAAAUACUAAUACAAGAAAAAUUAUUAAUAAAUCAUGAAAAAUAAAAAUAUGACAACAAAUUGAUAAAACACCCAAAGUAAGGAUUAUCAACAAUUGUAAAAAGAUAUGAAAAUUAUACUUUGUUCCCUUUAAUGGUCAGUAAGCCUGAAAAUAUUAAUUUUCAGCACGAAGAGUGAAAAUUGGGUGUCAAAAGUUGCCCCUUUUCGUUUGACGAUGAUGUAGAAGUCUUCAAACGAAAAAGUUGACGUGUAAUCAAUUUUGGUCGAUAAAAAAUAAUUUAUUCAUUUAUUAUUUUAUUAUUUUUUUGAAGAAAAUUUGACCGAACUUCAAUUUAAAAUUUCCUACAUACCUCGAGUUAUGUAAGGAUCAGGUUGGAUUUAGUUCAAAAAAAUAGGCAGAUUGUCUCUUGCCUUGUUAUUGGGGCGAGUGACUAUGUAGAAUGACUGUUGAGAGAUGAAUCAUUUGGGAAUGAAUGUAUUUACAUAUUUCUGAUGACGCUUUUGAAAUUUCUCAAGUAUCGAGCUGUGAGAUGCUGGGGAUGCAAGAUUGUGUACUUGUUAGGAGAAAGAGUGAUUAUGUUGUUGUGAUGAUCUAAUUCUGCAUAGAGCUUCCUAUAUAUCUCGAGUGUCAUGAGAAUUAGAUCGAUAUAGUUCGAAAUGAGUAAAUAGAAAAAUUUUAGGGCGAUUCUCAAAAUUUUCCCUAGUGUAUGUUUUUGACUCUUUGAAUGAAAUUUGAAAAAUGUUAUGUUGUUUUGAAAUCUAUUUUGAUUGAAAAGAUGCAUGGUGCCUCCGAUUUUGUACGGAGACUUGAGGAUGAAUGACGUUACCGAUUGUUUAUAGGGACGUGAAGAUGAAUGACAUCUUCGAUUGUUUAUGGGGACUUAUAUGAUGAAUGAAAGAUGUCUUUAAUUAUCUAUGAAGACAUAAUGCAUAGCAUCUCCAAUUAUCUAUGGAGACUGAUGUUGAUUAUUGUCUUCGAUUGUCUACGAAGAUUGAUAUUGAAUAAUGAUGUCUUCGAUUGUCUGCGAAAACUUGAUGACAUCUCCAAUUGUCUAUAGAUAUCGAUGUUGAUUGUCUUCAAUGAUUGUUCAAUGUAACGUACUGAUUUUCUGAACCGAAAUGCUGCACGGCGCCCAUGACCCCAAAGGAACACAAGCUAACCCAUGACUUAUAUCUGUACCUGAGCACUGAAUAACCAUACUGUAAAAUAUGCGAAAACAUAAUACUGUAAGGCCAUAAGGUUCAAAUCGAAAUAAACAUCUGAUAAAAUAAUAUCUAAAAAUGGUAUAACAAUACCAACAUAAAUCUGAAAUAAUUGUUUGAAAUGCUGUAGUCUGAAAACCUCUAAACUGAACUGAAUAAGGGGUUGAGGGAAUAUGUUCCCAACUAACUCCGUCUACUGAAAUAAACUAAUAACUGAAAUAGUGAUAUGAAUAAUAACAUAAUUGUCCUCGAAGGAUGAGGACUUACUGUUAAUUACUGCUGCUGGCUGACUCUGAAAUUGCUAAGGGAGCUCUGGAUCCCGUGUGUCCAAACCUAUGGUAUAAGACACCAUAGCAUGAGAAAAAUAUGCGUCAGUACUUUGAAUGUACUGGUAUGUAAGUGAGGUAGGCUGAAUGUAUGGGGUUCAUAUGUAUAAACAAUACUGACUAACAUGAACGUGAGAAUACAUGCAUGAAUACAUAAUAGCUAUAACUGAAACUAUACUAGUACUAGAUACUAAAUUCUGUGUACUGAUUUACUGACAUCUGAGUUUACUGAAUAAAGAGGAACUGAUGUUAUAUUACUGAUAAAGAAAAUGAUUGUUUCUGAUAGUUCUGAUUAUGAAGAACUGAUCUGAUUGACCGUAUAUAACAGUCCUGAAACUGAGUUCGUGAUAACAUGACUACUGAGUAUGAAUACUGAUGACAUCUAUUUACUGAUAACAUAUCAUUACUGAUAACUUAAUUGUGAUAAUUGAUACAUCUGAUAACAUGAGUUCUGAUAACUGAUAGCAUGAACGACUGUAUCUGACAGUCCUGAAUCUGAUGGAACUAGCUGAGUUCCAUACUGUAUCUGAGUUGACUGUAUCUGUCAGUCCUGAUAUCUUGAAGAACUAUCUGAGUUCUUUUACUGAGACUGAUACUGAAACUGUGCGAAGUAGUUAUAUAACCGACAUGCCCCAAAUACGCUAUAAUAGUUAAGCUAGGGUCCAAUCUCUUCCUGUAACGCCCCAAAAAAUGGGUCUCGGAGCCUCACACGGUGCUUGAGACUAUGAGUAGCCCCAAGCUAACCCUUUGAGACAUUUUCAUUCAGUUCAACACAAAUCAAUGGGGUUUCCAUAAAUAACUCUCAAAUAUCAACAGAGUAAUCAUCAUCCAAGAAUAAAAGAAUUUUAGAAAGAUAACAAAAUAUGACUUAUUAGUCAACUCCAAACAUCUAUACUAGUCUGACAAGCCUCUAAGUCAAAAAAGCCAACGAGCCAUUGAGACAUGCCCCAACUGACUCAUAGUCAGUAAUCAAAUGUAAAUAAUUCCGUGAAACCAACAUCAGACAUCACAUCCUCGGAACAUGAGGACUCACCACAAUAGAGGAUUUAGAACAACGUGCCCGAAGAAUCACUGUCAAACCUGGAACUGAGUACCUGAACCUACAUUUCGAGAAAAUACAGCCCACAUCUGAAGAUGUGACUCAUUACCAUGAAAAGGAACCGAGUAUAUGGGGGUGUAUGCAGUUUUAUAAACAUCAUCAUCAUACAUAUUUAUAAGAAAUAUACAGGAUGUAUGAAAGACUCACAUAUCCCAAAAAAAUCAUCAUAAUCAUGAGAGGAUGAAAUAAGUACAAUAACACAUGUGACUCAACAUAUAAUUUGUCAAUCACUUUCAUUUCAUCAAUAAUAUCAAUUCUCAUAAUGUAAAUAUCAUUUUAAUCUUUCGAAAGAAUAACUUUCACAAUUCCACUUUCAAAUCACUUCACCAUUCACCAUAGACACAAGGAAACACACACAUACUGGGAGAUCCUAUAAUCAACAUAAACCAUGUGAGCUACAUGGAGUCCACCAUACAAUUCACGUUGGGGAGAGCCGUCCUAUCCUUUCUAUCAGAGUAGGACUAUCGAUAUUAAAUCCACACAAACUAGUGAUCACUAUAUAAAUUAGCCUUAGGCUCUCUCCUAUGGGGGCACGUAGUUCUAGGAAAGUAAGGUCGCUUUAUACCUCCCACUAGGUGCUAAAGAUUUCUUCCAAACUUAGCUCAGAUCAUUUCAAAGACAAUCCACAACAAAAUAAUUUCAGUAAAACAACGUUGUGAAUUUCUUUCACACUCGAGUUCAAAACAACUUCAUUAAUACCAAAAGUUCAAAUCAUUCAAAAUAUCUUAAAUAUUCAACAUCAACGUGCUUAUAACACACACUUUCUCAAAAAAAUAUAAUUUCCAAUGGGGAUUCACGACCCAAAUAUCAAAAUCAUGAUAAAUAUCGUUCGAGAUUCAUGCUUUAUAUCUCCACACAUGUAAAUUCAUCUUUCAAAAUCAUAAACAUCAGUAUUUCAUAAUAAUCAUCAUAAGAUAUGGGUUCAUGCUUCAAAUUCGUAAAAAAAUAAAAUAAAAAUCAUGCCAUUGUAAAGAAAAUUACUUUUGGGCACAAGAACGAAAGAGAGUUCUUGUUGAAAAACCCCACAUACCUUGAAUGGUGAACUUUAGAUCGAUACUCAUUUUUGAGAUAUUAAUCGUGCCUAUGAAUGAUGGUUCUUGAAGUUCUUGAACUAGGAACUUGAAAUCUUGAAUAAAUUUGCAGAGUUAAUGGUGAACUUUGGAGGUUCUUGAAGUUGGAUGUAGGUUCUUAGGUUUUUUUUUUUGAGGGAAUUUGAUGAAAUAUAACAUAUAAUGCUUCUAAUAUGCUUUAAUAUAGGGUUUGGAUGGAUUUUGGGUGAGGGGGAAUGAUCAAAACGCCCCUAAAAGAUCAAAUAAUUCUCGAAUCUGUCCUUUGGUGGACUAUUUUGAUAGUCUGAAGUAGAUCAACGAUAAUGUUUUACUCUGAUAUCCAAAUUGGAUUAAACAAAUUUCAUUAGAAAGAGGACUCUCAUAUAUUUCCGUUGAUAUAUAGUAUCUCACCCAGAUCAUUGUGUAUGAGGAGUUAUGAUCAUUUGAAGUUGACCCAAAAAUUCACUUUUGAUAGGCUGAAGUAAAUCGAUCAUAACUUUUUGCUCCGAUAAACAAAUUGGAUGAAACCAAUUUCAUUGGAAAGAGGACUCGCAGAGAUUUCCAUUGAUAUAUAGUAGAUCACCCAGAUCAUUAUGUACAAGGAGUUAUGAUGGUUUGAAGUUGGAGCAAAAAUACGCCAGCCUCAGUACUUUUUCCUGCAGGUUUUACUGUUCACUACUAUUCAUGGUUCGAUCAGAAUGUUGAUAACUCGUCGCUCGGGUGUCCGUUUUUGAUGAUCCACAUAUCGUUGGAAAUAUUAUUUGAUACUCUACGUCAUGAUGGGUCAUAAUCUAAGACAUUCCACAUAGAAAAUUUAUAAUUCAUUCUAGAAGAUAGAACCCAACACGUUUACACACAGAAUUUCAACAAAAAAAUUCCCUGGGUAUUACAUCAUCCCCCCCUUGGAAACAUCCAUCCUCAAAUGACGCUAGACAUGCCAAUAUUAGAUAGGGAAUGGAGCAUACAGCUGAAACCAUUCGUUAGACUCAUCACCACAUCGUUUUUCACUCCGAAUGCAACAUAGAAUGCAUAAAUUCAAGAAACUACAGCUGAACACAUAAUAAAUGACAGCUGAACUGCUGCAACUUUUAUCAAAAGUGAAUGAUUUAGGAAAGAACGAUACCUUCGGCUUGAUCGGAGUGGAGUUCGCAGAAAAGAGGUGCGGGUACUUGGAUCGCAUAUCCGCCUUAGCUUCCCAAGUUGCACCCUCAACAGAUUGGUUUCGCCACAACACCUUGACCAAGGGAACUUCUUUGUUCCUUGGUCUUCGGACACUGAAAUCAAGAAUCUCUAUGGGAAUCUCAUCAAAAGAAAGAUUUUCUUGCAUGUCAGCAAUCGCAGAGGAAUCCACUACCACAACAUCACUAAUAUGCUUUCUAAGCAAGGAGACAUGGAAUAUUGGAUGAACAGAGGACAACUUGGAAGGCAACUCGACCUCAUAAGCUACCUUACCAACACGGCUAAGAAUUUUGUAAGGAACAACAUAACGGGGACUAAGCUUCCCCUUCUUUCCGAAUCUCUUCACCCCCUUAUGGGUGAAACUUUUAGAUACACUAGGUCACCAACUUCAAACUCAAGGUCUCUCCUUCUAACAUCCGCAUAUGACUUCUGACGACUCUGCGCAGUUUUUAACCUUUUCCUAAUCAACUUAACUUUUUCCAUAGCCUCAAAUACCGAAUCUGAACCACUCACAACCGCUUCACCCACCUCGAACCAACCUAAGGGUGAUCUACACUUCCUUCCAUAUAAGGCUUCAAACAGAGCUAUGCCAAUACUAGAGUGGAACCUGUUAUUGUGAGCAAACUCUAUCAACGGUAAGUGAUCAUUCCAACUUCCCUUAAAGUCAAGUGUACAAGCUCUCAACAUAUCAUCUAAGGUCUGGAUGGUCCGCUCAGCCUGAGGUCUGCGGAUAAAAAGUAGAACUCAAAAGCACUUAGGUACCAAGACCCUUCUGAAAAGCUUUCCAAAAUUGUAAAGUGAACUGAGUAGCCCUAUCCGAAAUGAUAGACAAGGGAACUCCAUGCAGUUUGACUAGCUCUCGGAUAUACAAUCUACCAUAAUCCUCAGAAGUAUAUGAAGUAUGAACAGGAAAGAAAUGGGAAGACUUAGUCAACCUAUCAACCAUAACCCAAAUGGAAUCAUGAUGGUGUCGGGAAGGAGGUAAACCAAUCACGAAGUCCAUAUUUAUCUCUUCCCACUUCCAGGUGGGAAUACUAAACUCUUGCAUCAUACCNNNNNNNNNNNNNNNNNNNNNNNNNNNNNNNNNNNNNNNNNNNNNNNNNNNNNNNNNNNNNNNNNNNNNNNNNNNNNNNNNNNNNNNNNNNNNNNNNNNNNNNNNNNNNNNNNNNNNNNNNNNNNNNNNNNNNNNNNNNNNNNNNNNNNNNNNNNNNNNNNNNNNNNNNNNNNNNNNNNNNNNNNNNNNNNNNNNNNNNNNNNNNNNNNNNNNNNNNNNNNNNNNNNNNNNNNNNNNNNNNNNNNNNNNNNNNNNNNNNNNNNNNNNNNNNNNNNNNNNNNNNNNNNNNNNNNNNNNNNNNNNNNNNNNNNNNNNNNNNNNNNNNNNNNNNNNNNNNNNNNNNNNNNNNNNNNNNNNNNNNNNNNNNNNNNNNNNNNNNNNNNNNNNNNNNNNNNNNNNNNNNNNNNNNNNNNNNNNNNNNNNNNNNNNNNNNNNNNNNNNNNNNNNNNNNNNNNNNNNNNNNNNNNNNNNNNNNNNNNNNNNNNNNNNNNNNNNNNNNNNNNNNNNNNNNNNNNNNNNNNNNNNNNNNNNNNNNNNNNNNNNNNNNNNNNNNNNNNNNNNNNNNNNNNNNNNNNNNNNNNNNNNNNNNNNNNNNNNNNNNNNNNNNNNNNNNNNNNNNNNNNNNNNNNNNNNNNNNNNNNNNNNNNNNNNNNNNNNNNNNNNNNNNNNNNNNNNNNNNNNNNNNNNNNNNNACACUCAUAUCAUAGUCCUUUAACAAUUCUAACCAUCGUCUCUGCCUAAGAUUCAAUUCUCUCUGGGUAAACACAUACUGCAGACUCUUAUGAUCAGUGAAAAUAUCACCAUGGACACCAUACAAAUAGUGUCUCCAGAUUUUCAAAGCAAACACAACAUAGCAACCAACAAGGUCAUGGGUGGGGUAAUUUUUCUCAUGGGGUUUCAACUGUCUAGAAGCAUAAGCUAUCACCUUACCCUUCUGCAUCAAUACGCAACCCAACCCAACUCUCAAAGCAUCACAGUACAGCACAAAACCAUUAACACCAUCAGGCAAAGUCAAAAACCGGGGCUGAAGUGAGUCGAGUCUUCAACUCCUGAAAACUCUUCUCACAAGAUUUGGACCACAAGAACUUUACUUUCUUUUGGGUCAACCGAGCCAUAGGAGACUCUAUAGAGGAGAAACCCUCAACAAAACUGCGGUAAUAGCCAGCUAAACCCAAGAAACUUCAGAUAUUAGUCGGAGAAAUAGGUCUAGGCCAAUUUCUAACAGCUUUGAUCUUUUGGGGAUCAACUUUAAUACCCUCGGAAGAAAUGAUAUGACCCAGAAAAGCAACUGACCUUAGCCAAAACUCACACUUACUGAACUUGGCAAACAACUUAUGAUCUCUAAGGGUUUGCAAGAUAGUUCGGAGAUCAGAAUGUUCAUCCUCACUACGAGAGUACACCAGUAUAUCAUUGAUGAACACUAUGACAAAUAUAUCUAGAUAUGGUCUGAACACUCGAUUCAUGAGGUCCAUGAAAGCUGCUGGGGCAUUAGUUAACCUGAAAGACACAACAAGAAACUUAAAAUGGCCAUAACGAGUUUGGAAGCGGUUUUUGGGAUGUCACACUCCCUAACUUUAAGUUGAUGAUAGACGAAACGAAGGUCUAUCUUUGAGAAAUAACUUGCACCUUGCAAUUGGUCAAACAAAUCAUCUAUUCUCGGAAGGGGGUACUUAUUUUUGACGGUGUCUUUAUUUAGUUGGCGGUAAUCAAUGCCCAUACGUAAAGAGCCAUCUCACAAACAACACAGGAGCACCCCAAGGAGAAACACUAGGCCUUAUGAAACCCUUAUCUAGUAGAUCUUUGUGUUGUUCUUUCAACUCCUUAAGUUCUGCAGGGUCCAUACAGUAAGGUGGAAUAGAAAUAGGCUGAGUAUCGGGAAGAAGACAAUCCCGAACUCUAUCUCUCUAUUAGGAGGUAUCCCUAGGAGAUCAUCCGAAAAGAAAUCAGAAAACUCAUUGACGACGUUAACAGACUGGAGAGUUGGAGUCUCAGGCUUAGUGUCUUUGACUUUAACCAAAUGGUAAAUACACCCCUUGGAAAUAAGCUUNNNNNNNNNNNNNNNNNNNNNNNNNNNNNNNNNNNNNNNNNNNNNNNNNNNNNNNNNNNNNNNNNNNNNNNNNNNNNNNNNNNNNNNNNNNNNNNNNNNNNNNNNNNNNNNNNNNNNNNNNNNNNNNNNNNNNNNNNNNNNNNNNNNNGAGGCAUAAGAAGAAUACAACCAGUCCAUACCCAGAAUCACAUCAAAAUCUACCAUGUCUAACUCAAUCAGAUCAGCCAACAAGACUCUAUGAAGAACGGUAACAGGACACUUUUUAUACACUUUCUGGGCAAUAAUCGAAUCACCCACUGGGGUAGAAACUAGGAUAGGCUUAGGAAUAAUCUCAGGACUCAUUUCAAAAUUCACAGCAAUCAAAGGUGUAACAUAUGAGAAACUGGAUCCAGGAUCCAACAAAGCAUACACAUCAAACUAAAAUAUACUAAGCAUAGCAGUAACAACAUCGAGAGAGUCCUCCUAUUCCUAGAGGGACAGUAAAGCAUAGAAUCUAUUCUGGCGCUGCCCGCCAGCAUUGCUAGAAGAGGCGCCCUGAUUUGGGGAUGGGUGAGUCGCUAGAAUUGGAGCACUAACAGUCUGAGUCUAGGUCUGAGGGCAAAAACGCUCUUGUCCAUCCUGUGGACAAUCUCUAACUCUGUGACCCAUGUCACCACACCAGAAAUAACCCUUCUUCUCAUCUCAACACUCACCCAAAUAAACCCUACAUCACUUAGGACAUAAGGGAUGAUUUGGAUUACUGGCAGCACUGUAUUAGGACCUGGAUGCAUAUUACCUACUACCUUGCUGCUUCCUACCUCUAGGCAUAGGAGCACUAGAAGAUAACGGUGUUUGCAUAGAUGAACGAUCCUGAUACUAAGGGCGACUCCCUUCCUGUGAUCUAGUCUGACCCUGUUUGUGCUGCUCAGACCUAGCUCUCUUAUUCCUUCUUAUUUUAUCUCUCUCUUUAAUCUUGUCUGCCUCAUCUAUUAGGCAUGAUUCAUCUGCCUAGAAAGAUUUAUCUCACUAUUUAGCAUAGCAAACCUACACUCCUUAACCACAUAACUAGACACUCCAAUCACAAACUUACUCAUACUAUCCCGAUUAUCAGCCACUAAGUCAGGAUCAUACUUGGCCAACUGAUUGAACUUUAGACAGUACUCCCUAACAGUUAUAGAGCCUUAUUGCAGGUUCAUAAACUCUUCCACCUUCGUCUCUCUCAUCUCCAAAGGGAAAAACUUAUCCAAGAAUACAUCCUAGAAGGGACAGCUCCCUCACCUCUACCUUUCCUCCAAGCAACAACCCAGUCAUAAGCAAGGUCUUUCAACCUAUACGCAGCCAACUCUACACUAUGUUCCUUAGAUAAAUGCAUCAACUAAGUAAUCUUCCACACUUUCUCUAAAAACAACCAUGGAUCCUCAUCAGACUUGGACCUAUAGAAUUCCAGCGGAUUCAUCCGUAUGAAAUCACGGAUCCUGGCAGCAGCUGAAUCACCCCCUACUGCUGUGGAGCCAGGGAUGGAUUGGCCUAAACAUUUGCAGUAAUAGCUUGGGCCCAUGCUUGAAAGGUUGCCUGAAAUUUAGUAUGAGACACGUUUUCAUUCAAUGGGUCAGCGGAUUGAGGUUGCUGGCCAUCAUUAUUUCUUCUCGCUCGAUGAGGAGGCAUACUUCUGAAAGAGGAGAGCACGAAUGAAUAGCAGAGAGAGAUACUUUAAGCACGAUAGGCUUCUGAAAGAAAGAAUCACACUUUUUCCUAAAAUGUCUUGUAGCCUUUUGCUCAUAGAUGUGGCAUGCUACACACCGAUGAUCAAGACUCUACUUAACACGGUUUGUCAGACUCCUUAGGAUACCUUAAAACCUUAGGCUCUGAUACCAAGUUUGUAACGCCCUAGAAAAUGGGUCCCGGAGCAUCACACGGUGCUUGAGGCUAUGAGUAGUCUCAAGCUAACCCUUUGAGCCAUUUUCAUUCAGUUCAACACAAAUCAAUGGGGUUUCAUAAAUAACCCUCAAAUAUCAACAGAUUAAUCAUCAUCCAUGAAUAAAAGAAUUUCAGAAAGACAAUAAAAUACAACUUAUUAGUCAACUCAAAACAUCUAUACUAGUCUGACAAGCCUCUAAGAAAAUCAAUAAAACCAGCGAACCAUUGAGACAUUCCCUAACUGACUCAUACUCAGUUAUCAAAUGUAAACAAUUUUGUGAAACCAAUAUCAGACAUUACAUCCUCAAAACAUGAGAACUCACCACAACAGAGGAUGUAGAAUAGCGUGCUCGAAGAAUCACUAUCGAACCUGGAACUGAGCACCUGAACCUAUAUUCCGAGAAAAUGCAGCCCAUAGACGAAGAUGUGGGUCAGUACCAUGGAAAGAAACCGAGUAUAUAGGGGUGUAUGCAGUUGUAUAAACAUCAUCAUCAUAAAUAUUUAUAAGAAAUAUGCAGGAUGUAUGAAAGACUCACGUAGUCUGAAGAAAAUCAUCAUAAUCAUGAGAGGAUGAAAUAAGUACAAUAACACAUGCGAGUCAUCAUAUAAUUUGUCAAUCACUUUCAAUUCAUCAAGAAUAUCAAUUCUCAUAAUGUAAAUAUCAUUUUAAUCUUUUGAAAGAAUAACUUUCACAAUUCUACUUUCAAAUCACUUCACCAUUCACCAUAGACACAAGGAAACACACACACACUGGGAGAUCCUAUAACCGACAUAAAACAUGUGAGCUACAUGGAGUCCAACGUACAACCCACGUUGGGGAGAGCCAUCCUAUNNNNNNNNNNNNNNNNNNNNNNNNNNNNNNNNNNNNNNNNNNNNNNNNNNNNNNNNNNNNNNNNNNNNNNNNNNNNNNNNNNNNNNNNNNNNNNNNNNNNNNNNNNNNNNNNNNNNNNNNNNNNNNNNNNNNNNNNNNNNNNNNNNNNNNNNNNNNNNNNNNNNNNNNNNNNNNNNNNNNNNNNNNNNNNNNNNNNNNNNNNNNNNNNNNNNNNNNNNNNNNNNNNNNNNNNNNNNNNNNNNNNNNNNNNNNNNNNNNNNNNNNNNNNNNNNNNNNNNNNNNNNNNNNNNNNNNNNNNNNNNNNNNNNNNNNNNNNNNNNNNNNNNNNNNNNNNNNNNNNNNNNNNNNNNNNNNNNNNNNNNNNNNNNNNNNNNNNNNNNNNNNNNNNNNNNNNNNNNNNNNNNNNNNNNNNNNNNNNNNNNNNNNNNNNNNNNNNNNNNNNNNNNNNNNNNNNNNNNNNNNNNNNNNNNNNNNNNNNNNNNNNNNNNNNNNNNNNNNNNNNNNNNNNNNNNNNNNNNNNNAACUAGGAACUUGGAAUCUUGAAUAAAUUUGCAGAAUUAAUGGUGAACUUUGGAGGUUCUUGAAGUUGGAUGCAGGAGCUUAGGGUUUUCUUUUUGAGGGAAUUUGAUGAAAUAUAAUAUAUAAUGAUUCUAAUAGGCUUUAAUAUAGGGUUUGGAUGGAUUUUGGGUGAGGGGGAAUGACCAAAACGUCCCUAAAAAUCAAAUAAUUCUCAAAUCUGUACUUUGGUAGAUUGUUUUGAUAGUCUGAAGUAGAUCAACCAUAAUGUUUUACUCCGAUAUCCAAAUUGGAUGAAACUAACUUCAUUAGAAAGAGAAGUCUCAUAUCUUUCCAUUUAUAUAUAGUAUCUCACCCAUAUUAUUGUGUACGAGGAGUUAUGAUCAUUUGAAGUUGACUCAAAAAUUCGUUUUUGAUAGGCUGAAGUAGAUCGACCAUAACUUUUGCUCUGAUAGACAAAUUGGAUGAAACCAAUUUCAUUGGAAAGAGGACUCACAGAUAUUUCCAUUGAUUUAUAGUAUAUCACCCAGAUCAUUACGCACAAGGAGUUAUGAUCAUUUAAAGUUGGAGAAAAAAUAUGCCAGGCCUCAGUACUUUUUCCUGCACGUUUUACUGUUUACUACUAUUCACAGUUCGAUGGGAAUGUUCAUAACUCGUCGUUCGGGUGUCUGUUUUGAUGAUCCAAAUAUCGUUCAAAAGAUUAUUCGAUACUCUACGCAAUGGUGGGUCUUAAUCUAAGACAUUCUGCACAGAAAAUUUAUAAUUCAUUAUAGAAGAUAGAACCCAACACGUUUUUGCACAAAAUUUUCACAAAAAAUUUCCCGAGGUAUUACACUGCCCUGAUUGGAAGGGUGUCAAUACCGCACCACUGGUAAGGAGAAGCUGUGAGUGACCCUCAUCUGGUAGGUACUCAAAUGAGAACGGUGAGAACCUUCAUCUGACAGGUUAAGCCACCUCAUCUACCCUCAACUGACAGGUAUUGAUGUCUCAACCUAUGCUGGCUACAUAGUUUUGGAAUGCUAGGACUGCUUCUAAGAAUCACACCCUCUAUUUGCAGGUGAGUUCCCAUCCUUGGGUUCGUUCAGUGCUAAAUCCUGUUUUGCAGAGAAAUUUUGACUUUUUGAGAGUCGCCACUUAAUUUUGAAAAGGAAUUAAGAAACCUUAGAGAGUUACUUAAAACGAUUCAAAAUAGAAAAAUUGUUUUGAGUUAGAAAUCCCGGGUAUGUGGUUCCUAUUAACAUUUUAGGAAGGUGUUAGACACCUAAAACAUCCGCUAAUUUGCGGUUAUCCGGACUAUUUGAAAAUUGUCUUUUGAUUAACUUCGAAAUGAUUUAUUUUGAAAAGUGUUUGCUUUUUUGGAAAGAAAGCAAUUUUAGAAAUAUUUUGAUGUUUAUGCAAAACUAGUUUUUUAGCGACUUAACUAGGAAUUUGGCUAGGUUCGCAAAGCACAUAAGGAAAACAAACAUAAAGAACAGGGAAAGGGGAGAAAUUAAGGGAUUUAGGCCAUUAGGCCCAAAUCGAUAAGAGCUGUCCUAAUCUACUUGGGCUUUCGACCCUUAACCUGUUCUAAUCUAGUUUUCAAACCUUUAGCUCGAGUCUCGCUUCACCUGUAUUAAAUACAACUUUGGCUUCGAGGCCCGAAUGAAUGGAUAAAGAAAUAAUUACAUAAAUAAAUAAUUAAAGGAAACAAUGAAAAAUAACAGGACUUUAAAGCCCCCUUUGCCGCUUAGAAGAUGAGACUUUAACCCGCUUCUUCUUAUUCCGACUCCAUCCAUGUUUAUACUAUAUAAUGGACAUUCAAUGCUUUCUAAAGAGGUGGGCCUCAAUGGCCCCAUUUCCUAAUGCGAGAGUAAAGAGCCCAAUUGGCCUCCCGAGUAAAUUCAUACAAAGAAAAGAUGAGUGAAUUAAUGCCUAUUCUGAAUUUUCAACUGACAUGCAAAAUAUUAAAUGAUUUAAAGAAACAUCUACCAACCAGAGGAUUUAAAAUUGAUAGGAAAUAAAUUAGCAUCAAUCCAUGAUUGGUGACCCUAACUAACCACUAAAGCACUUGAGCAAUCAACAAAAUAAUGUGCCAUUGGAUAUUAACCAGUAUAUUCCUGCUAUAAUCAUACAUUAUGACAAGAGUCCUUCAUUUUAACAAGUUGUCAAUGGCAUCCGCCCAGGAAAACUCAUACAUACACUUAGGACAAUAAGACAUAUUCGAAAGAAACAUGCAAAGAUUUGACGCUUAGUUUAACACUAGGAGAAAGGAAUCUCGGGACUUGAUUUUUAGAGCAUUUUAACCAUCCGGGAUGAUAUCAUCAGUAGGUGUCAAAUUCAUAAAUAAAUUGAAGGGAUAAAGAUCAUUCCUAAUUCAAAAAGUUUAACAUGGAGCAGGCAUGACUCAUUUUUAGGCGUGACUUAUGAAAUUCAUCCAAAUAAUGCACAACUUAAAUUAUCGUAGAUAAAAUAUUGUUGCAAGCUCAUAGAUUAGCCUCAUAGAUUAGCCACGUGAAUGGACGAGUAAUACUCUAUAUUUGUCAUUCGAAUUAAUGGACUAAAAAAAAGAAAUCUGAACUACAUGCUUUAAUAACGUCUUUUAUUAUCAAAUGCUCAAGUAUCAGUGAUUUGAUUUUCUUAACAUCAUGCAUGUUGUUGAAGGAAAAAAGAAACAUUUGAACUACGAUUUUCCAGAGAAGACUUCAUUAAUUAGUCUAUUUCCAUAACCCAAAACAUCAGAAAUUACAUUGAUUCGAGUAAAGUUACAAGAGAGCAGUCCUUAAACUGGUUCAAACUAUUCAAUUAGCUCACAAUUUUGAACAAGUAGUUCCUCAUUUUUGUCAAAUAAAGUACAAGAACAAAAUAUAGGACCGAAGAUCCUUGGGAAUGGUAUUGUGCAGACUGACAGGCCCCUUUAGAUUUCUUGAAUCUAAAGGACCACUCAAGUUGCGGAUAAAUCAUACAAACAAACAGUAAGCAUAAAAACUCAAAGAUAACACAAAUUCUCAGAAUCCCCCCAUCUGAAUCCCCAACUAAAAAAUUGAAUUACACGGCCAUGAUGCCAACUUUGGUAGUGUGUAUUCUUUUCUUCCCUCCUUCCCUUUCGACAAACUCAGAAAUGAGUACUUAAUAGUCAAAUGGUCAUCGAAGAAUCAAAGGAUUUUUACUAACUUUUGUUUAGACGCAUGCUUGUUAUCCUUUGUCACUUGAGAAGCCACAGAAUUCAAGAGAAAAUCCCAACAAACAAACAAUGUCAAAUACUAACAACACAGUGAAGACACCCUCAUUCGAAACUAUCGGAUGAGAUUAGAGUAAAGAACUUUAACAGUGAGACCAGCUAUAACCAAAUACCACCAAGCCAAAAUGAUUAAAGCAUGAAAUUUCAAUGCGAAGUCAACUAUAACGAACUACCAUCAAUCCAAAAAUGAAAUAAAGCAUGAAGAUUUUCUCCAUCAAAUAAGCCACGACAGACCACCAUCAAAUCAAAAUUAGCUAAACAUGAAACUUUAACAAAGUCGGCCGCGUAGAUCAGUGGUAUAGACCGUAAACAGUAUACCAAAAAUGAGAGUAUUUAAAUUGAAAACUCCAUCAACAAUGUCUUUUGGACUACAUAACAUACCAUGAAUGAAACCUAUGGCUACCACAGCCAUCUACAAGCAAACAAUCCAGCAUACAAUCACACGAAAAAUUUAGUCACGACUAUAGAAGAUAUAGAUGAAGCAGAAGCACUCGAGAGCUUAGAGGAAGGAUGUUACCUUUUGGGGAGCAGCAAAACAGGACAUACGAGCUAUCAGCAUGGCUAUCACCAUUGUGAGCUUGAUGUUCUCGACUCGGGUACUCCUAAUUGGUCGACUAGCUUACCAGAAGUAAUGGAUGAGAAAGUUUUAGCACGAUGAACUCUUUGCUUUCAGAGUUUCCAACCCAAAAUUCGAACCAACCAUUUGAACCAGCCUAAAAAAAAAUUUCCUUCUUUCGUUUCUCUCAAAAAGACCUUAGAAAGAAAGAAAAAAUUCUACAAAAUUUCUCAGAAAGAAACCCUAACUUCCCCCUUUUGAAAAAUCCCCCCCAAACAGAGAUCCCAAAUCCUCUUAUAUAGAAGAAGGAAAAAUAAUGGGGGGAAUAUCUUUUUCGCUUCAACUUUUUAAAUUUCCAAAUCCCCCUUUCGUUUUUGAAAUCAUCAACAAAUGCACCCCUUUUUGGAAUAUCCCUUGGAUGAUUCCAAAAUAGGUGGACCAAUCACCAUUGGAAAAAAUGAAUCCCCCCUUCCAACCACUAAAAAAUGCCCAAAUAUGUACCAGAUUCGUACUCCUAUCCCAAAAAUUCACGGAAUUGAACGUUGGAGGACACCUCGACACUGUUCUAGAAGGUUCGAAUUUCCUCAACGUACGCAUUCACAUGGGGGUAAUGCAAUCCAUAUGAACUGAUGGUGAAAGGAUGUAUUUGGGUUUUUUUGGGUUGAAAACAGGUCGAUGGGUUUGGGUUUUACGGAAUAUGGGUUUUUGGGGCUAUAUGGUUGUUGGCUCAGGUUGUGGAUGGGUUAUCAUCACCUAACUGGGUGAAAACGUUAAUACUAAAGGCCAUCGAUGUUGAAAUUGUUGGUGUUAUCGAGGUUUCAAGUUGUUGAAUUAUUGAUGAGGUUGUGCGCAUGGUUAGUCUAUGUUCUUUCCCUUGGUUUGAAGAGAAGAAGAUAAGGGUUAAAGGAAUUGGGCCGUACCGGGUCAUAGGGGAUUGGUGUAGGCCAAUUUGAGAAUAAGGAUAAAAAAAAAUAGGCUGAUGGGGAUGCUGAGAUUGGGCCUUAAUUCAUUGGGUUAGGAGAGAUUUAGGCAGAUUUUAAUGGGUUGCUAAGUUGCUGAUUUGGGCCUGGUAAAUAAUAGAGGUGUUGGGCUGGUAGAAAAAGAUAGGGAUGGCUAGUUGCUUUUUAAAUUGGGCCGUUUUUUUGGGGUAGAUUUAGGAUUUUAAUGAUGUGGAGAUUUAGGCUAUUUAUUAAAUAGCCGAAGGGUGAAAAUUUAGACAACCAAAUUAAAAUUUUAGCCUAAUUCAAAUUAAAUUGACCCAUUACCUUGCCAUUAUGGUCAAAUUAAUUCCAAUUAAGGUAUAAUUUAAUAAAUUGACUAAAUUUAAACACCCUUUGAAAUGACCCAACAACCAAUUUGAAUCCGAAGUUCCUUGAUUCAAUAAAAUCAAACUCAUAUUUAUCUAAAUACAUUAUUUAAAUUGAGAUCUUAAUCAUUUUAAAUUAUUUUCCACACAAGCCUAGAUUAAGACCCGAUAUUUUGUAACAUAAAUAUUUAAGUAUCAAAAUUAUAUAAUUCCGUAUGAUAUCGCUACUCAAAAUGCCAAAAUUAUGUACAGAAAAUAUUUUAAAAAUCCUUAUUCAAAUGGGAUAAAUGUUGUAAUUUUAUUUGAAAAAUGAAGAAACUCUGAAUUAAACUUAGUUAUGGAGGGCAAAAAAUUAGGUGUCACAAUUCCUACUCACAACUGAGUGACACUGAACUGAUUAUACUGAACUAAUUUCCUAGUUCAUACUAGAAUUAACUGAACUGUUACUUAUUGUUCUGUUUAACUGAACUGAACAUGGACUGAGUUUAUGGAGUUCCGAUGACUAGCGGAACACUACUGAAUUCUGUUAACUGACUAAAUUUUAUUGAGUUCUGUUAACUGACUGAGUUUACUGAUGUCUGAACUGAAUACUGAACAAAAUUGUACUUAAAAUGAGAUUUACUAAAUUCCAUAGACUGACAGAAUAUUACUGAGAUUACGUAGAUUACUGAGUAAUGAGUAAAAAUGAACUGAUACUGCCUUUACAUGAGUUUUCCUGAGUCAUGAGACUGACUGAAGUCUACUGAACAUGGCUUGAUUGAUAGUAUUAUGAAAACAUGACAUGGCUCUAGGCAUCCAGCUAUAUUUUUUGGGUACAACUACCCCCAGGACUCGAUGGAAGGAAACUGAUACAUCAUGAAAAUUCUUGAUCAUAGGACUAAAGUCCGCAAUUCAUAAUACCAUAAGUUGAGGAUUUCCUGAAAGCACUUGUAAUCAUAAUCUUGUACAUGAUAGGAAUGUAUCCUACCAUAUCAUAAUUUCACAAUUUUAAUUUCACUUGCAUGACAUGAACUUGUAUACAUGCUAACAUAAUGUAGUUUCAUUACUUAACUUUCAUGAACCAUUUGUCAAACACUUGCAAGACAUAGCAUCAACAUGGAAAUCAUUUAGAUCAUGUAGUAUUAACAUGAAUUCAUUACUUAGAUCACCAAUGGAUCACAAGGCACAAUUCAUUCACUUGAAUAUUUUCACAAACACAUGAAAGGCAUGAUUUUAUACUUAGGCAUAUAUAACAUGCUCCCAAUUCAUGACCAUAACCACCAAUUCACAUCUCAAGGUUUUCAACAUAUGAUGGUUAUGAUUCAACACACAUGGAAAACAUGGAUAUUUCAUUCAUCAAUUAACAUAUAUCAAUAUUAUGGGUAUAACAUCCAACUUCCAAAUCCAAAGAACUCAACAUAAAUCUCAUAUGAAUAAUAGAACAAAUAAAUUAGUUUUCAUGAUUCUUGAUAUAACUCAUGGAAUUAAAACUCAAUUUAACAUCAACAACAUGAUUAUAAACAUACCACAAUAAAAUAUUCAUGAUACAUAACUUAAAACUUGAUCCUUGAGCUCCAUGGAUGAAAAGAAAGAAUCCAUGAAUUAACACUAUGCAUGACUUAGGUUGAUUAUCCGUGAAAGUUAACGGUGAAAUUGGCUUGAAUGUUGAAACCCCCAAUUGAACCCUUACUUGUUCUUGAAAUUUUUUUAGAGAAUUUGAGAAAAAGUGAGUAUAUUCUGCUCUAAAUUAGGCUUAAUGCCGUGUUUGAGCAGAUAUAUAGGAUGGGAUAAAUAUUAAAAUACCCCUGGAGAAAGAGAGAAAGACACAGCUUUCCUAUGUUGUUUUUAGGCUGAUAGGGUGAAGUAAAUUGAUAAUAACUCUUUGCUCCGAUGUUUAAAUUGGAUAAAACCAGCUUUUUAGAAAGAGGAGUCAAAUAUAUUUUCAUCACUAUGUAGUAGCUCUCACAGUUCAAAAUAUUCAAGAAGUUAUGAUCUUUUGAAGUUGACCCUAAAAUGCUAAAAAUUUCUGAAGCAUGCUAUAGAGCAUGCGACGCAUGCAAAUUGCUUGGUGCUUCUGUUUUGAAAUCCAAACAUGCCCUAAACGAACUCCAAAAAUUUUGAAACUCACUCGAGAUGUACUGUUGACUUCCCCGAUCACAACACAACUUGAAAAUCCAAAAACAGAUGUAUGAAAGGUCGUCAAAUAAAUCCCCGAAGUUCGGAGGUAUAAAUGAAACUAAGUCUUUCUAACACAUAGAAAAAUUCUUCUAAGUGUUAGAUUUCCUUAUCAAUCCUUAAGGAGCUGAAUUUGACUUAGAAUUUUUAUGGGAUCUUACAAUAUCUCCCCCUUGGGAACAUUUAUCCUCGAAUGAGACUUACUAAGAUUUGAUGAAGAGACCAACUGAGGCAUAAACUGAACAUGAAUGACUGAAAUAUGAUUUCAUGACUUACAUGACUAAUAAGCUGAAUUUGUAUCAAACUAAACAUACAUAUCUGAUGCAUGUGUAACUAAUUUAUGAAUGAAGGACUGAGUGUUCUGAUGAACUAAGUUUCUAAAAAUAAGAAUACAUAUCUGGUGCAUAAAUGAUAAGCUGAAUCCAUGCAUAUCUGAUGCAUGAUUAUAUGACUGAACUGGCUCGUGAACAUGCGACUGAAUAUGCAAUAGUAAAAGAUGCCAUGUUUAACUAAAAACUAGGCAUGAAACUAAAUACCAAGUUUGGUACUGAAAUCUGAAUAUGAAAAUGAGUAAUUUUAAGGAAGACUGUUACAUUGAACUUAAAAUACCGAUAAGUUUGAGAUUAAUUACUCAAUAUGCAUCAGCAGAAACAUGAGGACAUAACUGAGUCUAAAACGUGAUACAUGAACUGAAUAUCAUGAUAUGAACUGAACAUGAUACAUGAACUGAAUAUCAUGAUAUGAACUGAACAUGAUACAUGAACUGAAUAUCAUGAUAUGAACUGAGUCUGUAAUGCAUGACAUGGAUAGAGUAUCGUGAACUAAACUGAGCCAUUGAGUACAUGGCUUACGAUUGAGAUUUGGAGUUACAAGGCCAUCUUGUAAGUAACCCUUCUUCUAAGCUGGAUUCAUGAUGUGAAGAGAGACCGGUAUGUUCAUGUCAUAAAAGUUUGAAGGAUUAGAGUGUAUCUCUCCCUCGGGACACUAUCCCAUGAAGAAUGUUGGACUGCCUUUGCUGAAAUAUUGAGGAAAACUAAGGCGAUGCACAAGGCAUGUAGGAAUUGAAUAGUGACAUAAUUAUCUGAUAUCUGGAACUAAGGCAUGAUGCGUGAACUGGGUUAUACUCGCAUCUACUAGGAUACUCUAUCUUGGAAUAGUUACAUUCAACCGUAUCAUUAAUACUACACCCUUGUAUAAAAUAAGCAUACAUCAAUCUUCUCUUAACAUAAAAUAUUUUCUCUCUUCUAUUUAAGCAACCGUUCAUCACUACACUGUUUUCAUAAAGAGAGCUGACUGAAGGGUUAAAUCAGGAGGACCUGAAGCAUGAAUCGAUACAAACUGAACUUGACACAUGACUGAAACCUGAGGAAUAGAAUGUCAACAACAUGAAUUUACCAAAGAGGUAUGAACUGAGGAUAUACAUGACGUAGUCUAAAUUUAUCUAAUCUGUAGGGGCAUAGCAUGAGUCAUGAAAGCUGAGUAUACUGUAAAGCAUGAUACGUGUACAUGAGUCAUGAGCUGCAUGACCUAAUAUUUGAAUUUUUGUAUUCGUGAGACAUGAUUCGAGACACUGAGUGAUUUAGAUCUGACUGCCUAUGCUGGGAACUGAAAGCGCACACGAUUCUAUGGAAAACAUGUGAACAUAAGUCGUGUUCAUGGAGUUGAUUCAUACUGUUGGGUAAACUAAGAUCUUUUAUAUUGGGAACUAAAAUCAUACAUGAUUUAUGAAAAAGUGAAUGAUUGUGGUUCAUGACAUUAGAGUUGAUAUGUAAGACCUUAGUGGAUUUCGUGAUAGCUGAAGUACAAAUCUUUGUACUGAGAAGAGGAUGGGUUGGGAAUCGUCUUCCCUUACUGCUUUUCUAUACAUACUGGCACUAUUACUGGAAUCUGAGAAUCUUACUUGGUCACUUAAUCUAUCAUCACAUACUUAUACUCUGUUCAACACCUGCCCAUCCUACUAAACACAUCACUUGCUUCUGUUUCCUCAUAUACUACUAAUAUCUCAUCUACAGCUUCAUUCUUAAUUUCAAGUAAAUAAACUUAAAUUCUAGCUUACACUGUUCAAGCCUCCUAGUUUACCUUGGUACAACUAUCCCCAUGAAUAAAUAAUCUAAUCAAACUGUAUAAUACUAUCCCAACUCUUCUACUACUAAACUCUUGGGUCCAUGCUUAAAAUUCUAGGUAUAUACUAUCAUAGGAUUCUGAGAAGGGAUCUAAUGGCAUAUCAAAAAUUGGAUUUGAGUUACAAAGGAGUUCUCAUGAUCAUAAAUGAAAUCUGUACAACUUUGGAACAUGACUGAACUGAGGGGAUAUUGUCUGAGUAUGUGGCAAAUCACAGAACUAUCUCCAGGGACUGCAUAGGAAAGCCCUAUCUUUAGGAUUUAAGCUUCACUGUUUUUGUUACCUUGAAAGUAAGGUAAGGUUGACAUGAGGGGAGCCUAAUGUGAAUCUACAUGGGUUCCUUAUAGAACCUUGCUAUAGCACGAUCUUGAGACAUGAAAAAAGGGAAACUAUUCCUAAAACAUCUCAUAGCCUCCUACACAUAGGUGUGAUGCACAACACGCCCAUGUACAAGACUCUACUUGAUGCAGCUUUCAAACUUCCUAGGACACUGCUGCACCUUAGGCUCCAAUACCACCUUNNNNNNNNNNNNNNNNNNNNNNNNNNNNNNNNNNNNNNNNNNNNNNNNNNNCUGAAACGUUACACGGUGCCCAUGACUUUGAAGGACCACAAGCUAAUACAUGACUUAUAUCUGUACCUGAGCACUGAAUAACCAUACUGUAAAAUAUGCAAAAACAUAAUACUGUAAGGCCAUAAGGUUUAAAUCUGAAUAAAUAUCUGAUAAAAUAAUAUCUAAAAAUUGUAUAAUAAUGCCAACAUAAAUUUGAAAUAAUUGUCUGAUAUACUGUAGUCUGAAAACCUCUAAACUGAAUUGAAUAAGGAGUUGAGGGGAAAAAUUCCCAACAAACUUUAUCUACUGAAAUAAACUGAUAACUAAAAUAGUGAUAUGAAUAAUAACAUAAUUUUCCUCUAAGGAUGAGGACACACUAUUAAUUACUGCUGCUGGCUGACUCUGAAAUUGCUAAGGGAGCUCUGGAUCUUGUGCAUCCAAACCUAUGGUAUAACACACCAUAGCGCGAGAAAAGUAUGCGUCAGUACUUUGAAUCUACUGGUAUACAAGUGAGGUAGGUUGAAUGCAUAGGGUUCAUAUGUAUGUACAAUACUGACUAACAUGAACGUGAGAAUACAUGCAUGAAUACAUAAUAACUGUAACUGAAACUGUACUAGUACUGGAUACUGAAUUGUGUGUACUGAUUUACUAACAUUUGAGUUUACUGAAUAAAGUGGAAUUGAUGUUAUAUUACUGAUAAAGAAAAUGGUUGUUUUUGAUAGUUCUGAUUAUGAAGAUUUGAUCUGAUUGACCAUAUAUAACGGUUUUGAAAUUGAAUUCAUGAUAACAUGACUACUGAGUAUGAAUACUGAUGACAUGUAUUUACUGAUAAGAUAUAUCUAAUAACAAGAGUUCUAAUAACUGAUAGCAUGAAUGACUGUAUCUGACAGUCCUAAAUCUGAUGGAACUAGCUAAUUUUCAUACUAUAUCUGAGUUGACUGUAUCUGUUAGUCCUGAUAUCCUGAAGAACUAUCUGAGUUCUUUUACUGCGACUGAUAUUGAAACUGUUGGAAGUAGUUAUCUAACCGAUAUGCCCCAAAUACGGUAUAAUAGCUAAGCUGGGGUCUAAUCUCUGCCCUGAUUGGAAGGGUGUCAAUACCGCGCCACUGGUAAGGACAAAUUAUGAGUGAUCCUCAUCUGGAAGGUACUCUAAUGAGAAUGGUGGGAACCCUAAUCUGACAGGUUAAGCCACCUCAUUUACCGUCAACUAACAGGUAUUGAUGCCUCAACGUAUGCUGGCUACAUAGUUCUAGAACACAAGGACUACUUCUAAGAAUCACACCCUCUACUAGCAAGUGAUUUCCCAUCCUUGGGUUUGCUCGGUGCUGAAUCCUACUCCCAACUGAAUGACACUGAACUAAUUAUACUUAACUGAUUUCCUAGUUCAUACUAGUAUUAACUAAACUAUUACUAAUUGUUCUGUUAAACUUAACUGAACAUGGACUGAGUUUAUUGAGAUCCGAUGACUAGUGGAACACUACUGAAUUCUGUUAACUGAUUAAAUGGUACUGAGUUCUAUUAGCUAACUGAGUUUACUGAUGUCUGAACUGAAUACUAAAUUAAACUGUACUGAUAUUGAGAUUUAUUAAAUUCCAUAGACUAAUGAAAUAUUAUUGACAUUAUGUAGAUUACUAAGUACUGAGUAAAACUUAACUGAUAUUGCCUUUACAUGAGUUUUCCUGAGUCAUGAGACUGACUGAAUUCUACUGAACAUGUCUUAACUGAGAGUAUCAUGAAAACAUGACAUGGCUCUAGGCACCCAGCUAUAUUUUUCGGGUACAAGUACCCCAGGACUCGAUGGAAGGAAACUAACGCAUCAUGAAAAUUCUUGAUCAUAGAACUAAAGUCCACAAUUCAUAAUACCAUAAGUUAGGGAUUUCAUGAAAGCACUCGAUAAUCAUAAUCUUGUACAUGAAUAUGAAUGUAUCGUAACAUAUCAUAAGUUCAUAAUUUUAAUUUCACUUGCAUGACAUAAACUUGUAUACAUGCUAACAUAAUGUAGUUUCAUUACUUAUCUUUCAUGAACUAUUUGUCAAACACUUGCAAGACAUAGCAUCAACAUGGAAAUCAGUUAGAUCAUGUAGUAUUAACAUGAAUUCAUUACUUAGAUCACCAAUGGAUCACAAGGCACAAUUCAUUCACUUGAACAUUUUCAUAAACACAUGAAAGGCAUGAUUUUAUACUUAGGCAUAUAUAACAUGCUCCCAAGUCAUGACCAUAACCACCAAUUCACAUACCAAGGUUUUCAACAUAUGAUGGUCAUGAUUCAACACACAUGGGGAACAUGGAUAUUUCAUUCAUCAAUUAACAUAUAUCAAUAUUAUGGGUAUAACAUCCAACUUUCAAAUCCAAAGAACUCAACAUAAAUCUCAUAUGAAUAAUACCACAAAUAAAUUAGUUUUCAUGAUUCUUGAAAUAACUCAUGGAAUUGAAACUCAAUUUAACAUCAACAACAUGAUUAUAAACAUCCCACAACAAAAUAUUCAUGAUACAUAACUUAAAACUUGAUUCUUGAGCUUCAUGGAUGGAAAGAAUCCAUGAAUUAACACUAUGCAUACCUUAGAUUGAUUAUCCGUGAAAGUUAACAAUGAAAUUGGCUUGAAUCUUGAAACCCCCAAUUGAACCUUUACUUGUUCUUGAUAAUUUUUGAGAGAAUUUGAGUAGAAGGGAGUAUAUUCUGCUCUAAAUAAGGCUUAAUGUUGUGUUUGAGCAGAUAUAUAUGAUGAGCGAAACACUAAAAUACCCCUGGAGAAAGAGAGAAAGACUUAGCUAUCCUAUGUUGUUUUCAGGCUGAUAGGCUGAAGUAAAUGGAUCAUAACUCUUUGGUCCAAUGGUUUAAUUGGAUGAAACUAAUUGCAUGGAAAGAUGACUCAAAGAUCUUUUCAUCAAUAUAUAGCAGUUCUCACAGUUCAAAAUAUUCAAGAAGUUAUGAUCAUUUGAAGUGGACCCUAAAAUGCUGAAAAUUCUUGGAGCAUGCUAUAGAGCGUGCGACACAGGCAAAUCGCAUGGUGCUUCUAUUUUGAAAUCCAAACACGCCCUAAACGGAUUCCAAAAAUUCCAAAACUCACUCGAGAUGUACUCUUGACUUUCCCGAUCACAACGUAACUUGAAAAUCCAAAAAUGGAGGUCGGGAAGGUCGUCAAAUAAAUCCCCAAAGUUCGGAGGUAUAAGAUGAAACUAAGUGUUUCUAACACUUAGAAAAAUUCUUCUAAGUGUUGGAUAUCCUUAUCAAGCCUUAAGGAGCUGAAUUUGACGUAGGAUUUUUACGGGGUCUUACAAUAUCUCCCCCUUAGGAACAUUCGUCCUCGAAUGAGACUUACUAAGAAGGGGAGAAGAGACCAACUGAGGCAUAUACUGAACAUGAAUGACUGAAACAUGAUUUCAUGACUUACAUGACUGAUAAGCUGAAUUUGUAUCAAACUAAACAUACAUAUCUGAUGCAUGUGUAACUGAUUUAUGAAUGAAGGAUUGACUGUUCUGAUGAUCUGAGUUUCUCAAAAUGAGAAUACAUAUCUGGUGCAUAACUGAUAAGCUGAAUCCAUGCAUAUCUGAUGCAUGAUUAUAUGACUGAAUUGGCUCGUGAACAUGCGACUAAAUAGUCAAUAAUAAAAGAUGCCAAGUUUAACUAAAAACUGGGAAUGAAACUAAAUACCAAGUUUGGUACUGAAAUCUCAACAUAAGAACAAGUAAGUUUAAGGAAGACUAUUACAUUGAACUUAAAAUAUCGAUGAGUCCAAGAUUAAUUACUCAAUAUGCAUGAGCAGAAACAUGAGGACAUAACUGAGUCUGAAACGUGAUACAUGAACUGAAUAUCAUGAUAUGUACUAAGUCUGUAAUGUGUGACAUGGAUAGAGUAUCGUGAACUAGACUGAGCCAUUGAUUACAUGGCUUAUGACUGAGAUUAGGAGUUAGAAAGCCAUCUUAUAAGUAACCCUUCCUCUAAGCUUGAUUCAUGACGUGAAGAGAGACCGGUAUGUUUAUGUCAUAACAGUUUGAGGGAUUAGAGUGUAUCUCCCCCUUGGGACACUAUGUCCCUUGAAGAAUGUUGGACUGCCUUUGCUGAAUUAUUGAGGAAAACUAAGGCGAUGCACAAGGCAUGUAGGAACUGAAUCGUGACAUAAUUAUCUGAUAUCUGGAACUGAGGCAUGAUACUUGAACUGGGUUAUAUUUGCAACUACUAGGAUACUCUAUCAUGGAAUAUUUACAUUCAAUCCUAUCAUUAAUACAACACCCUUGUAUAAAAUAAGCAUACAACAAUCUUAUCUUAACAUGAAACAUUUUCUCUCUCCUAUCUAAGAAACCGCUUAUCACUACAUUGUUUUCAUAAAGAGUGCUGAAUAAAGGGUUAAAUUAGGACGACCUGAAGCAUGAAUCGAUACAAACUAAACCUUACACAUGACUGAAACCUAAGGAAUAGAAUAUGAACAACAUGAAUUUAACGAAAAGGUAUGAACUGAGGAUAUACAUAACGUAGUCUAAAUUUAUCUGAUCUAUAGGGGCAUAACAUAAGUCAUGAAAGCUGAGUAUACUAUAAAGCAUGAUACAUGUACAUGAGUCAUGGGCUGCAUGACCUAAGUUUUGAAUUUUUGUAUUCGUGAGACAUGAUUCGUGACACUGAGUGAUUUAGAUCUGAUUCCCUAUGCUGGGUACUAAAAGCGCACACAAUUCUAUGGAAAACGUGUGAACAUAAUCCAUGUUCAUGGAAUUUAUUUAUACUGUGGGGUAAACUGAGAUCUUUUUUACUGGGAAUUGAAAUCGUACAUGAUUUAUGGAAAAGUUCAUGAUCGUGGUUCAUGACCUUAGAGUUGAUAUGUAAGACCUGAGUGGAUUUCAUGAUUGCUGAAGUACAAAUCUUUGUACUGAGAAGAGGAUGGGUUGGGAAUCGUCUUCCCUUACUGCUUUUCUAUACAUAUUGGCACUACUACUGGAAUUUGAGAGUCUGACUUGGUCACUUGAUCUAUCAUCACAUACUUAUACUCUGUUCGACACCUGCCCAUCCUACUAAACACAUCAGCUGCUUCUAUUUCCUCAUAUACUACUAAUAUCACUUCCACACCUUCAUUCUUAAUUUCAAGUAAAUAAACUUAAAUUCUAGCUUACACUGUUCAAGCCUCCUAGUUUACCUUGGUACAACUAUCCCCAUGAAUAAAUAAUCUAACCAAACUGUAUAAUACUAUCCCAACUCUUCUACUGCUAAACUCUUGGGUCCAUGCUUAAAAUUCUAGGUCUAUACUAUCAUAGGAUUCUGAGAAGGGAUCUAAUGGCAUAUCAAAAAUUGGAUUUGAGUUUACAAAGGAGUUCUCAUGAUCAUAAAUGAAAUCUGUACAACUUUGGAACAUGAUUGAACUGAGGGGAUAUUGUUUGGGUAUGUGGCGAAUCACAGAACUAUCUCCAGGGACUGCAUAGGAAAGCCCUAUCUUUAGGAUUUAAGCUUCACUGUUUUUGUUACCUUGAAAGUAAGGUAAGGUUGACAUGAGGGGAGCCUAAUGUGAAUCUACAUGGGUUCCUUAUAGAACCUUGCUAUAGCACGAUCUUGAGACAUGUCAUAGCCUCCUGCACAUAAGUGUGGUGCACAACACGCCCAUGUACAAGACUCUAUUUGAUGCAGCUUUCAGACUUCCUAGGACACUGUUGAACCUUAGGCUCUGAUACCAAGUUUGCAAUGCCCCAAUUUUCUGAACCGAAAUGCUACACGGUGCCCAUGACCUCGAAGGACCAAAAGCUUACCCAUGACUUAUAUCUGUACCUGAGCACUGAAUAACCAUACUGUAAAAUAUUCAAAAAAACAUAGUACUGUAAGGCCAUAAGGUUCAAAUAUGAAUAAACAUCUGAUAACAUAAUAUCUAAAAAUGGUAUAACAAUACCAACAUAAAUCUGAAAUAAUUGUCUGACAUGCUGUAGUCUGAAAACCUCUAAACUGAACUGAAUAAGAAGUUGAGGGGACAUGUUCCCAACUAACUCCGUCUACUGAAAUAAACUGAACACUGAAAUAGUGAUAUGAAUAAUAUCAUAAUUGUCCUUGAAGGAUAAGGACUCACUGUUAAUUACUACUGCUGGUUGACUCUAAAAUUGCUAAGGGAGCUCUGGAUCCCAUGCAUCCAAACCUAUGGUAUAAGAUACGACAGUACUUUGAAUGUACUGGUAUGCAAGUGAGGUAGGCUGAAUGCAUGGUAUUCAUAUGUAUGAACAAUACUGACUAACAUGAAUGUGAGAAUACAUGCAUGAAUACAUAAUAACUGUAAAUAAAACUGUACUAGUACUGGAUACUGAAUUAUAUAUAUUGAUUUACUGACAUCUGAGUUUACUGAAUAAAGAAGAACUGAUGUUAUAUUACUGAUAAAGAAAAUUACUAUUUCUGAUAGUUCUGAUUAUGAAGAACUAAGUCGAUUGACCAUAUAUAACAGUCCUGAAAUUGAGUUCGUGAUAACAUAACUACUGAGUAUGAAUACUGAUGACACAUAUUUACUGAUAACAUAUCAUGACUAAUAACUAAAUUCGGAUAACUAAUAUAUCUGAUAACAUGAGUUUUGAUAACUGAUAGCAUGAAUGAUUGUAAUUGAUAGUCCUAAAUCUGAUGGAACUAGCUGAGUUCUGUACUGUAUCUUAGUUGACUGUAUCUGUCAGUCCUGAUAUCCUGAAGAACUAUCUGAGUUAUUUUACUGACAGGUAUUGAUGUCUCAACCUAUGUUGGCUACAUAGAUCUAGAAUGCAAGGACUGGUUCUAAGAACCACACCCUCUACUGAUAGGUGAGUUCCCAUCCUUGGGUUUACUCGGUGCUGAAUCCUACUCCCAAUUGAAUGACACUGAAUUAAUUAUAUACUGAACUGAUUUCCUAGUUCAUACUAGAAUUAACUAAACUGUUACUGAUUGUUCUAUUAAACUGAACUGAACAUAGACUGAGUUUAUUGAGUUCCGAUGACAAGUGGAACACUACUGAUCCUGUUAACUGACUAAAUACUACUGAGUUCUGUUAGCUGACUGAGUUUACUGAUGUCUGAACUAAAUACUGAACUAAACUAUACUGAUACUGAGAUUUACUAAAUUCCAUAGACUGAAAAAAUAUUACUGAGAUUACAUAGAUUACUGAGUACUGAGUAAAACUAAACAGUUACUACCUUUACAUGAUUUUUCCUAAGUCAUGUGACUUACUGAAGUCUACUGAACAUGGCUUGACUGAGAGUAUCGUGAAAACAUGACAUGGCUCUAGUCCCCUAGCUAUAUUUUUCGAGUACAAGUACCCCGGGACUCGAUGGAAGAAAACUGACACAUCAUGAAAAUUCUUGAUCAUAGGACUAAAGUCCGCAAUUCAUAAUACCAUAAGUUGGGAUUUCAUGAAAGCACUUGAUAAUCAUAAUCUUGUACAUGAAUAGGAAUGUAUCCUAACAUAUCAUAAUUUCACAAUUUUAAUUUCACUUGAAUGACAUAAACUUGUAUACAUGCUAACAUAAUGUAGUUUCAUUACUUAACUUUCAUGAACCAUUUGUCAAACACUUGUAAGACAUAGCAUCAACAUGGAAAUCAUUUACAUCAUGUAGUAUUAACAGGAAUUCAUUACUUAGAUCACCAAUGGAUCACAAGGCACAAUUCAUUCACUUGAACAUUUUCACAUACACAUGAAAGGCACAAUUUUAUACUUAGGCAUAUAUAAUAUGUUCCCAAUUCAUGACCAUAACCACCAAUUCACAUCUUAAGGUUUUCAACAUAUGAUGGUCAUGAUUCAAAACACAUGGAAAACAUGGAUAUUUCAUUCAUCAAUUAACAUAUAUCAAUUUUAUGGGUAUAACAGCCAACUUGCAAAUCCAAAGAACUCAAGAUAAAUCUCAUAUUAAUAAUACCACAAAUAAACUAGUUUUCAUGAUUCUUAAAAUAACUCAUGGAAUUAAAACUCAAUUUAACAUCAACAACAUGAUUAUAAACAUCCCACAACAAAAUAUUCAUGAUACAUAACUUAAAACUUGAUUCUUGAGCUCCAUGGAUGAAAAGAAUCCAUGAAUGAACACUAUGCAUACGUUAUAUUAAUUAUCCGUGAAAGUUAACGACGAAAUUGGCUUGAAUCUUGAAACCCCCAAUUGAACCCUUACUUGUUCUUGAGAAUUUUUGAGGGAAUUUGAGAAAAAAGGAGUAUAUUCUGCUCUAAAUUAGGCUUAAUGCCGUGUUUGAGCAGAUAUAUAGGAUGGUCCAAAGAUGAAAAUACCCUGGAGAAAGAGAGAAAGACACAACUGUCCUAUGUUGUUUACAGGCUGAUAGGAUGAAGUAAAUUGAUCGUAACUCUUUUCUAUGAUAUUUAAAUUGGAUGAAACUAAUUUCAUUGGAAAGUGAACUCAAAGAUAUUUUCAUCGAUAUAUAGUGUCUCUAACAAUUCAAAAUAUUCAAGAAGUUAUGAUUGUUUGAAGUUGACCCUGAAAUGCUGAAAAUUUUUGGAGCAUGCUAUAGAGCAUGAGCAGUAACGCCCCGGAAAAUGGGUCUCGAACAGUUACACGGUGCUUGAGGUUACGAGUAGCCCCAAGCUAACCAUUUGAGCCAUUUUCAUUUAGUUGAACACAAAUCAACCGGGUUUCCAUAAAUAACCCUCAAAUAUCAACAGAAUAAUCAUCAUCCAAGAAUAAAAGAAUUUCAGAAAGAUAACAAAAUAUGACUUACUAGUCAACUCCUAACAUCUAUACUAGUCUAACAAGCCUCUAAGAAAAUCAAUAAAACCAGCGAGGCAUUGAGACAUGCCCCAACUGACUCAUACUUAGUUAUAAAAUGUAAACAGUUCUAUGAAACCAACAUCAGACAUCACGUCCUCGGAAUAUGAGGACUCACCACGACAGAGAAUGUAGAACAGCGUGCCCAAAGAAUCAUUGUCGAACCUGGAACUGAGCACUUAAACCAACAUUCUGAGAAAAUGCAGCCCACAUCCGAAGAUGUGGGUCAGUACCAUGGAAAGAAACUGAGUAUAUAGGGGUGUAUGCAGUUUUAUAAAGAUCAUCAUCAUAAAUAUUUAUAAGAAAUAUGCAGGAUGUAUGAAAAACUCACAUAGCCCGAAGAAAAUCAUCAUAAUCAUGAGAGGAUGAAAUAAGUACAAUAACACAUGUAAGUCAUCAUGUAAUUUGUCAAUCACUUUUUGUUCAUCAAGAAUAUCAAUUCUUAUAAUGUAAAUAUCAUUUAAAUCUUUCGUUCUCAAUUCCACUUUCAAAUCACUUCACCAUUCACCAUAGACACAAGGAAACACACACACACUGGGAGAUUCAAAAACCGACAUAAACCAUGUGAGCUACAUGGAUCCAACGUACAACCCACGUUGGGGAGAGCUAUUCUAUCCUUGCCAUCGAAGUAGGACUAUUGAUAUCAAAUCCACACAAAAUAGUGACCACUAUAUAAAUCAGCCUCAGGCUCACACCUACGGGGGAACGUAGUUCUAGGAAAUUAAGGUCUCUUUAUACCUCCCACUCGGUGCUAAAUAUUUCUCUCGAACUUAGCUUAGAUCAUUUCAAAGACAAUCCAUAACAAAACAAUUUCAGUAAUAUAUAAAAAUACAUCGGGAGCCAUCAUGCUUCCCAUCUAUCAAAAUCAACCACGUUGUGAAUUUCUUUCACACUCGAGUUCAAAACAACUCCAUUAAGACCAAAAGGUCAAAUCAUUCAANNNNNNNNNNNNNNNNNNNNNNNNNNNNNNNNNNNNNNNNNNNNNNNNNNNNNNNNNNNNNNNNNNNNNNNNNNNNNNNNNNNNNNNNNNNNNNNNNNNNNNNNNNNNNNNNNNNNNNNNNNNNNNNNNNNNNNNNNNNNNNNNNNNNNNNNNNNNNNNNNNNNNNNNNNNNNNNNNNNNNNNNNNNNNNNNNNNNNNNNNNNNNNNNNNNNNNNNNNNNNNNNNNNNNNNNNNNNNNNNNNNNNNNNNNNNNNNNNNNNNNNNNNNNNNNNNNNNNNNNNNNNNNNNNNNNNNNNNNNNNNNNNNNNNNNNNNNNNNNNNNNNNNNNNNCCGAUACUCAUUUUUGAGUUGUUAUCGUGCCUUUGAAUGAUGGUUCUUGGAGUUCUUGAACUAGAAACUUGGAAUCUUGAAUAAAUUUGCAGAAUUAAUAGUGACCUUUGGAGGUUCUUGAAGUUCUUGAACUAGAAACUUGGAAUCUUGAAUAAAUUUGCAGAAUUAAUGGUUUACUUUGGAGGUUCUUGAAGUUGGAUGUAGGAGCUGAGGAUUUUAUUUUUGAUGGAAUUUGAUGAAAUAUAACAUAUAAUGCUUCUAAUAGGGUUUAAUAUAGGGUUUGGACGGAUUUUGGAUGAGUAGGAAUGACCAAAACACCCCUAAAAAUCAAAUAAUUCUCGAAUCUGUCCUUUGGUGGACUGUUUUGAUAGUCUGAAGUAGAUCAACCAUAACGUUUUACUCCGAUAUCCAAUUUGGAUGAAACCAAUUUCAUUAGAAAGAGGACUCUCAUAUAUUUCCAUUGACAUAUAGUAUCUCACCCAGAUGAUUGUGUACAAGGAGUUAUGAUUUGAAUUUGAGCCAAAAAUUCACUUUUGAUAGGCUGAAGUAGAUCGACUAUAACUUUUUACUCCGAUAGAAAAAUUGGAUGAAACCAAUUUCAUUGGAAAGAGGACUCGCGGAUCUUUCCGUUGAUAUAUAGUAGAUCACCUAGAUCAAUAUAUACAAGGAUUUAUGAUCGUUUAAAGUUGGAGAAAAAAUACGCCAGGCCUCAGUACUUUUUCCUGCAUGUUUUACUGUUCACGACUAUUCACGGUUCGAUCGGAAUGUUCAUAACUCGUCACUCGGGUGUCCGUUUUGGAUGAUCCAUAUAUCGUUGGAAAUAUUAUUCAAUACUAUACGCAAUGGUGGGUCAUAAUCUAAGAGAUUCCAUACGAAAAAAUUUAUAAUUCAUUCUAGAAGAUAGAACCCAACAUGUUUACGCACAAAAUUUCAACAAAAAAUUUCUCAGGGUAUUAUAUCAUCCCCCCUUGGAAAAAGUCGUCCUCGAAUGAUGAUAGACAUGCCAAGAUUAGAUAGGGAAUAGGGCAUACAGCUGAAACCAUUCGUUAGACUCAUCACCACAUCGUUUCUCACUCCAAAUGCAAAAUAGAAUGCAUAAAUUCAAGAAACUAUAGUUGAACACAUAAUGAAUGACAGCUGAACUGCUGCAACUUUUAUCAAAAGUGCAUGGUUUAGGAAAGAACGGUACGUUUGGCUUGAUCAGAGCUCGUGGAAAAUAGGUGCGGGUACUUGGUUUGCAUAUCCGCCUCAGCUUCCCAAGUUGCACCCUCAAUAGAUUGGUUUCGCCACAACACCUUGACUAAGGGAACUUCUUUGUUCCUUAGUCUUCGAACACUGAAAUCAAGAAUCUCAACAGGAAUCUCAUCAAAAGAAAGAUUUUCUUGAAUGUCAGCACUCACAGAGGAAUCCACUACCACAACAUCGCUAAUAUGCUUUCUAAGCAUGGAGACAUGGAAUAUUGAAUGAACAGAGGACAACUCGGAAGGUAACUCGACCUCAUAAGCUACCUUACCAACACGGCUAAGAAUUUUGUAAGGAUCAACAUAACGGGGACUAAGCUUCCCCUUCUUUCCGAAUAUCUUCACCCCCCUCAUGGGUGAAAUUUUCAGAUACAUUAAGUCACCAACUUCAAACUCAAGGUCUCUCCUUUUAACAUCCGCAUUUGACUUCUGAUGACUCUGCGCAAUUUUCAACCUUUCCCUAAUCAACUUAACUUUUUCCAUAGCCUCAAAUACCGAAUCAGGACCACUCACAGCCGCUUCACCCACCUCGAACCAACCUAUGGGUGAUCUACACUUCCUCCCAUAUAAGGCUUCAAAUAGAGCCAUGCCAAUACUAGAGUGGAAACUGUUAUUGUAAGCAAACUCUAUCAACGGUAAGUGAUCAUCCCAACUUCCCUUAAAGUCAAAUGUACAAGCUCUCAACAUAUCCUCUAAGGUUUGGAUGGUUCGCUUGGACUGACCAUCGGUCUACGGAUGAAAAGAAGAACUCAAAAGCACUUGGGUACCAAGACCCUUCUGAAAAGCUUUCCAAAAUUGUGAAGUGAACUGAGUACCCCUAUCCGAAAUGAUAGACAAGGGAACUCCAUGCAGUCUGACUAGCUCUCGGAUAUACAAUCUAGCGUAAUCCUCAGUAGUAUAUGAAGUAUGAAUAGGCAAGAAAUAAGCAGACUUAGUCAAUCUAUCAACCANNNNNNNNNNNNNNNNNNNNNNNNNNNNNNNNNNNNNNNNNNNNNNNNNNNNNNNNNNNNNNNNNNNNNNNNNNNNNNNNNNNNNNNNNNNNNNNNNNNNNNNNNNNNNNNNNNNNNNNNNNNNNNNNNNNNNNNNNNNNNNNNNNNNNNNNNNNNNNNNNNNNNNNNNNNNNNNNNNNNNNNNNNNNNNNNNNNNNNNNNNNNNNNNNNNNNNNNNNNNNNNNNNNNNNNNNNNNNNNNNNNNNNNNNNNNNNNNNNNNNNNNNNNNNNNNNNNNNNNNNNNNNNNNNNNNNNNNNNNNNNNNNNNNNNNNNNNNNNNNNNNNNNNNNNNNNNNNNNNNNNNNNNNNNNNNNNNNNNNNNNNNNNNNNNNNNNNNNNNNNNNNNNNNNNNNNNNNNNNNNNNNNNNNNNNNNNNNNNNNNNNNNNNNNNNNNNNNNNNNNNNNNNNNNNNNNNNNNNNNNNNNNNNNNNNNNNNNNNNNNNNNNNNNNNNNNNNNNNNNNNNNNNNNNNNNNNNNNNNNNNNNNNNNNNNNNNNNNNNNNNNNNNNNNNNNNNNNNNNNNNNNNNNNNNNNNNNNNNNNNNNNNNNNNNNNNNNNNNNNNNNNNNNNNNNNNNNNNNNNNNNNNNNNNNNNNNNNNNNNNNNNNNNNNNNNNNNNNNNNNNNNNNNNNNNNNNNNNNNNNNNNNNNNNNNNNNNNNNNNNNNNNNNNNNNNNNNNNNNNNNNNNNNNNNNNNNNNNNNNNNNNNNNNNNNNNNNNNNNNNNNNNNNNNNNNNNNNNNNNNNNNNNNNNNNNNNNNNNNNNNNNNNNNNNNNNNNNNNNNNNNNNNNNNNNNNNNNNNNNNNNNNNNNNNNNNNNNNNNNNNNNNNNNNNNNNNNNNNNNNNNNNNNNNNNNNNNNNNNNNNNNNNNNNNNNNNNNNNNNNNNNNNNNNNNNNNNNNNNNNNNNNNNNNNNNNNNNNNNNNNNNNNNNNNNNNNNNNNNNNNNNNNNNNNNNNNNNNNNNNNNNNNNNNNNNNNNNNNNNNNNNNNNNNNNNNNNNNNNNNNNNNNNNNNNNNNNNNNNNNNNNNNNNNNNNNNNNNNNNNNNNNNNNNNNNNNGAGUCUUCAACUCCUGAAAACUCUUCUUACAAGAUUCGGACCACAAGAACUUCACUUUCUUUUGGGUCAACCGAGUCAUAGGAGACGCUAUAGAGGAGAAACCCUCAACAAAACGACAGUAAUAGCUAGCUAAACCCAAGAAACUUUGGAUAUCAGUCGAAGAAAUAGGUUUAGGCUAAUUUCUAAUAGGUUCGGUCUUUUGGGGAUCAACUCUAAUACUCUCGAAAGAAAUGAUAUGACCCAGAAAAGCAAUUGACCUUAUCCAAAACUCACACUUACUGAACUUGGCAACAACUUGUGAUGUCUAAGGGUUUGCAAGACAGUUUGGAGAUGAUCAAAAUGUUCAUCCUCACUACGGGAGUACACCAGUAUAUCAUCGAUGAACACUAUGACAAACAUAUCCAAAUAUGGUCUGAACACUCGAUUCAUAAGGUCCAUGAAAGUUGCUAGGGCAUUAGUUAAUCUAAAAGACAUAACAAGAAACUAAAAAUGGCCAUAACAAGUUUGGAAAGCAGUUUUUGGGAUGUCACACUCCCUGAAUUUGAGUUGAUGAUAGCCGGAACGAAGGUCUAUCUUUGAUAAAUAACUUGCACCUUGCAAUUGGUCAAACAAAUCAUCUAUUCUCGGAAGGAGGUACUUAUUUUUUAUGGUAACUUUAUUCAUUUGGCGCUAAUCAAUACACAUACGCAAAGAGCCAUCUUUCUUUCUCACAAACAACAUAGGAGCACCCCAAGGAGAAAUACUAGGCCUUAUGAAACCCUUAUCUAGUAGAUCUUUGAGUUGUUCUUUCAACUCCUUAAGGUAUGCAGGGGCCAUACAGUAAGGAGGAAUAUAAAUAGGCUGAGUAUUAGGAAGAAGAUCAAUCCCAAACUCUAUCUCUCUAUCAGGAGGUAUCUUUGGGAGAUCAUCUGGAAAGACAUCAGAAAACUCAUUGACGACGUUAAUAGACUGGAGAGUUGGAAUCUCAGACUUAGUGUCUUUGACUCUAACCAAAUGGUAAAUACACCCCUUGGAAAUAAGCUUUCUAGCGGAGGCAUAUUUCUAAAAGAGGAGAGAAUGAAUCAAUAGCAGAGAGAGACACUUUAAGCACGAUAGACUUCUGAAAGAAAGAAUCACACUUUUCCCUAAAACGUCUUGUAGCCUCUUGCUCAUAGAUGUGGCGCGCUACACACCGAUGAUCAAGACUCUACUUAAUGUGGCUUGUCAGACUCCCUAGGAAACCUUAAAACCUUAGGCUCUGAUACUAAGUUUGUAAUGCCCCAGAAAAUAAUUCCUGGAGAGUCACAUGGGGCUUGAGGCUACGAGUAGCCCCAAGCUAACCCUUUGAGCAAUUUUCAUUCAGUUCAACACAAAUCAAUGGGGUUUCCAUAAAUAACCCUCAAAUAUCAACAGACUAAUCAUCAUCUAAGAAUAAAAGAAUUUUAGAAAGAUAACAAAAUAUGACUUAUUAGUCAACUCCCAACAUCUAUACUAGUCUGACAAGCCUCUAAGAAAGUCAAUAAAACCAGUGAGCCAUUGAGACAUGCCCAACUAACUCAUACUCAGUUAUCAAAUGCAAACAAUUCCGUGAAACCAACAUUAGACAUCACAUCCUCGGAACGUGAGGACUCACCACGACAGAGUAUGUAGAACAGCGUGCCCGAAAAAUCACUAUCGAACUUGGAACUGAGCACCUGAACCUACAUUCUGAGAAAAUGCAGCCCACAUCCGAAGAUGUGAGCCAGUACCAUGGAAAUGAACCAAGUACAUGGGGGUGUAUGCAGUUUUAUAAACAUCACCAUCAUAAAUAUUUAUAAGAAAUAUGUAGGAUGUAUGAAAGACUCACAUAGCCCGAAGAAAAUCAUCAUAAUCAUAAGAGGAUGAUAUAAGUUCAAUAACACAUGUGAGUCAUCAUAUAAUUUGUCAAUCACUUUCAAUUCAUCGAGAAUAUCAAUUCUCAUAAUGUAAAUAUCAUUUUAAUCUUUUGAAAGAAUAACUUUCACAAUUCCACUUUCAAAUCACUUCACCGUUCACCAUAGACACAAGGAAACAUACACAUACUGGGAGAUCCUAUAAUUGACAUAAACCAUAUGAGCUACAUGGAGUCCAAUGUACAACCUAUGUUGGAGAGAGCUGUCCUAUUAUUGCCAUCGGAGUUGGACUAUCGAUAUCAAAUCCACACAAACUAGUGAUCACUAUAUAAAUUAGGGAAGUAAGGUCGCUUUAUACCUCCUACUCGAUGCUAAAGACUUCUCCCGGACUUACCUCAGAUCAUUUUAAAGACAAUCCACAACAAAAUAAUUUUAGUAAUAUAUAAAUAUACAUCGGGAGCCAUAAUGCUUUUCAUCUAUUAAAAUCAAUCACGUUGUGUAUUUCUUUCACACUCAAGUUCAAAACAACUCCAUUAAGACCAAAAGGUCAAAUCAUUCAAAAUAUCUCAAAUAUUCAACAUCAACGUGCUUAUAACACACACUUUCUCAAAAAAACACAAUUUCCAAUGGGGAUUCACGACCCAAAUAUCAAAAUCAUGAUAAAUAUCAUUCAAGNNNNNNNNNNNNNNNNNNNNNNNNNNNNNNNNNNNNNNNNNNNNNNNNNNNNNNNNNNNNNNNNNNNNNNNNNNNNNNNNNNNNNNNNNNNNNNNNNNNNNNNNNNNNNNNNNNNNNNNNNNNNNNNNNNNNNNNNNNNNNNNNNNNNNNNNNNNNNNNNNNNNNNNNNNNNNNNNNNNNNNNNNNNNNNNNNNNNAGUUCUUGAACUAGGAACUUGGAAUCUUGAAUAAAUUUGCAGAAUUAAUGGUGAACUUUGGAGGUUCUUGAAGUUCUUGAACUAGAAACUUGGAGUCUUGAAUAAAUUUGCAGAAUUAAUGGUUAACUUUGGAGGUUCUUGAAGUUGGAUGUAGGAGCUUAGGGUUUUCUUUUUGAGGGAAUUUUAUGAAAUAUAACAUAUAAUGCUUCUAAUAGGAUUUAAUAUAGGGUUUGGACGGAUUUUGGGUGAGGAAAAUGACCAAAAUGCCCCUAAAAAUCAAAUAAUUCUCGAAUCUAUCCUUUGGUGGACUGUUUUGAUAGUCUGAAGUAGAUCAACCAUAAGGUUUUACUCCGAUAUCAAAAUUGGAUGAAACUAAUUUCAUUAAAAAGAGCACUCUCAUAUAUUUCCGUUGAUAUAUAGUAUCUCACCCUGAUCAUUGUGUACGAGGAGUUAUGGUUGUUUGAAGUUGACCCAAAAAUUUUCUUUUGAUAGGCUGAAGUGGAUCGACCAUAACCUUUUUCUCCGAUAGAAAAAUUGGAUGAAAAUAAUUUCAUUGGAAAGAGGACUCGUAGAUCUUUCUGUUGAUAUAUAGUAGAUCACCCAGAUUAUUAUGUACAAGGAGUUAUGAUCGUUUAAAGUUGGAGUAAAAAUACUCCAGGCCUCAGUACUUUUUUCUGCACGUUUUACUGUUCAUUACUAUUCACGGUUCGAUCGAAAAGUUCAUAACUCGUCGCUCGAGUGUCUGUUUUGGAUGAUACACAUAUCAUUCACUACUAUUCACGGUUUGAUCCGAAUGUUCAUAACUUGUCACUCGAGUGUCUAUUUUAGAUGAUACACAUUUCAUUGGAAUUCUUAUUCGAUACUCUAUGCAACGGUGGGUCAUACUCUAAGACAUUCCACACGAAAAAAAAUUAUAAUUCAUUCUAGAAGAUAGAACCCAACACAUUUUCGCACAAAAUUUCAAUGAAAAAUUUCCUGAGGUAUUACAACGACGCAUGCAAAUCGCAUGGUGCUUCUGUUUUGAAAUCCAAACAUUCUCUAAACUAUUUCCAAAAUUUCUAAAACUCACUUGAGAUGUACUCUUGACUUUCCCGAUCACAACGCAACUUGAAAAUGCAUAAAUGGAGUUUGGGAAGGUUGUCAAAUAAAUUCCCGAAGUUCGGAGGUAUAAGAUGAAACUAAGUGUUUGUCACGACCCAAACCAGGGCCUGGCCAUGACAAGCAUUUCAAACCAUGGAGGCCCAAAAUACCCCUAUCUGUAUGAUAAUCAUGCACAUAAUUCAUAUGAUCAAAAGUAAUGCAGAAGAAACACAAUAUAACGGAAACAUGGUCAAGAAUCAUAUGAAAACGACAAUGGGGAAUAGUGUCCCAUAAUCUAAAUCAAAAUCUCUAAAACUCGUCUACGAAAUCUCUACUACAUGACUGAAACAAUGUCUAUUUGAAAACUGGGACAAGGCCCCAGUAGACCCAAAAACUGAACAUAAGAUAAAAGGACUGCAGGACAUAAGACCUUUCGAAACAUAGAAGGCUCACCACUUGUCUCUACAGCUCUGUCUGAAAGUUCUCCUGAUUCUCUUGACCCCUAGACUGGGCCUCUGAACCUGAGAGGUUCGAGAGGAGAGGGGGUCAGCACAAAAGUACUGGCACGCAGAGAUAUCAAAGCAAAAACAUAAUAUUUUUACAAAAUAUAAUUGAGAGCCAUUAUAAAGCAAUUUUCGUAUCAAAUCAUUUGAAAACACAUGGGUGUAAUGCAAUAGUUUUUCUCAACAAUAAUGAAAUCCAACUGAGCUAGGUGGAAUACCCUACAUAAUUUACACCAACUGUCAAACCUCGGUUGCCACCGAGAUUAGAGUAUAAGUGAGGGAAGACACACAAGACCACAAAGCAUGGUGUUUCGACCCAAAUCAAAUAUGGUAGUGCAAAAGACCACAAAGCAUGCCUCCUAACAAUAAUUCCAAUUUGGGAUAGUAUAAUAUUAGGUACGCAAGACCACAAAGCAUGGUACCGAUAUUCCAUGUCGGCAAACACGUUCUUCCAGUAAUGAGCCAUUUUUUUCUCAAACGCCUUCUUCGGGCAUCCAUCUUUCUCAUGUAAAAUCAAUGCAUUCAAAUUUCACCUUAUUCAAUCGCAUAUCAUAUUUGGUAGGUUAUCGUCACACCCGACUUGCAAGUCAUCAGUAUCACAUCCACAUAUUCAUAAUCAUGUAAAAACCAAGGUGCUUCAUCAUUUACAAGUGGUGAACAAUAUUUAUUUCAAAUUCAUGCUCUCUUUUGUUGAUAAUAAUAUAAUAUAGAGUAUCGAAACAUUAUCAUGGAAAUUUGAAAACAAUUUAUCAUUCAUAUUUAUCAACUUCCAUGAAAAAAUCUCAAAUCACAUAUGCAUGGUUUCAACCAUUGAAGUAUAUAGGCAAACAAUUCCCAUGACUUAAAGAAAAUGACUUAGAAAUCAUAUUGAAAGAAAGAUCUUAGCAUUUGAUAGAAAACCCCCAUUUAAAAGCAUGCAUGUUCAUAAAGACUACACCUAUGAGAUUUUUGGAUAACCCCACGUACCUCUAUUUCCAAAGAGAAUAGCUGUUUCUCGAAGCUUGCGGAUUGGUGAUUCCAAAUAUGUAAUUAUCUUUAAAAACCUAUGGUCAAAUAUUGAACUAUUUGGGUUUUUAUUUUGAAACCCUAAGGAGAAUCUUGUGCACUUUUGAUGAAAGAAUAUGUAUUUUGGGGUCCUUGGAACUAAAUCUCGUGUUUUAGGGCUAAGUAAGGGUGGAAAAGGACCACUUUUUCCUCAACACGGAGUUUUUAAAUUUCUAGAAGUCCUUACAUAGGCACCACCCAUCCCAUCGCCUAUCUUUACAUAGUCGCCUCCUAUGUUCACAUGGCCGCCUAGGCUAUCGCCUAUGCUUUCCAGUGUCCAUGGGCGAUUGUUUAGGCAUCUCUUAUCACUUUGAAAGGUCAUAAUUUCUUGCUUGGGUGUUGGAUUUUAGCCAAAUUAGUAUCAUUGGAAAGCUAAAUCGAAUACCUAUCAUUUGACACAUAGUAGGCUUCCUAUUUCGACAUAUACAAAGAAUUAUGGUCGAUGGAAGCUAACACACUUUACAACGUCCACUAAAACUUAGUUGACCAAAAUAGUUUCAACUCGUUCUUGAGUUGAAGGACCUCUAUGGUCUAAAUUCAAGCUUGAGUGAAUUCACAUGCUACACAAUAAUUAACAUGCCGUAUUGGCAUAGGAUUUUAUGGCUUCGGGAUUAGCAACGCAUCGAAAUCAUGAUUUUUACUCUUGCCCAAAAUGCGGGGCGUUACAGUCUUUCUAAUUAUUUAUAGAUACUGAUGUUGAUUGUCAUCUUCAAUUGUCUAUGGAGGUUGUGUGAUGAAGGAUGAUGUCUUCGAUUGUAUAUGAAGACUUGAUUACAUCUUUAAUUGUCUAUGGAGACUGAGGUUGAUUGUCGUCUCUGAUUGUCUAUGGAGACUGUACGAUGAAGGAUGAUGUCUUUGAUUGUCUAUGAAGACUUGAUAUAUGAAAUCUCUAGUUGUCUAUGGAGACUGAUAUGGAUUGUUGUCUCCGAUUGUCUACGGAGUCUGUGAUGAAUGAUGAUGUCUUCGAUUGUCUAUGAAAACUUGAUGAAAUCUCCAAUUGUAUAUGGAGAUGGAUGCUAAUGAUGAUGAAAUCAUGGGUGAGUUUCAUAAUUUUUGGAGUAGAGUAAAGGCAUAAUUGGGUGCCCAAAAUAGAAGCCCGGGGGAUUAGCCCCCGCAGCCUGCUAACUCCAGUGCUUGCCCAGUUUUUUCAGCAUUUCUGGGUCAACUUCAAAUGAUCAUAACUCCCAAUAUAUAAUGAACUCUGAGAUCUUCUAUAUAUCAAUUGAAAUAUAUUUGAGUCUUCUUUCCAAUGAAAUUAGUUUUAUCCCAUACAGACAUCUAAAUAAAAAGUUACGAUCAAUUUACUUCAACCUAUCAGACAGUCAAUUAGGGACAGAUUUGACCUUAAUUGUUCCUUAGGGGUAUUUUGGUCAUCUUCCACCCCUAUAUAUACCCCAAACAGGGGAUUAAGGCUUAUUUGAAGCAAAAUAUACUUUUCUCAAAAUCCUCUCAAGAACUCAACCUAGGGUUUCAAUUUGAAGACCCAAAUCCCAUCAAUUGAAGAACAUAACUCCUCAUUUAUCUUCAACAUCAAAAGAAGGGUUUCUCUCAAGAUCAUAACCUAUAAAAAGAAUCAAAUCCUUCUUCAAGAAUAUAUGAUAUUCAAGUUUUUCAAAAUCAAGAGCCAAUUUAUUUUCUCUCAAAGGAACAAGAACCCUAGUCAAGGAAUCAAGAACAUGUCUAAAAAUUUCUUCAAGAAUCUUCCACCUAAGGUAUGCAUAGUGUUCAUCCACGGAUUCCUUUCAUCCGUAGGAGUCCAAGAACCAUGUUUNNNNNNNNNNNNNNNNNNNNNNNNNNNNNNNNNNNNNNNNNNNNNNNNNNNNNNNNNNNNNNNNNNNNNNNNNNNNNNNNNNNNNNNNNNNNNNNNNNNNNNNNNNNNNNNNNNNNNNNNNNNNNNNNNNNNNNNNNNNNNNNNNNNNNNNNNNNNNNNNNNNNNNNNNNNNNNNNNNNNNNNNNNNNNNNNNNNNNNNNNNNNNNNNNNNNNNNNNNNNNNNNNNNNNNNNNNNNGUGUGAAUAAAGUUCGAAUCUUUACAUGUUGUUCAUGACACCAUGAUCUUUUGUGGAUUCAAUUGGUGGAAUUGAGUUGAAUUAUGGUGUUAUGGUGUAUAAAAUUGAUCAUUAGGACUAUGCCCUAAAUAAUGCAUGCAAGGUGUUUGUUAAAAUACCAAAGUGAAGAAAAAUUGAGCACUUUGACCUAUUUGUGAUCUAAAUGAUAAUUCCAUGCUAUAUCCAUGUGCUUAAGUUGACUCCCAUGCUAAAGCUAUGCCUACCAUGUGUUUGAUAAUGUGCCUCAACGAACAAAUGAUGAUCAAGUACCUAGUCUUCAUGCUCCAAAAUUUUUCCAUGUCUCUUAAGUUAUGCCAUGUCUACUUGAUCAAGAAGAUUUCUAUGCUAUUAAUGUGCUAUGAAUAUGUUGUUGGCUUGUCAUGAUAUUAGAAUUGACCAUGAUGUUAGCUAUAUGAAAAGGUUAUGAAAACCACAUGAUUUAUUAAUUCCCCGUAGAUGCUAUAUUAUGGAUUAUUAAUGUUGGUCAAGUACACUUGUAUGUCAAGUCAUGUCAGUUUCCUUCCAUCGAGUCCUGGGGGUAUUCGUACCCAAAAUAUAUAGUUGUGUGCCUAGAGCCAUGUCAUGUUUUCACGAUACUCUCAGUCAAGCCAUGUUCAGUAGACUUUAGUUAGCUAACAGAACUCAGUAACAUUUAGUCAGUUAACAGAAUUAAGUAGUAUUCCGCUAGUCAUCGGAACUCAAUAAACUCAGUCAGCUAACAGAACUCAGUAGCAUUUAGUCAGUUAAUAGAAUUCAGUAGUGUUUCGCUAGUCAUCGGAACUCAAUAAACUUAGUCCAUGUUCAAUUCAGUUAAAUAGAACAAUCAAUAACAGUUUAGUUAAUUCUAGCAUGAACUAGGAAAUCAGUUUAGUAUAAUCAGUUCAGUGUCAUUCAGUUGGGAGUAGGAUUCAGCACCGAGCGAACCCAAGGAUGGGAAGUCACUUGCCAGUAGAGGGUGUGAUUCUUAUAAGAAGUUCUUACGUUCUAGAAAUAUGUAGCCAGCAUAGGUUGAGACAUCAAUACCUGUCAGUUGAGGGUAGAUGAGUUGGCUUAACCUGUCAGAUGAGGGUUCCCACCAUUCUCAUUAGAGUAUAGACACCCUCCAAUUAGGGCAGAGAUUGGAUCCAAGCUUAGCUAUUAUAGCGUAUUUGGGGCAUGUUGGUUAGAUAACUACUUCCCACAGUUUUAGUAUCAGUCUCAGUAAAAGAACUCCGAUAGUUCUUCAGGAUAUCAGGACUGUCAGAUACAGUCAACUUAGAUACAGUACGAAACUUAGCUAGUUCCAUCAGAUUUAGGACUGUCAGAUAUAGUCAUUUAUGCUAUCAGUUAUGAGAACUUAUGUUAUUAGAUAUAUCAGUUAUCAGAAUUCAGUUAUCAUUCAUGAUAUGUUAUCAGCAAAUACAAGUCAUCAGCAUUCAUACUCUGCAGUCAUGUUAUCAUAAGCUCAAUUUCAGGACUGUUAUAUACAGUCAAUCAAAUCAGUUCUUCAUAAUCAGAACUAUCAGAAACAAUCAUUCCUUUAUCAUUAAUAUAGUAUCAGUCUCCCAGUAUUCAGUAAUACAGUAUCAGUUCCUCACUUAUUAGUGAAUUACAUAUCAAUAUCAGUAAACUCAGUUAUUCAGUGUUUCAAUAUCUGUAAACUCAGUCAUUCAGUAUCUCAGCAUUAGUAAACUCAUGUUUUCAGUAUUCAGACUCAGUAGUCAGUAUGACCACGAGUUUAGUUGCAGUUACGUAUGUAUGUAUGUAUUCUCACGUUCAUAUCAAUCAUCAUUGUUCAUGCAUAUAAAACCAUUUGCAUUUAUCCUACCUCACUCGUAUACUCAGUACAUUCAGUCGUACUGAUGCAUUCGCAUUGUGGUGUUUUAUUUGAUACCAUAGGUACAGAGGCACGAGUUUUAGAGCAGUAGUAGCAUUGUAGAUUUCAGUAGUCAGUGCUCCUUUUCAUUCGAGGACACUAUUAUUAUUACUUUAUAGCAGUAUUUCAGAUUAGAUUUUUAGUUCAUGGAAUUAGUUGGAGACAUGUUCCUUCAACUCCUUAUUCAGUUCAGUUAGAGGCUUUCGGAAUAGAUGUCAGAUUAGAUGUUCAGACUUCAGUAUUUAUGUUUCUUUCUAGUAUUGUUAUACCAUGUUUUUCAGAUAUGUAUCAGUAUUGAACCUUUUGGCCUUACAGUUUAUGUUUCCACAUAUUUUAUGAGAUUUUAUGCAGUUUACAGGUACAGAUAUCAGUCAUGCAUUAGCUAGUGGUCCUUCGGGGUCAUGAGAACCUGUAGCGUUUUGAUUCAGAAAAUUGGGACGUUACAACCCCCCACCCAUCAAGCUGGAAAUUGGUAGACAUCCAGUAAUCCCACCGCCUUUGGUGAGAAAAUCUGCAAUUUGGGAAUGAGUUGCCAAAUAUUGAGGUUGAAUCAGCAGUUGUUUGAUUUUCUCCCCGACGAAAUGAAAAUCUAUGUCAAUAUGCUUAGCCCUCACAUGCAAAAUAGGAUUAUAGUAUCUUUAUAGAAGCCUUGCUAUCACAGUGUAAUCUCAUUGGAGUAUGAACUGGUACAACUCGACAAUUGAAUAUCCUUCCCCGCAAAUUACUGAGUGAUUUGGUUUUUUUCCCACAAAUCAAAAGAUUAAUAAACCAUUAAACCCAAAUUGAAAAUAGCAUUUCCCAUUUAUUAACUUUUUCUUUUUUUCUUUAUGUGAAAUGUGCAUGAGGCAUUAAGAAAUAAAAUAUAGACAAAUAUCCAUGCAGACAUUUAAAAUAAAAUAUAAUAAUAAUGCCGCAUCACGUGUGGCCUCCACAAUUACAUCAAUCAAGUCAAACUCUCCUUACCUUGACAGUGGUUUUGUUUGCUUCCCCCACCACUGCUCUUCCCCCUAUUCUUUCUCUCAUCCUUGUUACUUCUGAAAAUAACAAUGAAGAAGCAAAAAAAUAAGAAGGGGGCUACGAGGGUAGAGAAUGUGAAUGGAGGAGUUGCGAGGGUAGAGGCUAGGGCGGUGAAAGUGAACAGAAGGUGGAGGAGAAAGUGAAGGGGUUUGUGGAGGAGGUGCAUUACCGAGUACGAAAGAGGCUGUCGGGGAAAUACACGGCUGAGACUAGAGAUCCGAAGAAAAUAUGCAAUGUUUUGUUAGGUACGUUUGAUACAGCAGAGGAGGAGGUGCAACCAUAUGAUACGAUGGAUAUUGAGUUUCGUGGUGUGAAAGUCAAGAUGAAUUUUCUGAAUCUGAUGGACAAAAUGAAUCGGACUUCCAGUAACGUUGGUACUGUUGAGUCAUUGAAUAUGGUGGCUGUGGUGGUAAUUCAACCAUCACCACUGCCUUUGCCUCCACCUCAACCACCGCCAUAGGCACUACAUUCGAUGACUCACCAUUAUUGGUCUGACUGUGACUUCGACAGAGAGGUCAUAAUUGUGUGGCCCAUCCAACUCGUCUAGACUUUAACGGGUCAGGUUCAACUACAAAAUGAUUUUAAUUUGGGCGGAUAAUUGGGUUAAUACACAAACGAAACCCAUUUUGACUCUAUUCAUCCAAACAAUAUUUAGGUUGAUUGGGUUAUGACAUGUUCAUUAACACAGCCCAUUUUGACCUAUAAUUCUCAUGUAUUCAACUUUCGCACACCUAGACUAAUUCCCAGUGAACCUGCCACCUCCCACCAGUGCACUCUAUUUUACAUGCCACUUACAUAAAGAAGUCCGGGGACCCUUAUUUUCCCUUUUCUUUCUUCUAUCCUUUCUGUUCUCAUUUCAAUACAGCAAAUGCCUUACUGUUUAUUGGUUCAAUUUUGAACUUGCCUUAACUGUCCUCUGUUUCUUUUAUUUCUUACACUGUGCACAGGUCAUAAUUGACACUCAUGAAGCAAUUAGUACAAUGUCCAAAGGUUAGAAAUUUUGCUACUGAUGAUGAAUCCCUUUGUGGCAGAAUGAAGAAGGCCCCCUGGAAGCUGUGUAUGGAAAAUAGGAACAUUGGUAAUAAUUUGAAGCUUUCCUGCAUAAGAUAGCUGAUUAGCAUAGGCUGUUUGGAUGUAUUGAUCUUGUGCAUGAUCAUGAGGACAAGUUGAUGAAAAUCAGGUUUAUUCCACUUCUUUGAUAGGAAAUGUACCAACAUCAAAACCAGUCUUUGCAAGCAACGACUCCUUUGUGGGAUCGUCUACUCUGGCCAUGACAAUACUAGACUUCUCCAUGUCUGAACUUAGACCAGUGACUUUACUGAAUUGAUUCAGUGCUUCCAUGACACUGGAAGGAAAUCCAUAAACAAUUCCCAACUGACCGUUUCAUAUGCUUUUCUCAAAUGUGUCUUCAUUAAACAGCUGGGAGAAGUUUUCCACUUAUAGUGUUCGAGUAUAACAAAUCAAGAUAUUGUGCAUCAUAGACCUUCCUUGAACAAUUUCAGCUUGAUUUCCUGCUACUAUAUGCUUUAAAGUCCUUUAAGCCUAUUACACAUAAUCUUAGAGAUGCAUUUAUAUAAAACAUUACAACACGAUAUAGGCCUGCAUUGGAUCGUAAAGUUAUGGGCAUUUACCUUAGGUAGGAAAGCAAUCCACGUGAGUCAACAGCUUACCGUUAGGAAAGAAGUCCAUCACUGCAUUUGUGACAUCUUUACCCACUAUAUCCCAUGAUGCUUUGAAGAAGCCACUUCCAAAACCAUCGGGGCCCGGGCCCUUAUUGCUUUCAAUCUGAAAAAUUUCAUCAUAAGGAUGCAACAACUCAAUUUGUUGUUCAAUUCUAAGCAACGGACCAAAAAUCUUUGAUUCUGUCCUCCAUUUUCCUCCCCAAUAAAUCUUGAUAAUAGUUCACAAAAAUUCCAUAGGAUAAGACUUCCACUCCUCCCUUUCAUCCUUCAGUUGUGUUGUGGCAUGAUGCAAUCAGUUGUACUUAAUAACAAAGAAGAAAUAGUUAGUGUUAUAUUCUCCUAGUCUUGUCCAAUUUACUUUACUUCUUUGUUGCAGAUACACCUCAGCCAUAUAGAAUGAACUUCUAAAUUUUUGAAACUUCUCCCUUUCAUAAGCUUGUAACGCUAAGUUUUGAGGGUCAGACUGUAAUUGUUUUUGGGCUUGAAACAGCGUGUCUCUAUCUUCAUUUUCUUCCUUAAGUGACUUUUUCAUGAGUUUUAAUAUUGUGUGUGUGAGAGAAAGAUCGUCAUUUAACUAGAUUUAGCUUAACAGUUUACUUGUUUUAUAUUUUCAUGUGUAAUUUGUAAAUCAAGGGAAUUUUAGCUAAGAAAACUUUCUUGUUGCCACAAGAUAAUUGCAAUAGACUAAAUGUCUAUGUCGCUCGGACUUUCAAAAAUGUCGAUGGGUGCCUGUCUGAUCCUCCAAAAGUAGUGUAUUUUUGAAGGAUUCGACACGAGUGCAACAACUUUUUUGGAUAGUCCAAGCAACAUAGCUCAAUCACAAUAAGUUGCAGUUUGCUUCACCAACGAAAACAAGAAUUGGAGGCAUUUUUUUCUGGAUGAACAAAAAAAUGCAUUCUCUUUCUUUAUCUUCUUCAGCAUUAAAUAGGACGAUGCUAUGCUCGAAACAAAUCCACAAGUGUUCUUUUUUGGGUGAGUAGGAACCUAUGUUGCUCAAAAUUAAUGUCGAGUUUAUGUUGGAUACUUCAAAAAGAAAUACAGUUUUGCAAGCGUGGGGCGACAUUUUUGAAAUGCUCGAGUAACAUAGCUAGGAAUUUGAAACAGGUAAUAAGAGGUCUUGGAUAAAAACACAGAUUAGUUCAACUAACUUUACUACAACAUACCCAGUAAAAUCUAACAAGUGAGGUCUGGGGAGGUAGAGCGUAUGCAAACCUUACCACUGCGACGUGAGGUAGGAAGGCUACCGCGAAGGGUGUAAUGACCUGUACGGUCAUUUUACUGUAUUUUUAUAUAAUUUUAGUAUUAUCUAAACGUUUUGUGGUUUAUUUAAUUUAAUUUGGCUUUUGAUAGGAAUAUAAUUUAGUACCCUUAUAGAAUAUUUUCGAUAUUAAUAAAAUUCUUUAAGUGACGAUAUAUUCAUAUCACUUUAUAAUGGACUUUUAUGAUUUAUUAAUAUUUUAGGUGGAGAUAGUAAUUUUAGAUAUGUUUAAAUAUUAUUAUUAUAUAAUAGAGGUUUUAUUUAGAAAUAAUUUUCUAUCAAUUAUGGUAUAUUCUAAAUAUUAUAAUUAUUUUACCAAGAAUUUAUACAAUAUCUGAAUAUCUACGCGGAGUAGAAAAUUAUUACUUGUGGCUAAUUACCACCACUCGUGUGGGAAGGAUGUGGACAACAACAUGUUGUUAUUUGGCAACCGUACACAUGUCCCUUGACCAUUUGAAUAUGUCUUUUUCUUCUUUCAUAUAUAUCGACUCUUAUGUAUAUAUAUAUAUACACAUACUUAGUAGUAGUGCUAUUCAAUAAAAAUUUUCUUUGAACAAAAAGGCUAAUCAAGUGCUCUUAUACAUGCAUGUUUAUUUAUAUUUUGUAGCAAAGUUUUUGGGUGAAAAUAUUUUGCAUCAUUUCACCAUCAAAUUAAAAUUUAUUAUUUAAGUUCGGAUCUUAGUAGCGCUAUUUAGAGACUUCGCGGACAGAUAUUAUAGCUUUGGCAUCCAGUUAGACUAGGUUUACCCUUUUUUUUAGAUUGAGCUUACUUACCCAAAAUGUUAACUAUUAUGUUAGCUUUGGAUAAGUGCUUGUAGAUACAUAUUAUUUGUUAUGUCUAAACUGUCUUAUUUAUGCGGAUUGGGACCCCGUUGUAGUAGAUUUUGGUAUUUUACCUUUCGAUAUAAUAUAGCACCUAUCACUUUGGGUCAUAAAAUUUAAUUGCAAAAUCUUUAAUUUAGCCCUUUUUAAAAUUGGUGGAUGAUUAUUUAGACGUUGACAUUGUUAUAAUAUAGAAUGGAUUUUAAUAUUAUCGGUGGGUUAUGGUUACUGUAAAUUCCGGUUCGAGUCUGGCAAUUGAUUAUUAUGAUUACUAUGAGUCCCGGUUUGAGUCCGGCAAUUGACUAUGAAUGUUAUUAUGAGUUCCGGUUUGAGUCCGGGAAUCGACUAUUAUUGUUACUAUGAGUUCCGGUUCGAGUCCGGCAAUUGACUAUUAUUGUUACUAUGAGUUUCGAUUCGAGUCCGACAUUUGACUAUUAUUAUUACUAUGAGUUCCAGUUCGAGUCCGGCAUCUGAUUAUAGUUGGGGUUACUCUGAGUUCUGGUUCGAGUCCGGCAUCUGAUUAUUUAUGUUUACUUUCAUCACUUGUGUGUCCCACAGGCUUAUGGGGGUAUGGUUGGGUUAAUGGUCUUCUUCAGUGUGCAUAGCAGGCUUAUGGGAGCUCAGUUAGGUUAUGUUUGAUUUAAUUAUUAUUACUGGAUUAUUAUUUUUCUGUACCGUACACGUUUAUUCCUUUAUAGUCGUUGCAUAGCUUGGUAGUUGUUUACCUUUCCAUCCUAUUUACUAAUAACUCAAAUUACGUCCUUGCAUUGUUGUUACACCUUUUCUAUAUUAAGCUCAGUCGGCCGAUGAUGCCUACUCAGUACCCGUGGUUUUUGGUACUCAUACUACACUUCAGCAUCUUUUUCCUAAUGCAGAUCUAGGUACUAGCAGUCUGCAUUAAUGUGGUUCCUACCUUUCAGUAUUGGUUUAGAGCGGGGUGAGCUUACUGUUGUCCGAGGCUGAUCCUCCUCUAUCUACUCUAGUUAGUUUUUUUCACUCUAGACUACUUGUGUAUAUUCUAGAUUUUUCGUCUAGUACUCUGGGUACCUGUUAGUAGUGGCUCUAGUACUAACCUUAUCAGGUCUUGGGAGGGAUUCAUUUGUAUAGUUGGUCCUUUUUCCUCCUCUCGUUUUGAUAUAAUACAUAUGCUUUCUUCUUAGUUUUAACUUAUUAUUGUGGUUGUUAUUAUCUUACACGAUCUUUUAUUUUGUCUCUGCCUAUUAUCCCAUUACCUAUCAUUCCAGGCUAUAGGCGGUGGGAUAAGGUACGCGCCAUUACAACUUGAGAAAUCGGGUUGUGACAAGUUGGUAUCAGAGCAUAUGUCACACUGGUAGUACUGGAGCCGAUGUUUAGUAGAGUCCUGCGGAUCGGUACAGAGACGUCUAUAUCCUAUCCUUGGGAGGCUAUAGAGCAUUUCUAGGAAAAAAAAUUCUCAUUUUCUUGAUCUAUUUUGUGUUUUGAGUCUAGGUUGGUUGUAAUCUUUUUAUUGGUUCACUCUUUACGAAGAUAGCUAGGACACGAGGUUCGAGAGCAGGGGUCGGGACCGUUGGUCCACUUAUAGAGUUCUAUCUUAUGGUAGAGGUCGACGAAGAUAUCAGGGGCAGGGUAGAGCAGUAGCCUCUAUUCGAGAUCAGGUCGGGGAUCCAACACCUAAUCCUAUUAUACCUUCGGGGAUUGAGAUAGCUCCAGGUAUUCUGUCACAUCAGCAGGUGGGCCAAGGGGCUGCCUAGGCUCCACCCAGCUUUAUAUCUUCUUCGGUUAUUCAGGAUACAUUAGUUUGGUUCUUUGGGUUAGUUAGCGGUCUACCAGUCAUGGGAGCUCAGCCAGCAUCACAAGGUGGUGUAGAUUUAGGAGUACAGCCUGCGGCAGCGGCGCCUAGGGUAGAGGUUCCACCAGCACCAGUAGUCCUACAACCGGUAGUAGCUCAACCACUUAUAUCUGCAGAGGAGCAGAAGAUGUUGGAUUGAUUUUUGAGAUUGACUCCACCCAUGUUUGUCGGGACCCCGAGAAAGGAUGCUUAUGAGUUCCUAUCCAGUUGCGAGGAGCGGUUGCAGAAUUUAGGGCUGGUUGAGGCGGGAGGAGUAGACUUUGUUUCUUAUCUUUUUGACAUAGAAGCAAGGAGGUGGGGGAGAGGUUAUCUUGAUUCUAGGCCAGCUGGAUCUCCACCAGUGCCUUGGACUUAGUUCUCCGAGGCUUUCUUAGGGAAGUAUAUGCCGCGUAGCGUGCGUGAGCGUCUCCAGGAUGAGUUUACCGCAUUGAGUUAGGGUUCUAUGAUUGUGGCAGAAUAUGAGGUGAGGUUUCAUGAGUUAGCCCGACACGCCACUAUGAUUCUGGAUACAGAGUACGAGCAGAUUCGAUGCUUUAUUAAGGGAUUGAGAUUAUCACUCCGUAGGGCUACUCAGAGUUUGGUGACUUUAGGAAAGUCUUCUUCUGAGAUAGCCGAGCAUGUUUAUUCCAUAGAGGAGAUGGAUCGUGAGGCCUAAAGGUGCAGCGAUAAGAGACCACGCUACCAGGGUAGUUACAGUGGUUCACAAUCCUCAGGCAGAGGAUUUCACGAUCGGUACCCUCAUCAGCAGCCUUCUCAGUAUCAGGGUCAACCUAGUCGGCCAGUUUAGGCAUCAAUUCAAUUAUCUAAUAGGGGUCAGCUCAUCUAUUCUAGUUCCAAUGGUCAGAGUAGCAGCCAGCCGCAGAGGGUUGUUCAGUCAGGAUCGUCAAGUAGGGGUGGUCAUUCUGGAUUCGCUGGACUUUCUAGUCAGAGAAGGUGCCCUGGACAUGUUAUGACUGUAGAGUUGUUGGUCACUUUACCAAUGAGUGUCCUCCGCGUACGAUGAUUUAGCCUCCAGUUCUCGCUGUGUAGCCGAUCAAAUGAGUGCCUUCGUUAGGUAGGGGUGGUAUACAGGGUCGUAAAGGUAGUUCCUAGGAUUCUAAAGGUGGUCCACAGGGAGGUAGGGUAGGCGGUUGGGCAGGUACCCAGUCUAGUAGUGGACAGGGUAAUUUGUAUGUUGUUCCAGGUAGAUCAGGGGCUGAGGCUACGAAUACUGUAAUUACAGGUACGAUUUCCGUGUUCCAUCAGCCAACUUCUGCUUUAUUUGAUCCCAGUUCCAGCUUUUCAUAUAUUUCUACUUAUUUUGCAUUGUGAUUGGGUUUAUGUUCAGAGUCUUUAUCUGUGUUGUUAUGUGUGGCUACCCCAGUGGGUGACUCUUUAGUAGUGGAUCAGGUAUAUAGAUUUUGUUUGGUCACUAUUCGGGAGUUUGAUACUCAUAUUGACCUUAUUGUAGUAGAUAUGGUUGAUUUUGAUGUGAUUCUAGGUAUGGAUUGGUUGUCUUCUUACAAUGUGGUCUUGGAUUGUUUUGUUAAGACCGUUACUUUAGCUUUUCCUGGCAUACCCCUAGUUGUGUGGCAGGGUUCUGUUAGCCACGCACCAAUGGGGAUUAUUUUGUACAUCCAGGCUAGAAGACUGAUACCGAGAGGUUAUGAGUCAUUUCUUGCAUAUAUUUGGGAUGUUAGUGCUGAGAGUCCCCCACUUGACUCCGUCCCUAUUGUUCCCAAGUUUUCUGAUAUAUUUUUGACUGACCUACCUAGCCUUCCUCCUAAGUGUGAUAUAGAGUUUAUUAUUGACCUCGAGCCUGGCACCCGACCUAUUUCUAUGGUUCCGUAUCGUAUGGUUCCUGCUAAGUUGAAGGAGCUAAAUAGUCAGCUUCAGGAUCUUCUGGGUAUAGGAUUUAUCAGACCGAGUGUAUCUCCUUGGGGUGAUCUAGUUUUAUUUGUGAAGAAGAAAGAUGGCUCCUUGCGUAUGUGUAUCGAUUAUAGGUAGUUGAAUGAGAUUAUUAUGAAGAAUAAGUAUCCUAUGCCUCCCAUCAAUGAUUUGUUUGAUCAACUUCAGGGUGCGGCUUUGUUUUCUAAGAUUGAUUUAAGGUUCGGUUACCAUCAGUUGAGAGUUAGGGCUGUGGACAUCCCUAAGACAAGCUUCAGGACUCCUUAUGGUCAUUAUGAGUUCCUGGUGAUGUCUUUUGGGUUAACCAAUACUCCAGCAGCUUUUAUGGAUCUGAUAAAUUACGUGUUUAGGACAUAUUUGGAGUUCUUCGUGAUAGUAUUUCUUGAUGACAUUUUGGUACAUUCGAGGAGUAAGGAGGAGUAAGAGCAGCAAUUGAGGACUAUACUUUGCACUUUGAGAAACCACAGGCUUUAUGCCAAGUUUUUAAAAUAUGAGUUUUGGCUUGAGUCUGUAGCUUUCUUGGGGCACGUAGUGUCCAAGGACGGUAUUAUGGUGGUCCUAGCCAAGAUUGAAGCUAUUCGUAGUUGGGCUAGGCGUACGUCACCUUCUGAGGUUCGCAGCUAUAUUGGGUUGGCAGGUUACUACAGGCGGUUCAUUGAGGGAUUUUCUUCUAUUGCAUCCCCUAUUACUAGAUUGACCAGGAAGGAGGCUCCGUUUCAGUGGUCUAUGAUUUGUGAGGCGAGCUUUAUGAAGCUCAAGGAUUUACUUACUUCAACUCCUAUUCUGAUUCUUCCUGUUGAGGGCGAGGGUUUUACUGUUUAUUAUGAUGCAUCUAGUGUUGGUUUGGGGUGUGUUCUGCAUGUCCGAAUUAUUGGAUAUGCAUCUAGGCAGUUGAAGGUGCAUGAGCGCAACUACCCUACUCAUGACUUAGAGUUGGCAGCGGUAGUAUUUGCACUUAGGAUUUGAAGGCAUUAUUUGUAUGGGGUUCGCUGUGAGAUAUUUACUGAUUACCUCAAUCUUCCGUAUAUUAUGACCUAGAAGGAGCUUAAUUUGAGGCAGCACAGAUGGAUUGAGUUGCUGAAAGACUAUGAUAUCUCUAUUCUCUACCAUUCUGGUAAGGCGAAUGUGGUAGCGGAUUCCUUGAGUCGAAAGUUAGUAAGUAUGGGUAGCUUAGCUUUCAUUUCAGUUUCUUAAUGGUCGUUUGCUUUGGACAUUCAGUUCUUAGCUAACAUGAUGGUUCGUUUGGAUAUUUCUGACCCUCGGACAAUUAUUGCUAGUGUUAAGGAUAGAUCCACCUUGUUGGAGCAGAUUCGAAGUCGUCAAUAGGCUUCGCAGCCUUACUCGAUUUGAUCCAAUUGAUUCUUUGUAAGGCUUAUAGCUCCAGAUACUCUAUUCCCCUGGAAGACCUCUUAUGUAUAGGGAUCUGAGGUAGCAUUACUGGUGGAGUGGUAUGCGGAGAGAUAUAGUAGGGUUUUUGGCUCGAUGUCUUUGUUGUCAGCAGGUAAAGGCCGAGCAUCAGAGGCCUGGUGGAUUAUUGCAGCAGCUACCUAUUCCCGAGUAGAAAUGGGAGUGAAUUACUAUGGAUUUCGUAGGUGGAAUGCCUCGUAUGUCGCAUGGUUUUGAUAGCAUUUGGGUCAUCGUGGAUAGAUUGACCAAGUCUGCACAUUUUAUCCCCGUUCAAGUUUCCAACAGUGCCGAGAAGUUAGCUCGUGUUUACAUUCAGGAGGUGGUUCGCCUAUAUGGGGUCCCUAUGUCCAUUAUUUCCGAUCGAAGCUCUCAGUUUAGUUCUAGAUUUUGGAGGGCAUUUCAGGAGGUGUUGGGGACCCAGGCUGACCUUAGUACAGCCUUUCAUCCCCAGAAGGAUGGGCAGUCAGAGGGGACUAUCUAGGUCUUAGAGGAUAUGCUACGCGCUUAUGUGUUGGUUUUGGAGGUCAGUGGGACCAAUUUCUACCUUUGGAAGAGUUUGCUUAUAAUAACAGCUUUCACUCGAGUAUUCAGAUAGCCCCAUUUGAGGCAUUGAGAGUUCUGAGGCUACACCUCGUGGAACAGAUUUGCUUUGUGAUUCGUUGGAUCAGGUUCAAGUGAUUCAGGAUAGGCUACGAGCAGCUCAGAGCAGACAGAGGAGUUAUGUUGAUCAUAGACGUCGUCCAUUGAGUUUCAGAGUUGGUGAUAGGGUCUUCCUGUGAGUAUCACCCAUGAAGGGCAUGAUGAGGUUCAGGAGGGGGGGGGGGCAAGCUUAGCCCUAGAUAUAUUGGACCUUUUGAGGUCCUACAGAGAGUUGGGGAGGUAUAUUAUGUGUUGGCAUUGCCACCUGCCUUCUCAGCCAUUUACCCUGUAUGUCAUGUAUCUAUUUUGCGGGAGUAUAUGCCAGAUGAGUCACACGUACUUCGGUGGGACUCAGUUUAGUUGGACGAGGGAUUGACGUUUGUAGAGGAGCCAACGUCUAUUUUGGCGAGGGAUGUCAGGCGGUUGCGCUCCAGGGAUAUUCUGAUAGUUAAGAUUCAAUGGCGUCACCGUCCAGUUGAGGAGGCUAGUUGGGAGAUCGAGCAUGAUAUACGAGCCCAUUAUCCCUAUCUGUUUGAGGCUUCAGUUAUUUAUUCAUCUUUUACUUUCGCGGACGAAAGUCCUUUUAGUAGUGGAUGUUGUAAUGACCUAUACGGUCAUUUUACUGUAUUUUUAUAUAAUUUUAGUAAUAUCUAAACGUUUCGUGGUUUAUUUAAUUUAAUUUGGCAUUUGAUAGAAAUAUAAUUUAGUACCCUUAUAGAAUAUUUCGAUAUUGAUAAAAUUCUUUUAAGUGAUGAUAUAUUUAUAUCAGUUUAUAAUGGACUUUUAUGAUUUAUUAAUAUUUUAGGCGGAGAUAGUAAUUUUAGAAAUGUUAAAAUAUUAUUGUUAUAUAAUAGAGGUUUUGUUAGAAAUAAUUUUCUAUCAACUAUGGUAUAUUCCAAAUAUUAUAAUUAUUUUACCAAGAAUUUAAUAUCUUAAUAUGUACGCGGAGUAGAAAAUUAUUACUUGUGGCUAAUUACCACCACACGUGUGGGAAGGAUGUGGACAACAACACGUUGUUAUUUCGCAACCGUACACAUGUCCCUUGACCAUUUGAAUGUGUCUUUUUCUUCUUUCAUAUAUAUCGACUCUUAUGUGUAUAUAUACACACACUUAGUAGUAGUGCUAUUCAAUAAAAAUUUUCUUUUUUGUCUCUUAUGUGUAUAUAUAUAUACACACUAAGUAGUAGUGCUAUUCAAUAAAAAAUUUCUUUUAAAAAAAAGGCUAAUCAAGUGCUCUUAUAUAUGCAUGUUUAUAUAUAUUCUAUAGCAAAGUUUCUGGGUGAAAAUAUUUUGCAUUAUUUCAUCAUCAAAUUAAAAUUUAUUAUUUAAGCUCGGAUCUUAGUAGCGUUAUUCACAGGCUUCGCGGACAGAUAUUAUAGCUUUGGCGUCCAGGUAGACUAGGUUUACCCUAUUUUUAGAUUGAGCUUACUGACCGAAAAUGUUAACUAUUAUGUUAGCUUUGGAUAAGUGCUUGUAGAUACGUAUUAUUUUAUAUGUAUAAGUUGUCUUAUUUAUUCAGAUUGGGACCUCGUUGUAGUAGAUUUUGGUAUUUUACCUUUCGAUAUAAUAUAGCACCUAUCACUUUGGGACAUAAAAUUUAAUUGCAAAAUCUUUAAUUUAGCCCUUUUUAAAAUUGGUGGAUGAUUAUUUAGACGUUGACAUUGUUAUAAUAUGGAAUGUAUUUUAAUAUUAUUAGUGGUUUAUGGUUACUGUAAAUUCAGGUUCGAGUCCGGCAAAUGAUUAUAAUGAUUACUAUCAGUCCCGAUUCGAGUCCGGCAAUUGACUAUUAUAGUUACUAUGAAUUUCGAUUUGAGUCCGACAAUUGACUAUUAUUGUUACUAUGAGUGCCGGUUCGAGUCCGGCAAUUGACUAUUAUUGUUACUAGAGUUUCGGUUCGAGUCCGGCAUUUGACUAUUAUUGUUACAAUGAGUUCUAGUUAGAGUCCGGCAUGUGAUUAUAGUUGGGGUUACUCUGAGUUUCGGUUCAAGUUCGGCAUCUGAUUAUUUAUGUUUACUUUCAUCACUUGUGUGUCCCACCGGCUUAUGGGGGUACGGUUGGGUUAAUGGUCUUCUUCAGUGUGCCUAGCGGGCUUAUGGGGGCUCAGUUAGGUUAUGUUUGAUUUAAUUAUUGUUACUGCAUUAUUAUUUUUUUGUAUCGUACAAGUUUAUUCCUUUACAGUCGUUGCAUAGCUUAGUAGUUGUUUACCUUCCAUCCUUAUUUACUAAUAACUCAGAUUACGUCCUUGCAUUGUAGUUACACCUUUACUGUAUUAAGCUCAGUCGGUCGAUGAUGCCUACUGAGUACCCGUGAUUUUUGGUACUCAUACUAUACUUGAGCAUCUUUUUCCUGAUGCUGAUCUAGGUACUAGCUGUCGGCGUUGACGUGGUUCCUACCUUUCAGUGCUAGUUUAGAGUGAGGUGAGCUUACUGUCGUCCGAGGAUGACCCUCCUCUAUCUACUCUAGUUAGUUUUUUUCACUUGAGACUACUUGUGUACAUUUUAGAUUUUUUUUUUAGUACUCUGGGUACCCGUUAGUAGUGGCUCUAGUACUGACCUUAUCAGGUCUUGGGAGGGAUUCAUUUGAAUAAUUGGUCCUUUUUCCUCCUCUCGUUUUGAUAUAAUACAUAUGCUUUCUUCUUAGUUUUCACUUAUUAUUGUGGUUUUUAUUAUCAUACGUGAUCUUUUAUUUUGUCUCUUCCUAUUAGCCCAUUACCUAUCAUUCCGGGCUAUAGUUUGUCUUGCAUACUGGUGGGAUAAGGUAGGCACCAUCACGACUUGAGAUAUCGGGUCGUGACAAAGGGGUGGCUUUUGGGGAUACAGUGCAGGAUUAAACAAAGGGCAGAAGCAAUUUUCAAGUUCCACCCUUAUGCAAUAUUCAUAUCAAAAGGAAACAGUCAGAUUUAUUGCAACCAGCUAGAAUUUCUGAAGACAGAAUCAUACACAAAUCAAGUGCUAAAAGAGAAAAGAGAACCAUUAUAAAAAUGUUCAAUGUUCAAGAAGUUGAAUCUUGAUCUUCUGCAGCAUCGCUACAACAUCUUUCAUGUUAGUCCUUCUUACCGGAGAUUCAGCACAACAAUCUAAUGCUACUGUGAGGAUUGAUGCCACAACAUCUAGCUCCUUCUGUAAGCCUUUACCUAUUGCUGCUACCAAGUUGGCAUCUACGACAUCCAUUACUGCCUUUGGGAGUGAGUAACUCACCCAUUGUUUCAAGCUAAGAUCUCCCUCAAACUCAUUAGGCUUUCUCCUAGUAAACGUUUCCAGCAACAUGAUCCCGUAACUGUAUACGUCGCACUUUCUUGACACUAGUCCAUCCAUUCCAUACUCUACAGUCAAACAAUUAAUUUAAAGGUGCAAUAGACUUUCUAGCUGGAAAAAAAAAAAGGAAAAUCAACAAAAAUAAGAGACGUACCCGGUGCAAUAUAACCUAGUGUUGCUAAGGUUUUAGUGUACAAAUCACCCUGAUCUUCACCAAGCAGUUUUGAAAUGCCAAAGUUGCUAAGGUGGGCAACCAUAUCCUCAUCCAGCAAGAUGUUACUAGGCUUCAGAUCACAGUGGAUCAUAGGCGACGAGCACCCAUGGUGAAGAUAUUCCAAAGCACACGCCACAUCUAUCAUUAUGCUUAGUCUCUGCUUGGUAUCGAGGAAGUAGUUGUGUGAAUACAAAUAUUUCUCAAGACUCCCAUUAGGCAUAUACUCGAGAACUAAAGCCUUGAAAUCAAGAUUGGAACAACUAGUAAUGACUUUUACGAGAUACCUAUGGUGAAGGCUAUGCAAAACUUCACAUUCCGUAUCAAACUCUUGAAUGCCGCAUCCAGUUGCAUAUUGAACACUUUAACUGCAAUGGUAGUUCCACUUUAGAGUAUGCCUUUGUAAACAGAGCAAAAACUUCCAGAACCAAUCAAAUUACUCUCACUAAGACCAUCCAUUGCUUGGAGCAGUUCAUAGUAUGAAAUUCUUUCUCGUUUCUUUGUAGCCAAUGAAUUUGCUUGUUGAGUAGCUCUUUUACCUCUUCUAUACCUUAUCCAUACAAACACAAAUAUGACAGGAACAAAUAAAAAGAUAUAGAACUAACAAUUUUUUUCCUGUUCGAUUUGUGCUUUGAUGAAGAUGGGCAUGAUGGGACACUAAAUCUUGAAGAACCACACAAUGCUUCAUUGUAGAUGAAAAAUUGACUCGAGAGGUUCUUGAAAGGACUCCCCAAGGGUAUUUUACCAUACAAUUGGUUUUCUGAAACAUUGAAAUACUUGAGGUAUUGAAGUUUCUCCAAAGACAUGGGAAUCAUUCCCGAAAUAUUAUUGUGAGAAAGGUCUAGGAAUUCUAAACCAACCAUGUUGCUCAUUGAGUCAGGUAUAGAUCCUUGAAACUUGUUGUGUCUCAAAGAAAGGAGUGCCAGAUUUUGCAAUCUUCCAAUUUAUCUAGGAAUUUCAUUUGAGAAUUGGUUCAUUGAUUGAUCGAUCUCUAUUACAGCCUUCUGAUUUCCAAUUUCUGGAGGCAAAGAACCUACCAUGUUGUUUGAUGAUAAGUCAAGAACCACUAGAUCCUGAAGGUUCCCUAUGCUUGGUGGUAUAGUGGAACUCAAUUCAUUGGAACCCAGAUGUAUCUCCCUAAGGAAGUAAUAUUUCCUAAACAAUUAGGAAUAGAUCCUGAAAGCUGAUUUUGACCCAAGUAAAUUUCACCCAAAUGCUGCAAUUUACAUAUAUGAUCACCAAUAAAUACUGUAAGUUUGUUGUUACUCAAUUUGAAGCACUAAAUGUUUCUCAAGUUUCCAAUUGUCGUGGGAAUCGAUCCAGCCAAGAUGUUCUCAGAAAGAUCAAGGUCUAAUAAACUGCUUAAGUUCCCAACUUCCUUUGGAAUUUGCCCAUUGAUUUUACAACUUCUGGCAUUAAAUUUUAUUAGAGAUGUGGAAAAGUUCCCGACAGAGACUGGAAGCAUGUUGUUUAGAGGGUUGAAAGAUAGAUGUAGAGUUGUUAAAUUUUUGCAAUUGGGUAAGGAAGUAAGGAAGCUUCACGAAGAGUCCCUGGUUAAAUUAUUUUCUCUCAUGUUUAGGAACCGUAGAUGAGUCAAAUAUCCAAGAGAGAUAGGAAUCAAGCCAGUGAGUUUGUUGUAUGAAAGAUCUAGAAUAGUAAGUUCUGAACAAUUGGAGAUAGAAUAAGGAAUAGUUCCAACAAGAUUGUCGAAUGAAAUACAAAUCUCUUCAAUGUUGGGUAAGUGUAACGCCUCGAUUUUCUGAACUGAAAUGCUACACGGUGCUCAUGACCCCGAAGGACCACAAGCUCCCAUGACUAAUAUCUGUACCUAUAAACUGCAUAAUAUCUCAUAAAAUAUACGAAAACAUGAACUGUAAGGCCAUAAGGUUCAAUACUGAUACAUAUAUGAAAAACAUGGUAUAACAAUACCAAAAAGAAACAUAAAUACUGAAUUCUGAACAUCUAAUCUGAAAUCUAGUCCAAAAGCGUCUAACUGAACUGAAUAAAGAGUUGAAGGAACAUAUCUCCAACUAACUCCAUGAACUGAAAAACUAGUCUGAAAUACUGUAAUAAAGUAAUAAUAAUAUUGUCAUCGAAUGAAGAGGAGCACUGACUGCUGAAAUCUGCAAUGCUACUACUGCUCUGAAACUCGUACCUCUGUACCUAUGGAGUCAAAUAAAACACCAUAGCGCGAAUGCAUCAGUACGACUGAAUGUACUGAGUAUACGAGUGAGGAAGGCUAAGUGCAAAGGGUUUUAUAUGCAUGAGCAAUGCUGACUAUAUAAAUGUGAGAAUACAUACAUACAUAUGUAACUACAACUAAAAUUGUGGUGAUACUAACUACUGAGUCUGAAUACUGAAAACAUGAGUUUACUGAUGCUGAGAUACUGAAUGACUAAGUUUACUGAUAUUGGUAUGUAAUUCACUAAUAAGUGAGGAACUGAUACUGUAUUACUAAAACUGGGAGACUGAUACUAUAUUACUGAUAAAGGAAUGAUUGUUUCUGAUAGUUUUGAUUAUGAGAACUGAUUUAAUUGACCGUAUAUAACAGUUCUGAAACUGAGUUCGUGAUAACACGACUACUGAGUAUGAAUACUGAUGACAUGUAUUUACUGAUAACAUAUCAUGAAUGAUAACUGAAUUCUGAUAACUGAUAUAUCUGAUAACAUGAGUUCUAAUAACUGAUAGCAUGAAUGACUGUAUCUGAUAGUCCUAAAUCGAUGGAACUAGAUGAGUUCCGCACUGUAUCUGAGUUGACUGUAUCUGACAGUCCUGAUAUCCUAAAGAACUAUUUCAGUUCUUUUACUGAGACUAAUAUUGAAACUAUGGGAAGUAGUUAUCUAACCGACAUGCCCCAAAUACGCUAUAAUAGCUAAGCUGGGGUCCAAUUUUUGCCCUGAUUAGAAGGGUGUCAAUAUCACACCAUUGGUAAGGACAAGCUGUGAGUGACCCUUAUCUGGCAGGUACUCUAAUGAGAACGGUGAGAACCCUCAUCUGACAGGUUAAGCCACCUCAUCUAACCUCAACUGACAGGUACUGAUGUCUCAACCUAUGCUGGCUACAUAGUUCUGAAAUGCAAGGACUACUUCUAAGAAUCACAACCUCUACUAGCAGGUGAGUUCCCAUCCUUGAGUUCGCUCGGUGUUGAAUCCUACUCCCAAAUGAGUGACACUGAACUGAUUAUAACUUUUUGAAUAUUUUAAACUUUGAGAGAUGCUAUAUGUUAAUGGAAAGAUCUUUUAGUCUUCUUUCUAAUGAAAUUGGUUUCAUCCAAAUCCAACAUUUGAGUAAAAAUAUAUGAUCAAUUUACUACAUCCUAUAAAAACUGUCAAUAGAGGGACAACUUCGUCUUUUUUUUCAUAAGGGUAAUUUGGUCAUCCUCCACCCCUAUAAACACCCCAAACACGGGAUUAAGGCUCAUUUGAAGCAAAAUAUACUCUUUUCUUCCAUUUUCUCUCAAGAACUCAAGAUAGGGUUUCCAUAGAAGAUCCAAGUUCAAGCAAUUCUCUCCGUCAAUCUUCCUAAAAUCAAGAACUAAGGUAUGCAUAGUGUUCAUCCAUGCAUUCCUUUCAUAAAUCAAGAACUAAGGUAUGCAUAGUGUUCAUCCAUGCAUUCCUUUCAUCCAUGGAGCUCAAGAAUCAAGUUUUAAAUCAUGUAUUGUGAAUACUUUGUUCUGUUAUGAUUAUGUUAAUGUUUAUAGUUGUUGUAUGGUUUCAAGUUAGGAUCUUUAUGUAUUUCCAUGAAACUAUGUUAGCCUAUAAAUUGAAAUAUAUGAAUUAUGUUGUUUAUGUUGUGGAUUGUUGAUGAUCAUGUUGUUGAUGUUGAAUGAUUCCCAAGUUGAAAUCUUUUUGUGUUAUUAUGAAUCUAUGACAUCAUAUGAGUUGGAAAUAUAUAAAUUUGGUUGUCUAUAAUGUAUAAUUUAAUGAUUUCACCUAUGCCUAAGAUGUGCAUGUAAGGUGUUUGAUAAAAUGCCUAAGCAACUAGAAAUCAUGCAAUAUAGCUAACUUGUGACUAAGUGAAAGAAUUCAUGAUAUGCCCUUAUAUUCCAAUGACUUCCAUGUUGAUACUAUGUCUUGUAAAUGUUGUUGGAUUUCUCAUGAACUAGUCUUAUGAGAUUAUGCUAUGCUUACUUGCAAAUACUACUUAUGCACAAGAUGUAUGAUAAAUAUGUAUUCCAUGAAAUCCCCCAAGUUAUGGUAUUAUAGAUUGUUAAUGUUGAUUAUGUACUCAAGAAUGUUAAGUCAUGUCAGUUUCCUUCCAUCGAGUCCUGGGGGUACUUGUACCCGAAAAAUAUAGUUGUGUGCCUAGAGCCAUGUCAUGUUUUCAUGAUACUCUCAGUCAAGCCAUGUUCAGUAGACUUCAGUCAGUCUCAUGACUCAGGAAAACUCAUGUAAAGGCAGUACCAAUUCAGUUUUACUCAGUACUCAGUAAUCUACAUAAUCUCAGUAAUAUUUCGUAAGUUUAUGGAAUUUAGUAAAUCUCAGUAUCAGUACAGUAUAGUUUAGUAUUCAGUUCAGACAUCAGUAAACUCAGUCAGCUAACAGAACUCAGUAGCAUUUAGUCAGUUAACAGAAUUCUGUAGUGUUCUGCUAGUCAUCGGAACUCAAUAAACUCAGUCCAUGUUCAGUUCAGUCAAACAGAACAAUCAGUAAUAGUUUAGUUAAGUCUAGUAUAAACUAGGAAAUCAGUUCAGUAUAAUCAGUUCAGUGUCAUUCAGUUGGGAGUAGGAUUCAACACCGAGCGAACCCAAGGAUACGAACUCACCUGCCAGUAGAGGGUAUGAUUCUUAGAAGCAGUCCUUGCAUUCCAGAACUAUGUAGCCAGCAUGGGUUGAGACAUCAAUACCUAUCAGUUGAGGGUAGAUGAGGUGGCUUAACCUGUCAGAUGAGGGUUCCCACUAUUCUUAUUAGAGUACCUGCCAGAUGAGGGUUACUCACAGCUUAUCCUUACCAGUGGUGCGGUAUUGACACCCUUCUAAUCAGGGCAGAGAAUAGACCCCAGCUUAGCUAUUAUAGCUUAUUUGGGGCAUGUCGGUUAGAUAAAUACUUCCCACAGUUUCAGUAUCAGUCUCAAUAAAAGAACUCAGAUAGUUCUUCAGGAUAUAUGGACUGUCAGAUACAGUCAACUCAGAUAGAGUUCGGAACUCAGCUAGUUCCAUCAGAUUUAAGACUGUCAGAUACAGUCAUUCAUGCUAUCAGUUAUCAAAACUCAUGUUAUCAGAUAUAUCAGUUAUCAGAAUUUAGUUAGCAUUCAUGAUAUGUUAUCAGUAAAUACAUAUCAUGAGUAUUCAUACUCAGUAGUCAUGUUAUCAUGAGCUCAGUUUUAAGACUAUUAUAUACGGUCAAUCAAAUUAGUUCUUCAUAAUCAGAGCUAUCAGAAACAAUCAUUCCUUUAUCAGUAAUAUAGUAUCAGUCUCCCAGUAUUUAGUAAUACAGUAUCAGUUCCUUACUUAUUAGUGAAUUACAUAUCAAUAUCAGUAAACUCAGGCAUUCAAUAUCUCAAUAUCAGUAAACUCAGUCAUUCAGUAUCUCAGCAUCAGUAAACUCAUGUUGUCAGUAUUCAAACUCAUUAUUCAGUAUCAACACGAGUUUAGCUGCAGUUACAUAUGUAUGUAUGUAUUCUCACGUUCAUAUCAGUCAGCAUUGUUCAUGCAUAUAAAACCAUUUGAUUUAGUCUACCUCACUCGUAUACUCAGUACAUUCAGUCGUACUAAUGCAUUCGUGCUAUGGUGUUUUAUUUGACGCCAUAGGUACAGAGGUAUGAGUUUCAAAGCAGCAGUAGCAUUACAGAUUUCAGCAGUCAGUGCUCCUCUUCAUUCGAGGACAAUAUUAUUAUUACUUUAUUACAGUAUUUCAGAUUAGUUUUUUAGUUCAUGGAGUUAGUUGGAGACAUGUACAUUCAACUCCUUAUUCAGUUCAGUUAGAGGCUUUCGGACUAGAUGUCAGAUUAGAUGUUCAGACUUCAGUAUUUAUGUUUUUUUUGGUAUUUUUAUACCAUGUUUUUCAUAUAGGUAUCAGUAUUGAACCUUAUGGCCUUACAGUUCAUGUUUCCAUAUAUUUUAUGUGAUAUUAUGCAAUUUACAGGUACAGAUAUCAGUCAUAGGUUAGCUUGUGGUCCUUCGGGGUCAUGAGCACCGUGUAGCGUUUCAGUUCAGAAAAUCGGGGCGUUACAAUAUGAAGUGGGGUGGGGUGGUUUAGGAAGAUGAUACAAGGUGGGGGGGGGUUUAUUAAUAUUUUUUAUUUAAAUUAAUCAUAUAAAAAUUAUUUUUAUAAAAAUGACAAGUGUCUUUUUAUAAUUGGUCCUUUUUUAUAUGUUUUAGUGUUUUUUCAAAAAAAAAAUUAUAGGUGGAUAUAUUGAUGUGGCAAUUUAAAUAAGUUGACACAAAUUAAUUGGUCGUUUGUUCACGUUGGCAGCGAGUGAGACACACUUACUGGUGCUGGUAUCGAAAGGUGUCAAAGUGACACGCUUUAUAGCUUCUUGAGGUGCAAAAAGUGAACAACGUCCAUUUGAGGUGUCUAAGUGAAAGUUCGUGCCAAGUUUAGAGGGUCACCGAUGGGUUUGGCCUAAAAAAUAACUCACUUCUACCCUUAAUUAUCCGAUUUCUCUCUAAAAGAAAUUAUAUUUCUCAGUUUUCUUCUACUCCAAAGUAGUGAAAGGUUGAAUUUUCGUCGAUCAAGUAAGCUAUUAUCUAAAAAAAUUUAUUUUUUGGUGUAUGUUAAAAAUAUGAAAUUAUUUUUUUCUAGUUAGUGUUUCAUAGUAGUUUUCGAUUAAGGUUUUGAGGAGACUUACAUGCACAACUACGUUUCUUAUUAUAAUUAACGAGGUAAGAAAUUACAAUUUAGGUUAGGGGCGUGCAAAAAUCAAACCGAUAAAAAUGUUAUUGAUUUAUCGUUAUAGGGUUAAUGAUUUUUUAAUGAUUUUAUAAAAAAAAAAUUAUUGGAUCAUUGAUUCUAUUUUGAUUUUUAUUAUUGGAUUAUCGAUUAAACCGAUAAUCCAAUAAGUUUAUGCUAAAUUAUUAUUAUUUUAUAUAUAUAUAUAUAUAUAUAUAUAUUACACCCAAUAAGUAGGAUUUUGGUUGCGACUAAGAUUCGAUUUCUUUUAAUGUUAGUUACUACUUUUUCUAUUUUUUUAUUUUAUGAGUAUUUUUUUAUCGGUUAAAUCAAAAAUUAAAUCUUUAGAGACUAAAAAUCGAUAAUCAAUAUAACUACAUUCUCUUUAUUAUAAGUAUGAGUCUUAAUUUCUUUAGUAUUUAUUAAAAUAUCUGCGUUGAUAUUUAGUACAGUUUUUUAGUUACAAUAACUCAUAUGAUAUGUAUAAUUAAGAUUACAAAAUUGAAAGAGUUUCAUAUGAAUGGAAACUGAAGUUUUAGAUUGGAUUAAUAAACAGAUGAAUUUUCUUUUUAGAUUAAUAAAUGGAAUUUUUACAAAAUUAAUAAAUGGAUGAAAUUUCUAUUUCAUAAUGUAAUUAAUAAACUGGAGUUUUAAAAAACUAAUAAAUGGAUGAAUUUUUUUUUAGAUUGAAAGUAAUGGAGGAAGAGGGAUAGUUAAAUUUUUUGAAAAAAUUAAAGAAAAAUGAUUGUUUUUCUAUUUUUAAUCAUGAAAAAUGUUGAUUUGGCCCAAAAAUACUCCAUCACGCGCGUGAUGGAUUUGGCCCAAAAAAUACUCCAUCACGCGCGUGAUGGAGUGUGACUACAAAUAUUUUGCCACAUCAGCAAAAAACGGCCACACGACCUACUAAAACAACAAGUUCAGAAGGGUACUUAGAACAAGUCAAAGUUGAGGUGUAACAUGAAUAAAACUUGACAAGUUCAAGGGUAAUAGAUUCUUCUCUCUAUAUUAAAUAUACAUGCUUGGUAUGGCCGGGAAAAGGUCUCGGUUUCUGGGGACGUUAAGUCAUAUAAUAAUCAUAGUGAGUCAGCACAAUACAUAAAUAAAAUUGCACCAGAGAGACAACAGUUGUAAACAAGAGCAUUUCAAACUGCAAUGUUUUACCAUUCUAAUCAUUUGAUGGUCUGCUCCCAAUAUAACAGAACCGGAGCAGGUCUCAUGUUCCAAACACUCCAUUCUUUCGUUAUCUUUCCUCCAGUCUAACUAAAUAACACUUGUUCUAACUUCAUGUUCUCUGAGGCCUCUGGUUUGAAAGCAAAUGUAGAUAAGAGUCGAGUCUAUUCUGGUGGGGUAAAUGACCAUACCAAAAGAAGUAUCCUAGCUCUGCUUGGCUAUGAGGGUAGUGAGCUUCCUUUCAAGUAUAUAGGUAUUUCAUUAUCCAUUAAAAUACUCACCGUUCUGCAACGCAAACCCCUACUGUCAAAGAUUACUGCCAAGAUCAAUACAUAGAUGGUCAAAUUCUUAUGAUGCCAAAGAAAGCAAUCAAGUUGAUAGAGGCUAUCCUGGGGAAGCUACAAUAACAAGGAAUUCUGUUUGGCCCGAUCACCCUACGGGAAUGACUCUCCUUUUCCUAAUAUGAACCUUGAGUCAUCAAAGCCUUUCUGACCAGCCUGGCCCGAUCACCCUACGUGAUUGGUGCUUCAAAAGACGAAACUCUCAAUCGUAGUUUGGUAGGCCACUCUAUGCGACUGGAACUUCAAAAGACGAAACUUUCGAUCGUAGUUUGGCGACCUAUCUUUAGUAGGGCCUUUAGUCUUUUGAUUAGAGUAGGGGUUGCAAAAAAGCAGAGCGUGCCACUUAGCCAUAGUCACUCAAAAAAUAAAUGAAAUGCCUAGUAACUGAACUAUCAGCUCCAGCAUGUCAUAAAUGACUUGAGGUAGCUAUGAGAAAGAUAUAAAUGGCCAAAUAGUGCAAAAUUUAGAAAAUAAGCUGGAGUGUCAUUAAAACCUUCAACAUGGAGCCUUCCUCUUUUGAACGGUCUUAGAAUGAGAUAAGACAUAGAAAUAUAGAAUUUGCUAAAACUUACAAAUAUAGAAUCUAUACGUUAAAAGGAAGCUAAUGAUACCCAUAUCAUUUAUAUUUAAGAUGGGUCGAAAAUGAGUUAAAAAAAACAGUCUAAAAUGAAAGGACUAAAAUCAGAAUUUUAUUUUAGAAAUAUGUUACCAAGAUUAUAGGAGUCUAAGUUGAAAAUUCAAGUGAAAACGAGUAAAAAAUGAGGCUUAAAUUGAAGGGGAAAAAACCAUUUUAAAGCUUUACUGAUAAAAGUUCUCGUAUUCUAGUUUGAAAUCAUGAUUAAAAGGCAUUUUCAAAGAUAUAAUCAAUAGAAAAUGAAAGAACAAUGAAUUAGAAUCUUACCCAAGCAAGAAUAGUGAGGAAAAAUCCUAGAAAUCGCCUAUUCCUGAAGCUCCAAGUUCAAAAAAUGUUGGAAAUCGCGAAAAAAAAAGAAGCAUUUAUACUGUUCAGUGAAUAAUACUUUGUGAUCGCAAUUCCCACCUCGCGAUCGCGAAGGUGAACAUUCACUAGAACUUAAGUUGGCCACCGUAGAGAGAGACUUUACGACCGCGAUGGUCAAACCCGACUCGGUCCAUCAAUUUACCUAUUGCGAUUGCGGCACCACCACCACGCAAUCACAAUGAAGGAGAUCAUCGAUGUUUGCGGUCAUGACAUGUGUUCAUGCAAUCAGGAUGAAGAACCUGAUGCACCAGAAAAUGCAACAUCAUCAGAUUUUCCAAGUAAAAGAAAUCACUUCGAACGGUCCCUCUCGGGACCCCACAGAAACAAAUCAUAACUGUAAAAGAUUCUGAAUAUUAACCAACCCCUCUACUCACCCAAAAUUGAUGUUCUGUAUCUAAUGAAAAUGUCCAAAUCGCCGUUAGAUACUCAAAUCAUAAAAUAUUGAUUGAAGUCAAAUUCAUGGCUUUCAAAGACUCUAAAAGUCUCCAACUCUGAAAUCAUUUCAGAAUGCAUGGGAGAUUGUGCUAACCAUCCCCACACCUCACAAUCUGCUUGUAACGACUGUGAGAAAAGCCACAAUAAUCAAAACGUACACAUAAAAAUUGAAAAUUUUACAUAGCAGGUUGUUACAAGUAGCAGGGUUAGUAAUUCUAGGACUGCGUCCACAGGUAGGAGACUCUAGCAGGAGAAUUUGGGUGGGGUGGGUGUCUUUAGGCUUGUGAUUGUAUGUUACUACUAGGUGGGUGUCCUAUUUCUUAUUUCUUACUUCCUAUUUCGUAUUUAGUAUUGCUCGUAUUUCUCUUAUUUAGUAUUGCUCGAUCAGGAGGUAACGGGUUCGAGCCUCUGAAACAGUCUCGUACAGAUAUGCAAGGUAUGGUUAUGUACGAGCUAGAACUUUGUUGACCAGGCUGCCCUUCUAUUGGCUUCAACAACAAUUACUUUCCUCAUAAAUCUGUUAUAGUUCUCUGAGUUUACGCCCCUUGUACAGUCAAACAGUGAGAUUUAUUGUAACCAUCUAGCAUACCUGAAAGCAAUUAAUUUAUAUAAUAUUAAGAGGAAUUAACACCUUGCAAACAAUAAUACUAAGAGGAAACAGUGAGAUUUAUUGCAACCAUCUAGCAUUUCUGAAACAAAUCAAGUGCUAAAACAAAACAAAACAACAAUCAUGUGAUUUGGAACAACAGAUUCCAAAUACAUGCUCAACAUGCAAGGAGUUGAAUCUCGAUCUUCUGCAGCAUCCCUACAACAUCUUUCAUGUUUGUCCUUCUUGCCGGAGAUUCAGCGCAACAAUCUAAUGCUACUUUCAUGAUCGAAGCCACAACAUCUAGCUCCUUCUGUAAGUGAUUACCCAUUGGUGUUACCAAGUUGACAUCUACAACGUCCAUUACUGCCUCUGGGAGUGAANNNNNNNNNNNNNNNNNNNNNNNNNNNNNNNNNNNNNNNNNNNNNNNNNNNNNNNNNNNNNNNNNNNNNNNNNNNNNNNNNNNNNNNNNNNNNNNNNNNNNNNNNNNNNNNNNNNNNNNNNNNNNNNNNNNNNNNNNNNNNNNNNNNNNNNNNNNNNNNNNNNNNNNNNNNNNNNNNNNNNNNNNNNNNNNNNNNNNNNNNNNNNNNNNNNNNNNNNNNNNNNNNNNNNNNNNNNNNNNNNNNNNNNNNNNNNNNNNNNGAGAACACCUUUGUAAACAGAGCCAAAACAUCCAAAACCAAUCAGAUUACACUCACUAAGGUCAUCCGUUGCUUGGAGCAGUUCAUAGUAUGAAAUUCUUUCUCGUGUUACCGUAGAAAAUGACUCAGCUUGUUGAAGAGCACUUUUACCUCUUCCAUACCUUGUCCAUAGGAGCACAAAGGCCAUAGUAACAAAUACAACUGCAAUUACGAGCAAAAGAAAAAGAACUAGCAAUUUUUUCCUAUUUGAUCUGUUCUUUGAUGAAGUGGGGCAUGGCAGGACACUAAAUCUUGAAGAACCACACAAUGCUUCAUUGUAGAUGAAAAACAGACUCAAGAGGUUCUUCAAAGGACCUCCCAAGGGUAUUUCAUCAUACAAUUUGUUGACAGAAACAUUGAAAUACUACAAGUUUUGAAGUUUCUCCAAAGACUUAGGAAUGAUUCCAGAUAUAUUGUUAUGAGAAAGGUCUAGGAAUUCCAAUCCUACCAUGUUGCUCAUUGAGUCAGCUAUAGCUCCUUCUAACUUGUUGUGUCUCAAAGAAAGAUACGCCAAAGUUUGCAAGCCUCCAAUUUCUCUAGGAAUUUCAUUUGAGAAUUGAUUCACUGAUAGAUCUAUCAGUGUCGCAACCUUUAGAUUUCCAAUUUUUGGAGGUAAAGAACCUACCAUAUUGUUUGACGAUAAGUCAAGAACCACUAGAUCUUGAAGGUUCCCUAAGCUUGGUGGUAUAUUGGAGCUCAAUUUAUUGGAACCCAGAUGUAUCUCCCUGAGGGAAGUAAUAUUCCCUAAACAAUUAGGAAGAGAUCCUAAAAGUUAAUUUUGACCCAAGUAAAUAUCACCCAGAUGCUGCAAUUUACAUACAUGAUCUCCAAUAAGUCCUGUUAAUUUGUUGUCACUCAAGUUGAAGCGCUGAAGGUUUCUCAAGUUGCCAAUUGAUGUUGGAAUCGAUCCGACCAAGUUAUUUCCAGAAAGAUGAAGGUCUAAUAAACUGCUAAAGUUCCCAACUUCAUUUGGAAUUCGCCCUUUGAUUUUGCAAUUUUUGGCGUAAAAUUUUCUGAGAGAGGUGGAAAGAUUCCCCGUGGCGGCUGGAAGCAUUCCAUUUAGAGUGUUUAAAGAUAGAAAAAGAAGUUUUAAAUUUCUGCAAUAGGUUAAGGAAGUCAGGAAGCUUAAUGAUGAAUCGCUGGUCAAAUUGUUUCCCUCUAAAUUUACUAAUUGUAGAUGAGUCAAAUAUCCAAGUGAGUUGGGAAUCAAGCCAGUGAGUUUGUUGCCUGAAAGUUCUAGAAUAGUAAGUUUUGAACAAUUGGAGAUGGAAUGAGGAAUAGUCCCAACAAGAUUGGUUAAGUUCCUCAGAUAAAGCUCUUCAAUGUUGGGUAUGACAGAACACAUGUUUGGUGGGAGGGUUCCUGAUAGACUGUUGACUGAAAGAGAAAUCACUGUCAGCCUUGAUAUGUUGAAGAUCUCCAUAUCAAGUGAACCACUAAAUCUAUUAUACGGAAGAUAAAGUUCCUCCAACUCAAUGAGAUUGCUUAUCUCUUUGGGUAUUUCACCUGGAAACACACAUAGUGGAUUACUAGUGAGUUGGUUCAAUCUAUUUUUGCAAAGAUAUAAGAGUUGCAUCUUGUUUAAGUUGUCAAUUUCCCAUGGUAGAGUCCACUAAGAUUUUAACAUUUAUAUUGUUGACCAUACGAAAGUAUUAAAAGAAAAAAGAAAAAAAAUAAGUAUAGAAGAUAAAAACAUACCUGUGAAAUCAUUUUUCGAUAAAAACAAUUCUGGAAGUUGUGAACAAUUUGAUAAGCUUGUAGGAAUAUGACCAUGAAGCUUGUUUCUCACUAAAGAAAGCCCUUUGAGUAUUGGGAGACCAUUUCAUAUAAGUUUCAAUGUCUAUUUGUGCACAUCUAAAGUUGGAGGUCAUAGAUGUGAUAUGAAGACAAGUUAAGGAUAUGUUUAUUGUCUAUAUUUUACAAGAAAUUUUAAGAGUAGUUUCGUAUGAACUUUCUUCUAAUAAAAGAAUAUAUAAAAUUGUAAAAGAUCAAAAAUGUACCAAGCCUUGCAACUGUAAAUGUGGUGUCAAAUUUAUUCCUCUAAUCAGUCCAAAAGACUUCCAAGUUGCAUUCUACAAAAGUAAUGUAUAUUAACUAUAUAGAGAAUUUUAUGUGAUAGUAUAAUUAAUUAAUUCUAUUUUCUUUUUAGGUAAUAUAAAACACUGUCAAUUUUAUUUUUAUAAAAAAUUAAAGUCAUAAUACAUAAACAGAACCUUUAAUUUGACACCAAAUUAUAACUAUACCCUUUAACUUUGCUAGUGUAUAAGUAAGCCCUAUAACUAUAUAAAAGUUGAACAAAAAAACACUACAAUUUUGCAACUUACAAUCGUGAAACUCAAUCGCUCCUGUGUGGAUUAGUAAUCCACUCAGCUGCCACCUAAUGAAAAUGACACAUUAUAACUAUGACCUUUAACUUUUCCUGCACAAGUAGGUCUUUUAACUAUACAAAAGCUGAAAAAAAAACACUUCAAUUCUAACUCUGACGCACGUGGUUUUGAGUGUACACAGGCAAUCUUUCAAGGAUUUUUAUCUCCAGAAUUUGAAGAACUAGUAGGUGAUAUUUAAUUUCCAUAAAAUGGGCAAAGAAUGCAAUUUUAGACUUGACUCGCCUUUUCCUUGUUCUGUAGCAAUCUUAUAAUUAUUAUUGUCCUGUAGAUACUGAUUACUUAUAUAUUUAUAAUAUACGCUAAGCUCAAUAUGCUAAAUUGUGCUAAAGUAUUAAUUUCUUGCUAAUGGAGUUUGACGCUUUAAGAACAAAACAAUGCAGUUGGAAAGGAGAGAGGAGAAAAUUUUUGAUGAUGAAUUAUGUAUGAAUCUUGAACUGAAUUUGAAAAAUGAUUUUUGUUUUUAUCGCACUAAAACAAUUUCGCGUAAACUCUUGAUUACUUAUAAUGUUCCUCUCAGCACUAGUGCUAAAUGGUCCAUCUUACACAACUUUAACGCCCUGCAAUUCAGGCUACAAUAUAGACCAUGAUUUCGAUGCGUUGCUAAUCCCAAAGCCAUAAAUCCUAUGCCAAUAUAGCAUGUUAAUUAUUGUGUAGUAGGUGAAUCCGCUCAAGCUUGAAUUUAGACCAUAGAGGUCCUUCAACUCAAGGACGAGUUGAAACUAUUUCGAUCGACUAAGUUUUAGUCGACGUUGUAAAGUGUGUCAGCUUCCAUAGACCAUAACUCUCUUUAUAUAUUGAAUUAGGAAGCCUACUAUGUGUCAAAUGAUAGGUAUUCGAGUUAUCUUUCCAACGAUACCAAUUUGGCUAAAAUCCGACACCCGAGCAAAAAGUUAUGGCCUUUCAAAUUGAUAAGCGUCGCCUAACAAAUCGCCCAUGGCCACUGGAAAGCAUAGGCAAUAGACUAGGCGGCGCCUAUGUAAACAUAGGCAAUAGACUAGGAAGCGCCUAUGCACACAUCUGUGAACAUAGGCGAUAUCCUAGGCGGCGCCUAUGUGAACAUAGGCAACGGGAUGGGCGGCGCCUAUGUAAGGAAUUCUAGUGAUUUAAACACUCCGUGUUGAGGACAAAGUGGUCCUUUUCCACCCUUACUUAGCCCUAAAACACGAGAUUUAGUUCCAAGGACCCCAAAAUACAUAUUAUUUCAUCAAAAGUGCUCAAGAUUAUUCUUAGGGUUUCAAAAUAAAAAACCCAAAUAGAUCAAGAUUUCACCGUAGGUUUUCAAAGAUAAUUACAUAUUUGGAAUCAACAAUCCGCAAGCUUCAAGAAACACCUAAUAUCCUUGGAAAUAGAGGUAUGUGGGGUUAUUCAAAAAUCUCAUGGGUGUAAUUUUUAUUAACAUGCAUGCUUUUAAAUGGGGGUUUUCAAUCAAAUGCUAAUAUCUUGCUUUUAAUACGAUUUCUAAGUCGUUUUCUUUAUGUCAUGGGAAUUGUUUGCCUAUAUACUUCAAUGGUUGAAACCAUGCAUAUGUGAUUUGAAAUUUUCCAUGGAAGUUUGAUAAAUAUGAAUGAUAAAUUGUUUUCAAAUUCCCAUGAUAAUGUUUCGAUACUCCAUAUUAUAUUGUGAUCAACAAAAGAGAGCAUGAAUUUGAAAUUACUAUUGCUCACCACUUGUAAAUGAUGAAGCACCUUGGUUUUUACAUUAUUAUGCAUUUGUGUAUUUGAUAUUGAUGACUUGCAAGUUGGGUAUGACGAUACCCUACACAAUAUGACAUGUGAUUGAAUAAGAUGAAAUUUGAAUGCAUUGAUUUCACAUGAGAAAGGUGGAUGCCCGAAGAAGGCAUUUGAUACACAAGGGCUCAUCGCUGGAAAAACGGUUUUGCCGACACAGAAUAUUGGUACCAGGCUAAGUGAUCUUGUGUACUUGACUUCAUGUCAUUCCCAAAUUGGGACUAUAGGUAGGAGCAGGAGCCAAGUGAUCUUUGGCACUACCAUUGGGUCGAUACACCAUGCUGUGUGAUCUUGUGUGUCUCUCCCUCACUUAUACUCUAAUCUCGGUGGCAACCAAGGUUUGCAAGUUGGUGUAAAUUAUGUAGGGUAUUCCACCUAGCUCAGUUGUAUUUCAUUACUGUUGGGAAAAACUAUUGCAUUACACCCAUGUGCUUUCAAAUGAUUUGAUACAAAAUUGCUUUAUAAUGGCUCUCAACUAUAUUUUGUAAAAAUAUUAUGUUUUGCUUUGAUAUCUCUGCGUGCCAGUACUUUUGUACUGACCCCCUCCCCUCUCCAACCUCUCAUGUACAGAGGCCCAGUCUAGGGGUCAAGAGAACUAGUAGAUCAUUCAGAAAGAGUUGCAGAGACAAGUGGUGAGCCUUCGAUAUUUCGAAAGGUUUUAUUUCCUGCAGUCCUAUCAUCAUAUUCAGUUUUAGGGUCUGCUGGGGGCCUUGUCCCAGUUUUCAGAUAGACAUUGUUUCAGUCAUGUAGUAGAGAUUUCGCAGACGAUUUUUGAGAUGUUGAUUGAGAUUAUGGGACAUUAUUCCCCAUUAUUGUUUUCAUAUGAUUCUUGACCAUGUUUCCGUUAUAUUGUGUUUCUUCUGCAUUACUUCGAUCAUAUGAAUUAGGUGCAUGAUUACCAGAUAGAUAGGGGUGUUUUGGGCCUCCAUGGUUCGAAAUGCUCAUCACGGCCAGUCCUUGGUUCAGGUCGUGACAAACUUUAUAUCAAAACAUGGUUCAUGGUCCCAGGGUGUCUGCGAAAUUGCGUUAGGUAGAGUCUUGUUUAUAGGUGUUUAGCGCGCCAUACUUAUAAGUAGGACGCUGCUAGGCAUUUAGGAAAUAUUUCCCUUCUUUGUGAUUUAGUUCAUGCUUCAGAAUCUGAACUGUCCACUUAUCAAUGAUCACUUAUAUUUCAGAAACACAGUUAUGCCUCCAUGUCGUAUCAUCGAUCAGAAUGCUCAGGCUGAUGAGGUCCAUCCCACCCAUGGGAUGCGGACCCGUAAUAGGGCUCACACUUUUGAAUUUUUCCCUACUCCGAGAGUCCCUCCAGUCCCGACCAGUCCACCUCAGGCUCCGCGGACUAAUUCCAACCAUCCCCCAACUACUCAGGGACAUAUUUCAAAUGCAGAAUUCAGACGGUCUAUUCAUAUGGUGACACAGUUGGUAGCUAACCAGGCUCAAUGAUCGAAAGAUAUUGGUUCUGCAUCUGUUACAUCUGAGGCUAUUAGAGUCAGACAUUUCAUGAAGAUGAACCCACCUAAGUUCACUGUCACCAAGGUGGAGAAAGAUCCACAGGAGUUCGUGGAUGAGAUGGAAAAGAUCUUUAAGGUGAUGCAUAUGGAUGAGGUUGAAGGUGUGGAGCUAGCAACCUAUCAGCUCAAGGAUGUUGCAAAUCAGUGGUAUGCCGACUGGGAAGAUGAAAAAGGUGAAAGUGCUGAGCCCACAGUUUGGGGCAAAUUUGUGGAAGGUUUCCUUGAUCGAUUCUUUCCUCUGGAGUUGAGGGAGGCCAAAGCGGACGAGUUUAUGAAUCUGAAGUAGGGCAGUAUAAGUGUCCAGGAGUACACUUUGAAGUUUAAUAAACUAGCCCACUAUGCACUAGAGUUGAGUAGUAAUAUGAGGGCCCGGAUGAGGAAAUUUGCAUUUGGCCUUACUGAUGACCUUGUACUUGAGUUCCAGGGGGCUAUGUUGAAUAAAGAGUUAGACUUUGCACGACUGACCGUUCAUUUACAUCAAGUAGAAGUGAAGAAGAAAAGGAUUGCAGAAUCUAGAGAGAAAGACAGAUAGGCUAAGAGUUCUAGAUGUGUAGACUAGCACCAGAGUCAGUCGCAGAGUGGUAACUGGGGUAAUAAGUGGUCAAAGAAGAAGAAGUUUUGGAAUAAUGCAUAGUCAGAAGCCAGCGCCCCAGCACCCUGACCAGCGACAGACAGACAAACUCAGAGUUUUCAGACUCUUCAUGGGUCCAAAGCUCUAGGUACACAGUCUCAGGGCAGUGUGGCCCAACAGCAUUGUACUAGUCUGCUGUGUGAGGUUUGUGGAAGGAAUUAUCUAGAGAAGUGAUAGUUUGAGGGAAGAAACUGCUAUACUAGUGGCAAAGUGGGUCACCUUCAAAGAGAUUUUCCAUCUGCUGGAGUAACUGCGGGGGAGGGGGGGACUAAGUCCCAAGCCGCCUCCACAGCUCCUUUUCCUAAGGGUUCCCCUUCAACUGCCGAAAGCAGUCGCAACCGAUUAUACUGUUUGACUAAUCAACAGGAGGUGGAAUCUUCACCAGAUAUUGUCACCGGUAUCUUAUGAAUCUUUUCUCGUGAUGUUUAUGUAUUGCUUCAUCCCGGGUCUACUUUAUCUUAUGUGACCUCUUAUAUGGCUGUUGGUUUCGGGUUUGAGCCCUAAGUUAUUAUAGAACCCUUCUCUAUUUCUACUCCUGUAGGUGAUUAUGCUGUUGCUAGAAGGGUAUAUAGAAAUUAUGUCAUGUAUAUUCAUAGUAGGGAAACUGUGGCAGAACUUAUAGAAUUGGAUAUGAUAGACUUUGAUGCCAUCCUUGGGAUGGACUGGCUCCAUUCGUGUUAUGCCACACUUGAUUGUAGAACCCAAAAGAUCAAGUUUUGUUUUCCGAACAAGACACCAGUUGUAUGGGCAGGGAGUUUUAUGGAACCUAGAGGUCACUUUAUCUCUUAUCUUAGAGCCCGAAAGCUUAUCUCUAAAGGCUAUAUGUAUCAUCUAAUCCGAGUAAAAGAUUCAAAAGUUGGAAACCUUCCUCUGCAGUCAGUCCCUGUAGUGAAUGAAUUCCCAGAACUCUUUCCCGAAGAUCUCCCAGGGAUUCCCCCGAUAGGGAGAUAGAUUUUGGCAUUUAUGUGUUGCCAGACACUCAUCCUAUUUCUAUUCCGCCAUAUAGAAUGGCUCUCGUAGAACUAAAGGAGUUAAAGGAACAGCUUGUAGACCUCCUAGACAAAGGUUUUAUUCGUCCAAGUGUUUCCCCAUGGGGUACACCCGUGCUUUUCGUGCGAAAAAAGGAUGGGUCCCUUCGGAUGUGCAUAGACUACCGUCAGUUGAAUAAGGUCACAAUUAAAAAUCGACAUCCUUUUCCUACGAUUGACGACCUUUUUGACCAGCUUCAAGGUGCCAAGUUCUUUUCAAAAAUAGACCUUCGUUCGGGUUAUCAUCAGUUGGCAGUUAGGGAGUCAGACAUAGCCAAGACAGCCUUCCGAACCCGAUAUGAUCACUACAAAUUUCUAGCCAUGUCCUUCAGGUUGACUAACGCCCCAACAGCCUUUAUAGAUCUUAUGAAUACAAUGUUCUGUCAGUUUCUUGACUUGUUAUUCAUUGUAUUUAUUGAUGAUAUUCUGAUCUAUUCUAAGAGUAAAGAGGAUCACGCCAAUGUAACUCCCCGAAAAAUGGGUCCCGAAGCGUCACACGGUGCAUGAGGCUAUGAGUAGCCCCAAGCCAACCCUUUGAGCCAUUUUCAUUCAAUUCAACACAAAUCAACGGUGUUUCUAUAAGUAACCCUCAAAUAUAAAAAGAGUAAUCAUCAUUCAAGAAUAAAAGAAUUUCAGAAAGAUAACAGAAUAUGAAUUAUUAGUCAACUCCCAACAACUAUUCUAGUCUGACAAGCCUCUAAGAAAAUCAAUAAAGCCAGCGAGCCAUUGAGACAUGCCCCAACUGACUCAUACUCAGUUAUCAAAUGUAAAAAAUUUCGUGAAACCAACAUCAAACAUCACGUCCUCUGAACAUGAGGACUCACCACAACAUAGGAUGUAGAACAGCGUGCCCGAAGAAUCACUGUCGAAUCUGGAACUGAGCACCUGAACCUACAUUCCGAGAAAAUGCAGCCCAUAUCUGAAGAUGUAGGUCAGUACUAGGAAAAGGAACCGAGUAUAUGGGGGUGUAUGCAGUUGUAUAAACAUCAUCAUCAUAAAUAUUUAUAAGAAAUAUGCAGGAUGUAUGAAAGACUCGCAUAGCCUGAAGAAAAUCAUCCUAAUCAUUAGAGGAUGAAAUAAGUACAAUAACACAUGUGAGUCAUCAUAUAAUUUGUCAAUCAUUUUCAGUUCAUCAAGAAUAUCAAUUAUCAUAAUGUAAAUAUCAUUUAAAUCUUUCAAAAGAAUAACUUUCACAAUUCCACUUUCAAAUCGCUUCACCAUUCACCAUAGACACAAGGAAACACACACACACUGGGAGAUCCUAUAACCGACAUAAACCAUGUGAGCUACAUGGAGCCCAACGUACAACCCACGUUGGGGAGAGCCGUCCUAUCCUUNNNNNNNNNNNNNNNNNNNNNNNNNNNNNNNNNNNNNNNNNNNNNNNNNNNNNNNNNNNNNNNNNNNNNNNNNNNNNNNNNNNNNNNNNNNNNNNNNNNNNNNNNNNNNNNNNNNNNNNNNNNNNNNNNNNNNNNNNNNNNNNNNNNNNNNNNNNNNNNNNNNNNNNNNNNNNNNNNNNNNNNNNNNNNNNNNNNNNNNNNNNNNNNNNNNNNNNNNNNNNNNNNNNNNNNNNNNNNNNNNNNNNNNNNNNNNNNNNNNNNNNNNNNNNNNNNNNNNNNNNNNNNNNNNNNNNNNNNNNNNNNNNNNNNNNNNNNNNNNNNNNNNNNNNNNNNNNNNNNNNNNNNNNNNNNNNNNNNNNNNNNNNNNNNNNNNNNNNNNNNNNNNNNNNNNNNNNNNNNNNNNNNNNNNNNNNNNNNNNNNNNNNNNNNNNNNNNNNNNNNNNNNNNNNNNNNNNNNNNNNNNNNNNNNNNNNNNNNNNNNNNNNNNNNNNNNNNNNNNNNNNNNNNNNNNNNNNNNNNNNNNNNNNNNNNNNNNNNNNNNNNNNNNNNNNNNNNNNNNNNNNNNNNNNNNNNNNNNNNNNNNNNNNNNNNNNNNNNNNNNNNNNNNNNNNNNNNNNNNNNNNNNNNNNNNNNNNNNNNNNNNNNNUUUAAUAUAGGGUUUGGAUGGAUUUUGGGUGAGGGGGAAUGACCAAAAUGCCCCUAAAAAUUAAAAAAAUUCUCGAAUCUGUUCUUUGGUGGACUAUUUUGAUAGUCUAAAGUAGAUCAACCAUAACGUUUUACUCCGAUAUCCAAUUUGGAUGAAGCCAAUUUCAUUAGAAAGAGGAAUCUCAUAUAUUUCCAUUGAUAUAUAGUAUCUCACCCAGAUCAUUGUGUACGAGGAGUUAUGAUCGUUUGAAGUUGACCCAAAAAUUCACUUUUGAUAGGUUGAAGUAGAUUGACCAUAACUUUUUUCUCCGAUAGACAAAUUUGAUGAAACCAAUUUCAUUGGAAAGAGGACUCACAGAGAUUUAUGUUGAUAUAUAGUAGAUUACCCUGAUCAUUAUGUACAAGGAGUUAUGAUCAUUUAAAGUUGGAGCAAAAAUACGCCAUGCCUCAGUACUUUUUCCACGUUCUACUGUUCACUACUAUUCACGGUUCGAUCGGAAUUUUCAUAAUUCGUCGCUCGAGUGUCUGUUUUGGAUGAUCCAUAUAUCGUUGGAAAUCUUAUUCGAUACUCUACGCAAUGCUGGUUUAUAAUAUAAGACAUUCCAUAUGGAAAAUUUAUAAUUCAUUCUAGAAGAUAUAACCCAACACGUUUACGCAUAAAAUUUCAACGAAAAAUUUCCUGGGGUAUUACAUCAUCCCCCCUGGAAACUUUCAUCCUCGAAUGACGCUAGACAUGCUAAGAUUAGAUAGGGAAUAGAGUAUACAGCUGAAACCAUUCAUUAGACUCAUCACCAUAUCGUUUCUCACUCCGAAUGCAACAUAGAAAGCAUAAAUUCAAGAAACUACAGCUGAACACAUAAUAAAUGACAGCUGAAUUGCUGCAAAUUUUAUCAAAAGUGCAUGAUUUAGGAAAUAACGGUACCUUCGGUUUGAUCGGAGUUCGUGGAGAAUAGGUGCGGGUACUUGGAUCGUAUAUCCGCCUCAACUUUCCAAGUUGCACCCUCAACAGAUUGGUUUCGCCGCAACACCUUGACCAAGGAAACUUCUUUGUUCCUUAGUCUUCGGACAGUGAAAUCAAGAAUCUCAACAGGAAUCUUAUCAAAAGAAAGAUUUUCUUGAAUGUCAGCACUCAUAGAGGAAUCCACUACCACAGCAUCGCUAAUAUGCUUUCUAAGUAUGGAGACAUGGAAUAUUGGAUGAGCAGGGGACAACUCGGAAGGCAACUCGACCUCAUAAGCUACCUUACAAACACGGCUAAGAAUUUUGUAAGGACCAACAUAACGGGGACUAAGCUUCCCCUUCUUUUCGAAUCUCUUCACCCCUCUCAUGGGUGAAAUUUUUAGAUACACUAGGUCACCAACUUCAAAUUCAAGGUCUCUCUUUCUAACAUCCGCAUAUGACUUCUGACGACUCUGCGCAGUUUUCAACCUUUCCCUAAUCAACUUAACUUUUUCCAUAGCUCAAAUACCGAAUCAGGACCAUUCACAGCCGCUUCACUCACCUUGAACCAACCUAUGGGUGAUCUACAUUUCCUCCCAUAUAAGGCUUCAAAUGGAGCCAUGCCAAUACUAGAGUGGAAACUGUUAUUGUAAGCAAACUCUAUCAACGGUAAGUGGUCAUCCCAACCUCCCUUAAAGUCAAGUGCAAAAGCUCUCAACAUAUCCUCUAAGGUCUGGAUGGUCCGCUCAGCCUGACCAUCGGUCUGCGGAUGAAAAGCAGAACUCAAAAGCACUUGGGUACCAAGACCCUUCUGAAAAGCUUUCCAAAAUUGCGAAGUGAACUGAGCACCCCUAUCCGAAAUGAUAGACAAGGGAACUCCAUGCAGUCUGACUAACUCUCAGAUAUACAAUCUAGCGANNNNNNNNNNNNNNNNNNNNNNNNNNNNNNNNNNNNNNNNNNNNNNNNNNNNNNNCAAAUGGAAUCAUGAUGACGUCGGGAAGGAGGUAAACCAAUCACGAAGUCCAUAUUUAUCUCUUCCCACUUCCAGGUGGGAAUACUAAACUCUUGCAUCAUACCACCAGGUCUUUGGUGUUCAACCUUAACCUGUUGGCAUGUUGUACGCUUACCUACAAACGCUGCUAUAUCUUUCUUCAUGUCACUCUACCAAUAGAUUUCCCGCAAGUCUCGGUACAUCUUGUUAGGACCAGGAUGAAUAGAAUAUCGUGCCCCGUGCGCUUCAGCCAUAAUCCUCUGUCUCAUAUUAUUAACAUUUGGGACAAACAAUCUACCCUGCAAUUUCAACACACCAUCUCCCCCUUGGGAGAAAAUCUCUACUUUUUGGUCCUUGACUGACUCCUUCAGUCUGACCAAACUAGCAACUAAGUAUUGUUUUUCCUUCACUUCCGAAACCAAGGAGGAUUCAGAACUACUCUGAACCCCUAUACUACCUUCAGCAGAGUCAAACAACCUAACCCCCAAUCUAAGCAAAUGAUGUACAUCACGAGUCAGCUCUUUCUUACCUUCUAUCACAUAUGAAACACUAUCCAUGGACACUCUACUUAGGGCAUCCGCCACAACAUUGGCCUUGCCCGGAUGGUACAACACACUCAUAUCAUAGUCCUUUAACAAUUCUAACCAUCAUCUCUUUCUAAGAUUUAAUUUUCUCUGGGUAAACACAUACUGCAGACUCUUAUGAUCAGUGUAAACAUCAACAUGGACACCAUACAAAUAGUGUCUCCAGAUUUUCAAAGCAAACACAAUAGCAGCCAACUCAAGGUCAUGGGUGGGGUAAUUUUUCUCAUGGGGUUUCAACUGUCUAGAAGAAUAAGCUAUCACCUUACCCUUCUGCAUCAAUAGGCAACUCAACCCAACUCUCGAAGAAUCACAGUACACCACAAAACCAUCAACAGCAUUAGGCAAAGUUAAAACAAGGGCUGAAGUGAGUCGAGUCUUCAACUCCUAAAAACUCUUCUCACAAGAUUUGGACCACAAGAACUUUACUUUCUUUUGGGUCAACUGAGUCAUAAGAGACGAUAUAGAGGACAAACCCUCAACAAAAUGGUUGUAAUAUCUAGCUAAACCCAAGAAACUUUGGAUAUCAGUCGGAGAAAUAGGUCCAGGCUAAUUUCUAAUAGCUUUGGUCUUUUGGGGAUCAACUCUAAUACCCUCUAAAGAAAUGAUAUGACCCAGAAAACCAACUGACCUUAGCCAAAACUCACACUUACUAAAUUUGGCAAAAAACUUGUGAUCUCUAAGAAUUUGUAAGACAGUUCAGAAUGAUCAGAAUGUUCAUCCUCACUACGGGAGUACACCAGUAUAUCAUCGAUGAACACUAUGACAAACAUAUCCAGAUAUGGUCUGAACACUCGAUUCAUGAGGUCCAUGAAAGCUGCUGGGGCAUUAGUUAACCCGAAAGACAUAACAAGAAACUCAAAAUGGCCAUAACGAGUUCAGAAAGUGGUUUUUGGGAUGUUACACUCCCUAACUUUGAGUUGAUGAUAGCCGAAACGAAGGUCUGUCUUUGAGAAAUAACUUGCACCUUGCAAUUGGUCAAACAAAUCAUCUAUUCUUGGAAGAGGGUACUUAUUUUUAUGAUGAUUGUAUUCAGUUAGCGGUAAUCAAUGCACAUGUGCAAAGAGCCAUCUUUCUUUCUCACAAACAAUAUAGGAGCACCCCAAGGAGAAACAUUGGGACUUAUAAAACCCUUAUCUAGUAGAUCUUUGACUUACUCUUUCAACUCCUUAAGUUCUGUAGGGGCCAUACGGUAAGGAGAAAUAGAAAUGGGCUGAGUAUUAGGAACAAGAUCAAUCCUGAACUCUAUCUCUCUAUCAGGAGGUAUCCCUGGAAGAUUAUUCAAAAAGAUAUUAGAAAACUCAUUAACGAUAUUAACAGACUGGAGAGUUGGAGUCUUAGACUUAAUGUCUUUGAAUCUAACCAAAUGGUAAAUACACCCCUUGGAAAUAAGCUUUCUACCUUUGAGGUAAGAGAUAAAAUGAAUCUUAGGUGACACAGAAUUCCCAGACCACUUAAACACGGAUGCACCCAGAAACUGAAACUUUACCACUCAGGUCCGACAAUCAAUAGAGGCAUGAGAAGAAUAUAGCCAGUCCAUACCCAGAAUCACAUCAAAAUAUACCAUGUAUAACUCAUUCAGAUCAGCUAACAAGACUCUAUGAAGAAUAGUAACAGGACAUUUUUUAUACACUUUCUGGGAAACAAUCGAAUCACCCACUGGGGUAGAAACUAGGAUAGGCUCAGGAAUAAUCUCAGGACUCAUUUCAAAAUUCACAGCAAUCAAAGGUGUAACAUAUAAGAAACUGGAUCCAGGAUUCAACAAAGCAUACACAUCAAACUGAAAUAUAUAAAGCAUAUCAGUAAUAACAUAAGGAGAGUCCUCAUAUUCCUGGCGGGAUGGUAAAGCAUAGAAUCUAUUUUGGUGCUUCCCGCCAGAAUUGCUAGAAGAGGCGCCCUGAGCUAGGACUGGGUGAGUCAUUAGAACUGGAGCACUAACAGUCUGAGUCUGGGUCUGAGGGCGAUAGUCACGACGACCUUGUCCAUCCUGUGGACAAUCUCUAAAUCUAUAACCCAUGUCACCACACCAGAAACAACCCCUCUUAUUACCCCAACACUCACUCUAAUGAUCCCUACCACACUUAGAACACAGGGGACGAUUUAGCUUACUGCCAGUACUAUAUUGGGACCUGGAUGCAUAUGACCAGCUACCUUGCUCCUGCCUACCUCUAAGUAUGGAAGCACUAGCAGAUGACGGUGCUGGCAUAGACGAAUAAUCCUGAUACUGUGGGUGACUCCCUCCCUGUGAUAUACUCUGACCAUGUCCGUGCUGCUCGAACCUAGCUCUCUUAUUCCCUCUCAUUCUAACUUUAUUCUUAAUCUUGUCUACCUCAAUUUGUUGGGCAUGAGUCAUCAACCUAGAAAGAUUCAUCUCACUAUACAGCAUAGCAGACCUACACUUCUUAACCACAUAACUAGACACUCUAGUCACAAACUUACUCAUACUAGACCAAUUAUCAACCACUAAGUCAGGAGCAUACUUGGCAACCUAAUUGAACUUUAGAAAGUACUCCCUAAAAGUCAUAGAGCCCUAUCGCAGGUUCAUAAACUCUUCCACCUUCGUCUCCCUCAUCUCCAAAUGGAAAAACUUAUCCAGGAAUGCAUCCUUGAACUCUUGCCAAGUUGUAGGGACAGCUCCUUCACCUCUACCUUUCCUCCAAGAAACAACCCAGUCAUAAACAAGGUCUUUUAACCUAUACGCAACCAACUCCACGCUAUAUUCAUUAGAUACAUGCAUCACCUGAGUAAUCUUCUGCACCUCCUCUAAAAACAACCGUGGAUCCUCAUCAGACUUGGACGUAUAGAAUUCCAGUGGAUUCAUCCGCGUAAAAUCAUAGAUCCUGGAAGUAGCUGAAUCACCUCCCUGCUGCUGUAGAGCCGAGGCCGAGUUGGCCUAAACAUUUGCAGUAACAGCUUAGGCCAGCGCCAGAAACGCUGCCCAAAAUUUAGUAUGAGACACGUUUUCAUUCCAUGGGUCAGCGGGUUGAGGUUGCUGACCAUCAUUAUUUCUUCUCACUCGACGUGGAGGCAUAUUUCUAAAAGAAGAGAGUGCAAAUCAAUAGCAGAGAGAGACACUUAAAGCACGAUAGACUUCUAAAAGAAAGAAUUAAACUUUUUCCUAAAACAUCUUGUAACCUCUUGCUCAUAGAUGUGGCGCGGUACCCACCAAUGAUCAAGACUCUACUUAACGCGGCUUGUUAGACUCCCUAGGAUACCUUAAAACCUUAGGCUCUGAUACCAAGUUUGUAACGCCCCAGAAAAUGGGUCCCGGAGCGUCACACGGCGCUUGAGGCUACGAGUGGCCCCAAGCCAACCCUUUGAGCCAUUUUCAUUCAGCUCCACACAAAUCAAUGGGGUUUCAUAAGUAACCCUCAAAUAUCAAUAGAGUAAUCAUCAUCCAAGAAUAAAAGAAUUUCAGAAAGAUAACAAAAUAUGACUUAUUAGUCAACUCCCAACAUCUAUACUAGUCUGACAAGCCUCUAAGAAAAUCAAUAAAACCAGCAAGCCAUUGAGACAUGCCCCAACUGACUCAUACUCAGUUAUCAAAUGUAAAAAAUUCCAUGAAACCAACAUCAGACAACACAUCCUUGGAACAUGAGGACUUACCACAAUAUAGGAUGUAGAACAGCGUGCCCGAAGAAUUACUGUCGAAUCUGGAACUGAGCACAUGAACCUAUAUUUCGAGAAAAUGCAGCCCACAUUUGAAGAUGUGGGUCAGUACUACGGAAAGGAAUCGAGUAUAUGGGGGUGUAUGCAGUUGUAUAAACAUCAUCAUCAUAAAUAUUUAUAAGAAAUAUGCAGGAUAUAUGAAGGGCUCACACAGCCUAAAGAAAAUCAUCAUAAUCAUGAGAGGAUGAAAUAAGUACAAUAACACAUGUGAGUCAUCAUAUGAUUUGUCAAUCACUUUCAGUUCAUCAAGAAUAUCAAUUCUCAUAGCGUAAAUAUCAUUUAAAUCUUUCAAAAGAAUAACUUUCACAAUUCCACUUUUAAAUCACUUCACCAUUCACCAUAGACAUAAGGAAACACACACACACUGGGAGAUCCUAUAACCGACAUAAACCAUGUGAGCUACAUGGAGUCCAACGUACAACCCACGUUGGGGAGAGCCGUCCUAUCCUUGCCAUCGGAGUAGGACUAUCGAUAUCAAAUCCACACAAACUAGUGAGCCGUCCUAUCCUUGCCAUCGGAGUAGGCUCACUCCUACGGGGGGGCAUGUAGUUCUAGGGAAGUAAGGUUGCUUUUUACCUCCCACCCAGUGCUAAAGAUUUCUCCCGGACUUAGCUCAGAUCAUUUCAAAGACAAUCCACAACAAAACAAUUUCAAUAAUAUAUAAAUAUACAUCGGGAGCCAUCAUGCUUCUCAUCUAUCAAAAUCAACCACGUUGUGGAUUUCUUUCACACUCGAGUUCAAAACAACUCCAUUAAGACCAAAAGGUCAAAUCAUUCAAAAUAUCUCAAAUAUGCAACAUCAACGUGCUUAUAACACACACUUUCUAAAAAAAAACACAAUUUUCAAUGGGGAUUCACGACCCAAAUAUCAAAUCAUGAUAACAUAUAAUGCUUCUAAUAGGCUUUAAUAUAGGGUUUGUAUGGAUUUUGGUUGAGAGGAAAUGACCAAAACGCCCCUAAAAAUCAAAAAAAUUCUUGAAUCUGUCCUUUGGUGGACUAUUUUGAUAGUCUGAAGUAGAUCAACCAUAACGUUCUACUCCGACAUUCAAAUUGGAUGAAACCAAUUUCAUUAGAUGAGGACUCUCAUAUAUUUCUGUUGAUAUUUAGUAUCUCACCCAGAUCAUUGUGUACGAGGAGUUAUGAUCGUUCGAAUUUGAUCCAAAAAUUGACUUUUGAUAGGCUGAAGUAGAUCGACCAUAACUUUUUUCUCCAAUAAAAAAAUUUGAUGAAACCAAUUUCAUUGGAAAGAGGACUUGCAAAGCUUUCCGUUGAUAUAUAAUAGAUCACCCAGAUCAUUAUGUACAAGGAUUUAUGAUCAUUUAAAGUUGGAGUAAAAAUACGCCAGGCCUCAGUACUUUUUCCUGCACGUUUUACUGUUCACUACUAUUCAUAGUUCGAUCAGAAUGUUCAUAACUCGUCGCUCGGGUGUUCGUCUUGGAUGAUCCACAUAUCGUUGAAAAGCUUAUUCAAUACUCUACGCAAUGGUGGGUCAUAAUCUAAGAUAUUCCUCACAGAAAAUUUAUAAUUCAUUCUAUAAAAUAUAACCCAACACGUUUACGCAUAAAAUUUCAACGAAAAAUUUUCUGGGGUAUUACAGCCAAUCACCUCCUAAUUAUCCUUUAGACCCUUAAGGAUCAUCAGUUGUAUGCAAAAUUUUCUAAGUAUGAAUUUUGGUUAGACGGGAUUGCCUUCCUGGGGCAUAUUGUGUCCAGUGACGGGAUAAGAGUGGAUCCCCAGAAAGUUGAAACAGUGAGAAAAUGGCCCAGGCCCACGACUCCAACCGAUAUUCAAAGCUUCUUGUGUUUUCCGGUGUAUUACAGAAGGUUCGUAGAGAGUUUUUCUUCCAUAGCUGCUCCGCUUACUAAACUGACUCAGAAAAAGGUGAAGUUUGUGUGGUCUGACUUGUGUGAAAAUAGUUUUGAGAAAUCGAAGGACAAGAUGACUACUGCUCCUGUUUUGACCCUUCUCGAGGGUGUAGAUGAUUUUGUCGUUUCUUGUGAUGCGUCCCGUGUAGGACUUGAUUGUGUAUUGAUAUAACGUGGUAAGGUGAUAGCUUAUUCAUCUAGGCAGUUAAAGGUGCAUGAGUGGAAUUACCCCACUCAUGAAUUGGAGUUAGCAGCCGUGUUGUUUGUACUUAGAAUCUACAGAAAUUAUCUCUAUGGAGUGCAUGUUGAUAUUUAUACUGACCAUAAGAGUUUACGGUAUGUUUUCUCACCGAAAGAAUUGAACCUCAGGCAGAUUCGUUGGAUGGAGCUUUUGAAAGACUACGAUAUGAGUAUGCAUUACCAUCCGAGCAAGGCAAAUGUUAUAGCCGACGCCCUUAGCAGGUUGUCUAUGGGCAGCCUUUCUCAUGUAAAAGAAGGAAAGAAAGAGAUGGUGAAGGAUAUUCACCGCCUUGCAAAUCUGGGAGUGCGACUCUUAGAUUCCGAAGAUGGAGGGGUGAUUUUUCAUGAGUUAGCUAAGUCAUCUCUUUGUGCUAAAGUUAAGGAGAAGAAGGUUGAAGAUCCUAUCUUGAUGCAAAUCAAGAAAGAUGUGGGUCAAUAAAAGGUUAUGUCAUUUGAAAUUGGUGGCGAUGGUAUUCUAAAAUUUCAGGGUAGGUUGUGCGUUCCGAAUGUCGAUGGGCUACGGGAUAGAAUCCUUAAUGAGGUGCACACUUCGAGGUAUGUCAUUUACCCAGGCUCUACUAAGAUGUACCAUGAUCUGAAAACCUUGUAUUGGUGGAAUAAGAUGAAACGUGAUGUAGCUUAUUUUGUGUCCAAGUGUUUGAACUGUCAGCAAGUAAAGGUUGAACACAUGAGGCCGGGUGGUACUUCCCAAGAGAUAUCCCUUCCUUUAUGGAAGUUGGAGAUGAUAAAUAUGGACUGCAUUAUAGGACUUCUGAGAUCCCGAAACCAGUAUGAUUCUAUAUGAAUGAUUCUAGAUCGGUUGACCAAGUCAGCACACUUUUUGCCUGUGAGGACUAAUUAUUCGAGAGAGGUUUAUGCUAAGAUUUACAUUGAGGAGAUAGUUCGAUUGCAUGAGGCACCAGUGUCCAUUAUAUCCGAUAGAGGUACACAGUUUUCAUCUCAGUUUUAGAGAUCCUUUCAGAAGUGUUUAGGUAUAUAAGUGAAUUUGAGCACAGCUUUCCACCCUCAGACGGAUAGGCAAGUUGAGCAUCCCAUUCAGACCCUUGAAGAUAUGUUGAGGGCAUGCAUCAUUGAUUUCCAAGGUAGUUGGGUAGAUCACCUGCCACUGGUUGAAUUCGCUUACAAUAAUAGCUACCAUGCGAGCAUCAAGAUGGCUCCUUUUGAGGCUUUGUAUGGGAGGAGAUGUAGGUCUCCGAUAGGAUGGUAUGAAGUGGGUGAGACUCAGUUGUAUGGGCCUGAUCUUGUUCAUCAGGCGAUGGAGAAAGUGAAAAUCAUUAGAGAAUGACUCAAGACUACUCAGAGUCGUCAGAAGUCCUAUGCCGAUGUUUGGAGAAGAGAACUAGAGUUUGAAAUUGGUGAUUGGGUAUUUGUCAAGGUUUCUCCUAUGAAAGGGGUUAUGCGAUUUGUAAAAAGUGGUAAAUUGAUCCCUCGUUAUGUAGGGACAUAUUAGAUUUUGAAAAAAAAUUGGUACAGUUGCAUAUGAGUUAGAAUUGCCUGCAAGUUUGGGUUUCGUUCAUCCGGUAUUCCAUGUGUCCAUGUUGAAGAAAUGCAUUGGAGACCAUUCUAUGGUAUUGCCAGUAGAGGGUAUCAAAGUGAUACACUCCUUGUCUUAUGAAGAAGAGCCCGCUGAGGAGAAAAGAGAUAGCCUAGUAAAGGUACUGUGGAGGAAUCAGAAAGUCGAAGAAGCAACUUGGAAGUCAGAAGAUGACAUAAGAAUUAGAUAUCCCAAUUUGUUUGCUUCGAUGGAGGAGGUGACAGAAGGUACUAUUCCUAUUUUAUAUUUCCUAGUCCUUUAUUAUGCUUGAAAUCGUGUCUAUCUGUGUCCCGCAUCAUCAUUCGGGUACGAAUGAUCCUAAGGGGGAUAAUGUAAAGCCCCGCAAUUCGGGCUACAAUGUAGACCAUGAUUUCGAUGCGUUGCUAAUCCCGAAGCCAUAAAAUCCUAUGUCAACACAGCAUGUUAAUUAUUGUGUAGCAUGUGAAACUGCUCAAGCUUGAAUUUAGACCAUAAAGGUCCUUCAACUCAAGGACGAGUUGAAACUAUUUCGAUCGACUAAGUUUUAGUAGACGUUGUAAAGUGUGUUUGAUUCCAUCGACCAUAACCGUCUGUAUAUAUUGAAUUAGGAAGCCUACUAUGUUUCAAAUGAUAGGUAUUCGAGUUAGCUUUCCAACGAUACCAAUUUGGCUAAAAUCCGACACCCGAGCAAGAAGUUAUGGCCCUUCAAAGUGAUAAGCAUCGCCUAACAAAUCGCCCAUGGCCACUGGAACGCAAAGUCAAUAGCCUAGGCGGCGGCUAUGCAAACAUAGGCGAUAGCCUAGGCGGCGCCUAUGCAAACAUAGGCAAUAGACUAGCAGCGCCUAUGUGAACAUAGGCAACGGGAUGGGCGGCGCCUAUGUAAGGAAUUCUAGUGAUUUAAACACUCCAUGUUGAGGACAAAGUGGUCCUUUUCCACUCUUACUUAGCCCUAAAACACGAGAUUUAGUUCCAAGGACCCCAAAAUACAUAUUCUUUCAUCAAAAGUGCUCAAGAUUCUCCUUAGGGUUUCACAAUAAAAAACCCAAAUAGUUCAAGAUUUGACCAUAGGUUUUCAAAGAUAAUUACAUAUUUCGAAUCACCAAUCCGCAAGCUUCGAGAAACAUCUAUUAUCUUUGGAAAUAGAGGUACGUGGGGUUAUCCAAAAAUCUCAUGGGUGUAAUUUUAAUGAACAUGCAUGAUUUUAAUUUGUCUUUCGUGAUUAAGUACGUGCUUGGUACUAGAACGUCAAGACAACAUUAAAAAAAUAAUAGUCAUGACUUAAGACAUCGACAAGCACUUUAAGUUAUCUUGAAAAUUCACUUAGACCCCUCAACUUAAACUUGUACCUAUUGAAUACCUUUACUGCUGGUCUUGUACCCAUUGAAUACUUUUACUACUUGAAUUUAAACCAUUUAAACACAUUUUUAACAAUAACCUAUAAAUGUAAAGUAUGUGUAGUGCAAUUGUGACGUCGCAAUACAAAAAAUUAAAUGAUGCCAUUUGGCAUGUGAAUCCAAAAACAUAUUAAAAAAAUAACAAUGGUGACAAUUUACAUUUUUUAUUAAAAAAGAAAAAGAAAAUCAAGUUUUUCCCCUACUUUCUCCAAUUCUGUAAAAAAAUUCCAAAUUUUUUUAGCAAUCCAAUUCAUAUUUAUUGCUAUUUUUCUUCUCGUGUUGUGGGUUCCUUAGAAUUUGAAUUCUUUAACAAUAUCAAUAAAGUAAUCUCAAAUUCACAUCAAGUUAGCCGAAAAAAAUGGAGUUUCCCAGUUCAAGAAUCAAAUUUACUGCUGCUGCUUUUUUUUUUCUUUUUCUGUUACAUAAAUUCGUGAUUACAUAAAUGGCUCAGAGAUGGUUUGAUCUAUAAGCGGUCUUUAAUUGACGAAUAAAUAAUAUAUUGCAUAUAUUUUCAGCAAUGACCGAUUAAAGAAAAGAAUUGACGAAUUUAAAAAACUUACAAGAUUGUUAAGAAUUUAAAAAAUAAAAAAAAUACAAAUGAAAGAGGCUGAAGAAGAUGGCUAGGGGGGCGGGGGGCGAAGCAGAGGGGAUGAUUUUAUUUUUAUUUUUUAAUUAAAAUUUGUUAUUAUUAGAAAUUAUUAAUGAAAUAAAUUGAAGUGUGCUUUUUUUUUUUAACAAAAAUUUUAAAAAUACCAUUUGGUAGUUGGUACUCUAUUCACGCUCCUAAUCCAAAGGAGAGUAAAUAACACUUUUCUUGGCACAUCAGCACUUUGUGCCUGAUAGGUAUAGAAUUGAAUGGGUUAGGGUCCUGAUAGGUAUAUACCUUAGUUGAGGGGUCUAAGUGAAUUUUUGGGACAACUUAAAUUGGCUGGCGAUGAUUUAAGCUUAAUAGUCAUCAUAGAUUUAGUUCCUGAUCAUCAGGCUACACCGGAUUCUUCCCUCCAUACUUAAAUUGUGCUGCUAAGGAGGUCUCGUUGAGGUAAAAUGUCAUUCUUAAUGUGGUAUAGUUGUUAGUUUAGCAUUGUAGGCCUAUUGGGUACAUGUGCUUUCGACACUCAUGCAUUCCACGCACGAGUGGACCGUGAUGGUUGAUUGAGUCAGAAGCUCUACUUCCUGUUGGCUAUGUUGUUUCGUGAAGAAAUAUUUAUGUACUCUUUAUCGCUAUUAAGACAAACUCUAACUGUUGAUGUUGUCACUAAUUGAUUAUCUAAUCCACAUAAAGUUGGUGUCGAUAAGCAUCAGAUAUUCUGCAUAUAAUCCUUAGAGUUAUCACAUUUCAACAACGGAAAAGGGACAAAUAUUCCCUCGAACCAUGAUAAAUGGUACGCAUAUGUUAUCCGUCAUACUUUGGGUACACAUAUGCCCCUACCAUUAAUGAAAUGGUACAUAUAUGCCCCUCACACUAACGGUAGGGACAUAUGUGUACUCAAAGUAUGACGAAGGGUAUAUACUUAUCAUUUCAACAAUGCCACUUUUGCAUUACCAUUGUACAAAUAUUGAAUGUGGCGACGCAAAAUGAAUUUUGGGGAUUUGAUGAAAUCAAUAAUUCCAGUAUAACAACAUCAUUGGGGCGGGUAAUCAUCUUGAGACCUCGUUGUAUCAAGCCUACAUUCAAAAAUCGUGCAAGCUAAGUAACAGGAACAAUCAAUUAAUGUUUGUAUUUUCCAGGAACAAGUUUUUUCUUUCCAUAGAGCUCUUUCACUAAAGGGUUUGCUGCCCAUUGAUUUUCAGCAACGCGAUUUGUAGGCUGGAAUUCAAAAAUUUUACCAUCCCGAGAUAAAACAACCUGAUUGGCAAUAUAAGCACAUCAACUAUGAUAAACGCAUAAAUAGUUACUAGUAAACGUUCACGACAAAUCUAUAGCCAUGCUCAACUGGCAACUAUAGUAGAGUUGAAAUCCAGGUGGGAAGAAUAAGUAUAAAAGGGUAGAUAAAGGCAUUAGGUGCUAUGGAGAAAAAAAGUAGCAAUAAUAAUAGAAUAUUCAACGCUUAAAUUUUAUAAUGCAGAAAUCUCGUGAACAUUUAUCAAUCCUAGGGUAAAAUGAUAAUCAACUAAAAGAGCGUAAAAAACAAUAAAAGUGGUCAAUAAUGCAAAGCAUGUGUCAUCCAUUUCAUGGUAACUUCUAAACACAAGAUACUUAUCUCCCCUCAUAUGAAGCAGCCAAUGAAGUAGGUGUCACGUCCCAAAAACCUCAUGCGCGUGACUGGCUCCCGCUAACAACACUUGUCGGGAGAACCAACUUUCCAUGCAUUCUCAAUGUAUACAAUACUAUGGGAUAAAAAUGUGUACAACUUCAAAUGCAAGAAAUAAUCAUUAAACUCAAAGUAAUGAUCCAGCAAGAUAUCGCGAAACGAUUUACGAAAACAACAGUAGUUUAGGUAACAAAUCUCAAACCCAAAACCCACACUAGACCAUGGAGAAUCUAAAUAAAGUUACAUGAGUUCAGCUUUCGGGCAUGCAACCCAACAAAAAGAAAUAUAAGCUAAAAAUAACUAAAGCUGGAUGACAGCCUCCACGAACAAUGAGAAGGUUCAGCUUAGCAACAAAAUCCACAUGUAAAGAUCGUCAGCCACAAGUCUCUCUCUCUCUCUGCAACCAUAUCAGCAAGUAUGCAAGUAAGGAGUGAGCUAUAUAACUAUAACCCAGUAAGAUCCUCGGCUUGCUACUUUAAGUACUCCUGGGACAAGUAUUAGAAAAUACAACAACACCAAGAACACAUAGUUAUUACACACAAGAAGUAUAUCAUAAUAAGAUGUCCAACGAUACCAACAAUCAUUCCUCGAAAAUUAUAUAUCUCAACCCAAUUUAUACCAAGUACUUAUCACCAUUUGAAAUCAAAGUAAUUACCCAACUCUAGAAGUUCUGGGCCACAUACACAAUGUGCCAAAUAUCAAGAGUAUACACAAUACUCGGGAAACAUACAUAAUGUCCCGUAUCAAAUCAAAAAGCAUACAAAAUGCUAAGUAAGGCAUACACAAUGCUUAAAGAAAGCUUACACAAUGCCCCAACAAAAUUAGAAAGCAUACACAAUGCCCCAAUCUCACAGUACACAAUCAUAUCACAUCACAAAAUAAUUUAUAAAAGGAGUAUUGGUAUUCUUAAGCAUGAAGUAUAUGUGUCUGGCCUUGAAGACCGUCAAUUCUGCCAAGCAUACACUCGUCCCAACACAUGAACCGGGCAAAUAUAAAUAUAUCUUAUAAACAAAUUUGUAAAGAAAGCACCUAUGUGUCUGGCCUUGAAGACCGUCAAUUCUGCCAAGCAUACGCUCGUCCCAACACAUGAACCGGGCAAAUAUAAAUAUAUCUUAUAAACAAAUUUGUAAAGAAAGCACCCAAAGUUUAAAGUCUCACUUACCUCACGAAUGACAAGUUCCUCAAUCUUGCAAUGCAUAGUACACCAAACAAACAGCAUCCAAUGAUUUCAAUUUAAUAAAAAUAUUACUUAACGAUGUCAAUUGUGCUAGCAAAUGUCAAGUCUCAAUACUCCUAACCUUCUAGUUUAAAGUUAAACCUUAGUAUCUCAUACCUUAAGAAAUGGAUUAAAAAUUUUCUCUAUCCAACCUAAUUUCUCCAUAAUAAUUUCAUACAAAUUAGUUACCUAACCAUUUGAUCUCAUUAGCCACAAACAUUAUAAGAAACUCUUAAAUGCAUAUUCAAAACUCCACCAAUGCAAAGAAUUUGCAAAGUUGUAAAGCAAGUACUUUUGUUUUCAUAUUCAGGAAGUUAACAUAUCUAAAAUAAAUUAAUAUCAAUACAAAAUCAGGAGUCCCACAAUAUGAAUAUGAUCCCUUUUCUCUCUCUACUCAUUGCUCAAUCAUUACAUCAUAAAAAACAAUCAUUAACUAAUCAAUAGCUUCCACUCUAUCUCGUUAACUCCAUUAGGACCAAUCUUCCGAAAUAUUCUUUGUGUGCACAGUUUUCAUGCUAAAGAAUUAGGAACAAGAUGAGUACCUUAUAAAUAUGAAGUUUUGUAGGUGAGUGUUACUGGCUAAUGUUAUUCUUGUCACGACCCGAACCAGGGCCCUGGCCAUGACGAGCAUUCUGAACCAUGAAGGCCCGAAACACCCCUAUCUAUCUAGUAAUCAUGCACAUAAUUCAUAUGAUAAUAAGCUAUGCGGAAGAUACACAAUAUUACAGAAAACAUGGUCAUAAAUCAAAUGAAAUCAACAAAGGGGAAAUAAUUUCCCACAACAUCUAUAAACAUCUGAACAACCGUCUGCGAAAUCUCUAAUACAUGACUAAAAUAAAUUACUGUCUGAAAACUGGACAAGGUCCUAAGUAGACCCAAAACUACUAAAUGAUAAUUGAACUGACAGGCAUCAGGCCUUCCGAAAUAUAGAAGGCUCACCACUUGAUUCUGCAAAUCUGUCAAAAGAGAUCUACUGGUUAUCUGGACCCCUAAACUGUGACUCCAAACCUGGGAAGGAAGGGGAUCAAUACAAAAGUACUGGUACGCAGAGAAAUCAAAAACAAAAUAUAAUAUUUUUUUUCAAAUAUUGGUGAGAGCCAUUAUAAAGCAGUUUCAUAUCAAAUCAUUUGAAAACACAUGGGCAUAAUGUAAUNNNNNNNNNNNNNNNNNNNNNNNNNNNNNNNNNNNNNNNNNNNNNNNNNNNNNNNNNNNNNNNNNNNNNNNNNNNNNNNNNNNNNNNNNNNNNNNNNNNNNNNNNNNNNNNNNNNNNNNNNNNNNNNNNNNNNNNNNNNNNNNNNNNNNNNNNNNNNNNNNNNNNNNNNNNNNNNNNNNNNNNNNNNNNNNNNNNNNNNNNNNNNNAUAUCUUAUUCUGUAGGGUAUCAUCAUACCCGACUUGCAAGCCAUCAAUAUCACAUCAUUCUUUCAUGCAACCAUUACAUUCAUCAUAUUUCAACAUAACAACCCUCUUAUUGCAAGUCAAAUCCAUGACCAUUUUCAAAAUAUUUCAUGUGACGCUUGUCAAGAUGAUUUCAAACAUUUCACAUCAUAUGAGAAUUUAAAACAAGAUCAUAUAAAGAGAGGAAUUUCAUAUAAUUCAUGCUCUCAAGUGAACAUCUUUUCGGAAUACAUGCAUAUACAUAUAUCAUAUAUCAAAGCACUUCGGGACUAGGCCUAAAGACCAAAUCAAUAUCAUAAAACAUUUAAAAUGGGAUUAUAUUCAUAAUUUCAAAAACCUCCAUUUUUAAAACAUGAAUUUUUAAGCCCAUGAGAUUUUUGAGAUAACCCCACGUACCUUUAUAUGCGAAGAUGAUAGGUGUUUCUUCAAGCCUAUGUUCUGGGGAUUCCAAAUAUGCAAUUAGUUUCAAAAAUCCACGGUUGAAUCUUGAGUUGCUUUGGUUUUUAUUUUGAAACCCUAAGGAGAGUUCUUGAGCAAUUUUGAUGAAUGAAGGUGUAUUUUGGGGUAUUUGGGGACUGAAUUUCGUGUGUAUGGCUAAUUAAGGGUAGGAAAAGGACCAUUUUGCCCCAAAAAUGGAGUGUUUAAGUCACUUGAGUAAUAAUACAUGCGGCGCACACCUUAUCACAUAAUAUAGGUUGUGCGGCGUACUCUUAAUCGCACACAUUAGGUUGUGCGUCGCACACCUUAUGGCAUAAGUUAGAGUGUGCGUCGCACACCUUUUGCUGUACGACACACUCCACUUUGCAAAGACACAACUUCUUCCUCGUGUGUCAGAUUUUUACAAAAUUGGUAUCGUUGGAAAGAUAAUUCGAAUACCUUGCAUUUGAUAUAUAGUAGCUACUAUAAUUCAAUAUAUACAAAUAGUAAUGGUCGAUUGAAGUUGUCCUAAGUCUCAACGCUCACUAAAAUUCAAACGAUAGGAAAACUUUCAACUUGUCCUUGAGCUUGGGGACCUCUAUAAUCUCAAUUCAUGCUCAAAUAGGUUUCCACACUACAUAAUUUAUUAACACACUAAACUUGCAUUACAUUUUUGGAUUUUGGAACCUUUACGUGAAGGAAAUGAUGAUUUUCGUUCUCGUCCAAAAUGCGGGGUGUUACAUUAUCUCCCCCUUGGGAUCAUUCGUCCCCGAAUGAUGGGUAGGAACUUGUUGAAGUUUAAAAGUAUGAAAUAAUGCGGACAUGAUGUGCCUUCUAAGAAAGGACAUAACUGAUCUGAAAUAUUUAAACUUCUAUCAUGAAACUGAAUUCUGAGCUGACUUGGCUUUUCUUGCUUCAAGAAGUUGAUUCGUUCUGAAAAUUUAGGAUUCCCUUUAUAUAUUCAUGAUCCAAUAAUACAUAUUAAAAUUAGGAAUUGAUAACUUAUGCAAGUACGAAUCAUAAAACAUCAAGACUUAGAUCGUACAAGGUUAUUACACUAUCUGAGCUGAAAUAGUUGAAAAUUUUUAAGAUUAUACGCUGAACUCUUAUGCACCAAGUCAUGAAUAGAUAGAUGAAUCUGAAACAUGAUGCUUGGAAUGAACUGAACUCAUAAUUUAUAUGGAUGGAAUAGAUUAUCUCUUGGGAAUGGCCAUACGCAUGAGACUUCGGAUAGUAGUACUAGGUGAAAAGGUGGAAAAACCAUAGUAACUUAUCUGCCCGAUUGUUAAACUGAAUUAUAGACUGAAUUAUACUAGACACUUAUACUUAACUGGAGUAUCUCUUCAACACUCUCUAUAAAGAAGUUCUAGCAGUAAUAGGAAGCCAUGAAUCUUGGGAAUUGAAUACAUAAGACAUCCAACUGAGGGAAAUCACAACAUUUACACUACUCUGCAGUCUGGAAUAUAGACAUAUAACUCAUACACUCUGAAGUAAUAAAGGACUCUUCUCAAGUCCUUACACAAUUUUAAGAUGUUAUAUAACGCGAUCCGAAAGGACCAUACCAUUUAGACUCUAAACUUCUUCACUUGAAUCACCCCAGUAAUGUCAUGGGUCUGAGAACAUCAGAGUAAGAAAAGAAUUUCGGAUGAUUUUACUUUCAUAUGGACGUUACCAUAGCACAAAUUAGAUUAUGAAGGAGGAACAUUCUGACUCUAUUGCACGAACUAGAACAUGAAGAAAAAGAGACAUUCCUAAAUGCCUAGUAGCCUCCUGCUUAUAAGUGUGGCGCGCUACACACCCAUAAACAAAACUCUACCUAACGCGAUUUCGCAGACACCCUGGGACUAUAAACCUUGCUCUAAUAUGAAGUUUUUCACGACCCGAACUGGGGCCCUGACCGUGACGAGCAUUCCGAACCAUAAAGUCCUGAAAUACCCCUAUCUGUUUGGUAAUUCAUACAAAUAAUUCGUAUGAUAAUAGAAAUGCGGAAGAUUAAAUAUAUUGUGGAAACAUGGUCAAGAAUCAUAUGAAAUCAAUAAUGGGGAAUAGUGCCCCCAAAUCUCUAUCAACAUCUAAAAAAUCGUCCGCAAAAUCUCUACUACAUAAUUGAAGCAAAUAACUAUCUGAAAACUAGGACAAGGCCCCUAGUAGACCCAAAACUAAUAAAUAAUAAACAAACUGGCAGACAUCAGGCCUUCUGAAAUAUAGAAGGCUCACCACUUGAUUCUACAAACUUGUCGGAAGAGAUCUACUAGUUAUCUAGACCCCUAGACUAUUCCUCCAAACCUGAGAGGGAAGGGGGUCAAUACAAAAGUACUGGUACGCUGAGAAAUCAAAACAAAAUAUAAUAUUUUUUUAACCAAAUAUAGGUGAGAGCCAUUAUAAAGCAAUUUCAUAUCAAAUCAUUUGAAAACACAUGGGCAUAAUACAAUAGUUUUUCAACAACGAUGCUAUGCGGCUAAGCUAGGUGGAAUACCCUACAUAAUUUACACCAACUGUCAAACCUCGGUUCCCACCGAGAUUAGAGUAUAAGUAAGGGAAAGACACACAAGAUCACACAGCAGGGUGUCCCAACCUAAUAAAGUAUAGUAGUGCCCAAGAUCACUUAACCUGGACUCCUAACCAUAGUGCCAAUUAGGGAAUGACAUAAAGUCAGGUACACAAGAUCACUUAGCCAGGUACCAAGUUCCUGUGUCGGCAAACACGGUUUCCAGUGAUGAUCCCUUACACUCAAACACCUUCUUCGGAUAUCCACCUAUCUCGUAUAAAAUGAAUGCAUUCAACUCCCUUUAAUUCAACCACAUAUCUUAUUCAAUAGGGUAUCGUGAUACCCGACUUGCAAGCCAUCAAUAUCAUAUCAUUCUUUCAUGCAACCAUUAUAUUCAUCAUAUAUCAACAUAUACAACUCUCUCAUGGCAAGUCAAAAUCAUGCCCAAAUCAUAACAAUGUUCAAAACAUUUCAUGUCAUGAUUGACAAUAUGCUUUCAAACAGUUCACAUCAUAUGAAAAUAUAAAAUAAAAUCACAUCAAGAGAGGAAUUUCGUAUAAUUCAUGCUCUCAAGUUCACAUCCUUUCAAAAUACAUGCAUAUACAUAUAUCAUAUAUCAAAUCACUUCGGAAAUAGGCCUAAAGACCAAAUCAAUAUUAUAGAAACGUUUAAAACGUGAUUAUAUACAUAAUUUUCAAAACCCCCAUUUUUAAACAUGAAUUUUAAAGCCCAUGAGAUUUUUGAAAUAACCCGACGUACCUCUAUAUGCGAAGAUGAUAGGUGUUUCUUCAAGCCUACGUUCUGGGGAUUCCAAAUAUGCAAUUAGUUUUAAAAAUCCACGGUUGAAUCUUGAGUUGCUUGGGUUUUUAUUUUGAAACCCCAAGGAGAGUUCUUGAGCAAUUUGGAUGAAUGAAGGUGUAUUUUGGGGUAUUUGGGGACUGAAUUUCGUGUUUAUGGCUAAAUAAUGGUGCGAAAAGGACCAUUUUGCCCCAAAAAUGGAGUGUUUAAGUCACUUGAGUAGUAAUGUAUACGGAGCACACCUUAUCGCAUAAUAUAGUUUGUGAGACGCACUCUUUAUCUCACACAUUAGUUUGUGCGUCGCACACCUUAUGCUGCGCAACACACUCCACUUUGCAAAGCCAUAACUUCUUCCUCGGGUGUUGGAUUUUUUUAAAUUAGUAUCGUUGGAAAGAUAAUUCGAAGACCUUUCAUUUGAUAUAUAUUAGGCACUCUAAUUCAAUAUAUACAAAUAUUAAUUGUCAAUUGAAAUUGACUUAAUUUUCAACGCUCUCUAAAAUCCAAACGAUAGUAAAACUUUCAACUUUUCCUUGAACUUGGGAACCUUUUUGACCUCAAUUCAUACUCAAAUAGGUUUUCACACUACAUAAUUUAUUAACACACUAAACUUGCAUUGGAUUUAUGGCUUUUGGAACCUUUACGUGAAGGAAAUGACGAUUUUCGUUCUCGUCCGAAAUGCGGGGUGUUACAAUCAUCAAUGCCAUUUCUAGUUUCAUCAUCACGGUGCUGCUGUAUACAUGGUUCUAUUUGGGGUUUCGUUGUUUUGCAAAUUUUGAUCUUUCCAUAAAAUGGUUAGCCACCCUUCUGCUACCAAUGGAUUUCCCAUAUAGGGGUAGAGGGUAAAACUAACUAUCGACAACAUUCUGAACUUGAGCGCACCUAAAAAGAAAUUGAACGAAUUGGAUGUACUAAAACUAUAGUUCGACAGAUCCACAGUCUAAGGGUGUUAAGUGGGCCAGCCCGACCCGGCCCGAUCCGGCCCUUGUAACUAACCCGGCCCGGUAAGCCCUAGGGCUUUAGGGUUUCGAGUCCCGGGUCGGUUAUUAUUUUAAAAUGGGCUCAGCUAACCCGGCCCGAAUCAAGCCCAGUUCAAGCUCACCGAUUAACCGGCCAGGCCCGGAUACCUGUUUUUAAAAUAAAAAAUUGGGAUUUUGGGUCAAACUAGCCGUUGGCCCAAUGGUUAUAUAGCCGUUUUUGGAUCCAAACGGCUAGUUUGGGCCCAUUUAUUAAAAAAAAAUAUUUUACUUUAAAAAAUAUUUUUUAACCCUGAAAAAAAUUCUAUAAAUACCCUACAACUUCAAAUCAUUUUUCACAUAAUUUUUCACUCUCUCAAAUCUCAAUUCUCAAUUCUCAAAUAUUCAAUAUAUUUAAUUUCUUCACUUUAAUUUUUUAAUUUUUCGUUUACAAAGUACGAGCGGAAGUUUUUAAAGUCGCAACCUUCUGAUACUUCAAAAAUUUGGUAUAGUCGUUCCAUCUCUUACGUUUAAUUUUUAUUUAUUGUAUUAAUUAUUUAAUAUUUAAUUUUAUUAUAUUUGCGUAUUUUGAAUAUUUUUAAUUUAAUUAAUUUAUAUUAUGGAUAAAUUAAGAAACCUCGCUACUAAAGGUGUUAAAAUAUUUUGUCCUAGAAGCUGUAGUGGUAGUAAGAAGCGAAUUACUAGCGGUAGAGGUAGUUCAAGUAGUAGCUAUUCCCGUGUGCCUUCACCUCCUGUACCACUUGGUACACCUUUUGAGGAAGAGAUAGGUGUAGGAGCUCACGAUAUGGAUUAUGUAGAAGCUCAGAAAAAUUAUGGUAUAGAAGAAGAAAAUGAAGUAGAUGCAGUUAAUUUAGACGAAGAUAAUGAAAAUAUUGCUGAGACACCCGCAGUAGGAGAUGCUAACUUUAGAUCUGAAUCGGUUAAUCUCCCUUCCCGUCCUCCCAGUGCCCCAAGACCUCGUAAAAGAACUAGUGUUGCAGGAAAAUUUUUUGAACGUAUAGCAGAUAUUGAGGUGCAAUGCAAUAUUUGUCAACAAAUAUAUAAGCAUAGAAGUGGAGGCAAGCAAGGGGUACGAGUACGUUAAUGAUACAUAUAGCUGAAGACCACAAAAGAGAGUUAAAUAUUUCACAAGGUGGUGGAGAUGUUGGUGGGCCAACGCAAACUAGAAUGGACCCAGCAACCGGUCAUGUAGCGAAAAAGUAUAAUAAAUUGAGGGACUGGGAAGAAAUAGCUAAAAUGGUAGCUGUGGGUUGUAUGCCUUUUAGUUUUCCUUCUUCUGAUGCCCUUAUUCGUUAUAUACAAGCAAUUUAUAGUCCUAUGUUUAACGGUAUUCCUUGAACUACUUGUCGGUCUAAUAUUUUUAGACUUCAUUCACAAUAUUAUUUUUAUUUAUCAACAUUGUUAAAAAAUAUUCAAUGUAGAUUGUCCCUAACUUCUGAUCUUGGUUGUGCUAUAAAUAAAAAUGAUUAUUUAACCGUUACUUGUCAUUGGAUNNNNNNNNNNNNNNNNNNNNNNNNNNNNNNNNNNNNNNNNNNNNNNNNNNNNNAAACAUACUGGACAAUUUAUUGUUGAUUCUAUUGUUAAAAUUGCUGGAUAUUAUGGUAUCGAAAAUAAAAUUUUAUAUAUUACUUUUGAUAAUGCUUCUAACAACAAAAAUGCUAUAAAAAAAAUUAAAAUCUACACUAUCUCCACCCUUGCCUGAAAUUUUUCAUAUUAAGUGUGCAUGUCAUAUAUAUAAUUUAAUUGUAAAAGAUGGUCUUGAGUUUUUUGAGCUUUAUAUUGAAAAAAUUCGUCUUGCCGUUGGUUUUAUUCAAGGAAAUAAUCGUAGAUCGAGAAUUAAAGAAUUUAAAGUUAAAUGUCAAGAAAAUGGACUUACACCGAUUUUGAUGCCUGAGGAAAUUGAUACUAGAUGGAAUUCUACGUAUGAAUUUUUAAAAACUUAUUAUAAAUAUAUAAUUCCUAUUACACUACCUUNNNNNNNNNNNNNNNNNNNNNNNNNNNNNNNNNNNNNNNNNNNNNNNNNNNNNNNNNNNNNNNNNNNNNNNNNNNNNNNNNNNNNNNNNNNNNNNNNNNNNNNNNNNNNNNNNNNNNNNNNNNNNNNNNNNNNNNNNNNNNNNNNNNNNNNNNNNNNNNNNNNNNNNNNNNNNNNNNNNNNNNNNNNNNNNNNNNNNNNNNNNNNNNNNNNNNNNNNNNNNNNNNNNNNNNNNNNNNNNNNNNNNNNNNNNNNNNNNNNNNNNNNNNNNNNNNNNNNNNNNNNNNNNNNNNNNNNNNNNNNNNNNNNNNNNNNNNNNNNNNNNNNNNNNNNNNNNNNNNNNNNNNNNNNNNNNNNNNNNNNNNNNNNNNNNNNNNNNNNNNNNNNNNNNNNNNNNNNNNNNNNNNNNNNNNNNNNNNNNNNNNNNNNNNNNNNNNNNNNNNNNNNNNNNNNNNNNNNNNNNNNNNNNNNNNNNNNNNNNNNNNNNNNNNNNNNNNNNNNNNNNNNNNNNNNNNNNNNNNNNNNNNNNNNNNNNNNNNNNNNNNNNNNNNNNNNNNNNNNNNNNNNNNNNNNNNNNNNNNNNNNNNNNNNNNNNNNNNNNNNNNNNNNNNNNNNNNNNNNNNNNNNNNNNNNNNNNNNNNNNNNNNNNNNNNNNNNNNNNNNNNNNNNNNNNNNNNNNNNNNNNNNNNNNNNNNNNNNNNNNNNNNNNNNNNNNNNNNNNNNNNNNNNNNNNNNNNNNNNNNNNNNNNNNNNNNNNNNNNNNNNNNNNNNNNNNNNNNNNNNNNNNNNNNNNNNNNNNNNNNNNNNNNNNNNNNNNNNNNNNNNNNNNNNNNNNNNNNNNNNNNNNNNNNNNNNNNNNNNNNNNNNNNNNNNNNNNNNNNNNNNNNNNNNNNNNNNNNNNNNNNNNNNNNNNNNNNNNNNNNNNNNNNNNNNNNNNNNNNNNNNNNNNNNNNNNNNNNNNNNNNNNNNNNNNNNNNNNNNNNNNNNNNNNNNNNNNNNNNNNNNNNNNNNNNNNNNNNNNNNNNNNNNNNNNNNNNNNNNNNNNNNNNNNNNNNNNNNNNNNNNNNNNNNNNNNNNNNNNNNNNNNNNNNNNNNNNNNNNNNNNNNNNNNNNNNNNNNNNNNNNNNNNNNNNNNNNNNNNNNNNNNNNNNNNNNNNNNNNNNNNNNNNNNNNNNNNNNNNNNNNNNNNNNNNNNNNNNNNNNNNNNNAAAUUGAAUUUCUAGUUUUCUACUUUAAAUUAAAAACUUAAUGCUAAUACAUUAUUAAUUUACUACCAAAUAUUAUUAAUUUAUUAUAUUAAGUAGCCUAUGUUUUGUAUAUUUGUGCAUAGAUCUUCUAUAGAAGUGUAUAUUUAACGUUUACAUGUGUAUAUGUUUUAUAAACUAGUAUAUAAGUAUAUCUAUAUAUAUUGUAAUGUAUAUAUAAUGAAGUAUAUUUUAUAAGUAGUAGUAUAUAUACAUUGAAUGGUGCAUAUACACGUGUAUAUAUCUUCUAUAGAAGUGUAUAUUUAACGUAUACAUGUGUAUAUGUUUUAUAAAUUGGAUAUCUUCUACAGAAGUGUAUAUUUAAUGUAUACAUGUGUAUAUAUUUUAUAAAUAAGUGUAUAAGUAUAUCUAUAUAUAUAUUGUAAUGUAUAUAUAAUGUAGUAUAUUUUAUAAGUAGUAGUAUAUAUACAUUGAAUGGUGUGUAUACACUUGUAUAUAUCUCCUAUAGAAGUGUAUAUUUAACAUAUACAUGUGUAUAUGUUUUAUAAAUUAGUAUAUAAGUAUAUCUAUAUAUAUUGUAAUGUAUAUAUAUUGCAGUAUAUUUUUUAAGUAGUAGUAUAUAUACAUCGAAUGGUGCAUAUACACAUGUAUAUAUCUUCUAUAGAAGUAUAUAUUUAACGUAUACAUGUGUAUAUGUUUUAUAAAUUAGUAUAUAAGUAUAUCUAUAUAUAUUGUAAUGUAUAUAUAUUGUAGUAUAUUUUAUAAGUAGUAGUAUAUAUACAUUGAAUAGUGCGUAUACANNNNNNNNNNNNNNNNNNNNNNNNNNNNNNNNNNNNNNNNNNNNNNNNNNNNNNNNNNNNNNNNNNNNNNNNNNNNNNNNNNNNNNNNNNNNNNNNNNNNNNNNNNNNNNNNNNNNNNNNNNNNNNNNNNNNNNNNNNNNNNNNNNNNNNNNNNNNNNNNNNNNNNNNNNNNNNNNNNNNNNNNNNNNNNNNNNNNNNNNNNNNNNNNNNNNNNNNNNNNNNNNNNNNNNNNNNNNNNNNNNNNNNNUUUGUGUAUAUAUUUUUUAAAUUCUAAUGUAGUAUAUACUAUAUAUAUAGUGUAUAUAUAUUAUUUAACAUAUUUAUAAUGUAUAUAGGUGGGUAUAUGUAAUGUAUAUUGAAAGAAAGUUUUUUUCUUAUAUUUUUUACCGGGUUUGACCGAUUUUUUAAUCGGGUUUGACCGAAUUUUUAUGGGUUUGACUGGGUUGGGUUAAGUGGGCCGGGUUAGGGUGGGUUUUAAUUUUUUUACUGUUUGGCCCAGCCCGACCCGUAUAGCGCCAAAACCGGCCCUCAACCUGGUUAAAAUAGAAGGGUCAGUUCCUGGUUGGCCCGACCCGGCCCGUUUGACACCCAUAAUCCACACUGGCGGAGCCACCUUGAAUCUAGGGGGUUCAUACCCCUUUCGACGAAAAAUUAUACUAUUUUGAUACAUCCUUUUUAUACAAGAAAGACAAGGAACAUACUAAAACACACUCCAAAAACAGUCCACUAGUUCAAGAACCGAGGACCCUUUUGAAGACCCCUCUCGGAUUCAAAAAACACCAAUAAGAACACAUUGUAUUGUGGUGUUUAACACCUAAAAACAACCAACCAACAAACUAACAAGAUGGAAGAACAACAAGAUGAACAACAACAAGAAGUUAUGGGUUCACUAGAAACAAGAGGAACGAUUACAAGUUACAAGCACUAACAAGUUUACAAUAAAAGAAAAAAGGGAUAGAUAGAUAGAUAGACUACACGAAGAUGUAAUCUUAAAAAUCCAAGAGCCUAUUCCACUCUUGACCUUUAACACUACAUACAAUGAUUUACCUAUCUCUUACGUGACAAGAGAUCGGAUUCCACCCCUCAAGCACAAACGUUUCCAUACAAAAAAUUUUAAGGGAAAAAGUUCAAAUAUGUCAUCAAACUUUGAGAAAAAAAUCAUUUAUACUAUCCGCUUAAAGUUUGGCUUAUUCAUGCCAUUGACGUUACAAAAAAACUUAUUUAUGCCAUUUUUUAAAACUGUCUAGUUUGAUGAUUUUUGGCAAAAUCAUUUUGUACACGUGGCCAAUAAAUUUUUUUCACGUCUUUUACAAGUCAAAAAAAAAAUUAAGGGAAAAGACUCAAAUAUGUCACUAAACUAUCUGAAAUGACUCAUUUAUGCCAUUAAAAGUUCGGCUCAUUCAUGCCAUCAUUAUUGCAAAAUCAGCUCAUUCAUGUAUUUACUUUUUAACAGUGCGUGUUCAAAAACAUCUUUUCCACGUGGCCUUUUAUUAGAGGUCCACAUCAUUAAUUAAAAAAAAUCAAUAUUAAUUUCAAAAUAUCUUAGAACCAUGAAAAAGAGCCGAUCUAUUUUAAGAUAACCCGACCCGUACCGAUUCUACAACAACAAUAAUUUUUUCGGUCAGAAAAAACAGUGAUUAAUGUAUAUCCUUUGGUUGUUUCUUGUUGAUUCCAAAUUAUUAUAAAUUUUAUGCUUAACACAGCAAGAAUGAAUUGAAUUAAUAUUAGAGAUAAGCAUCCAGUACCUCCGACACACUUCAACUUCACAGGGGUCCUAUUAACCCUGAACUCAAUUUUAGCUUAUUUUUGUCACCCUUUUGUGCUGCCAUAGUACCUUUAUUAUAUAAAAUGAGGAUCACAUCAAAGGUGUCAUAUAAGAUAAAAAGGCUAACAAAAGGUGCCACGUCAGCUAAAAUGAUUGAUUAAAAUAAGCUAAAAUUUAGUUCACGAGGAUAAUAGGACCCCGUGAAGUUGGAGUGUGUCGCAAAUUUGUUCAUAGUUUAGUAGAUGCUUUACUCAUAAUAUUACAAUGAAUUUAUAAGAAAGAUGUUUAUGUUUAAAAUGUCACUUCCUUGCAUAAAGUUACCAAUAAUUUCAAUAUUACAAUUAUUUGUUAAGAAAGAUGCUCACGUUUAAAAUGUUUCUUUCUUUCAUUAAGUGCCAAUAAUUUCCCUCGUAGACCUUUAUAGGGAACAGGAAACUAAGUUGUGGGCUCCAAAAAAAUAAUUACAAAAAAGGAAACUUAAGGGACAACUUAAUAUUAAUAUGCUAUUUUAAUCUCACACGUAUUAACUGUCACGAUCCGAACCGGGACCCUAGCCGUGACGAGCAUUCCCGAACCAUGAAGGUCCAGGAUGCCAAUCUAAAUCUGGUUAUCAUGCAGAACAUCCAUAUAAUAAGGAAAAUGCAGAAAUGAAACUGAACUUUACGGAAACAUGGUCAAUCUAAAUAAAUCAGUUUAAGGGUACGAAAAAUAAGCCCAACAACAACUGGCAAAUGUCGACCAUAGUUUGUGAAAUCUCUACUACAUAAUCCAAUCUGACAUAAUAUCUGAACAACUGGGACAAGGCCCCCAGUAGACCAAAACCAUACUGAAAUAGUAAUUCUCCAAGGAGAUUAGGCCUUCCGAAGCCAAGAAGGAUCACCCACUGACUCUGCGAACUCUGUCUGUCUGUAAAAUCUACUGAGUUACUGGACCCCUAGACUGUGCCUCAGAACCAGAGAGGUUGGAGGGAGGAGGGGGUCAAUACGAAUGUACUGGUGUGCAGAGCAAAUCAAAAUAAUCAUUUAUAAUAAACAUAUGUGAGAGCAGUUUAAAACAAUUCAUAAACAAUCGUGUAGUAAGAAAUCUCAUGGGCAUUUUUAAAGGACUCUGUGACAACAUCUGAAACCUGAGACACUCUUUGUACUACUUCUGCGUUAGGUGGUAUACCCUACAAUUCUGAAAAUUCCACGGGCUGUGUGGAAACUACCAUUAACUCGAUAGCUAAGCCCCCAACCCAAGUGUGCCGCAAGGGUUGGAGUCUCUGAAUCUACUACGCCACACGGCCGUAGCCAGCGUACAAUAAUAAUCUACCUAUAUCGAAAAAUACAGUUUCAGGCUAAGAGUUACUUGAACUCACUCCCUCUUCGGGUAACAACCUAACCCUCUUUUAGGCCUUUUUUAAAACUCUAUCAAAACAUGCAGUAUCUGAAAACAUGAUCUGAAAACAUACUCUGAAAACAUAAUCUGAAAACAUAAAUUUGUCAUGGCAUAAAUACAUAUGGUAUCGUCAAACCAUUGACUUGCAAGUCACAUCUUUGAGCCAUUAUUAGUCCAUCAUAAAUCUCUGUAUUCAAGACACAAGUUUUGAAUCUCACAUUUCAAUAAUUCAAUGCAAUAAAUCUUUUUUCCCAAAUCUCAUGUGAGCACAUACAAUUCUUUCUCCUGAUCACAAGGUUACAUUUAUAUCAAGAAAACCUUCUCAAAAUUCCAAAUCAUGUUCAAAUACCACAGUAUUGUAACAAAAACAUCUUUCAAAAUCACAAACCACAAUCUUUAAUUCAAUGCAAGAGAGGGAGUUCAUAAUUCAUGCUCUCAACAAUCUUUAAUCUAAAAUUCGUACAUAUAUAUAUAUAUAUAUAAAAUCAAUCUUAGGAGUAAAGGCCACAAGACCAAAGCAAUAGUAGUAUUAAAACUUUUAGAAAUGCAUAUCAAUGAUAUAAUUUUCAAAACACCCAUAAAAUACAUGCUUUAACAAUUUCAAAGCCCAUGUAAUUUUUAGGAUAAACCUCACGCACCUCUGUUUCAGAAGAUAAUGGAUGCUUAUUGAAGCCCGCGUUCUGGGGAUUCUGAGUAUGCAAUCAAUUUCGGAAACCCACAGUCGAAUCUUGAUCUACUUGGAUUUUUAUUUUGAAACCCUUAUGAGGGUUCUUGAGAAAUUUUGGUGAAAAUAUGAAUGAUAUGGGUUUUUGGGAGCUUAAUCCCAUGUUUAAUUUGAUAGGGAAAUGGAAAAUUACCAAAACGCCAUUAAAAUCUCGAAGGGAAAACUGAAAAUGGCCUGGGGUGAUCCACCAGGCAUCGCGCGCCUUAGAGCAUCGCUCUAGGCCAAGCGUCGCCUGCUAUAUCGCGGGGGGCCUUCCAGGAAUGGGCGAUUUGCCAAGCGACGCUUGCAGAUCGCGGGGUCUCACUGGAAUGGGACCCCAAAAAUGCCCUUAUGCUCAUCUACAAAUCCCAAAACUCACCCAAGACGUACCCUUAACUCUCCCGAUCACAAUACAAUAAGAAAAUCUGGAAUCGAAGGUCGGGAAGACUGAAAUGUUUUAUCCUGAAGGUCGUCAGCUAAAAGUGAGUCUAAGUCUUUCAAUACUUAGAAAAAUUUUCAUACUUUUCAAUACUAAGUGUACUCUACUAGAGGCUAACACAUGCACGACUUUCUACGGGGUGUUACAUUAUCCCCUUUGGGAUCAUUCGUCCCCGAAUGAUGAUGCAGAAAAACAGUCAUGCAUGAUUUUUGAACAAUUAAAGGCAUAGAAGGUAAUGACAAGGAUUGUACCUUCCAUUACUUUAUUCACCGGAUCAAAUAAACUUGGGUAUUUGUUUCUCAUGUCAUCUUUUGAUUCCCAAGUUCCUUCUUCAACCUUCUGAUUCCUCCACAAUACCUUUACCGAGGCUAUCUUUUUGCUUCUUAAUUUUCUAACUUAGCGAUCAAAGAUUGCUACAGGAUCUUCUUCAUAAGAUAAGGAAUCCGUCACUUUGAUCUCUUCAAUAGGUACUACUAACGAAUGAUCUCCCAUGCACUUUUUCAGCAUGGAUACAUGAAAUACCGGGUGGACAGAACCCAAACUUAUUGGUAACUCUAAUCCAUAUGCAACACCACCUACUCUUCUCAUAAUCUGAUAUGGUCCUAUAAAGUGAGGAAUCGGCUUACCUUUAUUCCUAAAACGCAUAACUCCCUUUAUGGGAGAAACUUUGAGAAAUACCCAAUCUCCAACCUCAAACUCUAAAUCUCUUCUCCUAACAUCGGCGUAGGAUUUCUGACGAAUCUGAGCUGUCUAAAGUCAUUCUACAAUAAGAUUCACAUCUUCCAUUGCCUGAUGAACAAGAUCAGGACCAAACAUCUGCAUCUCACCUACUUCAUACCACCCUAACGGAGAUCUGCAUCUCCUACCAUACAGUGCUUAAAAAGGUGCCAUCUUAAUAUUGGAAUGGAAACUAUUAUUGUAAGAAAAUCCUAUUAAUGGCAAGUGAUCUACCCAACUACCUUUGAAAUCUAUUACACAAGCCCUCAACAUAUCCUCAAGGGUCUGGAUGGUGCGCUCAGCUUGCCCAUCAGUCUGAGGGUGGAAUGCAAUGCUCAAAUUCACUUGGGUACCUAAACCCCUCUGAAAUUGUCUCCAAAACUGUGAAGAAAAUUGUGUACCAUGGUUGAAUAUGAUAGAGACAGGUGUCCCAUGCUAAUAAACGAUUUCAGCAAUGAACAACUUAGCAUAAUCUUCUCCUGAAUAGUUAGUCUUGACAGGCAGAAAGUGAGCUGACUUGGUCAUUCUAUCUACAAUUACCCAUAUGAAAUCAUACUGGUUUCGGGACUUCAGAAGUCCUGUAAUGAAGUCCAUAUUGAUCAUCUCCCAUUUCCAUAAAGGCAAUGCUAUCUCUUGGGAACUACCUCCUAGCCUCAAAUGUUCCACCUUCACUUGUUGGUAGUUCAAACACUUGGAAACAAAAUCAGCUACAUCACGCUUCAUAUUAUUCCACUAAUAUAUAGAUUUCAGGUCAUGGUACAUCUUAGUAGAGCCUGGGUGAAAAACAUACCUCGAAGUGUGAGCUUUACCAAGGAUUUUCUCCCGUAACCCAUCUACAUUCAGGACACACAAUCUAACCUGAUAUCUUAAAAUACCAUCACCACCAAUCUCAAAAGACAUGACUUUCUGCUGACCCAAAUCUUUCUUGAUUUGCAUCAAGAUGAGAUCUUCAAUUUGCUUCUCCUUAACCUCUACACAAAGGGAUGACUUAGCUAUCUCAUGGAUAGUCACUCCUCCUUCUUCGAAAUCCACAAGUCGCACUCCUAGAUUUGCAAGUUGGUGAAUAUCCUUCACCAUUUCCCUCUUAUCCUUCUCAACAUGAGAAAGACUACCCAUAGAUAACCUGUUGAGGGAGUCGGCUACCACAUUCGCUUUGCUGGGAUGAUAGUGCAAGCUCAUGUCAUAAUCUUUCAAAAGCUCCAACCAUCGCCUCUGCCUGAGAUUUAAUUCUUUCUGCAAGAAAGCAUACUACAGACUCUUGUGGUCAGUAAAUAUAUCAACAUGCACACCGUAUAAAUAAUGUCGCCAGAUCUUAAGCGCAAAUACCACAGCCUCUAACUCCAAGUCAUGAGUUGGGUAUUCCGCUCGUGCACCUUCAACUGCCUAGAUGCAUAAGCUACUACCUUCCCAUGCUUCAUAAGUACACAACCAAGUCCCACACGAGACGCAUCAUAGUAUAACAAAAAACCCUCUACACCUUCGAGAAGGGUCAAAACAGGUGCAGUAGUCAUCUUAUCUUCCAACUUCUCAAAGCUAUUAUCACACGAAUCGGACUAAGAAAACUUUACCUUUUUCUGAGUCAAUCUAGUGAGCGGAGUAGCUAUGGAGGAAAACCUCUCUACCAAUCUUCGAUUAUAACCUGCCAAACCCAAGAAGCUCCGAAUAUCGAUUGGAGUCGUGGGUCUGGGCCAUUUUCUCACUGUCUCUUCUUUCUAAGGAUCCACUCUAAUCCCAUCACUGGACAUAAUAUGUCCCAAGAAGGCAAUAGCAUUCAACCAGAAUUCACACUUAGAAAAUUUGGCAUACAGCUGAUGAUCCUUAAGGGUCUGAAGGAUGAUUCGAAGGUGAUUGUCAUGAUCCUCCCCACUCUUAUAAUAAAUCAAAAUAUUAUCAAUAAAUACAAUGACAAACAAGUUAAGAAACUGAUGGAAAACUCUGUUCAUAAGGUCCAUGAAGGCUGCAGGGGCAUUAGUCAACCCGAAGGACAUGACUAGAAUCUCAUAGUGACCGUAUCGGGUUCAAAAAGCCGUUUGUGGAAUGUAUGACUCUCUAACCUUUAACUGAUGGUAGCCCGAAUGAAGGUCUAUUUUUGAUAGUGACCUUAUUUAACUGACAGUAGUCUAUGCACAUACGAAAGGACCCAUCUUUCUUUCGCACGAAAAGUACAGGUGCACCCCAGGGGGAAACACUAGGAAGUAUAAAACCUUUAUCUAGGAGUUUUGCUAACUGCUCUUUCAAUUCUUUUAACUCUACAGGAGCCAUUCUAUAUGGCAGAAUAGAAAUUGGAUGAGUGUCUGGCAACACGUUGAUGCCAAAAUCUAUCUCCCUAUCAGGUGGUAUCCCUGGGAGAUCUUCGAGAAAGACUUCUAGGAACUCAUUCACUACUAGGACUGACUGAAGAGGUAGACUUUCAACAUUAGAGUCUUUUACUCGGACUAGAUGAUAUAGAAAACCUCUAGAAAUAAGUCUUCGAUCUCUAAGAUAAUAGAUGAAGUGCCUUCUAGGAGCUAAGGAAUGUCUCGCCCAUUCUAUUACUGGCUCAUUCGGAAAUAAAAAAGUGACUCUUAGGGUUCUACAGUUUAAUAUUACAUAACAUGAUUAGAGCUAGUCCAUCCCUAAGAUAGAAUCAAAGUCAACCAUAUUGAGUUUUAUAAGGUCUGCCACAGUAUCCCGGCCAAGAAUAGACACCACAUAAUUUCUAUACACCCUCCUAGCCAUAAUAGAAUCACCUACAGGAGUGGAAAUAGAGAAGGGUUCGGCAAUAUCUUCGGGUUCAAACCCAAAACCAACAGCCACAUACGGGGUCACAUAAGAUAAGGUAGACCCGUAAUCAAAAACACAUAAACAUCACAGACAAAGAUUCACAACGUACUGGUGACAACAUUUGGAGAGACUUCAGCCUCCUGACGGUUGGUCAAAGCAUACAACCGAUUUCGACCAGUUCCCAUAGCUGAAGUGGUAUCCUUCUAAGAGGGUGGUGCAAAUGAAUUUGCCUGUUACUUGGCUCCUCCAACAUUACCCUUUGCUGCCGGACAGUCUCUCUAAAUAUGGCCUAGUUGGCCGCAUGAAUAACAUACCAAAGCUCCAAACUGACAUCUCCCAAGAUGAUUCCUCUCGUAUCUCCCACAGCGAGGGUAUGACCGAGGGUUCUGAGCUACACUUCCCUAGGAUUGCAUACCCUGUACUCUCGGCCCUUGGCUAAACUGAAAAUUCUGGGGCCACUGAUCCACUGGAGGUCUGGGCGCUGGGGCACUGGCGACUGAUUAUGCAUUACCCCAAUUCUUCUUCUUCUGCCAUUUACUUUCCCACUUACCACUUUACGGCUGACUGUGAUGUUGUUCUACAGUUCUGUUUCUCUUUGCCUGUCUGUCUCUUUCCUUAGCUUCAGAAAAUUUCUUCUUCUUCUCCUCUACCUGCUGCAUAUAGACUGACAGUCUAGCGAAAUCCAUAUCCCGAUUCAACAUCACUCCCUGAAAGUUAAGUGCCAAGUCAUCUGAAAGGCCAGAUGCAAAUUUCCUCAUCCGGGCUCCCAUAUUACUAGUCAACUCUGGUGCAUAGUGGGCUAGUUUAUUAAACUUCAAAGUGUACUCCUGGACACUCAUACUGCCCUGCUUUAGAUUCAUAAACUCUUCUGCCUUGGCCUCCCUCAACUCCAGAGGAAAGAACCGAUCAAGAAAAUUUUCCACAAAUUUUUACCAAACUGUGGGCUCAGCACUCUCACCUUUUGAAUCCUCCCACUCGGCAUACCAUUGAUUCGCAACAUCAUUAAGCUGAUAAGUCGCUAAUUCCACCCCUUAUACCUCAUCCACAUGCAUUACCUUGAAGAUAUUUUCCAUCCCAUCCACAAACUCAUAUGGAUCUUCCUCCACCUUGGUGCCAGUGAACUUAGGUGGGUUUAUUUUCAUGAAAUAACUGACCUUAGUAGCCUCAGACAUAAUAGAUGCAGACCUAAAAUCUUCUAAUCAUUGAUCCUGGUUAGCUACCAACUGUGUCAGCAUAUGAAUAGACUGUCUGAAUUCUGCAUUCGAAAUAUCUCUCUGACCAGUCGAGGGACGGUUGACAUCACCGUUGAGCCCGAGGUGGACUAGUCGGGACUAGAGGGAUUCCCGGAGUAGGGACAGGUUCUGGAGUGUGAGCUCUAUUACGGGUCCGCAUCCCAUGGGGGGGACGGACCUCAUCUGCCUGAGCAUUCUGAUCGAUGAUACGACAUAGAGACAUAACUAUGUUUCUAAAAUACAAGAGAUCAUUGAUUAGGGGAUAGUUUAGACUCUGAAGCAUGAACUAAAUCACAAAGAAGGGAAACAUUCCUAAACGCCUAGUAGCCCCCUGCUUAUAAGUGUGGCGCGCUACACACCCAUAAAUAAGACUCUCCCCGACACGAUUUCGUAGAUACCCUGGGACCAUGAACCGUGCUUUGAUACUAAGUUUUUCAUGACCCGAACCGGGGCCCUAGCGGUGACGAGCAUUCCCAAACUAUGAAGGUCCAGGAUGCCCAUCUAAAUCUGGUAAUCAUGCACAACAUUCAUAUAAUAAGGAAAAUGCAAAAAUAUAACUGAACUUCACGGAAACAUUGUCAAUCUAAACAAAUCAGUUUAAGGGUACAAAAAAUAAGCCCAACAACAACUGACAAAUGUCUACCAUAAUCUGCAAAAUCUUUACUACAUAAUCCAAUCUGACAUAAUAUCUGAACAACUGGGACAAGGUCCCAAGUAGACCAAGACCAUACUGAAAUAGUAAUUCUCCAAGGAGAUUACACCUUCCGAAGCAAAGAAGGCUCACCAACUGACUCUGCGAACUCUGUCUAUAGAAUCUACUGAGUAACUGGACCCCUAGACUGUGCCUCAGAACCUGAGAGGUUGGGAGGGGGGAGGAGGUCAAUACGAAUGUAUAGGUGGGUAGAGCAAAUCAAAAUAAUCAUUUAUAAUAAAUAUAUGUGAGAGCAGUUUAAAACAAUUCAUAAACAAUCGUGUAGUAAGAAAUUUCAUGGGCAUUUUUAAAGGACUCUGUGACAACAUCUGAAACCUGAGACACUCUUUGUACUACUUUUGCGUUAGGUGGUAUACCCUAUAAUUCUAAAAAUUCCACGGGCUAUCUAGAAACUACCAUUAACUCGACAGCUAAGCCCCCAACCCAAGUGUGCCUCGAUGGUCAGAGUCUCUGAAUCUACUACGCCACACGGCCGUAGCCAGCGUACAAUAACAAUCUACCCGUAUCGGCAAAUACAGUUUCAGGCUAAGAGUUACUUAAACUCACGCCCUCUUUUGGUAACACCUAACCCUAAUUUUAGCCCCUUUUUAAAACUCAAUCAAAACAUGCAGUAUCUGAAAACAUGAUCUAAAAACAUACUCUGAAAACAUAAUCUGAAAACAUAAAUUUGUCAUGGCAUAAAUACAUAUGGUAUCAUCAUACCAUUGACUUGCAAGUCACAUCUCUGAGCCAUUAUUAGUCUGUCAUAAAUCUCUGUAUUCAAGACACAAGUUUUGAAACUCGCAUUUCAAUAAUUCAAUGCAAUAAAUCUUUUUCUCAAAUCUCAUAUGAGCACAUACAAUUCUUUCUCAUGAUCACAAGGACACAUUUAUAUCAAGAAAACCCUGUCACAAUUCCAAAUCAUGUUCAAAUGCCAGAGUACUGCAACAAAAACAUCUUUCAAAAUCACAAACCACAAUCUUUAAUUCAAUGCAAGAGAGGGAGUUCAUAAUUCAUGCUCUCAACAAUCUUUAAUCUAAAAUUCAUACAUAUAUGUGUUUAUAUAUAUAAAUCAAUCUUAGGAGUAAAGGCCACAAGACCAAAGCAAUAGUAGUAUUAAAACUUUUUGAAAUGCAUAUCAAUGAUAUAAUUUUCAAAACCCCAUAAAAUACAUGCUUUAACAAUUUCAAAGCCCAUGUAGUUUUUAGGAUAAACCCCACGCACCUCUGUUUCGGAAGAUAAUGGAUGCUUAUUAAAGCCCGCGUUCUGGGGAUUCUGAAUAUGCAAUCAAUUUUGGAAACCCACAGUCGAAUCUUGAUCUGCUUGUAUUUUUAUUUUGAAACCCUUAUGAGGGUUCUUGAGAAAUUUUGGUGAAAAUAUGAAUGAUAUGGGUUUUUGGGAGCUUAAUCCCAUGUUUAAGUUUAUAGUGAAAUGGAAAAUUACCAAAACGCCAUUAAAAUCUCGGAGGGAAAACUGAAAAUGGCCUGGGGUGAUCCACCAGGCGCCGCCCGCCUUAGAGCAACGCUCUAGGCCAGGUGUCGCCUGCUAUAUCGCGGGGGCCCUUCCAGUAACGCCAGGCGACGCCUGCAGAUCGCGGGGUCUCACUGGAAUUGGACCCCAAACAUGCCCUUAUGCUUGUCUACAAAUCCCGAAACUCACCCGAGACGUACCCUUAACUCCCCCGAUCACAACGCAACAAGAAAAUCUGGAAUCAAGGGUCAGGAAGACUGAAAUGUUGUAUGCCGAAGGUCGUCAGCUGAAAGUGAGUCUAAGUCUUUUAAUACUUAGAAAAAUUUUCAUACUUUUCAAGACUAAGUGCACUCUACUAGAGGCUAACAUACGCACGACUUUCUACGGGGUGUUACAUUAAGGGACAACGUUAUACAUCGUAACAAAUAGGUACUUAGUUUUGGCAAACCAAAAUGUAACUAGUGUCAGAUAUGGGUUCUCCAGGAUUUGUAACUUUUGAUACAAUAUAUAUAGAGAUAGAUAGAUAGAUAUCGAAAAUGCUACUGCCAUAUCAACAACUAUUAUAUUUAUUUAUGAUUUCACAUAUAUAAAUCAUAGAAUAUAUAUAAAUUGACUUCUCACCAUUUCCCCUAUCAUAUGUUUCGACAGCUUUAGUGAAGAAAAAGUUGUGUACCCUAAUAGAUAGAAAAAUUAUCAAUUUAAAGUAAUUAUUACUUAAUCUGGAACGUUCAUCAGGAGACCAUUCUACGAACGAGAUUUAUUCUUCGUUAAAUAUUAGUGAUGAGCUUCACAUUAAUUUGGCUUAUGAUUAUAAUGAUGUUUCUUUGAGACUUAUCCUGUAUAUAAUAUCUCAAAAAGAAAUGUAUAUACACACAUUCUUACGAUAAAUAGACAUCCAUUUAUGUAUAUUAUUAACACAUCAUUGAGGUUUGGUCCUCAAAACAUCAUAAGCAAUAUUCGCGCAGAAGGUAAAGUCGUGAAAGAGUUCUUUAGCAAGGGUUUCUUCUUUCAUUGUCUCUCACGACGUUUUUGCUUCGGUUUCUUUUUCCUUUUCUCUUUUCGGGAAGGUGUGGGUGAUGAUGGUGGGAGUUUGCAUGUUCUUAUGCUUGUAGAAAAUUGUGGAUUCUGGAUGUAGCAGUUGAGUUGUGUAUAUUGAAUUCGUGUAAACAUAUAAGGGGUAUUCACUGUGAUUCUAGUUUUUAAUUUUAUGGCUUGUUUCCCUGUGUGUGAACCCUACAUGAAGAUUUAACAGUCCUGUUUAUGCUUAUGGUCGUGUAAUUGUCCACGUUUCAUCAAAGGUAAUUGUUGUAUUUUUCUUAGUCUUCUUGCUAUUAUAGGUACAUGAUAGUUCUCAUCUUAUAAGUAGGAGAUUGACGUCAAUAACUGAAAAGAAAGCAAUUAACGUUUUUUGUUCCUUCAUUAGCAAGGAGUAAAAUACUGAAGUGCUUCAUCGAAAACCAAUCUGAUGCAUUGUUAUUUACAUCUUUUAAAGAUUGGUUUGACUUUUGAAUCUCCGUUCUAAAAAAAUCAUGUUAUCAUGGUUUAGAUUUGUUUCUUGUGGUUGUGGGAGUAUAUAUUACUGUGUGUUGGUGAUCGUAUAUUUGAGAUUUGAGUUAUAAUUUGUGGAAUCCUAUUUCAAUUGGCAACGACGCAUACAUCUUAGUGUAAGAAUUUGGCAUCACUCUUCAAACCUAUUAAAACUGGACCGUUGAUUUGCUAACAAAUGGGUUUGAUUAGUUUUGUGACCUGAUAUGAAUAAAAAGUUAUAUUUAAGGUUAACUGAAGAUAUGAACUGGGAAGUUUUCUGACCAAGUUUAGGUGAGUAGUAACUAGGGAUAGAUGUACAUGAUGUUAAAUGAAAGACACUGAGGUGCAACUGCAGAAAUUCAGUAAACUUAUGUUGGUAAGGCUAAGUUUAUAUAAUUUGUUUGAAACUAAUAUUAUUUUCCUAUAUUUGUUGAGCAUAAUUUUACUUCUAAUUGGUUGUUUUAUUUUGAAUGUGUAGAAACAAUGCGUGGGAUCAAAUUUGAAUGGUGGGCGCCACAACUCAACUUUAUCUAUUCAAGCGAAUGAUGAAGAAUUUUUAAAAUAUUUUGAUAUACGUUUAUAUACAUUUGAUUUUUUGUCGAACUUGGUACAAAUUUUUAUUAUGUUGUUUUUCUAAUUAGUAUGUAAAAGACAUGGUUUUUUGAAUUUCAUUACAAAUCUCUGCGCUUCAAUUAUUUUUUAGCUAAUUGAUGCAUGUGAUUAUAUAUAAAUAUGUAUUUUUAUGUAAUGUGCUUAGUGAUGUAUAUAUUUCCAUCAAAAUAAUUAUUUUUCAAUUAGAAAUUAGGUACUAACACUUUAUAUGCCUAAUGCCAUUUCUGUAAAUUAUGGUUUGAACUAUUAAAUUUUAGACAAUAUUACAACACUUUAAAAGUGUGGCUAAAACAUGCUUAUACUUUACAAAUGUUGUUAUAGAGGAUGUAUAAAAGGCUACGAUUUUGAAGUGUGGCUAGUAAUAAAGAAAAGGCCAUAUUUUUUAAGUGUAGUUAUAGAGGUGCUACAAAAGGCUACGCUUGUGAAGCGUGCACAAUAGCAAAAUAAAGGCAAUGUUUUUUAAGUGUUGUUGUAGAAGUGCUACAAAAGGCUAUGCUUGUGAAGCGUGCCCAAUAGAAAAACAAAGGCAAUACUUGUAAGUGUAGCUUUAUCAAAUAAAAGUGUUGCCAAUGACAAGCUGCAAAGUGAGGCCUUUAUAUCUUAAUGGCCACACUUAUUAAAUGUAGUUGAUACGACAAUACUUGAAAAGCGUGGUGUUUGAUCAAAGGUUAUGCCUUUUUAGGCCACCCUCCUAAAAGUGUUGCCUAAAAUCCGAAAGUGUAGCCUUUGAUCAAAGGGCAUAUUUCCGCUAUUCUAGACCACACUUUACAAGAGUGGCAAUAGGACUAAAAUCUUACGCAAAUUGACCUAUUUAGUAAACGCGAUUACAAAAUAGUCAAGGAGUACUAUCCCUUCACCUUGUAAAUAUCCCUCUUGGUAAUUAAUAAAAUUCCUUUACUUGCCAAAAAGAUUCAUUCUUCACAUCAAUAAAUUAAUUUAACAAACAUUUGAAACAGAACAAGUUAUUUGGAACAAGAGUCUCCAAGAGCAUGUUCAACAUGCAAGAAGUUGAUUCCUGAUCUUCUCUAGUAUCCCUACAACAUCUUUCAUGGUUGUCCGUCUAGCUGGAAAUUCAACACAACAAUCUAGCGCCACUUUCAUGAUUGAUGCUACACAAACUAGCUUCUUCUUCAAGUGAUUAUCCAUUGGUGGAACCAAGUUGGAAUCCACAAAAUCCAUUACUGCAUCAGGAAGUAAAUAACUCACCCAUUGUUUCAAGCUAAUAUCUCCCUCAAACUCACUAGGCUUUCUCCUAGUAAACGUUUCCAGCAACAUGAUUCCAUAACUAUACACGUCACAUUUAGUAGACACCAAUCCAUCUUGUCCAUACUCUACAAUCAAAAAAUUAUUUAAAGAUGUAACAUAAUAACUUGGUGGAAAACGAGGAAGGGAAAAGAAAUGUUCAAAGCAAAAUCAAAAGACGUACCUGGUGCAAUAUAACCCAAUGUUGCUAAUGUUUUUGUGUAUAAAUCACUCUCAUCUUCACCAAGAAGUUUUGAAAUGCCAAAGUCGCUUAGAUGUGCAACCAUAUCCUCAUCCAGCAAGACGUUACUAGGCUUUACGUCACUGUGAAUCACAGGCGAUGAGCACCCAUGGUGAAGAUAUUCCAAAGCACAUGCCACAUCCAUCAUUAUGCUUAGUCUCUGCUUGAUGUCGAGGAAGUAGCUGUGAGAAUACAAAUACUUCUCAAGACUCCCAUUAGGCAUAUAAUCGAGAACUAAAGCCUUGAAAUCAAGAUUGGAACAACUAGUAAUGACUUUUACGAGAUUCCUAUGGCGAAGGCUACGCAAAACUUCACAUUCCGUGUCAAAACCCUUGAAUGCUGCAUCCAGUUGCAGAUUGAACACUUUAACUGCAAUGGCAGUUCCACUNNNNNNNNNNNNNNNNNNNNNNNNNNNNNNNNNNNNNNNNNNNNNNNNNNNNNNNNNNNNNNNNNNNNNNNNNNNNNNNNNNNNNNNNNNNNNNNNNNNNNNNNNNNNNNNNNNNNNNNNNNNNNNNNNNNNNNNNNNNNNNNNNNNNNNNNNNNNNNNNNNNNNNNNNNNNNNNNNNNNNNNNNNNNNNNNNNNNNNNNNNNNNNNNNNNNNNNNNNNNNNNNNNNNNNNNNNNNNNNNNNNNNNNNNNNNNNNNNNNNNNNNNNNNNNNNNNNNNNNNNNNNNNNNNNNNNNNNGAUAUAUUAUUAUGAGAAAGGUCUAGGAAUUCCAAACCUACCAUGUUGCUAAUUGAGUCAGGUAUAGAUCCUUGCAACUUGUUGUGUCUCAAAGAAAGGUGCACCAGAUUUUGCAAGCCUCCAAUUUCUCUUGGAAUUCCAUUUGAGAAUUGAUUCAUUGAUAGAUCCAUCCUGGUUACCGCCUUUAGAUUUCCAAUUUCUGGAGGUAAAGAACCAACCAUGUUGUUUGACGAUAAGUCAAGAACCACUAGAUCUUGAAGGUUCCCUAAGCUUGGUGGUAUAUUGGAACUCAAUUUAUUGGAACCCAGAUGUAUCUCCCUAAGGGAAGUAAUAUUCCCUAAACAAUUAGGAAGAGAUCCUGAAAGUUGAUUUUGACCCAAGUAAAUAUCACCCAAAUGCUUCAAGUUACAUAUAUGAUCUCCAAUAAAUCCUGUUAAUUUAUUGUUAGCCAAGUCGAAGCGCUGGAGCUUUCUCAAGUUUCCAAUUGAUGUGGGAAUCGAUCCAACCAUGUUGUUUCCGGAAAGAUAAAGGAAUAAUAAGCUGCCUUAGCACCCAAUCUCAUUAGGAAUUUGCCCUUGGAUUUUACAACUGUUGGCGACAAAUGUUCUAAGAGAUGUGGAAAGGUUCCCCGUGGAGGCAGGAAGCACGCCGUUUAGAGGAUUCAAAUAUAGAGCUAGAAAUGUUAAAUUUCUACAAUUGGUUAAGGAAGUCAGGAAGCUUAAUGAUGAGUCACUGGUUAAAUUGUUUUCUCCUAAAUUUAGUAACUGUAGAUGAGUCAAAUAUCCAAGAGAAUUAGGAAUCAAGCCAGUGAGUUUGUUGCUGGCAAGCUCAAGAAUAGUAUGUUUUGAAAAAUUGGAGAUGGAAUGAGGAAUAGUCCCAAAAAGAUUGGUUAAGUUGCCCAGAUAAAGCUCUUCAAUGUUGGGUAAGAUAGAAUCUAUGUUUGGUGGGAGGCUUCCUGAUAGAUUGUUGAAUGAAAUAUCAGUUGCUCUCAAUCCUGAUAUGUUGAAGAUCUUCAUAUCAAGAGAAUCACUAAAACUAUUAGCCGAAAGAUCAAGUUUCUCCAACUCAACGAGAUUCCUUAUCUCUUUGGGUAUUUCACCUGUCAACACAUGAAGAAAGAAUGAAUACAAGUGAGAUGAACUAGUUAGGUCAGUGCUUAUCUAUGUGAUUCAUGCUUUUGUUUGACUUGAUGGAGAAGAAUUUUGAAUUGUAAUUGGCAAUGGGAUAAGGUGUCGACAAGAACUCAUAAAAUUAUGUUCUAACUCUAUACUUCUGUUUCCUUCAUUUAUAUUGUUAUUGAUCAAAGAUUUGAGAAGGAUGUACAUAUUGGACUUCUUAAUUUAACUUUCUAUGGAUUUCUAUUGUGUAGUUUUGUAUUUUAUAUGGACUCAAAUAUAUAAAAUGAUACUUUAUUGGAAGUGUGCUAACUACUAUCAGAUCGUGUCUAUUUCAAAGAAUCAGUUUGGUUUUAUGCCUGGUCGCUCGAUGACAGAAGCAAUCCUCCUGGUAAGGGGAUUGGUGGAGCAAUAUAGGGAAAGGAAAUGGGAUUUUCACAUGGUGUUCAUCCACUUAGAGAAGGCUUAUGACAAAGUCCCGAGGGAGGUUCUGUGGAGAUGCUUAGAGGCUAGAGGGGUCCCGAUGCGUACAUCAUAGCUAUUAAGGACAUGUACGAUGGAGGGAAGACUCGGGUGAGAACGGAGGGAGGGGACUCAGAGCCUUUUUUGGUCGAGACGGGAUUGCAUCAGGGUUUGACUCUUAGUCCAUUCCUGUUUGCGUUGGUGAUAGACGUAUUGACACGGAGUAUUCAAGGGGAGGUGCCUUGGUGUAUGUUGUUUGUGGACGAUGUAGUGCAGAUUGAUGAGACACGGGAGGGUGUGAAUGAAAAAUUGGAGGUUCGGAGGCAAACCCUUGAAUCUAAAGGGUUCGGGUUGAGUAGGUUUAAGACAGAGUAUAUGGAAUGGAAGUUAAGUGAAUUGAGGCAGGAGGACGAUAAAGUGGUAAGGUUGGAUUCCCAGGAUGUUCGUAAGAGGGAUAGUUUUAAGGAUAUCUCUAACCAUAUCGGAGCAGGUUGGAUGAAGUGGAGACUCGCCUCGAGAGUGUUGUGUGACAAGAAUGUGCCACUAAAGCUUAAAGACAAAUUCUACAGAGUAGCAGUCUAUCCUUCUAUGCUAUAUGGAGCAGAGUGUUGGCCAAUCAAGAACUGCACAUUCAAAAUAUGAAUGUGGCGGAAAUGGGAAUGUUGUGUUGAAUGUGUGGCCUUAAUAGAGGGGAUAGAGUUAGGAAUGAGACUGUCCGGGAGAAGGUUGGAUUGGCGUCAGUGGAGGAUAAGAUGCGGGAAGGAAGACCGAUAUGGUAUGUGCAUAUGAUAAGAAGGGGCACGAAUGCCCCAGUUAGUUCGUAGGUGUGAGAGGCUAGCGUUGGAUGACUUCAGGGGAAGGAGCGGUAGGCCGAAGAAGUACUGGAGAGAAGUGAUUAGACAUGUUAUGGAGCAGCUUCUGCUUACUGAGGACAUGACCCUAUAUAGGAAGGUGUGGAGGUCGCGGAUAAGGGUAGAAGGCUAGGAUGUGUGCGUGGGUUAGUAAGUAGCUAGAAGAGCUCAGAUUUAGUUGGGUUAGUAACCCUAGGACUGUGCCCAUAGGUAGGGUCCAGGAUCAGGCAGGUUUGGGUCUCUUAUUUCUUAUUGCGCUUAUUUCAUAUUGCUAUGAGUUGUAUUUUAGUGUGUCUUACUUCUUUUUAUGUUAUGCCAUUCAUCAUGCUUCAUAUUUCAUUACGCUCUUGUCUAAUUUUCUCUAUCUUGAGGGAAGUAGCGGUAUGGACUGCAUACAUUCUAUCCUCCCCAGACCUCACUUUAUGGGAAUACAAUGGGUUUGUUGUUGUUGUUGUUGCUAACUACUACCAGAAGUUCAAAUUUACUGUUUAAAAAUUAAAAUACGCUCCUCAUUUGCUUUUUCUUGUCACACUUUUGAAGAUUUAUCUGUAAUUCUUACAUUUUUAUUACUCAUUACAUGCAUGUAUUCAUAAAAUUUUAAUAGUUCUAAUGGAUCUGUAAAAAUUAACAUGAGACACAUGUGCAAUGCACGUGUAUAUAUUGAGAGACACCAUUUGAAUAUAUAUGUACCUAUAAGCUUAUUUCCACUAAUCUGUAGACCUUGCACGUUGGUUAAGUUGCCAAUCUCCCGUGGUAAGAAUCCACUAAGAUUGUUCUGCGCCAGUGACAAAAGUUGCAGAGAUGAGAUAUUGAAUAUGGAGAUCGGGACAGAGCCGGUAAUCUGUUUUUUCUCCAUGUCCAACUCUACCAAAUUAACAAGAUUUCCAAUUUGUUGUGGAAUUAUCCCUGCAAUUAAUGUGAAAUAAAAUAAAAUUCUGAAGUAAUAAGAUACAAUAAUGCUAUUAUUCAUGAGAUAUGUAACGUACCAGUGAAAAGGUUAGUUCCGAGAGCCAAGAUCUGCAGAUUAGUUAAACUUCCAAUUUCACUAUGUAUUGGUCCAUCAAACUCAUUUUCCAAUAAACACAAAAUUUGAAGUUGUGAACAAUUUGAUAAGCUUGUAGGCAUAUGACCGCGAAGCUUGUUAUAAGACAGAUAAAGCCCUUUGAGUAUUGGGAGACCAUUGCAUAAACCAUUGGGAAGAUAUCCUGAUAAGCUAUUGCCUGUAAAUGCAAUGACUUCAAUUCUUGAGAUAUUGAAAAUUGUGAAUGGUAUAGAACCCGUUAGCAGAUUAUACUGUAUGCCCAAAAACUUCAUGUUGUGAAGAUUGCCAAUCCCUUCUGGAAUGUUUCCUUUAAGUGAAUUAAAAGUUAUAUCUAAAGUCUCCAACCUCGAGGCAUUCGAGAGUGACAGAGGAAUGGAACCUAUGAGCUUGUUACCCCUUAAGUGUAAUUCUCUAAGGUUUAUAAGACUUCCAAUUACUUUUGGGAUUUGACCCUCUAUGGAAUUGAAGUUCAGAUUUAAAGUCUCAAGUGUGGAAAUAUUAGAAAAUGAAGACGGGAUGGAACCAGUGAAACUAUUAUUCCCAAGAUUUAGCAAUUGAAGCCGGUGUAAAAACCCAAACCAAGAAGGUACCUCGCCUCUGAAGUUGUUGACACUUAACCUAAGAAACUUAAGCCGACGCAAGCGUGCCAUUUCUUGAGGCAAAUUUCCAUGGAAAUUGUUGCUUCCCAAGUCGAUAUAAACAAGAAAUGAGAGGUUUCCAAAUUCACGGGGAAUCUUGCCUGUAAGAGACAUGUUAGAAAGAUUCAAGGAAUUUACUCGUUGGCGACGAGAACCACAAGUGACCCCAACCCAUUGGCAAACGGACCAAACAGGAGACCAACUUUCAUCCAAGAAGCGAAAGGGGUCGGAAAUGAUUUGGGAUUUUAAAGACAGAAGAGCAAAUUGAUCUGUAGUAAUGUUGGUUUGGGUCAUGACUUAACUAGCCAUAAGCAAGAAGAGUGUUGAGAGAAAAAAUGUGAAGGCUUUCUCCAUUAUUGCAAAACUUAGUAGGUAUACUCUAUAACACGUGGUUUUGAGACUUUAAAUAGAAAUGAGGUCUCCCUUUUGGUCAUAUCAAUACUAAUACCACCAAAUCAACCAAGUCUUUCACAUCUCAAUCAGAAUUAUAAAUAUGGUUGCAGAAAAGUCCUCUAUUGAGCAAAGACUUGGCAAGUCAACCAAGUCUUGCUUUAGUUUUUUGUGUGCUUAAUUCUUAGGAAAUAGUCUUGCUUUCAUAAUUUGUAGAACUGUGUGGUGAAGAGUAGUUCCAAUAAUAUUCAAAUCUUGUUAUUUGGUUGCUCCAAACACUAAUGUCUAAUGCUGAUAGAAUUGAAGAAUUAAACCAACUCAUUGGUGUAACUGGUGAAGUUUUUGUGAUGUGAGCAGAAGGUCAUUAGUUCUAGCAGUGGAAACGACCUCUAACAAAAAAUGCAGGAUAUGGCUACGUACGAUAGAUCCUUAUGGUGAUACCCUUUCCUAGAUCCGAUGCAUAGCAGGAGCUUAGUGCACCGGGCUGCCCUUUUACUGGCAAUAAAACAAGAAGUUGCAUUGAAAUUAAUAAAGUUCCGUGGAGUCCAUAAUUGCAUAAAAGGAAUCAAAGUAAUGGUUACAGAGUGUUGAGGCACUUCUUCGAUGGUCCUUAUACGACUACCAGAGCGCUAUGAAGAAUUCAUUAUUUAUAUAUAUUUUAGGAUGGUGAGAGGAAGUGCAAAAUAAGGAUUGAUUUCGCAUAAGGGAAAGGUGCGAUAAAUACAUCUAAUGAAAGUUAUUAGCAGCAAUAAAUAUCCAUUUUAACAAAGAGUUCUAAAACUUUUACUUACAUUAAUUGAUUGACAUUGGAUCUAAUGUCGCUAUAGACUUUAGGACAUUUAUAAAGAGUGCUAACCUGCAAUCGUCUGCAAUAAUAUUGCCUCUAAAACAGUAUUAAGGGUUAAUUAAGCUAUUGCCUUAAAUAUCUUUUUUGUACUGAAAAGGAUAUUUGUUACUAUUUAUUUUGUAUGAUAAUUAUAUUUAUUGUAAUGCCUCGAAAUCUAAUCUAAUUAUAUUUAUUGUAACGCCUCGAAAUCUAAUCCUGAAACGUCACACGGUGCGGUAUGAACUGCGUACAUCUUACUCUCUCCAAACCCCACUUUGUGGAAAUACACUGAAUUUGUUGUCGUUGUAGGUUGUUACAAGUAUCCUGACAUUUCAUAUUGCAAGAAGUGGUUGAAACAUAAUUGCAUAUGGAGCCACUUCUAACUAAAAGUUGUUGUAACAUAAUUGCAUAGUACCACUUGUUGAAGUGCAUGAAAAAUUAAUUUUAUGUCCCUUUUCUCAAACGAUUAUAAUAGAAUUUUGUGUUCCCACAAAUUGGAGUCUGGAAGAGGUAAAUUAUACGCAGUCCAUACUGCUAUCUCCAAAGAAGUAGAAAGGUUGUUUCCGAUAGACCCUUGGCUCAAGAUAAAGGACAGUAAAUAAGGUUGUAAUGAAAUAAGAAGCAGGAUGAAUGACAUAACACAAAUAUGGAAUAAAAAUAACAAACAUAGAAAUAUGAAAUAAGAGAAAUUAGAGCACUACGAAAUAAGGACUAAGAAAUAGGGCAUCCAUCAAGUAGGAACAUACACACAGACCAAAGAUUACUAACACGGCUACACAAGAUCUCACCUAACCACUUGCUACAACCCACACACUCACACUAGCCUUCUACUCUUAUCCGCGCCCUCCACACCUUCCUAUCUAGGGUCAUGUCCUUAGUAAGCUGUAGCUGCUUCAUGUCAUACUAGCUGCUUCCCUCCAGUAUCGCUUUGGCCUAUCUCUACUCCUCCUGAAACCAUCCAAAGCUAGCCUCUCACACCUAUGAACUGGGGCUUCUGUGCCCCUCCUCAUCACAUGCCCAAACCAUCUCAAACUUCCUUCCCGCAUCUUAUCCUCCACCAAAGUCACUCCCACCUUCUCUCGGAUAAUCUCAUUCCUAAAUCGAUCCCCUCUAGUAAGUCCACACAUCCAAUGCAGCAUUCUCAUUUCCGCCAUCUUCAAUUUUUUAAUGUAAAAGUUCUUAACUGGCCAACACUCCGCUCUAUACAACAUAGUCAGAUGUGUUUCAUACAACGAAUGUUGCUUUAUAAUUAAUUGAAAAAAAAAAAAACCAGUAAGGGACAUGAUUAUGAUGUUCUACCAGCUUUGAUUAAAAAAAGGAAAAAAUAAACACUCACCUUUUUCACUUCUAAUCUGUAUAUAUUGUUGAAUAAACAUUGUAAAGUAUCAACACUUGUCCUCUUCAAUAAAUUUUCUUUUCAAGGUGUUCUGUAAAAUGGGUCUAAAGUCUGUGUUGUGUGCCCAAAUAGAAGUGAAAGCUAAUAAGGAUGCUUUUCAUGAUGUUUUUACACAUAAGCCACACCACAUCUCUACUAUGUGCCCUUUGCAUAUACAAGGUUGUGAGCUUAUUGAUGGUGUCUUUGGAACUGUUGGCUCCAAACUUUUUUGGACCUAUAACCUUGGUAAGCCAAAAAUAUUUUAAAAAUCCCUAAAAAAAAAAAAAAUCGUUCAAGUGGGGUCUUACUGUUUAUGAAAUCAUUUCCUUUAAACUAUGUUAAGCUUCACACUACGGGAAAAUUUGGCUAUUAAGCCUUUUUUAGUUUGCUGUUAGAUUUCUGUAUUACUUGAGCUAAGAAUAAGAGAAAAGGAAGAAAAGGAAGGAUCUAGAAGAAGAAUCUGAUUUUUACUAACUGAAAUCUGUUACAUUGAGUCUCUAUAGGCUUGCAUUUAUAGUGUUGUUUGUUAGCUUCAUGUGUCAACUUUUAAUUAUCAAAAUAACCUACUUUUAUUUUCUUAUUUGUCGGACAUAUAAUAGAUCUGUCGGACAGAUAAUAGAGUUCUUGUUUUUAAACUUGAACUAGCUGAAAUGAUUGUUUCUAGUAUACAGAUUCUUGUACCCGAAUACAUACAAGAUAACAACAAAUAGCAACAAGUAAAUCCGAACGAAAGGGAGUAGUUCCUCCGUCUCACACUAUGAUUCCUAACAUUUCUCUCUCCUCACUUUCCUUUCACUGCUAUCAAUUCAAUCAGGAAAUACUUUCCUCCAUUCUACCCAGAAAUGAGUAAACAGAGCAAGUAUUGACAGUUGAGUGUAAUUACACAGUUUGACCUAAAACUAGGCCUUCAGCUAGGAUUUAGAAUGUGAUCACAGUUAGCUGGGGAAAUAAUUAUCCGAAACCAUUUAUACUCCAAAUUAUCCACAAAAUUCCAGUGUCACAUAUACACCACACUAAUACAUGAAAGUUAAACAGAUGAGCAAGCAAACACAGAUAACAUUCAGAUAUAAAAUAUGUUUCAGUUUCCAAAUUAGGAGGGUUAAUGAGAAUUUUCAGUACUAAUCCGUUAUCUUUAGUUACAUAACAUUUGUCGGGAAUCCUAAGACAGACGAAAUUUACUUUGGCGCUGCAAAACGUAGUUUCAUGAUUUUAUCCAAAUCAACAAACGGAAUGCUACUUUUGAAGUGGAGGACAAAAUGUCAAUAUCAGGAUGUUUCUCGAAUUCAGCCAUAACAUUCCCCAAUGUCUUAUUACCCUCAUGAACCCAGUUUUAGCGUAUUUUUGUCACCCUUUUGUACUGACAAUGGCACCUUUAUUACAUAAAAUGGGGCCCACAACAAAGGUGUCACGUUAGAUAAACAGGUGACACAUCAGCUAAAAAAGAUGACCAAAAUACAUUAAAAUUGAGUCUAGAGGGUAAUAAAACCCCCGUGAAUUAGAGUGUGUUGUAAAAAAUUUGGCCAUAGUUCGGGGGUAGAGUAUUCAUUUGUUCCAAUUUAUUAGACACACUUUAACGUUCACGGGGUCUUAGACUCUUAGUUGACAUGACACCUUUGACGUGGAUCCCAUUUUUAUGUAAAAAAGGUGUCAUGUCAACACAAAAAAGUGACAAAAAUAUGCUAAAAUUGAGUUCAAGGAGUAAUAGAUUUCAUGUGAAGUUGGAGUGUGUCGUAGCAAUUUUGGUCAUAGUUGGAGGGGUAUUUUUAAGAUACGAAUAUAAAGUAAUUAUAUUUCAUAUAAUGUAGUAAUAUUUUAUCUAUAUAUGGAGUAUGCCUUCAUUCCUAUUUAUUUUGGCACAUAUUUUCUUUCUAGUCUAUUCCAAAACAAUAACACUAUUUUUAUAUAUUAAAACGAUUUAGCUUUAAAAUCCACAUUUUAUCCAUAGUAAGAUAAUUAUUUCGACAUAAACGUUUACAUCUUGAUGUUUUAGAUUAUAAUUUCGAAAGUCACUUUUUUUUUCUUUAGCUUUGUAUCUAAUUAAAAUAAUGUCAUAUAAAUUGAGACGAAGCUACAUUGCCUCCCUUUUUCGAAAAUUUCAUACUAUAUAUGGUCUAUGUAUAUCCAUCAAAUAUUAUGUAUAUUAACUCAUAAACACUUCUAGCGAAAUUUCUGACUUUUUCACUGUACGAAAAAAAAUAUAAUUUUCUGAGUAGUCUUCACCGAGUGUAGCACCCCACCCCCACCCCCACCCCAUUUUAGAAUAAUUAAAAUUAUCGAUCUCUUUAUCAUUUAGAAAAUCAAAGCAUGACACUCGCAAAUCACGAUUACGAGAGUUGCUACCUUGGCUAGGGCUAUCUAGAGACUAUGGUUGUCUAGAGUAGAGUCUCGGUAUCGGAAAAUCAAUAGUAUACAACCGAUCCCGUUGAUCAUCUAACUGGUAGGGCACGUGUCACAUCAGAGGCGAAUGAUCAGAGGUGUCCUCUAAUCACCACGACGAGGCUGGUGGUAAGCGAGGGAGGAUUUAGUAAAGGGAUAUAAUGUCACUUUAUACUUUUUUAGUCCCGAGUUGAUAAUUAGAGUUAGAAACUUCACAACUUCCUCCACUCACCUCCACGGGUGCUGACUAACCUCGAUUUUUCUUCCAUAUUCAGCUGAACUCUUAAGGUUUGAUGGUUUCAUUCCUCCAUAUUCAACUGCAACAGAGAAUGAAAUCCUUAGAGGAGUCAAUUAUGGAUCUGGUGUUGCCGGAAUUCGCGAUGAAACCGGUUAUCGAUUGGUAAAAAAACUCGUUAAUAUUUGACCUAUAUACAUAAUAUACAUUUUUUGACGAAUGAUAUACAGUUAAAUUCGUCCCACUUAUGAAAUCCACCCAUGUCACACCCGUUCGACACAUUAAAAAAUUAUACAAGGGUCAUGACAAGUAGAUGCGUCAGAAGUUCCAUCUAGAUUACUUCGCAAUAUAAUGUAGUUUCUUUCAAAUUCAUUGAAAUUUUAUGUACCUAUUCUUGAAUGCUCGUUAUGUAUAGAGGAAUAUGAUCAUGCAUGUGUAACUUUCUAAGAUUUUACACAUAUAAAACUCGUUAAUAUUUGACCUAUAUACAUAAUAUAUAAUUUUUUGACGAAUGAUAUUCAGUUAAAUUCCUCCCACUUAUUAAAUCCACCCAUGUCACACUCGUUUGACACAUGAAAAAAUUAUACAAGGGUCAUGACAAGUAGACGCGUCAGAAGUUCCAUGUAGAUUACUUCGCAAUAUAAUGUAGUUUCUUUCAAAUUCGUUGAAAUUUUAUGUACCUAUUCUUGAAUGCUCGUUAUGUAUAGUGGAAUAUGAUCAUGCAUGUGCGACUUUCUAAGAUUUUACACAUAUAAAAAUCGUAAAUAUUUGACCUAUAUACGUAAUAUAUAAUUUUUUGACGAAUGAUAGUCAGUUAAAUUCCUCCCACUUAUUAAAUCCACCCAUGUCAUACUCGUUCGACACAUAAAAAGUUAUACAAGGGUCAUGACAAGUAGACGCGUCAGAAGUUCCAUCUAGAUUACUUUUUAAUAUAAUAUAGUUUCUUUCAAAUUUGUUGAAAUUCCGUACCUAUGCUUGAGUGCUCGAUAUAUAUAUAUAUAUUUACAUAUAUAUAUAAAUUACUAGAAUAUAAAAUUAUUUUAAUCUUUAACGAAUGAUAUACAGUUAAAUUUGUCCGACUUAUUAAAUCCACCCAUGUCACAUUGACACAUGAUUUAAUUGAAUAUUCUUCGUGGAAAUUCGUACUGCAAAAAUAGUUUUUUAAAAAAUUAUACAAGGCUCACAAGUAGACGAGUCAGAAGUUCCAUCUAGAUUACUUUUUAAUAUAAUAUAAUUUCUUUCAAAUUUCAUGUACUAUUCUUGAAUGCUCGUUAUAUAUAUAUAUAUAGUGGAAUAUGAUCAUUCAUAUGUGACUUUUUACACAUAUAAUACAUGUUAAUUCCUUCUAUUUUUUCAAGUGAAUCUCUUUAUGUAUAUCGCGAUGCCUAUUGUAUCGACUUGGCCUUUCAUAAGUUGUAAACGUUCAUAAUAAAUACGAUUAUUAUAUGUUGUUGAUUCAACACACUUUUUAGUUACAUUCUCUUGUAACAUACGAGAAAUGCAGGUUCAAAAUUCAGGUAUGAUAUUUUUCGAUUUUUGUAUCUCCUUAUCAAAAUGCUGACUCCGCCAUUACUUUCAUUUAUUGUUAAUGUUAUAUUAAUUCAAUUGAAAUACCAUAUUGUGUACAUUUUCAUUUCAAUUGACACUCCUUUCGUGGAAAAAUUACACUGUCCAUCUUGAUUAAAAAAGAUAUUUUCUUUAAUGUGUAUAGAGUAAAGCAUCUAGUACCCCCUUUUGAACUAGCUAUGACCAAAUUUGCAACGACACACUUCAACUUCACAGAGGUCCUAUUACCCCCAUGAACUAAGUUUUUGCGUCUUUUUGUCAAUAUUUUUAGCUGACGUGACACCUUUGACGUGAGUCUCAUUUUAUGUAAUAAAGGUGCCACAUAAACAGCAAAAAAAGCAACAAAAAUACGUUAAAAUUGAGUUCAGGAGGGUAAUAGGACCUCUGCGAAGUUGGAGCGUAUUGUAACACCUAUAUAUAUAUGGCUAUAGUUCGGAGGGGUACCCGAUACUUAUCUCAUGUGUAUAUAUAAACUACAUAUUGAUCAACAUAACACCCCUUGCAAGGCUCCUUCUGGGUUUACUUUUUUAUAUUCUGACACCUCGAUCUCCGUGAAAAUUCUGAUUCCACUAUUAUUAUACUUAUUUUUAUAUUGACAUGCCACUCCUUGCAAGGCUCUUUCGAGCUUACCUUUUUAUAUUUUGACACCCCCUUGCAAGACUCUUCUGAGUUUACUUUUUCAUAUUUUGGCACCUCGAUCUUCGCGAAACUUCUGACUUCACUAUUAUUAUACUAAUUUUUAUAUUGACAUGACACCCCUUGCAUGGCUCUUCUGAGUUUACUCUUUUAUAUUUUGACACUUCGAUCUUCGCGAAGCUUUUGACUCCACUAUUACUAUACUAAUUUUUAUAUUGACAUUACACCCCUUGCAAGGCUCUUCUGAGUUUACCUUUUUUAUAUUUUAACAGUUCAAUCUUCGUGAAAAUUCUGAUUCGACUAUUAUUAUACUAAUUUUUAUAUUGACAUGACACCCCUUGCAAGCUCUUUUGAGUUUGCUUUUUUAUAUUUUGACACCUCGAUCUUCGUGAAAAUUCUGACUCGCCUAUUAUUAUACCAAUUUUUGUAUUGACAUGACACCCCGUGCUAGGCUCUUCUGAAUUUACUCUUUUGUAUUUUGGCCCCUUAAUCUUCGUGAAACUUUUGAGACAUACUCGAACUUUAGAAGGGUCCUAUUACCCAUCUGGACUAAUUAAAAUAAUAUUUUUUGCAACCGUAGUGCCUACGUGGACCUUCAGUGUAUUGAUUCACUGAUAUGCCACGUAUGUGUCACGUAGGCACUAAGGUUGCCAAAAAUAAGGUUUUAAUUAGUACAGGGGUAAUAGAACCCUCCUAAAGUUCGGGUGUGUCUCUACAAUUUCGUAUAUAGUUCAGGGUGGAAACAGAGCAUUUUUUCAUUAUUAUACUAAUUUUUAUAUUGAGGUGACACCCCUUGCAAGACUCUUUUAAGUUUAUUUUUGUAUAUUUUGACACCUCGAUCUCUGUGAAAAUUCUGAUUCCGUCACUAUUACACUAAUUUUCAUGGAAAAUGACUUAUGUUACAGGGUGAUAGAAUCAGCUUGAACAAACAACUAUUCAACCAUCAAGUCACAAUGCUAAGAAUUACUACCAUACUUAGAAAUAGUACUGCAACAAGAAGUCUAUUUAAAAAUUGUCUAUACACUAUUGAUAUUGGCAACAAUGAUAUCUCAACAAUUUUUGCAACGAACAAUACUUUAUCCAUCAAGUUUGUUGUAUACACCAGAUAGAUUUGCAACCUUCCUUGUUCAACAAUUUGGAAGACAACUAAGGGUAAUUUUUACUACUUAUUUACUAAGUUUUAUUCGUAGAGGUCGAAAAAUUAGACCAUGAAAAUACGAUCGCACUGUCCGUUGAAGUUUGGACAGUUGCGCUACGCAUAUUUUGAAUAGACUCUGUGAGAACUUUUGAACCCUGCUUGCUUUAUCAGAAAAACUUUAGAGAAAAUGCACUGUUUCCACCCUAAACUAUACAUGAAAUUGCUGAGACACACCCAAACUUUAGGAGGGUCCUAUUACCCCGGACUAAUUAAAACCGUAUUUUCGGCAACCUUAGUACCUACAUGGCACAUACGUGUCCCUACGUAGACCUUCAGUGUGUUGAUUCACUGGUAUGUCACGUAUGUGCCACAUAGACACUAAGGUUGCCAAAAAUACGGUUUUAAUUAGUCCAGGACGGUAAUAAGACCCUCCUAAAGUUCGGGUGUGUCUCAACAAUUUCAUGGAUAGUUCAGGGUGGACUUUAAGAUGAAAAAUCAAAACUUGUUGAACUUGAAGUUUUUGUCCAUAGUGCAUGCAUGCAAGCCAGGUCAAAAGUUCAAAAUCGACCAGCCACCUCCAAGGUCAGUUUUGUAAAUCACCCGGCGCAAUAGAGUUUGUUCAUCUAAAUUUGUGAUGAAAUUGAAAUAUAACUAGAAAAAUUGUCAAAGAAAUCGACCAUUUUUUUCAGAUAAGCAUCCAGUAUACCCUUGAAUUAUGACCAAAGUUGCUAUGAUAUAAUCCAACUUCACAGGGGUCCUAUUACCCCCCUAAAGUCAAUUUUCGUGUAUUUUUGUCACCCUUUUGUGCUGACGUGACAUCUUUAUUACAUAAAAAUAGGGUCCACGUCAAAGGUAUCACGUCAGCUAAAAAGAUUGACAAAAAUAUGUUAAAAUUUAGUUCGGAAGGCAAUAGGACCCCAUGAAAUUGAAGUAUGUUGUAACAAAUUCGAUCAUAGUUCAGAAGGUACUAAAUGCUUUACCUUUUUUUCAAUAUGUUGGAUAAAGCAAUAGUAAAGGGAAAAGGGUUUUAUUAGUUGUAAUUGAUAAUUAAAUAAAUUAUUGAAAAAAAGACUUGGUUAGAGUUGGAUUUAUUAGACUACAACUCAAUAUUUAGGUAAAAAAACAAACAAACAGUGUUAACUGAUCACUUUUCGACUCUAUCUUUGAAAAAUAGUCACUAUAGCACGGAGUUUCAAACUCCACGUCAUUAUUUGAAUAUACCAAUUUAUUCUAUUCCGUCAAAUUUAGUUCAACGUGUUCAUUUCACACCACUAUUUCUAAUUACAUUAUCUUGAAUUUAUUAAAAAAAAAAUUUGUAUAUUUUUUUUUUUAGAUAUUGCAUGGCUUUGGAGCAAGGAAAGUGGCAGUAUCAAAUAUUGGUUUUUUAGGUUGUUUGCCAGAGAUUACCAGUGUAUUUGGAAGAAAUGCAUCUGGAUGUGCUGAUUUUGUUAAUAAUAAUGUUGAAUUAUAUAAUCAGAAAUUAAAGGUUUUAAUUGAUAAUUUAAACACUAAUCUUCCUGGUGCAAGGUUUAUUAUUUUAAAUCAGACUAGCAUUUCAACAGGGGGUCCACCUACUGGUAGGUUAAAAUAUUCUCUCACUCAUUAAGUUCUUCUGUUCAAUUUAUGUGACAUAAUUUUUGUAAAAUUAUUGGCAUAGCUCAUAAAAUUAAGAAAAAAAGGUUCGAAAUAUGCCUAAAUUUUGACAAAUUUCGUAGUAAUACGCCUCAAGCCCUCAACUUUACAAGGGUUUGAUGACCUCCCUAAAUUAUUUUUUAUAGUAUUUUUGUGGCAUAUAUUUGUCAGCUGGACCACUGCAUAAAUACACACGCACUGAGCGCGUGAGGGUGUGAAGUAGUUCAGCUAAACAAAUAUAUGACAUAGAAAUACGGUAAUAAAUAGUCUAGGAGGGUCAUAGGACCCCCGUAAAGUUGAGGCGUGUUACAAUAAAUUUCGCCAAAGUUUAGGUAUAUUUCAAAUUUUUUUUUUCUAAAAUUAAUGUUAUCUAGUUAGGAAGUCACGAGUUUGAGCUAUGAAACAACCUCCUGCGUAAAUACAGGAAGGAUUGUCUAUAAUUGCGCCUUGUGGCCCGGUUUUUUCCGAACCACCUAUAUAGCAGGAGCGCUUACACCAACCCUAAAGUCUAACCUAACCAUAUUGCCAACCCUAACCCUAGAACACUCUAAAAUAGAACCACAUUUGAUUGAAUUCUUCAUUUUGGUAUACACAAUUUUAGAAUCAUUUUAUACUAUAAUUGUGAGAUUUUUUUUUGUACCUCAUUGAUUAAGGUUAUAUAUAUAUAUAUAUAUAUAUAUAUAUGUUAAGAUUUAUGAUGUUCUUAAAACAUGUCAUAAUAUUUGCGUAACUGUAUGUUACUAUAUAUUAUCAUUGGAUAUUAAAAAUCCAAAUUCCAUCGCGAUAGGUCGAUAACGACCCAAACGAACUGGUUGUCAUUUGUUAGUCGCUAAAAGCUCGGCCGUUAAAAGUUGACGAGCGGAUUUUAGUUUAACCGUUAAAGAUCCAUUAGCGACGACAAAAAAUCAGGUUAUCAUGGUAAAGUUGUUGCCAUGUGAUUAGGAAGUCACGGGUUGAAGCCUUGGAAACAGCCUCUGACCUAAAUGUAAGGUAAGGCUGCGUACAAUACACCCUUGUGAUGGGCCCUUCAUCGAACCCUGCGCAUAUAUAGCCCUGAGCUGCUCUUUUAUGAAAUUGGAAUGCCAUCAGAUAAAUUGAAAUAGAGAGCGUAUCUCUUUUUUUUAUUCAGGUAAUUUAAUUAAUACUAUCAUUUAUUUUUUUUAAUUAAUUUCAGGUUUGACAAUUUUUGACCGACCAUGCUGCAAAGUAUUACCAAACACAACAGCGAAAGGACAAUGCAUUCGAGGCCAAAUUCCAUGCAACAAUAGGAAUGAAUUUGUGUUCUUUGAUAAUUUUCAUCCAACAGAAGCUGCAAAUUUGGCCAUUGCUAGUCGCUAGAAGAUCAUACACUGUUUUUGUACCGACCGACGCGUAUCUGGUAGACAUUAGGCGCCUCGUCGUACAAUCCUGAUACUGCCAGACAUCUCUACAACGUAACAUUGUUUAGUCGAAAAAAGAACUUGAAUACUAUAGUGAAAUGUUGUAAUAGUAAUAAAUCCUCUACAACAAGACCAGUUUGGUUACAUAAAUAAAGAUUGCCAACUGGUGUUAAUGUAGUUAGUGGGGGAAAAUUGGAUACAAAAUAAGGAAAUUUAAUGAAAUAAAUUUUCACUUGUUUUUUAUAUCUAUGCUCAUAAUUUACUUAUGCCAAGUCUUUUCUAUGACUCACUCAACUUUUCCUAAUAUGAACCUUGAGGCAUCAGAGCCUCUCUGACUCAGCCUGGCCCGGUCACCCUACGUGACUGGCUCUCCUUUCCAUAAUAUGAACCUUGAGUCAUCAGAGCCUUUCUGACUCGGUCUCGCUCGAUCACCCUACGCGACUGGCUCUCCUUUCCCUAUUAUGAACCUUGAGUCAUCAAGGCCUUUCUGAUUCUGCCUGGCCCGGCCACCCUACGUGACUGUCUUUCCUUUCCCUAAUAUGAACCUUGAGUCAUCAAACCCUUUCUAAAUCGGCUUGGCUCGGUCUCCCUACACAGCUGGUUCUCUUUUCCCUAAUAUGAACCUUGAGUCAUCAAAGCCUUUCUGACUCUGUUUGGCCCAAUCACCUACUCGAAUGACUCUCCUUUUCCUAAUAUGAACCUUGAGUCAUCAAAGCCUUUCUGACUCGGCUUGGCUCGAUCACCCUACGUGACUGGCGCUUCAAAAGACGAAACUCUCAAUCGUAGUUUGGUAGGCCACCCUAUGCAACUGGAGCUUCAAAAGACGAAACUCUCGAUUGUAGUUUGGCGACCUAUCUUUAGUAGGGCCUUUAGUCUUUUGAUUAGAGUAGGGGUUGCAAAAAAGGAGAGCAUACCACUCAGCCAUAGUCACUCAAAAAAUAAAUGAAAUGCCUAGUAACCGAACUACCAAGAUGUCAUAAAUGACUUGAGGUAGCUAUGAGAAAGAUAUAAAUGGCCAAAUAGUGCAAAAUUUAGAAAAUAAGCUGGAGUGUCAUUAAAACCUUCAACAUGGAGCCUUCCUCUUUUGAACGGUCUUAGAAUGAGAUAAGACAUAGAAAUAUAGAGUUUGCUAAAACUUACAAAUAUAGAAUCUAUACGUUAAAAGGAAGCUAAUGAUACCCAUAUCAUUUAUAUUUAAGAUGGGUCGAAAAUGAGUUAAAAAAAAUAGUCUAAAUGGAAGGACUAAAAUCAGAAUUUUAUUUUAGAAAUAUGUUACCAAGAUUAUAGGAGUCUAUAGUUGAAAAUUCAAGUGAAAACGAGUUAAAAAUGAGGCUUAAAUUGAAGGGGAAAAAACCAUUUUAAAGCUUUACUGAUAAAAGUUCUCGUAUUCUAGUUUGAAAUCAUUAUUAAAAGGCAUUUUCAAAGAUAUAAUCAAUACAAAAUGAUAGAACGAUGAAUUAGAAUCUUACCCAAGCAAGAAUAGUGAGGAAAAAUCGUAGAAAUCGUCUAUUCCUGAAGCUCCAAGGUCAAAAAAUGUUGGAAAUUGCGAAAAAAAAAAUCAUUUAUACUGUUCAGUGAAUAAUACUUUGUGAUCGCAAUUCCCAACUCGUGAUCGUGAAGGUCAACAUUCAUUAGAACUUAAGUUGGUCACCGUAGAGAAACACUUUGCGACCGCGAUGGUCAAACCCGACUCGGUCCAUCAAUUUACCUAUUGCGAUUGCGGUACCACCACCAUGCAAUCACAAUGAAGGAGAUCAUCGAGGUCUGCGAGAUCGUGGCAUGUGUUCAUGCAAUCAGGAUGAAGAACCUGAUGCACCAGAAAAUGCAACAUCAGCAGAUUUUCCAAGUAAAAGAAAUCCCUUCGAACGGUCCCUCUCGGGACCCUACAGAAACAAAUCAUACUUGCUACUAGGCUAUUUUUGACAUUUCAGACUCAAUAAUAAUGUCAGAUUUUAAAAAAGAAUUCAUUUUCAAUAACUUAACCCCCAGGAUCACAUUUAGAUAUUUUUCCUAGUUUUCGAAAUAAUGAUCGAACUGUAAAAUAAAGAUUCUGAAUAUUAACCAACCCCUCUACUCACCCAAAAUUGAUGUUCUGUAUCUAAUGAAAAUGCCCAAAUCACCGUCAGAUAAUCAAAUCAUAAAAUAUUGAUUGAAGUCAAAUUCAUGGCUUUCAAAGACUCUAAAAGUCUCCAACUCUGAAAUCAUUUCAUAAUGCAUGGGAGAUUGUGCUAACCAUCCCCACACCUCACAAUCUGCUUGUAACGACUGUGAGAAAAGCCACAAUAAUCAAAACGUACACAUAAAAAAUGAACAUUUUACAUAGCAGGUUGUUACAAGUAGCAGGGUUAGUAAUUUUAGGACUGCGUCCAUAGGUAGGAGACUCUAGCCAGGAGAAUUUGGGUGGGGUGGGUGUCUUUAGGCUUGUGAUUGUAUGUUACUACUAGGUGGCUGUCCUAUUUCUUAUUUCUUACUUCCUAUUUCGUAUUUAGUAUUGCUCAAUCAGGAGGUAACGGGUUCGAGCCUCUGAAACAGUCUCGUACAGAUAUGCAAGGUAUGGUUAUGUACGAGCUAGAACUUUGUUGACCAGGCUGCCCUUCUAUUGGCUUCAACAACAAUUACUUUCCUCAUAAAUCUGUUAUAGUUUUCUCAGUUUAUGCCCCUUGUACAGUCAAACAGUGAGAUUUAUUGUAACCAUCUAGCAUACCUGAAAGCAAUUAAUUUAUAUAAUAUUAAGAGGAAUUAACACCUUGCAAACAAUAAUACUAAGAGGAAACAGUGAGAGUUAUUGCAACCAUUUAGCAUUUCUGAAACAAAUCAAGUGCUAAAACAAAACAAAACAACAAUCAUGUGAUUUGGAACAACAGAUUCCAAAUACAUGCUCAACAUGCAAGGAGUUGAAUCUCGAUCUUCUGCAGCAUCCCUACAACAUCUUUCAUGUUUGUCCUUCUUGCCGGAGAUUCAGCGCAACAAUCUAAUGCUACUUUCAUGAUCGAAGCCACAACAUCUAGCUCCUUCUGUAAGUGAUUACCCAUUGGUGUUACCAAGUUGACAUCUACAACGUCCAUUACUGCCUCUGGGAGUGAAGCACAUGCCACAUCUAUCAUUAUUCUUAGUCUCUGCUUGGUGUCAAGGAAGUAGUUGUGGGAAUACAAAUACUUCUCAAGACUUCCAUUAGGCAUAUACUCGAGCACUAAAGCCUUGAAAUGAAGAUUAGAACAACUAGUAAUGACUUUAACGAGAUUCCUAUGGCGAAGGCUGCACAAAACUUCACAUUCCGUUUCAAAACUCUUGAAUGCCACAUCCAGUUGCAG
This 269986-nucleotide long non-coding RNA is filed under the name Capsicum annuum. Its description in RNAcentral is "long non-coding RNA (CANN_LNC007496)". The record is from RNAcentral. Lineage: Eukaryota; Viridiplantae; Streptophyta; Magnoliopsida; Solanales; Solanaceae.